UUAGCCUUCAUUGAUUCAGUCCAAAGACUGGGUGUGAGUUACCAUUUCACCAAGGAGAUCGAAGAAGAACUAGAGAAUAUCUACCAUAACAACAAUGAUGCCGAGAACGACCUCUACACUACAUCUCUUCGAUUCCGACUACUCCGAGAGCAUGGAUACAAUGUUUCAUGCGGUAAUUAUUGGAACAACAGCAUAGUGUUUUUAAGUUUCUUGAGAAUAUAAUAGCAUGGAAUGUUUGAUAACGAUAUUUCAAUUUGGGGAAUUUCAUCUCAGACGUAUUCAACAAGUUUAAAGACGAGCAAGGGAAUUUCAAGUCAUCCGUGACAAGCGAUGUUCGAGGAUUGUUGGAACUUUACCAAGCUUCCUAUUUGAGGGUUCAUGGUGAAGAUAUAUUGGAUGAAGCAAUUUCUUUCACCACCAACCAUUUAAGCCUUGCAGUAGCAUCUUUGGACCAUCCUUUAUCAGAAGAGGUUUCUCAUGCUUUGAAACAAUCAAUUCGAAGAGGCUUGCCAAGGGUUGAGGCAAGGCAUUAUCUUUCAGUAUACCAAGAUAUUGAGUCCCAUAAUAAGGCUUUGUUGGAGUUUGCUAAGAUCGACUUCAACAUGUUACAAUUUUUGCAUAGGAAAGAGCUAAGUGAGAUUUGUAGGUAUGUUUUUAAUCUCUUUCACUCAUUUUUUUUCUUUUUCAUCUUUUUUAUUUAUUUAUUUUUUAAUGGAAGGAGGGUUGAAUUUAUAGGUGGCAUCAUUCUCAGUAUAGGAGACGAGUUGCAAAUGCUAAUAUUUUAAUCUUAUUAAAUAGCAGAAGUUAAAAGAGACGGCAUGAAACUUGGAUUCAUCUUUUUUACCUAUAUCAUUUUACUUAUAUAUAUUUUAAAAUUUGAGGUAGCCAAUUGACUUCAAUCUAGUAUAUCAUGAAUGUGAAAUUAAUUAAAACUUUGAUUAUUCAUUAAUGGGGUUUUUUAUGAUACAAUUCUUUUAGGUGGUGGAAGGAUUUAGACUUUCAAAGAAAGUUGCCAUAUGCAAGAGAUAGAGUGGUUGAAGGCUAUUUUUGGAUCUCGGGAGUGUACUUUGAGCCCCAAUAUUCACUUGGUAGAAAGAUGUUGACAAAAGUGAUAGCAAUGGCAUCUAUUGUAGAUGAUACAUAUGACUCAUAUGCAACAUAUGAAGAGCUCAUUCCCUAUACAAAUGCAAUUGAGAGGUCAGAUUUCUUUAGUUGAAGUUAACAUUCAAUUAUAUAUCUCAUGGAAUGAUAAAAUAUAACAUUGAAAUUGGAUUCAGGUGGGAUAUCAAAUGCAUAGAUGAACUUCCAGAAUACAUGAAACCAAGCUACAAGGCACUGUUAGAUGUUUAUGAAGAAAUGAAACAACUGGUGGCUGAGCAUGGGAGACAAUAUCGUGUUGAAUAUGCGAAAAAUGCGGUAUGUACAUCAUCAAACAUAUAUUUUGUACACAAAAGAUAAGAUAUUAGUUAAAUUGUAGAUUUGAAUAAACAACUAACUUGAAUAACAAUAUAUAAUCAUUUAAAUAUUAUUUUUGAAUUUGAAUUGAUAUUCGUAAUAAUUAUUGGGAUUUUGUUGCCUCAGAUGAUACGACUUGCUCAGUCUUACCUUGUGGAAGCCAGAUGGACUCUUCAAAACUACAAACCAUCAUUCGAGGAGUUUAAGGCAAAUGCAUUGCCAACUUGUGGUUAUGCCAUGCUUGCUAUUACAUCUUUCGUCGGCAUGGGAGAUAUCGUAACACUAGAAACCUUUAAAUGGGCAGCCAAUGAUCCUAAGAUCAUUCAAGCUUCCACAAUUAUUUGUAGGUUUAUGGAUGAUGUUGCUGAACACAAGGUAUAAUAAUAUAUUUAUAUAAUUACAAGAAACCGAACUCUUAACUAAAUAAUUGAGUGUCUUUGUAAUGAAAAAAAACGAUGGUUUUUUAUCAUGAUCUGAAACAAUUAAAGUUUAAUGUUUAUAUAUGUAUAAUAUUUAGUCUUAAAUAGAAGAAUAAGAAAAAAAAAACCUAGCUUCAUUUUAACGUAACUAGAGAGGAAGUAUCGUCAAAAAAGGUAUAUAGUGAUUGAAUAAUUUUGAUUUUAUUAUGGUUGCAGUUCAAGCAUAGGAGAGAAGACGAUUGCUCAGCAAUCGAGUGUUACAUGGAAGAAUAUGGCGUAACAGCACAAGAGGCAUAUGAUGUAUUCAACAAGCAUGUUGAGAGUGCUUGGAAGGAUUUAAAUCAAGAGUUUUUGAAACCAACAGAAAUGCCAACAGAGGUUUUGAAUCGUAGCCUAAACCUUGCAAGGGUGAUGGAUGUGCUUUACAGGGAAGGCGAUGGCUAUACAUAUGUUGGAAAAGCGGCAAAGGGUGGAAUCACUUCAUUGCUCAUUGAACCAAUUGCACUUUGAAAUUAUGUUAAUUUUUCCUCUCCAAGCUUGUUUCUUAAGAAAUAGUUAUUAAGUUCUAAUUAAUAAUGUUUUAUAAUAUUCAUAUAUUAUAAAAGAAAGUCCAAAUCGAUUGUCUUUGUACUUAUUGCCUUAUAUUAAUUCAAUAAGGUUCUUUCCAAACUUUUCAUUGUGAAAAAUCUUCUAUUUUAUAUAUUAUUUGAUUUUAUAUAUAUACAUAUAUAUAUAUUGGUAUAAAAGAAUAUGUAAUAUAAAAAUAAGAUGAGUUAUACCGGAAUUAAGAUUAAAAAGAAUCUACUAAACAUUACCACCUAAAGUUUAUUCAGAUAAGUUUUGAAUUCUUUAUUUAUUUAAUUCGGUAUAUCAUUAAGUUUGAAAAAUAAAAUAUUUGAGAAAUUAUUUUAUAAAUCAUUCCUAUUACAUCAUUUAUAGUUUAUUUUCAAUUAUUUAAUGACAUUUCAAUAACUUUUUCCAUAUCAUUGACAAAAUUUUGGUAAUUUUUUAACCUUGAACCAUGACCCUAAAUCCCAAAUCCUAAACAUUAAAUCCAAAAUUUUAAACCCUAAACCUUGAAUAUUGACCUCAAAUCCUAAACCCCAAACGUUGAACAUUGACCUCAAACCCUAAACCUUAAAUAUCAAAUUAUAAACCAAAACUUGAACAUUAAAUCCCAAACCUGAAUCUUGAACCUUGAACCUUAAACCUUAAAUCUCGAAUUCUAAAUUCUAAACCUUGAACAAUAUUUGGUUUGGGGUUCAGUGUUUGAAAUCUGAAUUCGAGAUAAAAUAAUUACCAUAAUUAUAAGUCAAUGACAUAAAAAAAUUACUAAAAUACCAUUAAAUAACUGGAAAUGGACCAUAAAUAAUAUAAUUGAAAUGAUCCGUUAAAGAAUUUCUCUAAAAUAUCCUUUAUUAGUUUCCACUUAAAAGUCAACAAAUUUAUAACCAAUCCCAAAAAAUCAGGAGUGAAUUUCAAAUUUGUGUUACACAAUAUGUUGCAUCACAUGUAAUAAAUUUUGUAAAAAGAUAAAUGUAUUUUUUAACGAAACUAUCAAAUUUAACCAUUAGUAGAUGAUAAAAGUUUUUGGAAUCAAAUAAACUAUAUUAUAAUUUAUGUUAUACAAUGUAGUAAAAUAUAUAAAAAUAUUGUAAUGCUGUAAUAUAUUUUGUAAUGACUAUUUUCACCAACCAAAAUAAAUUUUUAAAUUUGAAAUAACGUAAAUGUUAAGUUUCUAAUAUAUAAUAUUAUAUAUGUACGUAUGUAUGAGUCUAAGUACUGACGGCUACCAAAACAAAAUGUUUUAAAUCAAAGAAAAAAAAUAAUGAGUAAACUAUAUUAUUAGUAACUAAAUUAUGAGUAGAUUUUUAUUUUGUUCACUUAAUUAAAAAAUUUAUAAAUUAAUUAUAAAUGCUUUCUAGAUUUGACACUUUUUAGUUAGUAUAAUUACAAUUUUAGUCCUCGAUUUUUAUACUUUAUGUCAAUUUGACCCUGAUGAUGUAGUCGUAAACCAUCUAAAAAUUUGACUAGGGCAAGUGUACCUAUAAAUUAAUAGUAUAGUUACGGUGAGCAAAGAUAUCGUUCACAUGUUGACUAAAACUACUGUAAAUUAAUAAUUUUCUAUUAUUUAACUGAUAAAUUCGAAUAAUUGAUUAAAAAAUAAAUUUAACUAAACAAGUUGCUAACGAACACGACAAAGAACAAUUAAGGAAAAUAAACGGUUAACAACCAAGAAGCGAAACAAUACUCAGGAAAGAAUUCACCUAGAUUCCAUCUGUCAUUAUCGAUCUAAAUUACACAAUUUCUUCACUUAGUAUAUUGAUCCGUAGAAAUCCCUAAAUUAUGCUAAUAUCUCUCUUCAAGACUAAGAGCAACUGACUCUAGGUUGAUUAAUUGAAUUUGUUUCUAAUUAAAACCUGUAUUAUCGCUUUAACUCGAUCAAUGGAUCCCCCUAUUAGAUUUGACUCUAGUCUAAUAGAUUUAUGUUGUCCUAUUUCUAGGAUUGCAGGCAACAUCACUCAAUUAUAUUAGAUCUACUCUUAAAUAGGGUCUAUUCCUCCUCUGAUUUAAGCUCAUCAAACAUGGAUUGAUAAUCUAGAAAUAUCAAACCAAGAAUUAAGCACACAUAAUUGAGAACAAGAUCCAAAAAUUUAUUGUGUAAAAAUAGAAAUCAAAUAACACAAUCUAUCCUAGGGUUCAUCUCCUAGGUAUUUGGAAAAUCAGUUCAUGAUAACAAAUAAAAACAUCCCAAAGACAGUAUAACCACAAGAAAUAAAGAAACUCUUAAUAAACUUCAAAGAAAUCAAAAGGAGAUAUUCAAUCUAAUUUUCCUUCCUAUUUUACUAAAACAUUUACCUCUAAAAUGAAUUUGGACAAAUAAUUUUCAGAUUCAUUUGAACCAGAUACAUUCUUGACAUAAACUUCGAAGUCAUAAAGUUAUUAAAAAUAAAAAAUUAUUAAGAUUGUAAAAUUAUUUAAAAAUAUAAAUAAUUAAAUAAUUACUAAAAAAAUCUAAAAUUAUAUUUUUUUUAUAAAAAAAACACAGAAUUUAUAGGCUCAAAAUGAACCUGGACAAAUUAUUAUUCAUAUUAAUUUGAACCUGGAUAAUUUUUUUCUCUGGGGUCAUUUUGGAUGUAAAUUUCGAAUGUUGUAAAAAUUGUUUAAAAAAUAAUUAAAAAUAAUAAAUAAUUAUGAAUAAUUAUUAAAAAUGUAAUAUAUAUUACUUUUUAUUUUUUAAAUGAUAUGUGAUAAUAUAAUUUGGUGAAAAUGAUACUAAGAAAAAGAUGGAAGUAUGAUAUUACAUUAAUAAAUGACAAAAUAUUCUAAAUAUUUAAUUAUCUUUGUUGUAGGCCAAUUUUAGCUCAUUUACAUCAAAACCCAAUUUAGCCUUACCUAAUCCACUAAAAUUAAACCCAAAACCCAAAAUCAUAACUACCCAAAGCCAAAUUUACAUCAAAACCCCAAUGGCCCAAACCCUAAGCCCAAAUCAAAAUAAAAAAACCUAGCCCACAACUUAAACUUUUCUCAACUAGCCACUCCUUUUCCACCACCAACUCCACUAGCCACACCUUUUCCACCACCAACUCCACUAGCCACUCUUUUUCCACCACCAACUCCGCUAGCCACACCUUUUCCACCACCAACUCCACUAGCCACUCUUUUUCCACCACCAACUCCACUAGCCACACCUUCUCCACCACCACUUGUACCUACAAAUGAAGACAUAAACAAUAAAAAAAUAUUUUGUAAAUAGCUAUAUAAGCCUUCUCAUAUUUUGUAUCCGGGGGGGAAGAUUUUUUUGGAGAGUUUUUGGGAGAGAAAGUUAUUGUAAAGGAUUUUUGGAGAGGUUUCUUUUUAAAGUAAUCAAGGAGAAGAGUUAUUGUGAAGGCUAGUUUUUGGAGAAGCUAGUUUUUUUGGAGAUUAAUCAAAAAUCAAAGCAAAAGAGGUUUCUUUGUCUAUUCUCAUUUUAAGUUCUUUGUUUACUUAUUGUUUUCCUUUCAAUCUUAUUUUGUUUCUUUUAUACGAAAGUAAAAAAUAAAAGGAGGAAGCUUACCCAUUUUUACCGAAAAAGUUUUUUUGAGGUCCGGCUGCUAUGUAUGGUGGCGCCGGCGGCAGUCCGGCGACCGGACGAUGGCCGGCCUUGUGGCCGAAAAUCACCCACCCUCUCCCUCUUUUUUUUUGUUAUUAUUAUAUUUCUUAAUAUUAUAUUAUAUAUAUUCUUUUAAUAUAUUAGGUAUAUUUUAAAUUUUAUAUUACGUAUAUAUAUAUUUUAUACUAUUUUAUUUAUAUAUCUUUAAUAUUAUAUUAUAUAUAUAUAUAUAUAUUUUUUUUCUACAUGUUAUCUUAUGUAUAUAUCUUAACUAUAUUAUGUAUGUAUUUUUAACACUAUAUUAUGUACAUAUUUUUAAUAUUAUCAUGUAUUUAUUUUUUAUAUAUGUACAUAUUGAUGUAAUAUUAUUAAUAGUAUUUUUUUAACAUCAUUAUUAUUUCUAAUAUAUAUUAUGUACAUCUUUUUUAUUUCUAUUUUAUUUUUUAUUUGUCAAUAUUAAUUAUUAUUCUAAUAUUUUGAUAUUUUAUAUUUUAUAUAUUUUAUUAUUCCCAUCAUUGUUCGCAUUUUUUGACAAUAAUAUUCUUGGAUUUUUUUUACUAUCAUUUUAAAAACUUUUUACAUUUUAAUUUUAAGAAUAAGGCAAUGUACCAAUUUUAACAUUAAGUCAUCGAUUUCAUCGCUAUGUUGGGUGAAAUUAAUCGGCUCGUGUUAAAAACGGGACGUCCUUCUAAAAAACAAAAAAAACUUGCAACUUCUCAUUUCCUUCAAUCGGAUCACACUUAAAUGUCAAAUUGAAUUCGUAUUUUUGAAAAUCAAGACAACAUGUGUUUAAUAAGAUACCAAUUUUGGGCGUCGCGAGGGUGUCAAUACCUUCGUGCGUAACCGACUCCCGAACCCUAAAUUUUCUCUGGAUUUUAACGUAGACCUAAACUUAGCCUUUUAUUUGUUUUAAUAAAAGAUCUAAUAGGUGUCCGAUCACACCUAAGAAAAAGGAUCGGUGGCGACUCCCUAUUUAUUUCAAAAAUCAAACGUCAAAUUUCAAAAAAAAUUUCAAUAAAUCGCCACAAUUAGCGACCAAGCUAAGCUAAAAUUUUUACGUCGCUACAGCUGGCGACUCCACUGGGGAAAGCCUUUUUGAGAGUCGUGUCUGGAAUUAAACACGUUUUGUCAAAAUUUUCAAAUUUCCUUGUUCAAAGUAAAUAUUUGGUCGUGAUCCGAAAAUCUCGUUUUCAAAAUUCAUGCAUUUGUAUCGUGCUGUAAAUAUUUCUUCUAACUUGCUUAUUUGGUUGUCUUUUAGUUUUUAAUUUUUAUGGUUUUAAUUUUGGUUUAGUUUCUUUAAGUGAAACGUAAAGGUUUAUGAGUUGUUCCCCACACACCGUGCACUUGUAUUUUCGCAUAACAUGAGCUCUCUACCCGGGCUCUAUCCGUUUAAGUGAAAGUAAACGCUACGCCUUCGUGAGUUAACUCGUCCCUCCGCACAGGCUGCUGAAUACUUUCGGGUUACAUAUGAUUUAUGCUUUCGUGAGUUAACUUGUCCCUCCGCAUAGGCAUAAGUAAAUGUAACCCCUCGAAUUGAACUCGUGAGCCUGUGAUAGGCUAUGACCGAGGCUCCGUGCUAAUCUUAGCAGAUGAUAGUACGAGCAAUUCGAGUACCUGUCUAGAACCAAAACCGCAUAUAGUGAACCAUACGAGCCACCCAACUAGAGCCAUGCCGAACCUCCACUCGUUUAGUAGUCACCGAAAUAAGUACACGAGAAAAGCACAUCUUACCUUCUAUUUCUUUUACAUUUGUGCUUUCUAAGCAAGGGAAUCGAGUCCACUGGACCAAGUAGCUUAAUUUGUUAGAUUUUCCACAGUUUUUCUCUGUUUAUAUGUGUUGUGCUAACCAAGGUCGUUUGUCUGUAUUUUUAUUUUUCAUCAUGCAUCGAAGGCAUCUUGUUAGGAAAGUGUUGAUUAGAGAUUGGUUGCCAAAAAUGGGUUUCUAAUGGAGGAGUCAAUUAUACGAGUGACCGAAACGUUGUGUUAUACUCCUUUGAUUAAGGAAAUGCCUAAAUAGGGGCUAUCUUGAAAUUAACACCAAUUUCUUGCAUUUCUUUCAUGACUAACAGUCAUUUGACAUUCAUGCAUUCAUUCAUUCAUUGCAUAUUCCAUACUCGUUCGCUGAGGUUAAAACAUACAAUUCGCUAGUUGUGCAUACCAUACGGGAAACCAGGGACAUUCCACGAAAAACUGCCUAGCCUUUAAGAGAAGAGUUCAAGGACUCAUUGAUGCAGGUAUCCUACGAUUCGAUAGUGCCAAUAAUGCAACUGGGAACCCAUUCCUUAACCAUAUCGAAAGGGAUGUGAGCAUAGUGGGGAAAGUGGACGAAUGGAAAGUCAGAAGAUGUGUUUCAGAAAUAAGGACGCCUCUACAGAAAAUCUGGGAGGUACUGGUUAAGAAAGGAUUGCUUUGUCACCCCGAUAGAAUUCUCGGAGAAGAAGGUCAAAGUUUUUGCAAUUUCCAUGGAAUUGUAGGACACGACAUUCAGUUGUGUGAGGAAUUUAAAAGGUUGCUUCAAGACCGGAUGGAUAAUAAGGAGAUUAAGAUCCUUAACAAAAGGGAAGAGACCAAUGAAAGAGAAGUAUGCGCCUCUGAUAGCCAGUCAUCAGGUCCCCCUUAUAGCGCUGAUCAACCGUUAGUAAUUUAUUACGAUGCAACGAAAGAGCCGGUGAAACCAAAAAUGAUAAUCGAAGUACCAUCUUCUUUCCCUUACAAGGACAAUAAAGCAGUACCAUGGAAAUAUGACGUUAAUAUCGUCACACCUGAAGAUGAAAAACCCAAAGCCAUGACUGGAAGCGUCGGGGAAUUAGGUCAUUUCACUCGUAGUGGAAGAUGUUAUUCGAAGGAGAUAAAGAAGAACAGUGACUUGAAACAGAAAGGAAAAGCACCGAUGCAUGUGACCGAUGAUGAGUAUGAAACUGCGCCUGAACAAGAAGCUAAAAAUCCUGUGGAUGAGGAGGAAGCACAGGAAUUCUUAAAAUUUAUCAAGCACAGUGAGUACAAUGUGGUAGAACAAUUGAGUAAGCAGCCAGCGCGAAUCUCGGUAUUAUCUCUACUGUUGAAUUCAGAACCACACCGAAACGCUCUGCUGAAAGUGUUAAAUCAAGCUUAUGUGGCAAACAAUGUAUCCGUUGAAAAACUGGAUAGGUGGAUGAACAACUUGAAUGCGGAUAAUUUCAUUUCUUUCAGUGAUGAUGAAAUACCGCCCAAUGGUAGAGGCUCAGUGAAAGCAUUGCAUAUCACAACCCGUUGCAAGGGCUACAUAAUACCGAACGUGCUCAUCGAUAAUGGUUCGGCACUCAACGUUAUGCCUUUGGCCACGCUUUCCAGAAUUUCGAUGGAUCUAUCCCAUUUAAGGCCCUGUCAUUCUACGGUAAGGGCAUUCGACAGGACAAGGCGUGAAGUCAUGGAAAAAAUUGAGAUCCCUCUGGAAGUGGGUCCUUACAUAUAUGAUGUCGAGUUCCAAGUCAUGGACAUUACAUCCUCAUAUAACUGCCUUUUGGGAAGACCCUGGAUCCAUUCUGCUGGAGCGGUCCUAUCAUCCCUCCAUCAAAAGGUGAAAUUUAUCAUGGAUGGCUGUUUGGUCACUAUCGAGGGAGAAGAAAACAUUGUCGCAUCUAUCUCUGCUGAUGCGCCAUACCUUGAAGUGAGCAAGGACAUAGUGGAAUGCUCCUUCCGAUCCCUUGAAUUCGUCAAUGCCACAUUCUUCACUGAGGGAAACAAAAUUCCCGUGCCUAAAUUGUCGAGAAAUACUAGAAUGGGUGUCAAGUUGACUGUAGGAAGGGGAGCUCGAGUGAGAAGAGGUUUAGGGAGAUAUCUGCAAGGAAUAGUCAGGGCUCUAAAACCAGUGCAUCAUAAGGCCCGAUACGGUUUGGGGUUCCAGCCGGACAUGCGUCAAAGAAGAAGACAGUGGAAGAAAGAUCAAGAAAGAAGGAUCGCGAGAACCUUAGGCCGAGAACCAGAAUGGGAGCCUAUGGAAUUCUCUCCUUUGUCAAGAACAUUUACGUCUGCGGGAAUGAUAUACCCGAGGCAGGACAAUGCACAAGGCACAAUGUUAAUGAUCAAAAAGGGUUUUCAGAACAUCAGUAUAAAUGUCAUUGACAAAGGAGCUGACACAAGUAAAGAUGUCUCAAGGAUACGCCUUUGUCCCCCUGGUUUCAUGUUAAACAAUUGGACUGCCGAGGACCUUCUUGUAGUUUAUAAGUCUUCAGAGUAAUGCUCAAACAUUAACAUUCUAUUGUGUCCUUAGAUAUAAUAGAAUUCUUUUCUAGGAGCUUGCAUUCGCUCUUUAUCAUUUAAGUGAAUAUCAAUGAAGAUGCAUUUUGUCAAGAUUUUUCGCAUUAUCACUAAUUUCAUAAUCAUUUUCUCAUUUCAUAGCCUAUCCUUACAUUUUCCUCAUUGCCAUGACAUAACAUUUUGUUUGUUGUUUCCAAUACUUGGAUGUCCCCGGAUAGCUUCCUUUUCCAUUCAACUUUCAGGUGCUCAGAUAUUGACGACAUGAAUAAGCCUGUUACGAAUCUUGAAAUUGAUUUUGAGAAGGCUGUUUGCUUAGGAGAAUUUGAAGCCGAAGAAAAUGCUGAAGAUUAUGCCUCGUCUCCUGAAUUGUUAAGAAUGGUGGAACAAGAGGAUAAAUAGGUUUUGCCUCAUGAAGAAUCUGUGGAAACAAUAAAUUUGGGCACUGAAGAGAGGAAACAAGAAGUGAAGAUUGGGACUUCUAUUUCAGAAAGUACCAGGCAUAGUUUGAUCACUUUACUCCGCGAAUACAAAGAUGUUUUCGCGUGGUCAUACCAGGACAUGCCAGGGCUAGAUGAAGAUUUAGUGGUCCAUAAGCUCCCAUUAAAGCCAGAAUGUAAGCCCAUCCAGCAAAAAUUAAGACGGAUGAGGCUCGAAAUGCUGUUGAAAAUAAAAGAGGAAGUCAAGAAACAAUUUGACGCUGGCUUCCUACAAGCCUCCAAAUAUCUAGAAUGGGUGGCUAACAUAGUCCCGGUACCAAAGAAAGAUGGAAAAGUACGAAUGUUCGUGGAUUACCGUGACCUGAAUCGAGCAAGCCCAAAAGAUAAUUUUCCCUUGCCACAUAUUGACACGUUGGUGGACAACACAGCAAAACAUUCAUUGUUUUCUUUCAUGGAUGGAUUCUCGGGGUAUAAUCAGAUCAAGAUGGCCCCUGAGGAUAUGGAGAAAACUACCUUCAUAACAAUGUGGGGAACGUUCUGCUACAAGGUGAUGCCAUUCGAGUUAAAGAAUGCUGGGGCAACAUAUCAGAGGGCUAUGGUGACGUUAUUCCAUGACAUGAUGCAUAAAGAACUAGAGGUCUACGUCGAUGAUAUGAUUGCUAAAUCUCGAGGAGAAGAAGAGCAUGUAAUGAACCUCAAGAAGUUGUUCGAAAGGCUGAGAAAGUUUCAGCUAAAGCUUAAUCCAGCCAAAUGUACAUUCGGGGCUACCUCAGGAAAAUUGCUAGGCUUCAUUGUCAGUGAAAGAGGUAUCGAAGUUGAUCUAGAUAAAAUAAAAGCCAUCCAAGAAUUACUUCCCCCGCGCACACAAAAGGAAGUCAGGGGAUUUUUAGGGAGGUUGAAUUACAUUGCUCGAUUCAUUGCUCAACUUACCAAUCAGUGCGACCCAAUUUUUCAACUCCUUCGAAAACAUAACCCGGGAGAAUGGAACGAGGAGUGCCAAGUGGCCUUCGAUAAGAUAAAACGGUAUUUGUCUAAUCCUCUUGUGCUAGUACCACCGACCCCCAGAAAACCCUUAAUUUUGUACCUGACCGUGUUUGAAAACUCAAUGGGUUGCGUACUGGGGCAACAUGAUGAGUCAGGGAGAAAAGAAAAGGCGAUCUACUACCUCAGCAAAAAGUUCACUGAAUAUGAGGCAAAAUAUUCGUCUAUUGAGAAAUAUUGUUGCGCUCUGGUUUGGGUAGCUCGGAGACUCAGACAAUAUAUGUUGUAUCACACGACAUGGCUAAUUUCAAAGCUGGACCCAAUAAAAUACAUGAUGGAAUCGCCGGCACUAUCAGAAAGAAUGGCACGAUAGCAGAUCCUCCUUUCGGAAUAUGACAUUGCCUAUGUAAGUCAGAAGUCGAUAAAAGGGAGCGCAAUAGCUGACUUCUUAGCAACUCGAACGGCAGAGGAAUAUGAGCCUUUAAGAUUCGAUUUCCCAGACGAAGACUUAAUGUGCAUCACAGAAAUAGAAUCCGAGUCAUCAAAAGAGAAGUCAUGGAAGAUGUGCUUUGAUGGUGCGUCAAAUGCUUUAGGGCAUGUAAUUGGAGCAAUCCUGGUAUCACCAGAGGGGAAUCAUUAUCCGUUCACUGCAAGACUGAACUUCUUCUGUACCAAUAAUAUCACAGAAUAUGAGGACCGUAUCAUGGGGCUUCGUGCAGCUAUCGAACGAAACAUCGAGAUCUUGGAGGUGUACGGAGACUCAGCCCUAGUGAUUUACCAAAUCCGUGGAGAAUGGGAAGUGAGGGACUCAAAAUUGAUUAAGUACAGCAAUUUAGUGGCUGGAUUGAUCAAGGAAUUCAAAGAAAUAACUUUUCAUUACUUCCCACGAGAAGAGAACCAACUGGCUGAUGCCCUAGCCACUUUGGCUUCAAUGUUCAAAGCAAGUAGAGAAGCAGAAAUAAUGCCCCUCAAAAUGAGCAUAUACGAGGUCCCUGCACACUGUUGUAGCAUUGGGAAAGUAGUAGAUGGAUGGCCUUGGUUCCAUGAUAUCUUAGAAUAUACCAAGAAUCAAAGGUAUCCCGAACAAGCGAAUGAGAACAAUAAAAGAACAAUUAGAAGAAUGGCUGCGGGAUUUGUUCUUGAUGGGGAUAUCCUGUAUAAAAGAGGAAAGGAUCAGAUGCUUUUGAGAUGUGUGGAUGAUGUUGGAGCCAGAAAAAUACUUGAAGAGGUCCAUGAGGGAAUUUGCGGAACGCAUGCCAAUGGUUUCAAUAUGGCCAGAAAGAUCAUGAGACUCAGUUAUUAUUGGCUGACAAUGGAAAGUGACUGCAUCAAUUUUGCCAGAAAAUGCCACAAAUGUCAAAUCUACGGCGAUAAAGUUCAUGUAGCCCCUUCACCCCUUCAUGUCAUGACUUCUCCGUGGCCUUUUUCUAUGUGGGGCAUGGAUGUCAUAGGGCCAAUUUCUCCAAAAGCUUCAAAUGGACAUCGAUUCAUUUUUGUGGUUAUCGAUUACUUCACAAAAUGGAUUGAAGCCGCUUCGUUUGCCAAUGUGAUGAAGACUGCAGUGUGCAAGUUUUUGAAAAAGGAAAUCAUUUGCCGAUAUGGUUUGCCUGAAAGAAUCAUCUCAGAUAAUGCCACGAAUUUGAACAAUAAGAUGAUGAAAGAAGUGUGCGAACAGUUCCAAAUAAAGCAUCAUAAUUCCUUGCCCUAUCGCCCAAAGAUGAACGGGGCUGUUGAAGCAGCUAACAAGAACAUUAAGAAGAUCAUUGGGAAAAUGACUGAGACAUAUAAAGAUUGGCACGAGAAACUUCCAUUUGCUUUGUUUGUAUAUCGCACAUCUGUGUGAACAUCUACGGGAGCAACUCCUUUCUCUCUAGUCUAUGGAAUGGAAGCUGUGCUACCUAUCGAGGUUGAGAUCCCCUCUCUGCGAGUAUUGAUGGAAUCAAAGUUAGAAGAAGUAGAAUGGGUUCGAGCUAGAUAUGAUCAGUUGAACCUUAUUGAAGAAAAACGUCUAAGGGCAAUUUGUCAUGGGCAAAUGUACCAAAAGAGAAUGAUCGCAGCCCAUGAUAAGAAGGUACGACCAAGAGAGUUCCAUGAAGGAGAACUCGUUCUGAGAAAGUUUCUCCCAAUACAAAAAGACCUACGAGGAAAAUGAGCACCAAAUUGGGAAGGACCAUACGUUGUAAAAAAGGCAUUCUCAGGAGGAGCUUUAAUCCUUACCGAGAUGGAUGGGAAGGAGUUACCGAAUCCGGUGAAUUCAGAUGCGGUGAAGAAAUAUUAUGCUUAAGAUGAAAACUCGAAAAUGGCAUCUUAAAAAAAAAGGGAUCAGGGCGAAAACCCGAAAAGGGCGUCUUGAUUAGUACAAAAAGAUUAGGAUAAAAACCCGAGAGGGCGUCCUAAUGAAACAAACCUGGCGGUCGAACGAUAGGUCAAGUAGUGAGACUACAGUAUUUGAAGCACUUCUGAAAGCUCAAAAUUUUCUACGCAAGAAGCCAUACUCGAAAAGAUUAUUGAUUGAGGAACGUGGAAGAGUUCAUGUGUUGAAUAUCUAGAGCAUUUGUAUCCGUUGAAUACGAUAUUUUCUUUCUUUUUUACAUUUUUACUCUCAUUGGUUAACUUUCUUUGUUUGCCACAUUUGAAAUAAAGGAAUAUGAGAUAUCCUUUUUAUCCCUACCUGACCAUUUUCAUGCAUCUCAUUAUGUGUUUAUUUAAUGAUAAAUAGUGAAAUGACAUACUCUAAACAAAAGAAAUGUCAAACAUUACCCGGAUAAGAAUUCGAUAAGUGCAAGAUCUUCAAAGCAAGAACAAAGUUUAACCAAGGGCAAAAGGGUGAUAUCUGAGAAACUUCGAUUACUCGUAAAGCUCGAAGACAGGUAUGAGGCCUGAUGAGAAGGUCGAGAAUCAAAGCAAUGAACGCAGAUCCUCAACAAUCAUGGCGAAAAUGACAUACAACCAAUAUGCUUAAGGAGCACUGCAUAAUCAUGUAGGCAUAAAGGCAUUUAAGACAAACAUGUGCAUAUCAUGAUGACAUCAUGCAUGGCAUAUACAGGUAAUCCAGUAAAGCAAGAAAUCUUGAAUGAGAGUCGCACUGAAUCAAAGGAAAAGAUACCCGAGUUCUACCAAAGGACUGGUUUUGGUAUUUUGAUGUUUUUAAUUCAUGCUUUUCAAGGAAAAUCAACUCAUAUUGCGAGAGAUGAGUUGAGCCUCAAGACACGUUGAGGUAUUUUUAAUUGUUGUUUUCAAAAUCAACUCAUAUUGCGAGAAGUGAGUUGAGCCUCAGGGCACGCUGAGGUAUUUUUAGUUUUAAAUUGACUCAUAUUGCGAGAGGUGAGUUAAGCCUUUUAAUUUUUGUUUUUCAAAAUCAACUCAUAUUGCUAGAGGUGAGUUGAGCCUCGGGGCACGCUGAGGUAUUUUCAAUUUUUGUGUUUUAAUUUCAACUCAUAUUGCGAGAGGUGAGUUGAGCCUCAGGACAUGCUGAGGUAAUUUCAAUUUCUGUUGUCAAAAAAAUCAACUCGUAUUGCGAGUGGCGAGUUGAGCCUCAGGUCACACGUCGAGGUAUUUUCAAUUUUCGUUUUUCAAUUUCUGCCUUUCAAAAAAAAUCAACUCAUAUUGCGAGAGGUGAGUUGAGCCUCAGGACACGCUGAGGUAAUUUCAAUUUCUGUUGUCAAAAAAGUCAACUCGUAUUGCGAGCGGCGAGUUGAGCCUCAGGUCACACGCCGAGGUAUUUUCAAUUUCCGUUUUUUAAUUUCUGCUUUUCAAAAAAAAAUCGACUCAUAUUGCGAGAGGUGAGUUGAGCCUUGGCUCACGCGCUGAGCUAUUUUCAAUUUCUGUCUUUCAAAAAAAUUAACUCAUAUUGCGAGAGGUGAGUUGAGCCUCAGAUCACACGCCGAGGUAUUUUCAAUUUCUGUCUUUCAAAAAAAAAUCAACUCAUAUUGCGAGAGGUGAGUUGAGCCUCAGGACACGCUGAGGUAAUUUCAAUUUUUGUUGUCAAAAAAAUCAACUCGUAUUGUGAGAGACGAGUUGAGCCUCAGGUCACACGCCAAGGUAUUUUCAAUUUCUGUUUUUCAAUUUCUGCCUUUCAAAAAAAAUCAACUCAUAUUGCGAGAGGUGAGUUGAGCCUUGGCUCACGCGCUGAGCUGUUUUCAAUUUCUGUUUUUCAAAAAAAUCAACUCAUAUUGCGAGAGGUGAGUUGAGAUUUAGAUCACACAUUGAGGUAUUUUUUCAAUUUAUAUUUUUCAAAAAAAUUAACUUACAUUGCGAGAUGUGAGUUGAGCCUUGGGUCACAUGUCGAGGUAUUUUCAAAAUCUGUUUUUCAGAUUCUGUUUUCAAAAAUUAACUCAUAUUGCGAGAAGUGAGUUGAGCCUUAGCUCACGUGCUGAGCUAUUUUCAAUUUCUUUUUUUUUCAAAAAAAUUCAACUCAUAUUGCGAGAGGUGAGUUGAGCUUUUUAAUUUCUGCGAGAGUUGAGUUGAGUCUUUUAAUUUCUAUUUUUCAAAAAUCAACUCAUAUUGCGAGAGGUGAGUUGAACCCCCAGUCACAUAUCGAGGUAUUUUCAAAAUCUGCUUUUCAAGUUAAGUUUCAAAAAAUCAACUCAUAUUGCGAGAGGUGAGUUGAGCCUCAGGACACGCUGAGGUAUUUUUAAAUUUAUAUUUUUCAAAAAUCAAUUCAUAUUACGAGAUGUGAGUUGAGCCUUGGGUUCACAUGUCGAGGUAUUUUCAAAAUCUACUUUUGCGAGAGGUGAGUUGAGCCUUGGCUCACGUGCUGAGCUAUUUUCAAUUUCUGUUUUUAAUGUCUAGUUUUACAGAGUCAAUUCAUAUUGCGAGAAAUGAGUUGAGCUUAGGAUCACAUGCCGAGUAAAGAAUCAAUAUUAGAGCUGAUUGAAGACACCAGAUUUUGUCUCCCUGAAGUUGCAGUGGAGUUAAUCGAGGAUAUCAGAUCUUGCCUUUCUAAAGUGGCAGAAGAGAAGACCCAAAACCUUAUCUCACUGAAGCGAUAGAAGAGCAUAUUGAAUUACAUUGGAACAGAUUGAAGCUAAAAGGUAUAUCUCCGAAUUUGCAGUGGAUUGAACCAAAGCUACAAGAUGCGAUGGACUGGAAAGAGACUACCUGGAUGAGAAGAGCACAAAAGAAGUCCAUACUUUGCAAGACCGGGAAAAAUUGGCCUUUCUUUAUAUCUUUGCUCUAUUCUCGUUACACGAUAAUAAGCAAAGAGGGGCAGCUGUUGUAGGCCAAUUUUAGCCCAUUUACAUCAAAACCCAAUUUAGCCUUACCUAACCCACUAAAAUUAAACCCAAAACCCAAAAUCUUAACUACCCAAAGCUAAAUUUACAUCAAAACCCCAAUGGCCCAAACCCUAAGCCCAAAUCAAAAUAAAAAAACCUAGCCCACAACUUAAACUUUUCUCAACUAGCCACUCCUUUUCCACCACCAACUCCACUAGCCACACCUUUUCCACCACCAACUCCACUAGCCACUCUUUUUCCACCACCAACUCCACUAGCCACACCUUCUCCACCACCACUUGUACCUACAAAUGAAGACAUAAACAAUAAAAAAAUAUUUUGUAAAUGGCUAUAUAAGACUUCUCAUAUUUUGUAUCCGAGGGGGAAGAUUUUUUUGGAGAGUUUUUGGGAGAGAAAGUUAUUGUAAAGGAUUUUUGGAGAGGUUUCUUUUUAAAGUAAUCAAGGAGAAGAGUUAUUAUGAAGGCUAGUUUUUGGAGAAGCUAGUUUUUUUGGAGAUUAAUAAAAAAUCAAAGCAAAAGAGGUUUCUUUGUCUAUUCUCAUUUUAAGUUCUUUGUUUACUUAUUGUUUUCCUUUCAAUCUUAUUUUGUUUCUUUUAUACGAAAGUAAAAAAUAAAGGGAGGAAGCUUACCCAUUUUUACCGAAAAAGUUUUUUUGAGGUCCGGCUGCCAUGUACGGUGGCGCCGGCGGCGGUCCGGCGACCGGACGAUGGCCGGCCUUGUGGCCGAAAAUCACCCACCCUCUCCCUCUCUUUUUUUUGUUAUUAUUAUAUUUCUUAAUAUUAUAUUAUAUAUAUUCUUUUAAUAUAUUAGGUAUAUUUUAAAUUUUAUAUUACGUAUAUAUAUAUUUUAUACUAUUUUAUUUAUAUAUCUUUAAUAUUAUAUUAUUUAUAUAUAUUUUUUUUUUCUACAUGUUAUCUUAUGUAUAUAUCUUAACUAUAUUAUGUAUGUAUUUUUAACACUAUAUUAUGUACAUAUUUUUAAUAUUAUCAUGUAUUUAUUUUUUAUAUAUGUACAUAUUGAUGUAGUAUUAUUAAUAGUAUUUUUUUAACAUCAUUAUUAUUUCUAAUUUAUAUUAUGUACAUCUUUUUUUAUUUCUAUUUUAUUUUUUAUUUGUCAAUAUUAAUUAUUAUUAUUCUAAUAUUUUGAUAUUUUAUAUUUUAUAUAUUUUAUUAUUCCCAUCAUUGUUCGCAUUUUUUGACAAUAAUAUUCUUGGAUUUUUUUUACUAUCAUUUUAAAAACUUUUUACAUUUUAAUUUUAAGAAUAAGGCAAUGUACCAAUUUUAACAUUAAGUCAUCGAUUUCAUCGCUAUGUUGGGUGAAAUUAAUCGGCUCGUGUUAAAAACGGGACGUCCUUCUAAAAAACAAAAAAACUUGCAACUUCUCAUUUCCUUCAAUCGGAUCACACUUAAAUGUCAAAUUGAAUUCGUAUUUUUGAAAAUCAAGACAACAUGUGUUUAAUAAGAUACUAAUUUUGGGCGUCGCGAGGGUGCCAAUACCUUCCUCGUGCGUAACCGACUCCCGAACCCUAAAUUUUCUCUGGAUUUUAACGUAGACCUAAACUCAACCUUUUAUUUGUUUUAAUAAAAGAUCUAAUAGGUGUCCGAUCACACCUAGGAAAAAGGAUCGGUGGCGACUCCCUAUUUAUUUCAAAAAUCAAACGUCAAAUUUCAAAAAAAAUUUCAAUAAAUCGCCACAAUUAGCGACCAAGCUAAGCUAAAAUUUUUACGUCGCUACAAUCUUCAUAUGUAUGUUCUUGUUAAUGUACAAAACAUUACACAAGUAUCAAAUUUUUUAUAAUAUUUUAUAUUGUUAAUAAAUAUUUAUAUUUUUUUAUCAUUUAAAAAAAUAUAGUUUUCUAAAUAUUUGUUUCGAAAAUAUUUAAAUUUACAUUUGGAAUGAACUUGGACACAAUUUUGUCUAGAUUCACUUUUAACGUGUAAAAUAAUAAUUUCUUUAUAAUUUCUAGGAUUUUUAUAUUUUUAAAACUUAGAUUAUUUUUAUAAUUAUCUUUAAUUAUUUAUUUUUUUAUCAUUUUAAUAAUCUUUAUAAUUUUUUAAUAAUUUUUUACUAUAUUUCAAAUUUAUGCCUGAAUGAACAUGGACAAAUUUUGUCCAGGUUUAAAUUUAUCUGGACAACUAUUUAUUUAGGCUUAUUCUGGAUGUAUUGAGAAUUUUAAUAAUUAAAAUUAAUAUUAAAAUUUCGAUAAAUUCAAAUAAUAAAAAUUAAAAUAUUUAUUUAAUAAUUGUUAGAAUUAAAUGACCCGAAUCCUUAUGUAAAUAAAAUACAGUGUUAAAAUAAAAUAAAAUAAAAGUAAAAUCCAUAUAGAACUACACUUCUUUUAUUUUAUUUUAGAAUAAGGUUUUUAAAACCUUAUUAAACUCCAUCUAUUUUAUAUUGAUUAGAAUAAGGUGUUUCAGUCUUACUAGAAUAUGGCUUUACAAGCCUAUAAAUAGACAUAGUCUAUUCCUCUUGUAAUAUUCGAAUUCGACAUAGUGAAUUUUAUUCUCCUUUGCCCGUGGUUUUUUCUCGAAAGGGUUUCCAUGUAAAAAUUUGUGUGUUCUUUAUUUUAUUUUAUUUUAUUUUCACAUAUUGGUAUCCGAGCUUCCGGGUUGUUCAUCUCGAUCACGGUAAUGGCAUCUUUGAAAUAUAAAAUUCCACUGUUGGAUCGCAACACUAGAUUUGCGUUGUGGUUGAUUAAGAUGCAAGUAGUUCUUGCGCAGAUGGAUCUAGAGGAUGCCUUGCUAGGGAUAGAUAAGAUGCCUUCGACAUUAACAGAUGAAGAGAAGAAGCGUAAGGAUUGAAAGGCGUUAACACAAUUACAUCUGCAUUUGUCCAACGAAAUUUUGCAGGAUGUGAUGAAAGAGAAGACUGCCACUGCAUUAUGGAAGAGGCUAGAACAAAUAUGCAUGUCAAAAACUCUAACAAGCAAGUUGUAUAUGAAGCAGCGUCUUUAUGCUCAUCGUUAAGAGGAAGGUGCAUCUAUACACGAACACUUAACAGUGUUUAAAGAAAUUCUCUCAAACUUGGAGGCCAUGGAAGUUCAAUAUGAUAAGGAAGAUCUAGGGUUGAUUCUACUUUGUUCGUUGCCCCCAUCUUAUUCGACCUUUAGAGACACGAUUUAUAUAGCCACAAGUCUCUCACAGUUGAUGAGGUUUAUGAUUCUUUAACCUUGUAUGAUAAGAUGAAGCAUCUUAUGGUUAAACACGACUCUCAGAGAGAGGGUCUCAUUGUUCGUAGGAGACAAGAUCAGAAUGCUGAUGAUGGUCGUGGAAGGACACAAGAACAGAAUCCUCGCGGUAAAUCUAAAGGUAGAUCAAAGUCUUCAAAUAGAGGUAAAACUUGUAACUUCUACAAGAAGAAAGGACACAUUAAAUCUGAGUGCUAUAAGCUAUAGAACAAGAUUAAAAGGGAGGCUGCGAAUCAAAAGAGAAAACAACCAAAAAAUUCUGAUGAAGCUGAUGUUGUAGAAGACUACAGCGAUGGUGAACUUCUAGUCCCUUCGGUCAAUAAUUCUAAAAUGAGUGAGGAGUGGAUAAUUGAUUCAGGUUGUACCUUCCACAUGAAUCCCAAUCGGGAUUGGUUUACAACUUACGAAACAGUGUCUGAAGGUGUUGUUUUGAUGGGAAUAAUGCUUCGUGUAAAAUCGCAGGUGUUGGAACAAUUAAAGUUAAGAUGUUUGGUGAAGUUGUCAAAACACUUAGUGACGUACGACAUGUUACAAAAUUGAAAAGAAAUUUAAUUUUGUUGAGAGUUACUCUUAAUUCAAAAGGGUACAGAUACACACCUGAAAGUGGGGUUUUAAAGAUUUCCAAAGGUUCCCUUAUUGUGAUGAAAGGCCAGAGAAAGACUGCCAAGUUAUAUGUUUUGCAGGGUUCUACUGUUACUGGUGAUGCAGCUGUCGCUUCCUCUUCCUUGUCAGAUGAUGAUAUUACUAAACUUUGGCAUAUGCGACUAAGGCAUAUGAGUGAGAAUGACGUGGCAGAAUUGAGCAAAAGAGGACUUCUUGAUGGGUAAGGAAUUUGUAAACUGAAUUUCAGUGAGCAUUGUGUUUUUGGGAAGCAAAAUAGAGUUCGAUUCACUAGAGGAAUUCAUAACACGAAGGGAAUGUUGGAGUAUAUUCAUUCUGAUUUGUGGGGGCCAUCCAAAGUGCCUUCGAAAGGUGGAGCUAAUUAUAUGCUAACCUUUAUUGAUGAUUUUUCCAGAAAAGUUUGGGCGUUUUUCUUGAAGCAGAAAAGUAAUGUGUUUUCUGCAUUUAAGUCUUGGAAAAUUAUGAUUGAAAAAUAGAUGGAAAAACAAAUAAAAUGCCUCCGCAUAGACAAUGGUUUAGAGUUUUGUUCUGAUGAGUUUAAUAGAUUGUGUAAGUUAGAAGGGAUCGUGAGACACUUGACAGUUCACCAUACUCUGCAGCAAAAUCGCGUUGCAAAACGAAUGAACAGAACGAUCAUGGAGAAGGUUCGAUGUAUGUUGUCAAAUGCCAACUUACCAAAGUCAUUUUGGGCCAAAGCAACCUCUACUGCAUAUUUUUUAAUCAAUCGAUCCUCAUCCGUUGCCAUCGAGAAAAAGACUCCGCAAGAGGUAUGGUCUGGUAAUCUUGCAAAUUAUUCUAAUUUAAAGAUUUUUAGGUGUCCUGCGGAUGCUCAUGUUGAUAAUGGAAAAUUGGAACCGAGAUCUACUAAAUGUGUUUUUCUUGGUUAUAAAUCUGGUGUAAAAGGAUAUAAGUUAUGGUGUCCUGAAAAUAGAAAAGUUGUGAUUAGUAGAGAUGUUGUUUUUGAUGAAAUUGCUAUGCUGCCUAACUUAUCUCUUAAAGACUCUACCAAUAAAGAAAAAAUACAGAGUCGACUUUUCAAGCCAGUACAAAAAUUGAGAAUAGAGUUGUUUCUUCACCGCAAUACUCUAUCGCCAAAAAUAGAACUAGAAGAGAAAACUCUUCUGAAGGUAUAGAUCUAGUUGCUUAUGCUUUAAAUGUGGCUGAAGAUAUAGAUGCGAAUCAAGAGCCAUCUAAUUAUUCUAAGGCGGUUAGCUGUGAAGACUUAGAAAAGUGGAUGUUUGCUAUGCAAGAGGAGAUGGAAUCACUCCACAAAACAGAACAUGGGAUCUUGUGAAACUUCCUAAAGGUAAAAAGGUUGUUCGUUGUAAAUGAGUGUUUAAAAAGAAAUAAGGGACUCUAGGAGUUGAAGAACCUAGAUAUAAAGCAAGGCUUGUUGCAAAGGGUUACAGUCAAAUUCCAGAAGUGGACUUCACAGAUGUGUUCUCCCUAGUUGUUAAGCAUAGUUCGAUUCGAGCUUUGCUUGGUAUUAUGGCCAUGCAUGAUUUGGAGCUUGAGCAGUUAGAUGUAAAACUGCAAUUUUGCAUGGAAAACUUGAGGAGGAUAUUUACAUGCAACAACCAGAGGGUUUUAUAGUCUCAGAAAAAGAGGACUAUGUUUGCUUGCUAAAAAAGUCCCUUUACGGUUUGAAACAGUCACCAAGACAGUGGUACAAGAGGUUUGGUUCCUUUAUGACUUCUCAUGAUUUCAAAAGAAGUAGCUUUGACGUUCGUUCGAUAAAUUCCUACCUCUCUAUCUACCUCUGAGAUGUUUGGAUUUUUCAAAACUCUAUGGACAUGCAGAAGAGAAAUGCUAUCCCUACUCAGACCAAGACAUAACUUUGACUUUGACUUGUUCAAAUAACAAUUAAGGUGAAGCAGGGUCAGGAACAAUGAUUCUCUUUAUGAUAUUGUGUUUACUUUAAUAAAAACAGUGAUGGUUCUUUCAUGUAUCUAGUUCUUUAUGUUGAUGACAUGUUGAUAACAGUAAAAGAUAAAGGAGUGAUAAGAAAGGUCAAAGCCCAACUAAGUGAAGAAUUUGAGAUGAAAGAUUUUAGGACCAGCAAAGAAGAUACUUGGUACAGAGAUUCUCAGAUAAUAUAUGAUAUGUGAUAAUAUAAUUUGGUGAAAAUAAUACUAAGAAAAAGAUGGAAGUAUGAUAUUACAUUAAUAAAUGACAAAAUAUUCUAAAUAUUUAAUUAUCUUCAUAUGUAUGUUCUUGUUAAUGUACAAAACAUUACACAAGUAUCAGUUUUUUUUAUAUAAUCUUCUAUAUUGUUAAUAAAUAUUUAUAUUUUUUUACCAUUUUAAAAAAAUAUAUAGUUUUCUAAAUAUUUGUUUCGAAAAUAUUUAAAUUUACGUUUGGAAUGAACUUGAACACAAUUUUGUCUAGAUUCACUUUUAACGUGUAAAAAUAAUAAUUUCUUUAUAAUUUCUAGGAUUUUUAUAUUAUUAAAACUUAGAUUAUUUUUAUAAUUAUCUUUAAUUAUUUAUAUUUUACCAUUUUAAUAAUCUUUAUAAUUUUUAAUAUUUUUUACUAUAUUUCAAAUUUAAUUAUGCCUGAAUGAACUUGGAUAAAUUUUGUCCAGGUUUAAAUUUAUCUGGACAAUUAUUUAUUCAGGUUUAUUCUGGAUGUAUUGAGAGAUUUAAUAAUUAAUAUUAAUAUUAAAAUUUCGAUAAAUUCAAAUAAUAAAAAUUAAAAUAUUUAUUUAAUAAUUAAAUAAACAAUAAAUAAAUUGUGGUUGGUGUUCUAAAUUAGAAAGAAAUACAUAUGCUAUCAAAAGAUUACAUCAACAUUUGUCCACUAGAUAGACUAUUGUGGACAUUAAAUGACGUACCAUGAAAAAUAAAAAGAAGAGAACAAACAACUCAAAAACCGAUAUAUAUAUUAUUUAAAGGUUGUAUUCUUUUGACUUAGAAGCUUAAUUCAAGCUAAAACUAAAAAUAUUGCAAUGAUUUUAUAAUGUUAUCGAUAAAUAUAAUAUUUUUAGGAAAUAUAGAAUAUUUUACUUUUAAAUUUCAUAAAGAUAAUAUAUAUAUAUAUAACUCUUCAAGGAUAAUUUAGUUAUCAAUUACAGAGAAGUUUUUGCAAUCAAUAAAUUGUUUUCACUAAAUUCAAGAGAAGAAAAGUAUAUUGAAAAUUUUCAUUCUAUUAAAAAUAUUAUUAUUUAAUAAGAGGAGACCUUUUAUUCUUUUAUAUUUAUGAUUUUAUUUUUUAAAAAUAAAAUUACAAUUUGCAAUUAUAAGUAAUAUAUCGGAAAUUCUCUCACGUAUAUGUAUUUAGAAACCACAAAUUUAAAAUAUAAAUGUGCAUCUAAAAUAGCGUACAACAGAUAAUGAAACUUAUGAUUUGAAACUAAUUAAUAAUAACACAUGAAAUAUGAACGUUAUUAGAAUAAGAAAAUUAGAUUAAAUUGUUUAUCAUGUUGUUGUCAUCAAUCUUGAGUCCUUGUCAAGUUAACUUGUGAUAGAAAUUCAUCUACACUAUUACUUAUGUCGUAACCAUUUUUUGAAAAAACAGGGAUCGACUAUGAUUUUGAAAAUGAAAAAAAUGGAAGUCGCCACCAAUCCUUUUUUAUGAGGUGUUAUCGGGUCACCUUGUAAAACUGGUUGUUUUUAAUAAAUGAUUUGAUUUGUUUAAACAAUAAUUUUGGUCUGCGAAAUUUUGAAAAACGAGCUCGAGAGUUGGUUACGUACGAGGAAGGAUUAGCACCCUCGUAACGUCCAAAAUUGGUACCUAGUUGAUUAAUUAGUGUCUUAAGAUCGAAAAUUGAAAACUUGAAAAAGUUUGAAACACGAUCCUACUUUUUGUAAAAAAAAACAUUCGAACGUUAAAGACAUUCUCGUCUCGAAGCAACAAAAUAUCAUAUCCAGUGAGUUAGGACACGACAUCUCGAACUUUUGAGAAUGAGCUUGCCUUUUACUCAGAAAUUCGUAUAUUUUAACCCCUUUUUAAAAGAAUAUUUGGUUAGUUAGGGUAAACGAGGAAAAUCAAAACCCAGUAAGUUAGGGCACGUUUCCUCAAAUUUCCAAACACCGAAUAUUGCCUUUACUUGUGAAAAUCUUAUUUCAAGCUAACAAAAUGUCAUACCCGGUAAGUUAGGGCACAACACCUCGUAUUUCCGAGAACAAGCAUUUUUUCAAAACUCGUGUUGUGACAUAAGAAGAUUAUGUUGUUAUUUAGAUUAAACGAGAAAAAUCGAAACCCAAUAAGUUAGGGCACAAUUUUCUCAAAUUUUCUAAAUACGAAGCUUGUUUUAUUUUAGAAAACACAAUGGUAUGCGUCGAGUAAAAGACUAAUGCAAUCAUAAUUGCAUGGUGAAAUGAGAAAACAAAUUGCAGCAUUAAUAUGGAUAGUAAAAUAAUAAUAACAAAGGUGAUGAUAUAAACACAAUAAUAAUGACGAAUAAUAUAAACUUGCAGAUAUAUAGAGACAUGUAUAAUAAAAUAAUGAUAAUGAGAACAUAAUGAAAUAAAUAUGAUGAUAAAUAAAAUAAUAAAGCAAAUUAUAGUGUAAAUUUAAUUUUAAAUCGGGGAUAAGUAAAUAAACAGACGAGUAAAGAAACAGUGUGUGGAUUGUUUUUUUUAAUAAUAAUAAUAAUAAGGAUAAUAAAAAUAAUAAAUAUUAUGUAAAAUGUGUGAACAAACUUAUAAUUAAAAAGAUUAAAUAAUAAUAAUAGUAUAAAUAUAAAUAAGUAUUAUAUGGAACAAAAUAAUGAUACAAAACAAAUAAAUAAAUAAAUAAAUAAAAAUUUCAAAGUUGGAAAUUACAUAAGAGUAUAAACGAAUAAAUAAUAAAAUAAAAUCAGUGUAUUAUAUAAGAAACGUAAAUGCAUAAAAGAAAAACCAUAAUAAUAAUAGUAUUAGUUAUAAUAAAAAUAAAAAUAAUACUAAAUAUAAUAAUAGUGAUAUUCAAAAAAUAAUAGCUAUAAAAAAAAUAAUAACCAUAACAAUAAAGAAUAAUAGCAAAAAUAAUAAUAAUAAUAAUAAUAAUAAUAAUAAUAAUGAAAACAAAAAUAUUAAGUUACAAUAGUAAAAUAAUAAUAGUGAUAAUAAUAGUAUAUUAGAUAACAAUACUAAGAUAAUAAGUAAUAAUAAUAGAGUAUAAAUAAUAGUUAUGAAAAUAAUAACAAGUAAUAAUAAUAAUAAUAAUAAUAAUAAUAGUGACGAUAGUAGUAAUAAUAUAUUGAUAAUACAUAAUAGAAGGAAUAAUAAAAGGAUAUAGGGAUAAUAGGAAUAGUAAUUACAAUAAUAGUAAAGAAUACAAUACAUUAAUGAUAAUGAUAAUGAUAUAUGUUAAUAACAAUAAUAAUAAUAUGUAAAAAUAGAAAAUAAUAAUAUGGUAAAAAUAUUAAUAUAUUAAUAAGAAUAAUAGUAAUAAAAUAAGAUUAUAACAACAAUAUUAACAAAAAUAAACAUAAAAGAGAUAGUAAUAAUGUAAAUAAUGAUGUAUAUAUGUAUGAAAAAUAAUGGUAGUAAAAAAAUAGUAAUAAUAAUAAUAGAAGUGGUAAUAAUAACAUUAGAAUAAAAUAAAUACAUGUACAAGUAUAAUAAUAAUAUAAAUAAUGUAAUAAAACAACCAAAAGUAAUACAAAAAACGUAAUUGAAUCUGAAAACAAAAUUUUGGGGCAAAUUCGAAAUAAAUAAAAGAGAAGGGGAUCAAAUCACAUGCGCAAACAACCAGGAGGGACUAAAAUGGGCAAUAACCUCUUGUCCCAAAACGCACAGCUUCAAAGGGAUUCAAUUGGAAAAGAAAUAAAAUUUCUGGGCAUAAAUUAAAAGCCAAAAAAAUGAAAUUUAAAAGUAGAAAAAUGCGGAAGGACCAAAUGCACAAUUAGACCAUCAAACGAAAACACGCGGAUCCUAGGCCUAGAGCGGGUCGAGUCGGGUCGGAGGGGGCAAAAUGGCGUCGUUUUGGGGUUAAAAGGCAGCCCCCAAAACGACGUCGUUUUGGGAGGCUAUAAAAGGCCUAAAUUUUUUUAAAAAAAUCACUUGCAGCAGAGGAAAGAAAAAAAAAGGGGGGGAAGGGAAUUCCUCUCUGGACUAGGUCCAGCUCGGGCCAAGAGGGUCGCUGUCGCCGUCACACCGGCCACCGUCGUCGUCCACCACGCGCAGUGGCUGGAACCCGAAAGGUAAAUUUUUUUUAAUUUGUAUAUAUAUGUAUUUAGUAAAAAAAAGGGUAAAUAGGUUCUAAAAAAAUAAUAAAAUAACAAAAAAAAGAAAAUAAUAAACCUUUUAUUCGAAACCUUUGAACUCUCUUUUGUGUUUUUUUUUUGCUGCGAUUUUAUGCUCGUAUUUAGAUCUGUUUCUUGUGGAUAAAUGACUGCCGAAUGUUUUGUAUUUUCAAAGAAAAGAAAAUUGCCGAAAAAAAACAAUACAUUUUCGCUUGGCUUUUAUAACCAUUUACAAGCCUUUGUUUAUUACUUGUUGUCCUCUCUUCCUUUAAUUUUGCAGGUGAAGUAGAGGUGACGCAACUAGGGCGGUGGAACAGGUGGCCGACUGGCAUGGGUGAUGGGACAGAGGGCAGAGGCGGCAGCAGCUUAGGGUUUUCUUAGUUUUUUCUUUUUUUUAAUCAUUGUGGGCUAGGGUUUGGGGCUAUUGGGUUUUAGAUUUGGUUUAAUUUGGGCCAAAAUGGGGCCUCAACAGCUGCCCCUCUUUGCUCAUUGUCGUGUAACGGGAAUGGAGCAAAGAUUUUAAAAGGGCCAAUUUUGGCUGGUCUCGCCAAGUCUUAACUUUUGGUUCUUCUCUUCUUCGGCUAGUCUUAUUGCAGUCCACUGCGUCUUGUUGCUUCGAUCCACUCCGUUGCGUCUUGCUGCUUCGAUCUACUUCAUGCAACUUCAGAGGUAUAGGAUUUGUUGCUUUAAUCUGCUCCACUGCAACUUUAGGGAGAUAAAACUUGCUAUCUUCAGUCUACUCCACUGCGACUUUAGAGAGAUAAGACUUGUGACUUUAAUCUACUCCGCUAAAACUUCAAGGAGAUCUACUGUGGCUUCUAACUGCUCCAGCUCCAUUUCAGGGAGAAAAGAUUUGUAAUUUUCAGCCUGUUACCCUACUGCUUAGAGGGUUAAGGCCCAUCGCCUUCGAUCUGUUUCCCGACUGCUUAGGGGUUUAAGGCCCAUCACCUUUGAUCUGUUUCCCUACUGCUUAGGGUGAUAAGAUCUAUAAAUUCAGCCUGUUACCCUACUGCUUAGGGGGUUAAGAUUUGUAAAUUCAACCUGUUACCCUACUGCUUAGGGGGUUAAGAUCUGUAAAUUCAGCCUGUUACCCUACUGCCUAGGGGUUUAAGGCCCACCACCUUCGAUCUGUUUCUUUACUGCUUAGGGUGAUAAGAUCUGUAAAUUUAGCCUGUUACCCUACUACUUAGGGGUUUAAGGCCCAUCACCUUCGAUCUGUUUCCCUACUGCUUAGGGAAUUAAGAUCUGUAAAUUCAGCCUGUUACCCUACUGCUUAGGGGUUUAAGGCCUGUGGAUUUACUGAUUCUAGGGACUUGACCUGUAGAAUCGGUUCCAUAUAUCUAUGCUUAUGUCAAAUGAUUAGGAUGCUAUGAUCGAAAUGAAUCAAAUGCUCCUGACUAGAUGUGAUAUGAAUGAUCUAUAAAUGCAUGAGUGCAGCAUGUUGUGAGAAUGGAUCCCUUUUUAAUGCUUGGGUUGCCAUUGCUCUUUGUUUAUCAAGGUUCUAUCACUGAAACAAUAUCCUGUCUUCUUCUUCAGCUUAGAUCUUGGACAAAAAAUUCGAAGUGGUAGUCCCAAUUUAAACUCUUCUUUCUCAAAUGUUUCCAAUCCUUAGGUUUGGUUAGUUUUAAAUAAUAGCCCUGUUUCAGGUUCCUGUACUAUUUAGAAACUUUCAGAGUAAUAUGAAGAACUUCUUUUGUGAAAGUGUCAUUAGUCCAUUAGUCAUCAUUUCAAUGCAAAAUGCUUGAAAAAGAUCAUAACAACGACAUAAAUGAAAUUUGUCAGAAACAAAAUUUGAAGGGAAUAGAUUAAUCAUAGCCAACAAACAUUGCUGGAAUACAAAAUGAAUAAAAAGAAAAUAGGUGCCCUAGAUAUCGCAGUGUGAGCUUCUCUAUACGAACUUCUUGAGGAUUCUGUUUUUAAGCUCAAUAUGUGUUUAGGGGAUAUAAAGUACCCUUGUAGAUGCCUCAAAAUGUAACAUCCCUCCUCCUUGUUAAUUUAGGUAUCGUAAGACCACCGCAUGCCCCACCUUUGAUCAAAAUUUGAAUCGCCCUUUACGGGUUUUCAAUUCAAAAUCUCUUUGGUCUCAAGGUGCCCUUUGCGAGUUUUCACCUUGGCCUCUCCUUUUUUUAGGUGAAGUAUUUCUUAACCGAAUCCUAAUUCACGAGAUUGGGUAAAGUCUUGCCAUCCAUUUCGGCCAAUAUCAAUGCUCCUCCAGAAAAGGCUUUCUUUACCACAUAAGGUCCUUCCCAAAUAGGCAUCCAUUUUAUUCUAAAAUCCUUUUGUAUGGGCAGGAUCUUUUUCAAUACUAGGUCUCCCUCGUGGAAUUCUUUAGGACGAACCUUUUUGUUGUAAGCUCACAUCAUUCACUUUUGGUACAUUUGACCAUGACGGAUAGCCCUUAGCCUCUUUUCUUCAAUCAAAUUCAAUUGAUCGUAUCGGGACUGGAUCCAUUCUACUUCAUCCAACUUUACUUCCGACAAAACUCUGAGGGAAGAAAUCUUGACCUCGAUAGGUAAAACUGUCUCCAUUCCAUACACCAAUGAGAAAGGCGUUGCCCCGGUGGAAGUCCUGACAGACGUUCGAUAAGCAUAGAGGGCGAAUAGUAACUUUUCAUGCCAGUCUUUAUAAGUCUCAGUCAUUUUUCCCACAUUCUUCUUAAUGUUUUUAUUAGCUGCCUCAACUGCACCGUUCAUUUUUGGGCGAUACAGUGAUGAGUUGUGGUGUCUGAUCUUGAACUGACUGCAGACCUCCGCUAUCAUGUUGUUAUUCAAAUUCAAUGCAUUGUCAGAUAUGAUCCUUUCUGGCAUUCUAUAUCAACAACUGAUUUCCUUUUUUAGGAACUUGCUAACUGCCGAUUUUGUAACAUUGGCAUAUGAAGCGGCCUCCACCAACUUGGUGAAAUAAUCGAUGACCACUGUUGUAGGCCAAUUUUAGCCAAUUUACAUCAAAACCCAAUUUAGCCUUACCUAACCCACUAAAAUUAAACCCAAAACCCAAAAUCUUAACUACCCAAAGCCAAAUUUACAUCAAAACCCCAAUGGCCCAAACCCUAAGCCCAAAUCAAAAUAAAAAACCUAGCCCACAACUUAAACUUUUCUCAACUAGCCACUCCUUUUCCACCACCAACUCCACUAGCCACACCUUUUCCACCACCAACUCCACUAGCCACUCUUUUUCCACCACCAACUCCACUAGCCACACCUUUUCCACCACCAACUCCACUAGCCACUCUUUUUCCACCACCAACUCCACUAGCCACACCUUCUCCACCACCACUUGUACCUACAAAUGAAGACAUAAACAAUAAAAAAAUAUUUUGUAAAUGGCUAUAUAAGCCUUCUCAUAUUUUGUAUAUGGGGGGGGAUUUUUUUUUGGAGAGUUUUUGGGAGAGAAAGUUAUUGUAAAGGAUUUUUGGAGAGGUUUCUUUUUAAAGUAAUUAAGGAGAAGAGUUAUUGUGAAAGCUAGUUUUUGGAGAAGCUAGUUUUUUUUGAAGAUUAAUCAAAUAUCAAAGCAAAAGAGGUUUCUUUGUCUAUUCUCAUUUUAAGUUCUUUGUUUACUUAUUGUUUUCCUUUCAAUCUUAUUUUGUUUCUUUUAUACGAAAGUAAAAAAAAAUAAAAGGAGGAAGCUUACCCAUUUUUACCGAAAAAGUUUUUUUGAGGUCCGGCUGCCGUGUACGGUGGCGCCGGCGGUGGUCCGACGACCGGACGAUGGCCGACCUUGUGGCCGAAAAUCAUCCACCCUCUCCUUCUCCCUCCUUUUUUGUUAUUAUUAUAUUUCUUAAUAUUAUAUUAUAUAUAUUCUUUUAAUAUAUUAGGUAUAUUUUAAAUUCUAUAUUACGUAUAUAUAUUUUAUACUAUUUUAUUUAUAUAUCUUUAAUAUUAUAUUAUUUAUAUAUAUAUUUUUCUACAUGUUAUCUUAUGUAUAUAUCUUAACUAUAUUAUGUAUAUAUUUUUAACACUAUAUUAUGUACAUAUUUUUAAUAUUAUCACGUAUUUAUUUUUUAUAUAUGUACAUAUUGAUGUAGUAUUAUUAAUAUAUUUUUUUUAAACAUCGUUAUUAUUUCUAAUAUAUAUAUUAUGUACAUCUUUUUUAUUUCUAUUUUAUUUUUUAUUUUUCAAUAUUAAUUAUUAUUAUUCUAAUAUUUUGAUAUUUUAAUAUUUUAUAUUUUAUAUAUUUUAUUAUUCACAUCAUUGUUCGCAUUUUUUGACAAUAAUAUUCUUGGAUUUUUUUACUAUCAUUUUAAAAACUUUUUACAUUUUAAUUUUAAGAAUAAGGCAAUGUAUCAAUUUUAACAUUAAGUCAUCGAUUUCAUCGCUAUGUUAGGAAAAAUUAAUCGGCUCGUGUUAAAAACGGGACGUCCUUCUAAAAAACAAAAAAAAACUUGCAACUUCUCAUUUCCUUCAAUCGAAUCACACUUAAAUGUCAAAUUGAAUUCGUAUUUUUGAAAAUCAAGACAACAUGUGUUUAAUAAGAUACCAAUUUUGGGCGUCGCGAGGGUGCUAAUACCUUCCUCGCGCGUAACCGACUCCCGAACCCUAAAUUUUCUCUGGAUUUUAACGUAGACCUAAACUCAACCUUUUAUUUGUUUUAAUAAGAGAUCUAAUAGGUGUCCGAUCACACCUAGGAAAAAGGAUCGGUGGCGACUCCCUGUUUAUUUCAAAAAUCAAACGUCAAAUUUCAAACUUUUUUUCAAUAAAUCGCCACAAUUAGCGACCAAGCUAAGCUAAAAUUUUUACGUCGCUACAGCUGACGACUCCACUGGGGAAAGCCUUUUUGAGAGUCGUGUCUGGAAUUAAACACGUUUUGUCAAAAUUUUCAAAUUUCCUUGUUCAAAGUAAAUAUUUUGUCGUGAUCCGAAAAUCUCGUUUUCAAAAUUCAUGCAUUUGUAUCGUGCUGUAAAUAUUUCUUCUAACUUGCUUAUUUGGUUGUUUUUCAGUUUUUAAUUUUUAUGGUUUUAAUUUUGGUUUAGUUUCUUUAAGUGAAAUGUAAAGGUUUAUGAGUUGUUCCCCACACACCGUGCACUUGCAUUUUCGCAUAACAUGAGCUCUCUACCCGGGCUCCGUCCGUUUAAGUGAAAGUAAACGCUACGCCUUCGUGAGUUAACUCGUCCCUCCGUACAGGCUAGUGAAUACUUUCGGGUUACAUAUGAUUUAUGCUUUCGUGAGUUAACUUGUCCCUCCGCAUAGGCAUAAGUAAAUGUAACCCCUCGAAUUGAACUCGUGAGCCUGUUAUAGGCUAUGACCGAGGCUCCGUGUUAAUCUUAGUAGAUGAUAGUACGAGCAAUUCGAGUACCUAUCUAGAACCAAAACCGCAUAUAAUGAACCAUACGAGCCACCUAACUAGAGCCAUGCUGAACCUCCGUCCAUUUAGUAGUCACCAAAAUAAGUGCACGGGAGGAACGCCUCUUACCUUUUGCACUUUCGCUUUCUAUGCAAGGGAAUCAAGUCCAUUGGACCAAGUAGCUUAAUUUGUUAGAUUUUCCACAAUUUUUCUCUGAUCAUAUGUGUUUUGCUAACCAAUGUUGUUUGUCUGUAUUUCUAUUUUUCAUCAUGCAUCAUAUACAUCUUGUUAAGAAAGGGUUGAUUAGAGAUUGGUUGCCAAAAAGGGGUUUCUGAUAGAGGAGUCAAUUACACGAGUGACCGAAACGUUGUGUAAUAGACUCUUUUGAUUAAGGAAAUGCCUAAAUAGGGGCUAUCUUGAAAUUAACACCAAUUUCUUGCAUUUCUUUCAUGACUAACAGUCAUUUGACAUUCAUGCAUUCAUUCAUUCAUUGCAUAUUCCAUACUCGUUCGCUGAGGUUAAAACAUACAAUUCGCUAGUUGUGCAUACCAUACGGGAAACCAGGGACAUUCCACGAAAAACUGCCUAGCCUUUAAGAGAAGAGUUCAAGGACUCAUUGAUGCAGGUAUCCUACGUUUCGAUAGUGCCAGUAAUGCAACUGGGAACCCAUUCCCUAACCAUAUCGAAAGGGAUGUGAGCAUAGUGGGGAAAGUGGACGAAUGGAAAGUCAGAAGAUGUGUUUCGGAAAUAAGGAUGCCUCUGCAGAAAAUCUGGGAGGUACUGGUUAAGAAAGGAUUGCUUUGUCACCCCGAUAGAAUUCUCAGAGAAGAAGGUCAAAGUUUUUGCAAUUUCCAUGGAAUUGUGGGACACGACAUUCAGUCGUGUGAGGAAUUUAAAAGGUUGCUUCAAGACCGGAUGGAUAAUAAGGAGAUUAAGAUCCUUAACAAAAGGGAAGAGACCAAUGAAAGAGAAGUAUGCGCCGCUGAUAGCCAGUCAUCAGGUCCCCCUUAUAGCGCUGAUCAACCGUUAGUAAUUUAUUACGAUGCGACGAAAGAGCUGGUGAAACCAAAAAUGAUAAUCGAAGUACCAUCUUCUUUCCCUUACAAGGACAAUAAAGCAGUACCAUGGAAAUAUGACGUUAAUAUCGUCACACCUGAAGAUGAAAAACCCAAAGCCAUGACUGGAAGCGUCGGGGAAUUAGGUCAUUUCACUCGUAGUGGAAGAUGUUAUUCGAAGGAGAUAAAGAAGAACAGUGACUUGAAACAGAAAGGAAAAGCACCGAUGCAUGUGACCGAUGAUGAGCAUGAAACUGCGCCUGAACAAGAAGCUAAAAAUCCUGUGGACGAGGAGGAAGCACAGGAAUUCUUAAAAUUUAUUAAGCACAGUGAGUACAACGUGGUAGAACAAUUGAGUAAGCAGCCAGCGCGAAUCUCGGUAUUAUCUCUGCUGUUGAAUUCAGAACCACACCGAAACGCUCUGCUGAAAGUGUUAAAUCAAGCUUAUGUGGCAAACAAUGUAUCCGUUGAAAAACUGGAUAGGUGGAUGAACAACUUGAAUACGGAUAAUUUCAUUUCUUUUAGUGAUGAUGAAAUACCAUGUCUGCGGGAAUGAUAUACCCGAGGCAGGACAAUGCACAAGGCACAAUGUUAAUGAUCGAAAAGGGUUUUCAGAACAUCAGUAUAAAUGUCCUUGACAAAGGAGCUGACACAAGUAAAGAUGUCUCAAGGAUACGCCUUUGUCCCCCUAGUUUCAUGUUGAACAAUUGGACUGCCGAGGACCUUCUUGUAGUUUAUAAGUCUUCAGAGUAAUGCUUAAACAUUAACAUUCUAUUGUGUCCUUAGAUAUAAUAGAAUUCUUUUGUAGGAGCUUGCAUUCGCUCUUUAUCAUUUAAGUGAAUAUCAAUGAAGAUACAUUUUGUCACGAUUUUUCGCAUUAUCACUAAUUUCAUAAUCAUUUUCUCAUUUCAUAGCCUAUCCUUACAUUUGCCUCAUUGCCAUGACAUAACAUUUUGUUUAUUGUUUCCAAUACUUGGAUGUCCCCCGAUAGCUUCCUUUUCCAUUCAACUUUCAGGUGCUCAGAUAUUGACGACAUGAAUAAGCCCGUUACGAAUCUUGAAAUUAAUUUUGAGAAGGCUGUUUGCUUAGGAGAAUUUGAAGCCGAAGAAAAUGCUGAAGAUUAUGUCUCGUCUCCUGAAUUGUUAAGAAUGGUGGAACAAGAGGAUAAACAGGUUCUGCCUCAUGAAGAAUCUGUGGAAACAAUAAAUUUGGGCACUGAAGAGAGGAAACAAGAAGUGAAGAUUGGGACUUCUAUUUCAGAAAGUACCAGGCAUAGUUUGAUCACUUUACUCCGCGAAUACAAAGAUGUUUUCGCGUGGUCAUACCAGGACAUGCCAGGGCUAGAUGAAGAUUUAGUGGUCCAUAAGCUCCCAUUAAAGCCAGAAUGCAAGCCCAUCCAGCAAAAAUUAAGACGGAUGAGGCCCGAAAUACUGUUGAAAAUAAAAGAGGAAGUCAAGAAGCAAUUUGACGCUGGCUUCCUACAAGCCUCCAAAUAUCCAGAAUGGGUGGCUAACAUAGUCCCGGUACCAAAGAAAGAUGGAAAAGUACGAAUGUGCGUGGAUUACCGUGACCUGAAUCGAGCAAGCCCAAAAGAUAAUUUUCCCUUGCCACAUAUUGACACGUUGGUGGACAACACAGCAAAACAUUCAUUGUUUUCUUUCAUGGAUGGAUUCUCGGGGUAUAAUCAGAUCAAGAUGGCCCCUGAGGAUAUGGAGAAAACUACCUUCAUAACAAUGUGGGGAACGUUCUGCUACAAGGUGAUGCCAUUCGGGUUAAAGAAUGCUGGGGCAACAUAUCAGAGGGCUAUGGUGACGUUAUUCCAUGACAUGAUGCAUAAAGAACUAGAGGUCUACGUCGAUGAUAUGAUUGCUAAAUCUCGAGGAGAAGAAGAGCAUGUAAUGAACCUCAAGAAGUUGUUCGAAAGGCUGAGAAAGUUUCAGCUAAAGCUUAAUCCAGCCAAAUGUACAUUCGGGGCUACCUCGGGAAAGUUGCUAGGCUUCAUUGUCAGUGAAAGAGGUAUCGAAGUUGAUCCAGAUAAAAUAAAAGCCAUCCAAGAAUUACCACCUCCGCGCACGCAAAAGGAAGUUAGAGGAUUUUUAGGGAGAUUAAACUACAUCGCCCGAUUUAUCGCUCAACUUACCAACCAAUGCGACCCAAUCUUUCGGCUUCUUCAAAAACAUAACCUGGGAGAAUGGAACGAGGAAUGCCAGGUGGCCUUUGAUAAGAUAAAACAAUAUUUGUCCAGUCCUCCAGUGCUAGUACCGCCAACUCCUGGAAGACCAUUGAUAUUGUAUUUGACUGUGUUCGAAAGUUCAAUGGGUUGCGUACUGGGGCAACAUGACGAGUCAGGAAAGAAAGAAAAAGCGAUCUACUACCUCAGCAAAAAAGUUCUCUGAAUAUGAGGCAAAAUAUUCGUCCAUUGAGAAAUAUUGUUGCGCUCUAGUUUGGGUAGCUCGGAGACUUAGACAAUAUAUGUUGUAUCACACGACAUGGCUAAUUUCAAAGCUGGACCUAAUAAAAUACAUGAUGGAAUCGCCGGUACUAUUGGGAAGAAUGGCACGAUGGCAGAUCCUCCUUUCGGAAUAUGACAUUGCCUAUGUUAGUCAGAAGUCGAUAAAAGGGAGCGCAAUAGCUGACUUCUUAGCAACUCGAACGACAGAGGAAUAUGAGCCUUUAAGAUUCGAUUUCCCAGACGAAGACUUAAUGUGCAUCACAGAAAUAGAAUCCGAGUCAUCAAAAGAGAAGUCAUGGAAGAUGUGCUUUGAUGGUGCGUCAAAUGCUUUAGGGCAUGGAAUUGGAGCAAUCCUGGUAUCACCAGACGGGAACUGAACUUCUUCUGUACCAAUAAUAUCGCAGAAUAUGAGGCCUGUAUCAUGGGGCUUCGUGCAGCUAUCGAACGAAACAUCAAGAUCUUGGAGGUGUACGGGGACUCAGCCGUAGUGAUUUACCAAAUCCGUGGAGAGUGGGAAGUGAGGGACUCAAAAUUGAUUAAGUACAGCGAUUUUGUGGCUGGAUUGAUCAAGGAAUUCAAAGAAAUAACUUUUCAUUACUUCCCACGAGAAGAGAACCAACUGGCUGAUGCCCUGGCCACUUUGGCUUUAAUGUUCAAAGCAAGUAGAGAAGCAGAAAUAAUGCCCCUCAAAAUGAGCAUAUACGAGGUCCCUGCACACUGUUGUAGCAUUGAGAAAGAAGUAGACGGACGGCCUUGGUUCCAUGAUAUCUUAGAAUAUAUCAAGAAUCAAAGGUAUCCCGAACAAGCAAAUGAGAACGAUAAAAGAACAAUUAGAAGAAUGGUAGCGGGAUUUGUUCUUGAUGGGGAUAUCCUGUAUAAAAGAAGAAAGGAUCAGAUGCUUUUGAGAUGUGUGGAUGAUGUUGAAGCCAGAAAAAUACUUGAAGAGGUCCAUGAGGGAAUUUGCGGAACGCAUGCCAAUGGUUUCAAUAUGGCCAGAAAGAUCAUGAGACUCGGUUAUUAUUGGCUGACAAUGGAAAAUGACUGCAUCAAUUUUGCCAGAAAAUGCCACAAAUGUCAAAUAUAUGGCGAUAAAAUUCAUGGAGCCCCUUCACCCCUUCAUGUCAUGACUUCUCCGUGGCCUUUUUCUAUGUGGGGCAUGGAUGUCAUAGGGCCAAUUUCUCCAAAAGCAUCAAAUGGACAUCAAUUUGUUUUUGUGGUCAUCGAUUACUUCACAAAAUGGAUAGAAGCCGCUUCGUUUGCCAAUGUGACGAGGACUGCAGUUUGCAGGUUUUUGAAAAAGGAAAUCAUUUGCCGGUAUGGUUUGCCUGAAAGAAUCAUUUCAGAUAAUGCCACGAAUCUGAACAAUAAGAUGAUGAAAGAAGUGUGCGAGCAGUUCCAAAUAAAGCAUCAUAACUCCUCGCCCUAUCGCCUAAAGAUGAACGGGGCUGUUGAAGCAGCCAAUAAAAAUAUUAAGAGGAUCAUUAGGAAAAUGACUGAGACGUUUAAAGAUUGGCACGAGAAGCUUCCAUUUGCUUUGUUUGCAUAUCGCACAUCUGUACGAACAUCUACGGGAGCAACUCCUUUCGAACAUCUACGGGAGCAACUCCUUUCUCUCUGGUUUAUGGAAUGGAAGCUGUGCUACCUAUCGAGGUUGAGAUCCCUUCUCUACGAGUCUUAAUGGAAUCAAAGUUAGAAAAAGCAGAAUGGGUACAAGCUCGAUAUGAUCAGCUGAACCUCAUUGAAGAAAAGCGUCUCAGGGCAAUUUGUCACGGGCAGAUGUACCAAAAAAGAAUGAUAGUAGCCCAUGACAAGAAGGUACGACCAAGAGAGUUCCAUGAAGGAGAACUCGUUCUGAGAAAGAUUCACCCAAUACAAAAAGACCUGCGAGGAAAAUGGGCACCAAAUUGGGAAGGACCAUACGUUGUAAAAAAGGCAUUCUCAGGAGGAGCUUUAAUCCUUACCGAGAUGGAUGGGAAGGAGUUACCGAAUCCGGUGAAUUCAGAUGCGGUGAAGAAAUAUUAUGCUUAAGAUGAAAACCCGAAAAGGGCAUCUUACAAAAAAAGGGAUCAGGGCGAAAACCCGAAAAGGGCGUCUUGAUUAGUACAAAAAAAUUAGGGUGAAAACCCGAGAGGGCGUCCUAAUGAAACAAACCUGGCGGUCGAACGAUAGGUCAAGUAGUGAGACUACAAUAUUUGAAACACUUCUGAAAGCUCGAAAUUUUCUACGCAAGAAGCCAUGCUCGAAAAGAUUAUUGAUUGAGGAACGUGGAAGAGUUCAUGUGUUGAAUAUCUAGAGCAUUUGUAUCCGUUGAAUACGACCUUUUCUUUCUUUUUGACAUUUUUACUCUCAUUGGUUAACUUUCUUUGUUUGCCACAUUUGAAAUAAAGGAAUACGAGAUAUCCUUUUUAUCCCUACCUGACCAUUUUCAUGCAUCUCAUUAUGUGUUUAUUUAAUGAUAAAUAGUGAAAUGACAUACUCUAAACAAAAGAAAUGUCAAGCAUUACCCGGAUAAGAAUUCGAUAAGUGCAAGAUCUUCAAAGCAAGAACAAAGUUUAACCAAGGGCAAAAGGGUGAUAUCUGAGAAACGUCGAUUACUCGUAAAGCUCGAAGACAGGUAUGAGGCUUGAAGAGAAGGUCGAGAAUCAAAGCAAUGAACGCAGAUCCUCAACAAUCAUGGCGAAAAUGACAUACAACCAAUAUGCUUAAGGAGCACUGCAUAAUCAUGUAGGCAUAAAGGCAUUUAAGACAAACAUGUGCAUACCAUGAUGACAUCAUGCAUGGCAUAUACAGGUAAUCCAGUAAAGCAAGAAAUCUUGAAUGAGAGUCGCACUGAAUCAAAGGAAAAGAUACCCGAGUUCUUCCAAAGGACUGGUUUUGGUAUUUUGAUGUUUAAUAUUCAUGCUUUCCAAGGAAAAUCAACUCAUAUUGCGAGAGAUGAGUUGAGCCUCAAGACAAGUUGAGGUAUUUUUAAUUUUUUUUUUCAAAAUCAACUCAUAUUGCGAGAAGUGAGUUGAGCCUCGGGGCACGCCGAGGUAUUUUUAGUUUAUGUUUUAAAUUGACUCAUAUUGCGAGAGGAGUUAAGCCUUUUAAUUUUUGUUUUUCAAAAUCAACUCAUAUUGCUAGAAGUGAGUUGAGCCUCAAGACGCUGAGGUAAUUUCAAUUUUUGUUUGUCAAAAAUCAACUCAUAUUGCGAGAGGUGAGUUGAGCCUCAGGACACGCUGAGGUGGUUUUAAUUUAUGUUCAUCAAAAAUUAGCUCAUAUUGCAAGAGGUGAGUUGAGCCUUGGCUCACACGCUGAGGUAUUUUCAAUUUCUGGUUUUCAAUUUCUGUUUUUCAAAAAUCGACUCAUAUUGCGAGAGGUGAGUUGAGCCUCGGGACACGCUGAGGUAAUUUCAAUUUCUGUUUGUCAAAAAUUAACUCAUAUUGCGAGAGGUGAGUUGAGCCUCGGCUCACAUGCUGAAGUCUUUUCAAUUUUUGUUCUUCAAUUUCUGUUCGUAAAAAAAAAUCAACUCAUAUUGCGAGAGGUGAGUUGAGCCUCAGGACACGCUGAGGUAAUUUCAAUUUCUGUUUUCAAAAUUCAACUUAUAUUGCGAGAAAUGAGUUGAGCCUCAAGACACGUUGAGGUAUUUUCAAUUUCUGUUUUCAAAAAAAAAAUCAACUUAUAUUGCGAGAGGUGAGUUGAGCCUCGGUUCACAUGCUGAGGUAUUUUCAAUUUCUGUUUUUUUUAAAAAAAAAUCAACUCAUAUUGCGAGAGGUGAGUUGAGCUUCAGAUUACACACUGUGGUAUUUUUUUCAAUUCAUAUUGCGAGAGGUGAGUUGAGCCUCAGGACACGAUGAGGUAAUUUCAAUUUUGUUUGUCAAGAAUCAACUCAUAUUGCGAGAGGUGGGUUGAACCUUUUAAUUUCUACUUUUUCAAAAUCAGCUCAUAUUGCAAGAGGUGAGUUGAGCCUCGGGGCACGCUGAGGUAUUUUCAAUUUUUGUGUUUUAAUUUCAACUCAUAUUGCGAGAGGUGAGUUGAGCCUCAGGACACGCUGAGGUAUUUUCAAUUUUCGUUUUUUUAAUUUAUGUUUCAAAAAAAAUCAACUCAUAUUGCGAGAAGUGAGUUGAGCCUCAAGACGCUGAGGUAAUUUCAAUUUUUGUUUGUCAAAAAUCAACUCAUAUUGCGAGAGGUGAGUUGAGCCUCAGGACACGCUGAGGUAUUUUUAAAUUUCUGUUUUUCAAAAAUCAACUCAUAUUGCGAGAUGUGAGUUGAGCCUUGGGUUCACAUGUCGAGGUAUUUUCAAAAUCUACUUUUGCGAGAGGUGAGUUGAGCCUUGGCUCACGUGCUGAGCUAUUUUCAAUUUCUGUUUUUAAUGUCUAGUUUUACAGAGUCAAUUCAUAUUGCGAGAAAUGAGUUGAGCUCAGGAUCACAUGCCGAGUAAAGAAUCAAUAUUAGAGCUGAUUGAAGACACCAUAUUUUGUCUCCCUGAAGUUGCAGUGGAGUUAAUCGAGGAUAUCAGAUCUUGCCUUUCUAAAGUGGCAGAAGAGAAGACCCAAAACCUUAUCUCACUGAAGCGAUAGAAGAGCAUAUUGAAUUACAUUGGAACAGAUUGAAGCUACAAGGCAUAUCUCCGAAUUUGCAGUGGAUUGAACAAAAGCUACAAGAUGCGAUGGACUGGAAAGAGACUACCUGGAUGAGAAGAGCACCAAAGAAGUCCAUACUUAGCAAGACCGGGCAAAAUUGGCCUUUCUUUAUAUCUUUGCUCUAUUCUCGUUACACGAUAAUAAGCAAAGAGGGGCAGCUGUUGUAGGCCAAUUUUAGCCCAUUUACAUCAAAACCCAAUUUAGCCUUACCUAACCCACUAAAAUUAAACCCAAAAUCCAAAAUCUUAACUACCCAAAGCCAAAUUUACAUCAAAACCCCAAUGGCCCAAACCCUAAGUCCAAAUCAAAAUAAAAAACCUAGCCCACAACUUAAACUUUUCUCAACUAGCCACUCCUUUUCCACCAGCAACUCCACUAGCCACACCUUUUCCACCACCAACUCCACUAGCCACUCUUUUUCCACCACCAACUCCACUAGCCACUCCUUUUCCACCACCAACUCCACUAGCCACUCUUUUUCCACCACCAACUCCACUAGCCACACCUUCUCCACCACCACUUGUACCUACAAAUGAAGACAUAAACAAUAAAAAAAUAUUUUGUAAAUGCCUAUAUAAGCCUUCUCAUAUUUUGUAUAUGGGGGGGAUUUUUUUUUGGAGAGUUUUUGGGAGAGAAAGUUAUUGUAAAGGAUUUUUGGAGAGGUUUCUUUUUAAAGUAAUUAAGGAGAAGAGUUAUUGUAAAGGCUAGUUUUUGGAGAAGCUAGUUUUUUUGAAGAUUAAUCAAAGAUCAAAGCAAAAGAGGUUUCUUUGUCUAUUCUCAUUUUAAGUUCUUUGUUUACUUAUUGUUUUCCUUUCAAUCUUAUUUUAUUUCUUUUAUACGAAAGUAAAAAAAAAAUAAAAGGAGGAAGCUUACCCAUUUUUACCGAAAAAGUUUUUUUGAGGUCCAGCUGCCGUGUACGGUGGCGCCGGCGGUGGUCCGGCGACCGGACGAUGGCCGACCUUGUGGCCGAAAAUCAUCCACCCUCUCCCUCUCUCUCCUUUUUUGUUAUUAUUAUAUUUCUUAAUAUUAUAUUAUAUAUAUUCUUUUAAUAUAUUAGGUAUAUUUUAAAUUCUAUAUUACGUAUAUAUAUUUUAUACUAUUUUAUUUAUAUAUCUUUAAUAUUAUAUUAUUUAUAUAUAUAUUUUUCUACAUGUUAUCUUAUGUAUAUAUCUUAACUAUAUUAUGUAUAUAUUUUUAACACUAUAUUAUGUACAUAUUUUUAAUAUUAUCACGUAUUUAUUUUUUAUAUAUGUACAUAUUGAUGUAGUAUUAUUAAUAGUAUUUUUUUAAACAUCGUUAUUAUUUCUAAUAUAUAUUAUGUACAUCUUUUUUAUUUCUAUUUUAUUUUUUAUUUUUCAAUAUUAAUUAUUAUUAUUCUAAUAUUUUGAUAUUUUAAUAUUUUAUAUUUUAUAUAUUUUAUUAUUCACAUCAUUGUUCGCAUUUUUUGACAAUAAUAUUCUUGGAUUUUUUUACUAUCAUUUUAAAAACUUUUUACAUUUUAAUUUUAAGAAUAAGGCAAUGUAUCAAUUUUAACAUUAAGUCAUCGAUUUCAUCGCUAUGUUGGGUGAAAUUAAUCGGCUCGUGUUAAAAACGGGACGUCCUUCUAAAAAACAAAAAAAAACUUGCAACUUCUCAUUUCCUUCAAUCGAAUCACACUUAAAUGUCAAAUUGAAUUCGUAUUUUUGAAAAUCAAGACAACAUGUGUUUAAUAAGAUACCAAUUUUGGGCGUCGCAAGGGUGCUAAUACCUUCCUCGCGCGUAACCGACUCCCGAACCCUAAAUUUUCUCUGGAUUUUAACGUAGACCUAAACUCAACCUUUUAUUUGUUUUAAUAAGAGAUCUAAUAGGUGUCCGAUCACACCUAGGAAAAAGGAUCGGUGGCGACUCCCUGUUUAUUUCAAAAAUCAAACGUUAAAUUUCAAACUUUUUUUCAAUAAAUCGCCACAAUUAGCGACCAAGCUAAGCUAAAAUUUUUACGUCGCUACAACCACAAAGAUGAAAUGAUGCCCAUUUAAAGCUUUUGGUGAAUUUGGCCCAAUCACAUCCAUGCCCUACACCGAGAAAGGCCAUGGAGAAGUCAUAACAUGCAGAGGUGAAUGAGACACAUUAAUCUUGUCUCCAUAGAUUUGGCACUUAUGACAUCUUUUGGUGUAGUUGAUAUAGUCUCCUUCCAUGGUGGACCAAUAAUAACCAAACCUCAUAAUUUUCCUGGCCAUUGUAAAGCCAUUAGCAUGUGUCCCUCUGAUGCCCUCGUGGACUUCUUCCAAGAUUUUCUUAGCCUCAAUAGUGUCUACACAUCUUAAUAGUACCUGAUCCUUCCUUCUUUUGUAUAGGAUCUCCCCAUCUAAGACGUAGUCACUGGCCAGUCUUCUCAACGUUCUUUUGUCGUUCUCAGUAGCUUGGUUGGGGUACUCACGAUUCUUCACAUAUCGCAGGAUAUCGUGAUACCAAUGGUGAUCAUCAUUUUUUGCUUCUUCUUCGAGGUUGUAACAAUGAGCUGGACCCUCAUAAAUACUUAUUUGGAUUGGUUUCACAUCUUCUUGUUUGUUUACCUUAAUCAUAGAAGCUAAAGUUGCUAGGGCAUCGGCCAUUUGAUUUUCUUCUCGCGGGAGGUAGCAGAAGACAGUAUCAUCAAACUCUUUAAUUAAUUCGAGGAUCAGACUUCGAUAAUUGAUCAACUUGGGGUCUCUCAUUUCCCAUUCACCUUUGAGUUGAUAAAUCACUAGGGCAGAAUCUCUAUAUACCUCUAACACCUUGAUUUUACGUUCUAUGGCCGCGUGAAUUCCCAUGAUGCAUGCUUCGUAUUAUGCCAUAUUGUUCGUGCAGUCAAAAUCCAAUUUACUAGUGAAGGGAUAAUGAUCUCCGUUUGGGGAUACCAGGACUGCCCCGAUUCUGUUAACCACAGUAUUUGAUGCUCCAUCAAAGUUUAGCUUCCAAGGAUGACCUUCUUGAGGGUCUUCUUCAGUGGUUGCUAUGUACAUUAGAUCUUCAUUUGGGAACUCAAAGUUCAGAGGCUCAUAGUCUUCUAGAGCUCCACUGGCAAGAAAAUCUGCUAUUGCACUCCCUUUUACAGCUUUCUGUUUUACGUAGACUAUAUCGAAUUCAGAAAGUAAAAUUUUCCAUCGGGCCAUUCUCCCAUUCAAAGCAGUCGAUUCCAUCAAGUAUUUCAGAGGAUCCAUAUUGGAGAUCAGCCAAGUUGUGUGGUACAACAUGUAUUGUCUCAAUUUUCGGGUUGUCCAGAUUAAGGCACAACACAACUUUUCAAUUGGCGAGUAUCUCAUUUCACACUUAGUGAACUUCUUACUGAGGUAAUAUAUCGCUCUUUCCUCCCUUCCUGACUCAUCAUGCUGGCCAAGCACACAUCUCAUAGAAUUUUUAAACACCGUUAAAUACAGUACCAAUGGCUUGUCUGGACUAGGUGGUGUCAAUACUGGGGCAUUAGACAAAUAUUACUUGACCUUGUCAAAAUUUUUCUGGCACUCCUCAUCCCAAACACCAGGGUUGUGUUUCUUAAGGAGAAGGAAUAUGGGGUCCCAUUUCUCAGUUAGUUGUGAAAUGAACCGAGCGAUGUAAUUUAGUCUUCCUAGGAAUCCCCGGACUUCCUUUUGAGUACGCGGUAGAGAUAACUCUUGUAUGGUUUUGACUUUAUCUGGGUCAAUCUCAAUCCCUUUUUCACUGACUACGAAUCCUAGCAGUUUUCCUGACCUGGCCCUGAAGGUACAUUUUGCUAGAUUGAGUUUCAGUUGGAAUUUCCUCAACCUCAAAAAUAAUUUCCUCAAGACUUGCACAUGCUCCUCUUCUGUCUGAGAUUUGGCGAUCAUGUCGUCAACAUAGACUUCAAUUUCUUUGCGCAUCAUAUCAUGGAACAAGGUUACCAUGGCUUUUUGAUAUGUUGCUCCAGCAUUUUUUAGUCCAAACGGCAUCACCUUAUAGCAAAAUGUUCCCCACAUGGUUACAAAUGUGGUCUUAUUCAUGUCCUCAAGAUGCAUCUUUAUCUGAUUGUACCCUGAGAAACCAUCCAUGAAAGAGAACAGUGAAUAACCUGCCGUGUUGUCCACUAAGGUGUCAAUAUGAGGCAACGGGAAAUUAUCCUUCGGGCUGGCUUUAUUCAGAUCCCUGUAAUCUACACACAUCUGUACUUUUCUAUCUUUUUUAAGGACAUGGACGAUAUUGGCUUCCCAUUCCGAGUACUUGACUACUUGUAAGAAACUAGCAUCGAAUUGCUUCUUGACUUCCUCUUUUAUUUUCAACAAAACAUCCGGUCUCAUCCUUCGGAGCUUCUGUUGAACUGGCUUGCAUUCUUCUUUAAUGGGGAGCCUGUGUACCACUAUGUCAGUACUUAGCCUAGGCAUAUCUUGAUACGACCAUGCAAAGACAUCCUUAAACUCUUGGAGUAACUCAAUAAGGUCCCGUUUUGUCUCUGUGGUAAUGCAAGCUCUGAUAUUUACUUCUUUCUUUUCUAGUUCAUCCCCUAAGUUCAUGACUUCUACUAUUUCUUUGUGGGGUAGAAUCUGUUUCUCCUCUUGUUCUACUAUCCUUAACAAAUCAGGGGAUAAGUUACAGUCUCUGUCAUCCUCAAAGUCCUAAGAUCCCUUUAGACAGAUAUCCUGCUCAAAAGGAGACUCUGAGUUAGUAGCAACGUCGCUCAUAUCGUUGAUAUCUGGAGACCUGUUGUAGGUGAGAAGGAAGAUACAAAAAACAAGAUAAUCUAAGAAUCAUGAUAUGUAUGGUAUGAUCAUGAAUGAAAGAAUAAAAGAAUACUUGCACGGAAUAAGACAAAAGGAUGCAUUUCAUUGAAAUAAUGAUUUUGAACAUAAGGCUAUUUCACAAAAGGGACUCUUAUUACUCCUAGGCUUAGAGCAAUAAGUGUGUUUUGAACAUUAUUCAGUGUAGUUCUAAAGACUACAGGAAUCUCUUCCACAGUCCAAUUAUUUAGAACACUUCCGGUUCAUAAGGGCGAAUGCCCGACAAAUUCUCUACUCCAGUUCCUUCUUCAUAUGUGGUGUUGAUGUCCAAAUUUUCCAUCAUUCCUUCCAUGAUUUCCUUUCCCGAAGCAAAAGUCUUCGAUAUAUGGGGAAAGAUCAUUGGUUCCCACUCGAUUUCUCCCCCGCUCAAUCGUGCUCUCCUUCUUUCUUACUUCUUCUCUAGCUCCUUCUUUCUUUGUUUCGUGUCUGGCUUAAAUCCUAACCCAAAACGGUCUUGUUUGUCCUUCAUCAUUGGUGCAUUAAUCCUUCCCUGGAGGUAUCUCUCGAGUCCUCUUCCAGGUAGGGCCUCUUUUCCAACAGUUAGCCGUAGUCUCAUUCUUGUAAUCUCAGAUAACCUGGGCAUUGGAAUCCUAUUUCCUUCAGUAAUGAAUGUCGCAUUCACAAACUCUAAAGACCGAAGAGAGCAUUCGAUUGCUUCAUCAUUUGCCUCUAGAUAUAGGGCGUCACUGGUUAUUGCUGCGAUGAUGUCCUCUUCAGCAUUGAUCAUUACCAACUGACCUUCGAUAUCCAAUUUCAACUUUUGGUGUAGCGAUGAAGGAACUGCCACUGCUGAGUGUAUCCAUAGCCUCCCCAAUAGGCAAUUAUACGAAGGCUUAAUGUCCAUGACCAGGAAAUCUACCUCGUACGUGCUCGGUCCGAUUAAGAGGGGUAUUUCAAUCCUCCCCAUUAUCUUCCUUUCUGUGCCAUCAAAUGCUCUCACUACAUUUUGGCAUGUCUUCAUAUGGGAACUAUCCAUUGGCAACCUAUUCAGUGUAGAUAGGGGUAGGACAUUUAGUGCAGACCCAUUGUCAAUCAAUACCCUUGGUAAUGUAUACCAUUUACAGCAAGUCGUGAUGUGCAAAGCUUUAGUCAAUCCUCUGCCUCCCGGCGGUACUUCAUCAUCGUUGAAGAAUAUGAAGUUGUUGACUAAGCAGUCCAGUUUGUUUACGAAAAUACCGUUAGCAACAUAAGUUUCAUUCAGCACCUUCAUCAAUGCGCUGCGAUGGGUUUCUGAGCUUAAGAGUAAGGCCAGUACCGAUAUACGAGCUGUCUGUUUGUGUAACUAUUCUACGGUACUAUAUUCACUGUGUUUUAGAAAUUUUAAAAAUUCCUUUGCUUCUUUUUCAGUCACUGAUUCAUUAACAGUCGGUUCAGGUCUCGCUGGCUUUUCCUUCUUUUGCUCAAUUACCAAUGAUUUUCCUUUAACCUGCUCGACUUUUGUAUUUGGGGCAUCAUAAUGCCUUCCGCUGCGCGUAUAAAAACCCUCGUCUUGACCUUUCUCUGAUGCAUUAAUCGGGAUCUCCUCUCCCGGGAUUGUCACAUUGCAGCUAUAGUUCCACGGUACCCUUUUGCUAUCUUUAUAAGGGAAAGCAACGGGCUUCUAGAUUACGAGCUUUGACACAACUUGUGCCCCGGCUUCAUUUAUUCUCGGACGCGAUAUGAUAACCACUGGGUGGUUGACUUUGCAAACAUCCUUCAUCGACCCCUCUUCGGAAGCACACACAUCUGUUUCUUCUGGGCUCCCGACAUAUUCGAAGAAUUCCAGCUCCUUAUUAUCCAUUGAUCCUUGUACUAAAGCUCUAAAUUAGUUGCAUUUCUGAAUCUCGUGAUCCUUUUGAUCAUGGAACUCGCAAUAAUUCUUUGAUUCUCGGGGUCUGACCCUUGGAUUCUGUGUUAUCAACCCUCUUUCCACCAUUUUCUUCCAUACUUCUUUCAACGGGGUAUUCACUUCUGCAAUAUUCAUCUUAAUUUCUAUCCCCGAACUCUCGGUUAUCGCAUUUAUCCCCUUAUCCCCAUGGUUGGGUAAUGGAUUCUCUGCACUAGAUGUAUCAUCAAAUUUCACGAUGCCCCUGUUGAUGAGUCUUUCAACCAAUUUCUUGAAUGUGGUGCAGUUUUCUAUCGAGUGUCCUGUGGCUCCCACAUGGUAUUCGCAUUGGGCAUUUUCGUCAUACCAUUUAGGGUAUGGAGGUUGCAUUGGCUUUAGAUAGAAGGGAGACACGACAUGUGCGUUAAAUAAACUUUGGUAUAACUUGUACGUCAUUGGAAUGGGCAUAAAUUGGAGUUUCUUCCUAUUUUGUUUUGUGUUGGGCUCUUGUCUGGGUGGGCCUUGCUGACCAGUGGUUGUCAACCUUGGUUGGCUUACGGUGAUCGAUUUUGAAUAUGUGCUCACAUUAUUUACCUCGUGUUCUUUCUUUCUCGGUGUUGACCUCUUGGCGUUUUCUCCAGCCUCUAUCUUCCCACAUCUUAUCGCAUUUUCUAUCAUUUCUCUAGACAUUACUAUGUCUGAAAAACUCUUGGUUGCGCUACCGAACAUGUGGUUAAUGAAAGGUGCUUUCAGGGUGUUAAUGAAGAGUAUAGUGGUUUUCUUUUCCAACAUAGGGGGUUAGACUUGUGUGGCCACCUCUCUCCAUCGUUUGGCAUACUGCCUAAAGCUUUCAUUAUGCUUUUUCUCCAUAUUCUAUAAAGUGAUUCUAUCAAGGGCUAUGUCUGCCACAUGACCGUACUACUUCAUGAAGGCUUGUGCUAGAUCUUUCCAUGAACUGAUCUGGGCGCGACUCAGUUGGUUGUAUUAUCUAGAAGCGGCCCUAACCAGACUUUCUUAGAAGUAGUGAAUUAAUAGUUGGUCAUUAUUGACAUGGCCUGCCAUUCGUCUGUAGAACAUAGUGAUGAGAGCUUCGGGACAGCUAGUUCCGUUGUACUUCUCAAAUUCUAGAGUUUUGAACUUGGGAGGGAGUACCAGGUCCGAAACCAAACUUAAUUCCUUAGCAUAGAUUCCACCACAAUAGUCAGUGCUUUCCAUUUCUUUAAAUUUAUCUUCUAACCACCUACACCUUUCUUCAAGCUCCUUCAGGAGUUCUACCCUUUCCUUUUCUGUUUCUGUUACUUCAUCGAGAUUGAGUCUGUUACUUCAUCGAGAUUGAGGACCACAGGGUUAGUCAGGUUAUCUCCUAGAUUGGAGCCCGAGCCAGCCUAAUAAUUCAUCGGUGCCGAAACACCGGCCUGAAAUGGUUACGGCCUAAUUGUGACUGAUGGCCUUCUUGGGUACAUAUCACGUUGUGUCUGAACGUCCGUUGGGGCAAAACCCGGAGGGUAUAUAGGAUCUUCAUUAUCAUCUCCCGCAUUGGUCAUGGGGCUUUUCCCUUUUUCUAAUCCGCCAGCCACUAGACGCGUUAAUUGAUCCAUCAUACUUUUUUGGGACUCCAGCAUCUGGUCCCUUACAUCUUGCUGGAUUUUGCCCAGCUGUUGUUGCAUACGUGCUUGUAGUUGAUCCUGCAUCUCUUUUUGCAUUUGUUCCAAUCUCUCUAACCUUUGGUCCAUUGCUUUUGUUUUUCCUCUCGUACCAUAACGAUGUUUUAGGAUAACUGCUAUGAUUUUUAGGGUUUUUUUGUAAGUUUUAGUGCGUAUGAUACAAUGCUGAUGCAUGAAUGCAAUGAAUGCAAUGAAUGCAAAAAAAGAAAAUGCGUUGAUUCUAAAUCGAUUUCAUUAGAAUAACUUUUCUAGAAAAUAAGUUUCUUUACAUAAAACAAAUUACAUAUAAGGCUUGGCCCUGAUACUUAAGGCCUUGACCUACCUAAGAAGCCAAGCUAGCUUUGGCGCCGGUCCGAUUCUGACUCAUAUUUUAAACUCAGCACAUCGGCCUGUACUGCUAAUGUUUGUAAGUGAUCAGCCACUUCUCGCACUUGAGUCAAAGCUUCGCCUAUGACGUAAUCCUUGUUUCUGACUUGGUCUUGAGAUUGAUGAAGUUGCUCCUUAAAUCGCUCGUUAUUUACCUCAAGGAGUUUAAUCUGAAGUUCAUGAUUUUGCAGCGUUGUUUUAAGUUUUUUUAUAUUCUCUUUUAAUUCUCCAAUUCUGCUCUGACUAGCUUUCAACUCGAUUACAGAGUUACGCGUACGAUACUGAUACAAGGACCUCUCUAACUCUGAUACUCGAAUCUUUAACCCCUCCUUCUCGUUCUGGCUUUCUACCAAACUUCUUUUCAGAGCACCUUCUCGAAUUUGGGCAUCUCGAAAUUUUUCUUCCCAUUGGUUGACUUUGUUUUUCUCUUCUUUAACUUCUUGUCGCCACUGUUCAGAUGUUUUUCCUAAUCCAGCGGUUCUCAUUGACCUACGCAACUUCUUGUAGUCUAUUUUCAAACUGUCCAAAUCCUCUUCAGCCUUGUUUUUUUCCUUUCCUGAGUCUUUCAGCUUCUAAUUUCAGAUGAGAUUACUUUCAAGUGUUCUUCCAUUGACCGAGGGUUUCCUUAGUCUGAAGUAGGGAUGUUAUCGUUAAUCCUCUGAUCCCUCCAUUGGUCGUACUCAGGGGUAGUCAUGGGAUUGGCAGCAAACUUUUUCAUUCUACGAGUCUUGUUCCAGGCAUUUGAUAUCUCGCGAACUUUCUUUUUGUAAUUACUCCCCGUGAAUACAAACUCGCACUGACUAACCCGUAUGUGGGUGGUGUAAACUGUCUGGAUCUGUACUGUCUUAAUGCAAGUAGAGGAGCAUACCCGACGGCUCCCCAUACUCCUAACAAGGGAACCCAAUCGAAAUCUCCGCAUCGAUAUAAUAUUUGAUCAGGAACCAUCCAUGGGGCUCUCCAUUCAACGCCUUCCUCUUGCAAAUUUUGGAGAACCGUCAUCCAAUUUUCUUCUGUAAAAUCAUCUCGCCUCGGUGUAGCUACUAACUCUUUCAGUGGAGAGUAAUUUUCAGAGAAAAUAUGGUACGAGACUUUUUCCACUUUCUAAAAAUGGCUGUGGAACCAAGAUAGUAAGAGCUGUGCACAUCCAAUAAAUCUCCCUUCACCCACUUUUCGACAAGCAUUCAAUGAUCUGAAAGUUUCAGCCAAGAUUGUGGGUACAGGUGUGGUCCCUUUACCAAACCUGUCAAAAAGAUCAGAAACCGCCUCGUCUACAUGCCCCAAAGCUUUGGGGAAGAUAACCAGUCCAUAAAUGCUCAGGGCGAAGACAUCCACCCUUUUCUUCACAUUGGGGUGCGCUAAGAUUAGAUCCCUCAGGUUCUUCCAAGGAAUGCACUUAUAAUCUCCUUUUUGUUUGAUCCGGGUUGUAACCCACUAUUCGCUCAUUCCUGUGAUGUUCAUCAGCUUUUUUGAAAACGCUGAGACGUUGGCAGCUCUGGAAUAAUUCUGUCAACCUGAAUCGUCGGACAAUGGAGCAAGGCCGUGUACUCUUCUAUAGUAGGUACAAAUCUACCUUCCCGAAAGUGAAACAACUGUAAGUAGAAUUCCAAUAUUGGGCGAUGGCUCGAAACAGGUGUUCGUCUACCUUGACAUCGAGCAGAUAAGGUAAAUCGCCAUAAUUACAAUAGAAUAGCUGUUUGAUCUCGUCAUCCCACUGACCCCAAAUUUUUUUAUCUCUUAGAGGUUAUUUUGGGUCACAUUGAUCCGCGUGAAAUCCCACAAUUCUGACACGUACCCCUCGGUAAGACUAUUGCCUUUCUCUUGUUGUGUUGUCUCAGCCCAUAUCUGGACAGCCGCAUUGUCUUCUACUUUAUCAAGAAACCCCUUUUCCAUGAUAAGCUAUCUACUUAGCAACUCAGUAUUUCAUACGCAGUUUAAAGCAAACAAAGAAUAAUAAAUAUAGCACUUGCUCAGGUAACCACUAGGGUUUCGGAGUGACUCUACCUAGGGUGGGCUCUUAAGGCUCGUUACAUGGGGUUCGAUUAUAGAGUAAAGGUACCUGAACCAGCAGAUUCCUCGAUCUUCACCUAUUAUAGGCUCAUACAGACCGAGCGCAGUUUAGGGGAAUACAUUUUCCUAUGGCUAGACGGAGAUGAAAAUCUCACGAAGACAUAGGUACGGAUGUAUCCCGAAAGUGAUCCACUAUCCUGCACGGAGGUGAAAACCUCACAAAGGAGUAGUUUCUCACUCCCACUUAAAAGGGUGUGACCAUAGCAGUCAUGCAAUGCAAUAUGCAAAACUAUUUAAAGACUCAAACCAACGCAGCAGGUAUUAUAUCAUAAACCAUAAAAAAUAGCUGAUGAAAUGCAAUGAAAGGAUCGUAUUUCAAAACCAAAUUUUCAAUUUUUGAUAAAAAGACAAAAGUUAAUCAACUUGUGGCUUGACUUUCUUAUUUGGUCCCCAGCGGAGUCGCCAAGCUGUCGUAACCAUUUUUUGAAAAAACAGGGAUCGCCUUUGAUUUUGAAAAUGAAAAAAACGGGAGUCGCCAGCAAUCCUUUUUGAUGAGGUGUGAUCGGGUCACCUUGUAAAAGUGGUUGUUUUUAAUAAAUGAUUUGAUUUAUUUAAACAACAAUUUUGGUCUACGAAAUUUAAUAAAACGAGCUCGGGAGUCGGUUAUGUACGAGGAAGGAUUAGCAUCCUCGUAACGCCCAAAAUUGGUACCUAGUUGAUUAAUUAGUGUCUUAAGAUCGAAAAUUGAAAACUUGAAAAAGUUUGAAACACGAUCCUUCUUUUUGUAAAAAAAAAAUUGGAACGUUAAAGACAUUCUCGUCUUGAAGCAACAAAAUAUCAUAUCCAGUGAGUUAGGACACGACAUCUCGAACUUUUGAGAAUGAGCUUGCCUUUUACUCAGAAAUUCGUAUAUUUUAACCCCUUUUUAAAAGGAUAUUUGGUUAGUUAAGGUAAACGAGGAAAAUCAGAACCCGGUAAGCUGGGGCAUGUUUCCUCGAAUUUCCAAACACCGAAUAUUGCCUUUACUUGUGAAAAUCUUAUUUCGAGCUAACAAAAUGUCAUACCCGGUAAGUUAGGGCACAACACCUUGUAUUUCAGAGAAUAAGCAUUUUUUCAAAACUCGUGUUGUGACUUAAGAAGAUCAUGUUGUUAUUUAGAUUAAACGAGAAAAAUCGAAACCCAGUAAGUUAGAGCACAAUUUUCUCAAAUUUUCUAAAUACGAAGCUUGUUUUAUUUUAGAAAACACAAUGGUAUGCAUCGAGUAAAAGGCUAAUGCAAUCAUAAUUGCAUGGUGAAAUGAGAAUAAUAACCAUGACAAUAAAGAAUAAUAGCAAUAAUAAUAAUAAUAAUAAUGAAAAAAAUAUUAAGUUACAAUAGUAAAAUAAUAAUAGUAAUAAUAAUAGUGAUAAUAAUAGUAUAUUAGAUAACAAUAAUAAAAUAAUAAGUAAUAAUAAUAGAGUAUAAAUAAUAGUUAUGAAAAUAAUAACAAGUAAUAAUAAUAAUAAUAGUGACGAUAGUAGUAAUAAUAUAUUGAUAAUACAUAAUAGAAGGAAUAAUAAAAGGAUAUAAGGAUAAUAGGAAUAGUAAUAACAAUAAUAAUAAAGAAUACAAUACAUUAAUGAUAAUGAUAAUGAUAUAUGUUAAUAACAAUAAUAAUAAUAUGUAAAAAUAGAAAAUAAUAAUAUGGUAAAAAUAUUAAUAUAUUAAUAAGAAUAAUAGUAAUAAAAUAAGAUUAGAAUAACAAUAUUAACAAGAAUAAACAUAAAAGAGAUAGUAAUAAUGUAAAUAAUGAUGUAUAUAUGUAUGAAAAAUAAUGGUAGUAAAAAAUAGUAAUAAUAAUAAUAAUAGAAGUGGUAAUAAUAAAAUUAGAAUAAAAUAAAUACAUGUACAAGUAUAAUAAUAAUAUAAAUAAUGUAAUAAAACAACCAAAAGUCAUAAAAAGGACGUAAUUGAAUCUGAAAACAAAAUUUUGGGGCAAAUUCAAAAUAAAUAAAAGAGAAAGAGAUCAAAUCGCAUGCGCAAACAACUAGGAGGGACUAAAAUGGGCAAUAACCUCUUGUCCCAAAACGCACAGCUUCAAAGGGAUUCAAUUGGAAAAGAAAUAAAAUUUCUGGGCAUAAAUUAAAAGCCAAAAAAAUGAAAUUUAAAAGUAGAAAAAUGCGGAAGGACCAAAUGCGUAAUUAGACCAUCAAACGAAAACACGCGAAUCCUAGGCCUAGAACGGGUCGAGUUGGGUCGGAGGGGGCAAAACGAUGUCAUUUUGGGGUUAAAAGGCAGCCCCCAAAACGACGUCGUUUUGGGAGGCUAUAAAAGGCCUAAAUUUUUUUUAAAAAAUCACUUGCAACAGAGGAAAGAAAAAAAGGGGGGGGGAAGGGAAUUUCUCUUUGGACCAGGUCCAGCUCCGGCCAGGAGGGCCACCGUCGCCAGCCACCGCGCGAAAGGUAUUUUUUUUUGUUAAUAUGUAUAUAUAUGUAUUUAGCAAAAAAAAGGGUAAAUAGGUUCUAAAUAAAAUAAAAUAAAAUAAAAUAACAAAAAAAAGAAAAUAAUAAACCUUUUAUUCGAAACCUUUGAACUCUCCUUUGUAUUUUUUUCUGCGAUUUUAUGCUCGUAUUUAGAUCUGUUUCUUGUGGAUAAAUGACUGCCGAAUGUUUUGUAUUUUCAAAGAAAAGAAAAUUGCCGAAAAAAAACAAUACAUUUUCGCUUGGCUUUUAUAGCCAUUUACAAGCCUUUGUUUAUUACUUGUUGUCCUCUCUUCCUUUAAUUUUGCAGGUGCAAGUAGAGGUGACGCGACUAGGGCGGUGGAGCAGGUGGCCGACUGGCAUAGGUGAUGGGACAGAGGGCAGAGGCGGCAGCAGCUUAGUGUUUUCUUAGUUUUUUUUUUAAUCAUUGUGGGCUAGGGUUUGGGGCUGUUGGGUUUUGGUUUUGGGUAGGUAGAUUUGGUUUAAUUUGGGCCAAAAUGGGGCCUCAACAACUUAAAUUCUUAACUAAGUUGAUGUCCGACAACUUGGUUAGGAAAUUAUAAUAAUGCCCUUUUGUAAUUAAAAUAAGUAAUAUUAUUUGAGGGCAUUUUAGUCUUUUAACUUUAAAAAACAAUAUGGUAGGAUUCGAACCCACAUCAAUUGCAUUAAUAAAACUUUUAAUUUACCACUUAACUAAAACUUUAUUUUAAUAUUAUUAUACACUUUAGUUUUAUUAUGCACGCUCUAUUACCUUCAUAAGUUGUAUAUCUAUACUUAUUAUUAUCUAAACUCCAUACUGAGUUGGUGUCAUUCUCAAUCAGGUCACCAACUUAGUUAAAAAAUUACGAGAAUGCCUUUUUGUAAUUCAAAUAAGUAAUAUUAUUUGAGAGUAUUUUAGUUUUGUCACUUAAAAAAACCAAUAAAAUAUGCAUACGGUGGGAUUUGAACCUAGGCCAAUUGCAUUAGUAAAACUUUUAAUUUACCACUCAACUAAAACUUUAUUUUAAUAUUUCUUAUACAUUUUAAUUUACUACGAAUUUAGAACAUAUAUGUGUGUUUAAAAAUAACAUACAAUAAACAAUGAAAAAGUAUGGUUUGAAACUAACCAAUCAUAAUAACACAUGAAAUAUGUACGAUGAGGAAAUAAAAAAGAAUUAGGUUAGAUUAUGAGUAAAACAAAAUUUAAACACAUAAAUACAUCAGGUAAAUAGUACUCAAUGCACUACAAUUAUUUAUCAUGGUUUUUCAUCAAUGGUGAGUUUAGUGUUGAGUUGACUUGUGACACCAACUCAAUUAACAACAUUAUUAAUAUAUAUAUGUAUACAACUAAUAGAGAUAAUAAAUUGAGCAGUUUAAAAUAAAAAUAUAUAAAAUAUAUUAAUGAAGCUUUGGUUGAGUAGUAAAUUUAAGAUGUUAUUAACUCAAUUGGUGCGAGUUUAAAUCACUCCACAUGUAUAUUUUUAUUGGUUUUUUGUUAAAAUGAAAAGAUUAAAAUAUCCUUAAAUAGUAUAGAUGAGAUAUGUGAAACUCUAAAAGAAUAGCAACAAUAUGAAAUCUUCUUUCCAUAUCAAAAUUCCCUUUCAGUAUUGAACCCCGUCUGUUGAUAUUUGCUUGAAGCCAUCGGUUUAGUUCCUCAUGGGUUUGGAACAAAGGUUAGGUUUUAUCCAAAGUUGUGAUGGGAUUUUUUGUUUAAGUGUUUUCUGUUUUUAUUUUGAAUUUGAUUUCAGAUGGAAAUGUAAAUAUUGUAUUUCUUUGUUUUUCAAACCCAAAAAUUAGUGCUUCGAAAAGCUUAGGGUUUCGAAACCAAUAAAAUUGUGGCUUCGAAACUAAUAAAACUGUGUUGAGUUUGAUAUGAAUAUCGGGGAAGAGGACUAAAAUGAAUAAAAUGGAAAACGAUAUGAAUUACUAGAGUUAUGAUAUGUGAUAUGGAGGUAGGAUACAAAUGUGUUGGAAGACAUGAAAUAUAUGCGGGUUGAUGAUGAAUUCGAUUAUAAUUAUGAUUGUGAAUGAGAAAUGAUACGUGUAUUUAAUUGUAAAAUGAAGUUGAACAUUGAUAGUAUGCACUUCGUGCGUCAGGAAUGCGCUUUGUGCGCCAGUAUGCACUAUAUUUGUCAGUUUUCCUUACUUCAGUUUAUCUGAUGAUGCACUUCGAUACCAGUUUGUGACAUCCCCGACCUGGCCUAGGAGUUUUCAACUAAGUUGGAGGCUUUUCCAAUGAAGAUGGUCGUUCAUAUGUCAUUUGUGACGAUGAUUUUCACUACAAUAACUCACUAUCCUAGUUGUCCAAUUCUGAUAGCUUUAUACUACGAUAAGCUAUCAUCCCGGUAAACCCGAUUUAGGAUUAGUUUUCGUAUUGCUAGGGAUACUAGUACCAACAUUGGUUUGCAACAUGUGGAGACUUUGGUCUAGUUGGUCUUGCAUUUGACGCACUGUUGCGUGUAACAAAUGUAUCCCUUCAUCAAGUUUACUAACACUAAUGGCCAUAGGGGGUUAUUGUUAAAGGUAUGCUUCCUCUUAAGGUCUUGGGGUAUAUAGGGUUGCAAAGGUUGGUAAGGAGGGGCUAGUCUACUGUGGUUGAAGUUUCCCACACCUUGGUUUCCUCCUCACCUAAGGUUGGGAUGAUCACGCCACCCUAAGUUAUAGGUAUUUGAGUACGGGUUACCACCCCUAAUUCCCAUAUAGUUCCCCCCAAUCUAACUACCCUUUUGGUGAUUUCCUUAAGUAACUUUUCAUUUUCGCCCUCUACAUGAGCUCUUAUAAGAUGGUGUUUGUUAGGAAUGAGGCACAUUAGAGCUAAUUUCGAGGUUGUUAAACCUCCUGAGGAUUUGUAGGAAUUUGUCCUUUCUAUUGACUGCAUUCACAGUCGGUGAUUUAGCUAGACAUGUGAAUUUCUCAAUCGACCACAUGUAGGAGUUCACUGCCAAAUGUUCAAUGGGUUAGCAAUCUUCAAUGUAGGUUUUAGACAUGAAUGCCCUCGCAGAUGCUCCUUCUAAGCUUGACCUCAAAUUCCCGUCCAAACCAUUAUAGAAAGUUAGUAAUUGCAACCAGCCUUGUAGACCAUAGUAAUGGCACUUAUCUAGUGUUACUUUGAAGCGCUCGCAUGCCUCAUACAAUGAUUCCACCUCCAAUUGCCAGAAGUUGGUGAUAAUUAUCCGUAACUUCUUCUUUUUGCUCAGUAGGAAAUAUUUGGCAAGGAAUUGGUUGGCUAGCUCAUCCCACAUCACGAUAGAAUCUAUAAGCUACGAAUCCAAUCACAUAAAAGCGUCAUCACACGAAGAGAAAGGGAAUAACCAAAAACAUAUAGCAUCAUUGGAUACCCUGUUAUACUUAAAAGUAUCACAAGAGGUUAAAAAAUGCUGAAGGUGUUAUUGGGGUCCCCAUUCAUUGAUCCCCAGAAUUGGAGGGUGCUUUGUAUCAUCUAAAGUCUGGCCGACUUGAUCUCAAAAUUGUUGGAAUUAAUGGUGGGUCAGUUGAUAUACCUCGCACAGCAUCCAAGUUUGGCAUGAUAUAAUCUUUCGAUGUACGGUUCUCCAUUUGUCUCGAUCGUAUAGAGGGUUCAUGUUUCUCUAUGUUCGGAAGGCCUAAUGGUGGAUAUUCAAAUAAAAUAUUGCCAAUCAAUGGAUCAGUAAUCAGUGGUUCUAACUAUGGGUGACCUUCUCUCGAGGGUUGCCCUCGUCUUGCGCUGGUUAUUAUCUUUUUCGACUCAAGAUCAAAUGAGAUUAACUCGUUGCCGCUCCAAGUCAUACAUUGAGAAAUACAACCACAAGAAACACGGGAAAGUCAAGAAAUUAACUAAAAGAAUACAAAAAGAAAUACACAAAGAAGUAAAGUGCCUUAUUUAUAAACCUCGAUUUCACCAAUUAUCUUCCAAGUAAGACAUGAAAAAAUCACAACAAAUCAAUUCAUCACAAACACAUCUCUUAUGCAAUGACGCCAACAACUUGAUCACGCUACAGUGUAUGAACUCCUAGCAAAGAAUUAGCACAAAAUAUAAGAAAUUAAAAGUGGCUUAACUACAAGUAUGAUAGGUCAAUUGUAAUAUUUGUUAAGUGUUAUAAUGGAACACUUUGAGCUUUCCAAGGAUCAAACCAAGAGAGAUUAAAGUUAAUUAUGCUAAACUACCCUAAGGAGGACUAAAUUGAAUAACAAUCAAAAGUAUACAAAUAUCAAUUUAGUGAGAUAAAGUGGUCGAUUGAUAUCCAUAUUUCUAGUUAAUUCUUGGAUUAGGGAUCUAAAUUGGUCAAACCCUUAAUUAGUCCAAUUUUCCCUCUCGAUUACCAUUUUACCUAAUUAUACGAUUUAGUCUAGUUUUUCUCUUGACCUCACUAAACUAAAUCAAGACAAUCAAUUUGGUUCACAAUAGAAUCUCCUUUCGGUCUCAUCUAUCUAAAUGUUCAUCUAGAGGCGUCAAUUCUAGAUUUUGAAAUCUAUUCAAUUUAAUUCAAUUUUUAUGAUUUAGUCUCUGACCCAAAAAUUAACCAUGCAAUAUUUCAAUCAACCAACUACCAUAAAACUUAGUUCCUACUCAUCAUCACAAGACAAAGACCAACCAAUUUCAUGCUAAAAUAAUUCGUCAAAUAACCACAAAAAGACAAGUUUUAGAAAUACUUAGUGACUCAUGAAGGAUCCUUUAAUGAAGAUGAUGAUAACAAGAAAGAUGAUAAAUCCACAACAAAAAAAGAUAUAUAUUUUUUGAAAACUAACAAGAAUAAAAUCUGCCGAAUGCUUUAAAUAAAAGUUCAAAAUGACAAGGUUGAAUAUUGCAUCUACUUGGGAAAAAAAACUAAAACUACAGUAAAAGUAAAUGACAAGGUUGAAUAUUGUGUCAUAAUUUAAUGCAUGAGUUAAAUAAUGUUCCUUGAUAAAAGAAAUCCGUGAAAAAAGAAAUUGAAAAAAAAAGUCAAAUCGGUUUACCUUUAUAUGCUUAAAUUGACUUCAUUUGAUUUUAAAUUUAUCUUCAUAUAUAAAAAUAGUUCAUUCCUAUUAGUCCGUUUGUACCCAAAUAAAUUCUUUAUAUCAUAAAAAAAAAAAAAAACUCAAUGAGUUAUAACCUUAGUUAAAGAUUUAAGAUAUAAUAUCAUUAGCUAGUUAAGUCUUAAGAUAUAAUAUCAUUAGCUGAUUAAGUUUUAACUCAAUUGAUAUAUGUAUUAUUAUUAAUGCAGGAGGAUCUGAAUACGAGUGUGUUAAAACGCAUUGUUCUUCUAUUUAUGGAUGGGGAGGGACUAUGGGUAAUUUUAGGCAUUAUCUUAUAUAUAUAUAUAUAUGAUAAAAAUUUAUAAUAAGAUAAUUCAAAAAAAUGAGACUUAAGAUCCUUAAAGAUUAUUUAUUUAUUAUUUCGAAAAAUUUCGUAUUUAAUUCACUACUAAUAAUUUUUAUCUGUUUAGCAAAAAAUAUUUUGUUUAUUAAAAUUUUCAAAAAUAUUUUUAUUACAUAUAUAUAUAUAAGAAUAUUUGGUACAUCAGUAAGGAUGAAACAUGCCAUUUUCCAAUUUUUAUAUACCCAAAAUUAACAUUAUUUUUCAUAGUUUUUAAAUUGAUCCCUUAAACAGAGCAAAAUUCCAUUAAAAAAAAUCCAAAAGAGAGCGGGUCAAAUAAGUAACAAAUUUUUUUAUUUCAAAAUGCUAACAAGUAAACAAAAAGAAUUGAUUAUUGAGUAGGAUUAAAAAGCAGCAUGACAAACAUUUUUUUAUUAAGUAAAAUUUUAUAUCUAAAUAAGUUAGUAUUUUUAAAUAAUAUAGAGUCAUAGCAGUCUUACUUUACACUGUUAUUUCCUAAGAAAAUAAUUUCGGUAAUAAAAAGAUUGGUCAUAAGACUGCUGGGGGAUUGAGGACUUAAAAUUCUGUUAAAAGUAUGUCAAAAGCAAGGAAAAGAUUUAAUAUCAGUCAUGCCCUCAAACAUCUUUCAUCCUUACAUUUCAUUCAAUGAAGAAUAAACCAGAAGUAUAAACUCAAUUUUAACCUCUUCUAUAUACAUUACAUAAGAUUACAUUAAAUCAAGUACAAUUUUUUUUAUUAACUACUGUAAUUAUUUCUUUUUAAACAUAUUUAAUAUCAAAGAAAUUUUUAAGAUUUAAUUGAUACAUUACAUAAGAUAUUAUACAUUUCUAAACAUUUAUCUACUAAUAUUUUACAGACAUCAACUUUGAAUGAAAAGAAUCAAACAAAAGACAAAUCAACAUUUCUUUUAAUCUAUUUCCAAUUCUCAUGCAAUGGGCCCUACAUUCACUUUGUUUUCCAUAUUUGUUUUCUUGAAUUUAAGUUCUUUUUUGACUUAAAAAUCACCAUUACUUCUUUUUACCUAUAAAUACAUGCAACAAUUGCACUCUUAUCCUCACACAAAUUCUGUGCCAAAUUUCAAGAGCAAACCAAAAAAAGGCUGCAAAUUCAGCUUUUCAAUAUUUGCUUUUGAUCAAUCGAAAUGGCUUCACAAGUUUCUCAAAUGCCUUCUUCAUCACCCCUUUCUUCCAAUAAGGAUGAAAUGCGUCCCAAAGCCGAUUUUCAGCCUAGCAUUUGGGGAGAUCUCUUCCUCAAUUGUCCCGACAAGGUAUACACACAUAUGAGUAUAUUGACAUAUAAUCUUAACAGAUUAUUUGUUUAAUUAUUUAGUGAUUCAAUGUGAAGAAAAUUUUCAUUAUUUUGAGCAGAAUAUUGAUGCUGAAACUGAAAAGCGCCACCAACAAUUGAAAGAAGAAGUGAGGAAGAUGAUUGUGGCACCAAUGGCUAAUUCAACCCAAAAGUUAGCCUUCAUUGAUUCAGUCCAAAGACUGGGUGUGAGUUACCAUUUCACCAAGGAGAUCGAAGAUGAACUAGAGAAUAUCUACCAUAACAACAAUGAUGCCGAGAACGACCUCUACACCACAUCCAUUCGAUUCCGACUACUCAGAGAGCAUGGAUACAAUGUUUCAUGCGGUAAUUAUUGGAACAACAACAUGGUAUUUUUAAGUUUCUUGAGUAUAUAAUAGCAUGGAAUAUUUGAUAACAAAUUUCAUUUUGGGUAAUUUCAUCUCAGACGUAUUCAACAAGUUUAAAGAUGAGCAAGGGAAUUUCAAGUCAUCCGUGACAAGCGAUGUUCGAGGAUUGUUGGAACUUUACCAAGCUUCUUAUUUGAGGGUUCAUGGGGAAGAUAUAUUGGAUGAAGCAAUUUCUUUCACCACCAACCAUUUAAGCCUUGCAGUAGCAUCUUUGGACCAUCCUUUGUCCGAAGAGGUUUCUCAUGCUUUGAAACAAUCAAUUCGAAGAGGCUUGCCCAGGGUUGAGGCAAGGCACUAUCUUUCAGUAUACCAAGAUAUUGAGUCCCAUAAUAAGGCUUUGUUGGAGUUUGCUAAGAUCGAUUUCAACAUGUUACAAUUUUUGCAUAGGAAAGAGCUAAGUGAGAUUUGUAGGUAUGUUUUUUAAUCUCUUUCACCCAUUUUUUUUCUUUUUCAUCUUUUUUUAAUUUUUUUGGUGGAAGGGCAGGUUGAAUUUAUAGAAGGCAUCAUUCUCAGAAUAGGAGACGAGUUGCAAAUGCUAAUAUUUGAAUCUUAUUAAAAACACAAGUUAAAAGUGAUGGCAUGAACCUUAGAUUCAUCUUUUUCACCUAUUUCAUUUUACUUAUAUAUUUUUUAUAAUUUGAGGUUCCCAAUUGACUUAAGAAUCUAACAAUUUACUCAUUGACAACAUGAAUGUGAAACUAAUUAAAACUUUGAAUAGUCAUUGCGUUAAUGGGGUUUUUUAUAAUAUGAUUUUUUAGGUGGUGGAAGGAUUUAGACUUUCAAAGAAAGUUGCCAUAUGCAAGAGAUAGAGUUGUUGAAGGUUAUUUUUGGAUCUCUGGAGUGUACUUUGAGCCCCAAUAUUCACUUGGUAGAAAGAUGUUGACAAAAGUGAUAGCAAUGGCAUCCAUUGUAGAUGAUACAUAUGACUCAUAUGCAACAUAUGAAGAGCUCAUUCCCUAUACAAAUGCAAUUGAGAGGUUCGUUUUCUUUAAUUUUGUUAGUAAUAGGUUAGGUUUCUUUAGUUCAAGUGAACAUUCAAGUAUAUAUUACAAGGAAUGAUCAAAUAUAACGUUGAGGGUGGAUUCAGGUGGGAUAUCAAAUGUAUAGAUGAACUUCCUGAAUACAUGAAACCAAGCUACAAGGCACUAUUAGAUGUUUAUGAAGAAAUGGUACAAUUGGUGGCUGAGCAUGGGAGACAAUAUCGUGUCGAGUAUGCGAAGAAUGCGGUAUGUACAUCUGCAAACAUUUAUUUUAUACAAAAGAGAUAAGAUCUUAGCUAAAUUCUAGAUUUGAAUAAACAACUAACUUGAAUAACAAUAAAUAAUCAUUUAAAUAUUAUUUUGAAUUUUAAUUGAUAUUAGUGAUAAUUGUUGGGAUUUUGUUGCCUCAGAUGAUACGACUUGCUCAAUCUUAUCUUGUGGAGGCCAAAUGGACUCUUCAAAACUAUAAACCAUCAUUCGAGGAGUUUAAGGCUAAUGCAUUGCCAACUUGUGGUUAUGCCAUGCUUGCUAUUACAUCUUUCGUCGGCAUGGGAGAUAUCGUAACACCAGAGACCUUUAAAUGGGCAGCUAGUGACCCUAAGAUCAUUCAAGCGUCCACAAUUAUUUGUAGGUUUAUGGAUGAUGUUGCUGAACACAAGGUAUAAUAAUAUAUUUAUAUAAUCACAAGAAACCUAACUCUUAACUCAAUAAUUGAAUGUCUUUGUAACAAAAUUAAAUGAUGGUUUUUAUCAUGAUCUGAAACAAUUAAAAUAUAAUGUUUACAUAUCAAAUGUUUAGUCUUAAAUCGAAAAAUAAGAAAAUAAAUCUAGUUUCAUUUUAAACAAAUAUAGUUUAAUAAUAUGAUAGAUUUUAGGGUAUAUAGUGAUAGAAUAAUUUUGAUUUUAUUAUGGUUGCAGUUCAAGCAUAGGAGAGAAGACGAUUGCUCAGCAAUCGAGUGUUACAUGGAAGAAUAUGGCGUAACAGCACAAGAGGCAUAUGAUGUAUUCAACAAGCAUGUUGAGAGUGCUUGGAAGGAUUUAAAUCAAGAGUUUUUGAAACCAACAGAAAUGCCAACAGAGGUUUUGAAUCGUAGCCUAAACCUUGCAAGGGUGAUGGAUGUGCUUUACAGGGAAGGCGAUGGCUAUACAUAUGUUGGAAAAGCGGCAAAGGGUGGAAUCACUUCAUUGCUCAUUGAACCAAUUGCACUUUGAAAUUAUGUUAAUUUUUCCUCUCCAAGCUUGUUUCUUAAGAAAUAGUUAUUAAGUUCUAAUUAAUAAUGUUUUAUAAUAUUCAUAUAUUAUAAAAGAAAGUCCAAAUCGAUUGUCUUUGUACUUAUUGCCUUAUAUUAAUUCAAUAAGGUUCUUUCCAAACUUUUCAUUGUGAAAAAUCUUCUAUUUUAUAUAUUAUUUGAUUUUAUAUAUAUACAUAUAUAUAUAUUGGUAUAAAAGAAUAUGUAAUAUAAAAAUAAGAUGAGUUAUACCGGAAUUAAGAUUAAAAAGAAUCUACUAAACAUUACCACCUAGCGUUUAACUAAUACUUAAUACCUUUUGUAUAUAUACAUUAAUACCUUUUGUAUAAUGUUCUCAAUAGUUUUUACAUGCAAAACAAAAUGAAAGAAGACAUUGACUCAUUGGUUAUCUAGCGUUUAACUAAUACUUAACAGUAUUACGUGAGCAAAUCAUAAUAUGGAAAAUAAUUUGUAUUAGUAGAUGAACCUAAACAUGUACUUAGUCUAAUAAAAAAUAAGCAAACCAAUUGAAAGACUAAUAUGCAGUUUGUCAAGUCUAAUUGGGGAGAUAUUUUGUCUUGGGCAUUGAAGCGAAUGACUCCUAGAAGAUAGAGAUAUAGAUGUGACUGAAUGGACUGACAGUAUAUCAUAAAAAACUCAAGUAGAAUAGAUCCUGAAUCCGUUUAUAGAUUUAUUCACUUGUGAUGAUCAUAGUGUGACAUACGUUAAUCAUGAGUGGGUGAUGGACUAUGUAUGUGUGACUCAUAUACUUUGAUGUAAGUAAAAUCUUGUGUUAAAAAAUAUAAAGAACCGAAAGUUAGUAUGUUAGGUAUGCGACUUUUGCAAUAAGUAGCAUCAUUCGCAAUAGUGGAAUUCAUAGCCCAGUGAAUGGGUAAAUGAUAUCCUCCCAUUGGCAUUACAUGAUAGAUGAAAAGUAAAUGUGGUCACGAGUCAUUUAUCUUUGUGAUAAUUGACUUAAUUACUAUUUGAUAGUAAUUGACGUUUUAUGAAGAAAUAUGUAAUAGUUACCAUGAGAUAAAAAUAGAAUCAUAUUAGGAGAACAUAUUUAUCCCAAAGAGAUUAAGAAUAUCCUAUGAGGGUAACAAACUUAUGACAAGGUCAUUGGACGAGCACUGAUCGAGUAGCUUUCUUAAUGGUAUAUAAUUGGGGAAAGCUCAGUCGUGAUACUAUAGUGGAAUGACUUCAUGACUAAUUGAGUUUAUAAUUAAUAGGCAAAAAGUUGGAACUUAAUUAUAAAUCAUUUAAGCUCUAAUUAAAUAUGUCCAAUCAGUCCCCGCUAGCUCAUUGAAAUCAGAAACGAAUUGCAUAUAAAAUCAAAUGAACAAAAAUGGAUAGAAAUGAUAAACAUAGAGAAUUGGGUUAAAUUUGGAAAUGAAUGUGGUUUCUUACUAAGUAUGGAAAUGAUCUGAGAAUUAAUUUAAGUUUUUCAAAUUAUUUUUUAAUCAAAUAAUUGAAGUUUGAAAAUGAUUUUAAAUUAAUUUGUUAUUGUGAAUCCAUUGAAUAUCGAAAUUAAAUAUAUUUUCUCAUAGAUUUUUUUAUGAUAAAGUUGUCAUAAAUUAUUUAAUUGGAAAAUUAAAUAAUUAAAAUUAAUUUAUAAAUAAUAUUUAUUCGAGAAAUAGAAAAACAUGUAUUGCGUUGGAUUAAAUUAUAAAGUGUUGGGUUAAAAGUUCAGGAAGCACAUAUGUAAACGGGUCAAUUUGCCCGGGUCCACACCAAAACCAAAAUACAAAACAAUAAUAAGCCAAACUAAUAAAUAAUUAAGUCUAAGUCCAAAGUCCAUAACCCAUUACAGACCCAAAACCAUUACAGUGCCCCAAAACCCAAAUACUUAGAAUCCAAAACGGACCCCAAAAUGCUACAAACCCAGCCCGAUGGCCCAACACAACAGAAACAGGCUCCAAGGGCUUGUUACUCGAACAAUCAGCCAAAUAGAAACCCUAGGGUUUCCACUCUUGUGCCGCAGCCAAGCCCAACCUUUAGUACCGUACAACCGCUACGGGCGACCUCCAUACGCCUUACUCCGAGUGCCACGACCAUGCCUCCGUAUGCUCCGUACACGCACCUCCACAGCCUGUACCUACACACCAAAUGCAAGAGGACAACAACAAAUAUAGAAAAAAUUAUAUUUUUUUAUUUUGAUUUUUCUUUUCGGCUAUAAAGCCAAGAGAUAUCAUUUUUGUGAGGGUUACGCACACUAAAUAUCAAAAAAAGCACUUCGAAAGUAAAUUUUUAAGGUGAUUUUUUUUGUUUCCUAAUGGCUUUAGUUUUCUGUGAAUUAUUUCGUUUUCUUUUUCAGUCAUUCGCUGUUGCUUUUUAAAAAUAAAAGAGCAAGAUAAUAGCGGGGUCUUACCUUGCAAAUCAGCCAUUGAUUCUUCUUUGCUUCGUCAGAAUUGAAGGCAAAGAGGAAUCUCGAGGCCGUAAAGCGUUUCAAAGGGGCGAAUAUGCCUGUUGUUGGCUGCGAAGGAGUCAGGGCCAAGUGAUUAGGUUUAGGUCGGCUGAAGGAAGGGGAAGCUAGGGUUAUUGUGGCUGGAUGGUCUGAUUUUAGUCCUUUUAAAGGACCAAGUACGGUGCCGUUUUGAGCCUGUAUCAAUGGCUCCAAAACGGUGUCGUAUAGUGACUACCCGACCCGAUCCGAUCCAUUACCCCUAGGAUCCACAUGUUCUUGCGGAGAGGGGAUAAUUUCGAAAUUAGUCCUUCCUUUUUGUACGGGCAUUCAAUUUUGCCUUAUUUAUUUCACUUCUUUUUUAAAUUUGGCUUUAUAAUUUACGCAUAUUUUCAAUUCGGUCCGCGCCUAAACACUGCGUUUUGGGAUCUGGAUUAUUUACUGCUUUAGUCCCUGAGCAUUGUAUUCGUGGAUGCUGGUCCUUUUUGAUUUCUAUGGCCUAUUUUAUUUAUAAAUUAUCCCUUUUAUUUUAAUUCAAUUUUAAUUUAGUUUUCUAUUUGUAUAACUUACCAUUUUAAAAUACAUUUAAUAUUCUUAUAUGUGUUUAUCCAUUCUAAUAAUCUUGUUUGUUUUUAUUUGUGCAAUUAGUUUGAAGUUUUUUUAUCAUAUUAUUUUAACAUUUUGCAUAAUAUUUCUUUAAACAUUCUAUAUAUAUUUGUACAUAUAUUAUUCUCAUUGAAUUUUCAAUUAGUAAUGCCUAUUAUUUUGAAGUUCUCAAUAUUUUUAUAUAUGUGUUAAGCCAUUUUAAUAACUUUAUAAAAUCAUCGUUUUAAAAUUCUUCUUACAUUAAAUUAUUUUAAUAUUUUUAUACAAUAUUUUGUUUGAAUGUUUUUGUAUAUAUUGGUACAUAUAUUCGAUCCUAGAUACAUAUUUAACUCCAUGCUAUUGUUACAUAUAAUUGCUUUUAAAAUUUAUAGGUAUAUAUAUAUAGAUAUAGAUAUAUGUGUUUUUUUAAUCUAUUAUGUAUAUAAUUUAUUUCCUAAGAUUUUAUUUUAGUAUAUAUAUAUUUUACUAUCUUUUCAAAUUUCAUGUAUUACUUAAAGUUCCCUUUAUUGUGUGUAUAUUGUCUAUUUUUAAUAAAUAUUUUUAUUUUGCAUAUUAUUCGGACCCAAAUGUAUUCGCUCUAUAACAUCUACUUUAAUAAUUAUAUACAUCCCUAGUUUCUUAUGCAAAUUAUUUCAAAUUCAUCAAUUCAUAUAUUAUAUAUAUUAUAUGUUCAUUAGUUCAUCAUUCUUUUAAAAAUGUCUUCUACCACAUUGACUUCUAAUUUCCAUCUUGUUCUGUACAUUUUAAGUUAACGUUUUUUAUGUUAUACUAUAUACAUUGUCGUUGCAUAUUAUUUACUUAUUGUUUUGUAUUGUUAAAUCAAUUAUUCUCCAUACAUUUUUGAAAAUUGGGUUAUAUUUUUUAGAUUAGUUAUAUUUAAUUGUUUAUUUUGCUAGUUGAUUAAAUAAGUUAUAUUAUCUUCAUUCAUCAAGCAUUGUACUUUGUGUGUUCAUAUUCUCCCAUGUUUAUUAUUCCUCUUUUUAUACAAAUAUUACCUUGUAAUUUUCAACUUAUUAAUCCAAAUUAAUGAUUCCAUUUUAUUUCAAGUCAAAUUAAUGCGUUUUGAGCUAGUUCUACAAUUGUUUAUUUGAAAACUUACUAAAACAAAGGUAAUGAUUGAUGUUUGGGAACUCGAGGAGUCGUGCCCUACCGUGCUGGGUUUCGAUUUUCCGUUUGUCCAAAAUAAUCAAUUAUUCAUUUGAAAUUGCAUCUGUAUUUUUUAAAUUCCAAAACAAAGGCAAUGUUCAAUGUUUGGAAAUUCGAAAAAUCGUGCCCUACCGUGCUGGGUUUCGGUUUUUUCGUUGGACCAAAUAAGCGAACAUCCUUUUGUAAUUUUCAAGUGUAUGGGCUUUUAGAAAUCAGAAUUGAUCGUAGUUUCGAGGGUUUAAAAGAUCAUGUCCUAACGUGCUGGAUGUGAUACUGUAUUCCUUUGAAACAAGCGAAUCUUGAUGUCCAAUUUGAGUCAUCCAAGUGUUUUAAAAGAAAUCGUAUUUCAAAAUAUUUUUUAGGCAUAAGAACAUUAUUUAAUCAAUUCGGAACCAAUUUUGGGGCGUAGCGAGGGUGUUAAUCCUUCCUCGUACGAAACCGGCUCCCGAACAUGUUUUCUCAAAUUUCGUAGGCCAAAAUUGAUUUAAAUGGAACAAAAUGUUUUAUUAGGUGAUCCAAUCACACCUAAACAAAAAGAUUGGUGAAGACUCCACAUUUGAUUUUAAAAGUCGAUCCCCAUUUUUUCCAAAAAAAAUGGUUUUGACAACAUAUAAUUAGUCUCAAUAUAGGAGAGGCCUAAAACCCCUCAUAAUACAUGAGGGGUAGCAACCCUAGUAUAUUUAACUAGGAUGUGUCAACCCUCUCUCCUAGUUGAACUAGGGGGCUAAUUUUUCUAUUAGAUAAGUAUUAUUUAUAUUCUACUAAUUCAACCAGCAUUCUUUUAUCUCUCCUAUAGACAGAUGGUACUAGUAGGGCUAAUAAUACAAAAGUUAUAUACACAACUUUGAGAUAUUGUUAUUUUUUCAAAAAAUAGUGACAAUUAUUUUCGAAGUAUAAAUUCUAUUUUCUAGGAAUAACAAUUCUCCCGGUUUCUAUUGACAGAAUUACUUUCCUACUGAAAGCAACAAUUCUAUGUUUGAUUUGAGAUUGUUCAAGCCCACACUCAAAGCGAUUCGAUGUACAAGAAUAAUGGAGAAAGUUGUUCGGUUGAAAGCCAGAAACAUCAAGAAUUAGUCUCACACAAUACAUAGGUACUUUUCAGGAAACGUUUAUUGUCGUAGAUAUCACAAACCGAUUUGAUUUUCGAAUUUUUAAUUUUAUGUCAUAACAAAAACUCGAUUUUAAACUGGAUUUUUUUCAACAAAUUGUUACUGAGUAGCACUUGACAGUACCAACUGCAAACUACCACAAGGUGGUUAAAUACUCUCACUAUCAAGCAAUUCAAGAUGUAGAUAUUGACCAUCAAAUUCGAUACUUUCAGAAUGCAAGAGUCAAAAAGCAGUGAUGAGCUUAGUUGUGUGACUUAUCUUGUCAGACAUUUGCACGGAUUACUUAAACCCAAAAUUAAUAAUAAAAAAAACAGUCUACCAAAAUAAGAUGUGUUAAAUCAAAGGAAAAUAAUCAAGCGAAUUUAUAAUUUUAACGAAGAUCUUGUUGGUUGAAAAUUUUAAGUAUUUUAUAUUUAUAUUUAAAUUUUAUUAUAUGUAAUUAUCAUAUUUAGCUCUUUAGUUUUAUAAUGUGUCGUUGUUAAGUGUAUAUUUUAGUCCAAUGAUUCGAUUUUAGUUUUAAUUAUUUUAAUUUAAAAUGUAUUUUAUAUUAAUUUAAUUCUAUUUUAUAAUUAUUCCAACAUGCAUUUAUAAUUAUACUAUAAUCACAAUAGAAUUUAUAAUUUGAUAUCUUUUUUUUUAUAUUAGUUUUAUAUCCUAACACAUCAUGAAUUUGUCACUUAAAUUUGUAUUAUACUUAUUUUGUUAUUGAGACUUUGAAGAUGAUUGUUUUACAGUUGUGAUUUCCUUUUUUAACAUGUCAGUCUUAGAGAAAAAUAUAUAUUGAAUAUUUAAAUUUAUAUAAUAUAUGAGAACGUGGAUUUGAGUGCGAUAAAGUACAUUAUUUUCUAAUUUAAGGGUUAGGAAAGAAUUAUAAGUAGUUUUAGGUAUUAGACAAAAAAAAUAGUUGAUUUGGAAUUAAUAAAAAUGUAAUACUUAAUUGUUCAUAAGUUUAUUAUCAAUUAAUAAAAAAUUAAUUCUAAUAAUUCUUUUUCAUUUUUUUAGUAAAUUCAUUUUAAAAAUCUAGAGACUUUAAAGUCAAUCAAUAGAGCACAUGCUUGUUGGAAAUACUUUAAUUCUGGGAUAUCAAUGCCAUUAGUAAAACUACGCAUGCACAAUAAAAUAUUAAAAAGAAAUAAGAUAUUAAUUUUAUUGAUAACAUUCAAUUAUAAAUAUAAGACGCCAUUGUUGAAAUUUGCUUACUCUGAAUAUUUUACUUCUCAAUUCUAAUGUAUCAGAAAAUUUUAAAUGAUGGGUUUUGAAUAUAAAUUUCUAGUAUUCACUGAAUCAUACAACUAUGGAGUUUACAAUUCAAAUUGAAAAUAUUGUGAAAAAUAACUUAUUCAAAUAGUCAAGCCUUCUUAUUGUUAAGUUUUUACUAUUAUAAUGGUACUACAUUUACAAAUAUAAAUACAUGUUUAAGUUUUAUCUUUUACAUAAAUGAUAUGAUUCCAUUUAUGGAAUGAAUGGUGAGGACUUAAAAUACCAGAGGUUUAAAUUAAUUCAUGAAAUUAUUUAUUAUUCUAAAAUACUCUUCAAACAAAAACAGAUCAAGAGUCAAUGAAAAGUCACUCACUUUCUUAGAGAAACUGUUGGUGGCUAGGGGAAUUUCAGCUACGAUAGGCAUCAUCAUCUGUCCAUUACAACAUGUGAAGACAACAAAGAUACUUAUAAAAUAGAUCUAUUAAUUGAAAAGAGAAAAAACACAUGGAAUAGAUAAGGAGAAAAAAGAAAGAGAGUUGAUGGGAGGGAGCAAUAGGUGGGCGGUAGCUAGCCCGGAGAUUGCCACUGUUUCUACACAAAACAAAGAAGAAAAAACAAACUGCUUGGAGAAAAAAAAGAGAAAAGACCUAAAGGACUAAAUUGCUCACUUUUAUACUUAAGGAGUUAAUUUGUUCUUUAGUUUAUAAUACAAGGAUCCACAUUAUAAAUUUUCCAUUACAAAUGGACGCCUUUGAUGAAAUUUGCUUUAUUUUAAUCUUCUGUGUUAAUUCCAAUGUAAAAAAUGGAAUAUUCUAAACGAUGGGUUUAAAAUAUAAAUUUUUAGUAUUGACUGAAUUGCAAGUACGGAGUUUACAAUUCAAAUUGGAAAAAUAUGUUAAAUUAAUUGUGAAAAAAAAAUCAUUACUCAAAGAGUCAAGCGGUCUUGUUUGAAUAGUUGAUUUUUAUUAAAUAUUUUUCGCUGUUUUCACAAAUUUGUGUGCAAUUUCGUAGUUAUAUAUAUUGAGAAUUUCGUCAUUAAAUUUGUCUACUUUGUCUUUUACGAUGAUUCAAAUGACUUUUCAAUGCUCUCAGUGUAUCAAAUAUAUCAUAUGAUUUUAUGUAUUAUUUCUCAAGUCAAUUAUUUUACUGCUAUUUUAUGGAUCGUUGAAAAUAUGAUCAACAUGCCUUUUUUUUUCUCCAUGCAUGAAUGAUGACAUUAUGUUAGUGAACAGUUUACUAUCUCUAUAUAAUGUAUAUUAAUAAAUGUUUUUGGUGAAUUAUAAGUGGAGGCAAAAUUUUAAUAGUAAUGCGAUUAGCACGAUUCAAACUUAAGUCAUAAUUGGAGCAAUGAAUAACAUGACCAUUAGGCCAACACAUAGGUUCAUAUAUUAAUUGUAGCGACCUAAAAAUUUGGAGUACGGGCGCUAAUUGAAGUGAUUAUUAAAAAUUUGAAAAUUGAAUCUCGACUUUAUUUGAAAAGGAGUCGCCACCGAUCUUUUUUUCAGGUGUGAUCGGACACCUACAAAAUUCUCUUUUCAGAAGAAAAAUUUAUUUUUAAACUUUUCUAAAAAAGAGGCAAUUUUAGGUCCACGUAAAAAUCCAGAGAAAAUUAGGGUUCGGGAGUCGGUUACGCGCGAGGAAGGUAUUAGCACCCUCGCGACGCCCAAAAUUGGUAUCUCGUAAAACGCGCGUUGUCUUAAUUUUCCAAAAUACAAGUUCAAUUUAAUAUUUAAUUGUGAUCCGAUUGAAACUUGAGAAAACCCUUUUUUUUGUUUUUAAACACGAGAAAUUUGAAACAAAAUAAUAAUUUUUUAAAACACGAAGAUUUUUGAAACACGAAAAUUUUUUGAAAACACGAAAACACAAAAUAUUUUUAACACGGGAAUUUUUGAAAACACGACAGUUUUUUUUUAAACACGAAAAUUUUUUGAAAACACAGAAAUUUUUUGAAAACAAGGAAAUUUUAGAUACAUGAGAAUUCUUUGACACGAAAAAUUUUGAAAACAUGAGAAUUCCGAAAACAUGAAUUUUUUAAAACAUGUAAUUUUUUAAAAAACACGAGAAUUUUUUGAAAACACGAAAACAUGAAAAUUUUGAAAACACAGGCAAUUUUUUAAAACACGAAAAUUUCUGAAAGACGGGAGUUUUUUUUGUUUUUUGUUUUAUUUUAAAACACGAAAAUUUUUCAUUUGAAAACGCGAAAAUUUUUUCAUUUUAAAACGCGAAUUUUUUUUUAAAACACGAAAACUUUUGAAAACGCGAAAAGUCGAAAAUUCCUAAAAUACGAGUAAUUUUUAAAGACACGAAAAUUUGAAACACGAAAUUUUUUUUAAAACGUACCGUAUUUAACACGAAUCGAUGAUGUUCACCCCAACAUGGCGAUGAAAUCGACGAAUUAAUGUCAAACCAAUUCAACUUAAUAUUUAAUCAGAAUUCCAUUAAAACACGAGGAUUUUUUUUAAAUACGAGGAUUUUUGAACAUUUUUUUUAAAAGGACGUCCCGAAUUUAACACGAGCUAUCGAUAUCCACCCAUCAUAGCGAUGAAAUCAAUAGCUUGAUGCUAAAUCGGUUCAUUGCCUUAUGCAUUAAAAUAAUUUUUAUUUUAAACAUGCAAAUAAAAUGACAUAAUAAUAUUUAUAAAACUAUUCUAAAAAUGUAAAUUUAAAUUAAAUGAAACACCAUUUAAAUAUAUGAGUUAAAUUAAAAUGGCUUUAAAAAAAAUUUACCAAAAGCCCAAAAUUGUGGGCUUGAAGAAUAGGCCCUCUUCUCUUUGCUUCUUUUUUUUUGUUGGGCUGCUACUUGCGGGCUGCAAGGAAAUGGGCUGAAUCUGUUGGACUAUUGCGCUGGGCCUGCUAAUGAACUGGAGCUGCACGGGUGGGCCACUGCUGGUGGGCUACUGCUGGUCCACCAAAACUAGCCUGCUGUUUUUUAUUUUUUAUUUUUUAUUUUUUAUUUCUUUUUUCUCUCUUUUUCUUCCUCUUUUUUCUUCUUCUCUUCUUCUUGUCUCAAAGUCUUGGCCCUUCUUUUUCACCGCCGUCGGUGUCUCCUGGGUACGGUGGUUGGACGGUCGCCGGCGUUCUCCUUUCCCUCCUCUCUUCUUCUUCUUUCUACUUUACUUUUUUUUGCUUGCUUACUGCUAUUUUCCUUUCUUUUGUUUAUGCUUGCACAUUUCUUAGCUUGACUUCGGCGAGGAGCAACGAUGAUCGUUGCACGGCGAUCGUGGUGGCGUGUGUACGGUGGCGGUGAGCGUGGGAUCGGCCCAUGGGAGUAUUUUUUUUUGCUGCUGGAAUUUUCUGCUAUUUUUUUUGCUUUUGGUUGCCGAAAAAUCCCCCCCCUUCUCUUCAAUUUUUCUUUUUUAAAAGCUCCAAAUUUUGUCCUCUUUCUCUUUGUUUUCAGGUGGCAGCGGAGAGGGGAGGCCUGAAAAUCUAGGAAGUGGGUGCCCCAAAUAACGUAACCUGUCUGAAGGACCAAAUCACAAAUGCAGCAAAACUUCUGGGGCUAAAUGUAAUUUUUAGAAAAUUUAGGAUUAAAAUGAAAUUUAAUGAAAUUUUAGGGGUCUAAGUGAAAUUUAAAGAAAGUUUAAGGGUCAAAAUGAAAUUUAGGAAAAGUUUGGGGGUCAAAAUGCAAUUUUUAUUUUUUAAUUUUUUUUUUUGAAAUUUUGAAAAUUAAACACAAAUUCUAGUCGGACAAAAAUUUAGUGCUUACAACUGCCCCUCUUUGCUCAUCAUUGUGAAACAAGGAUAGUGCAAAGACUUAAAAGCACUAAAUUUUGUUCAAUUGUCCAAUCUUUAUUCUUUACUCGGCAUGUGAUCCUGAGCUCAACUCAUUUCUCGCAAUAUGAAUUGACUCUUUAAAACUAGACAUUAAAAAUAGAAAUUGAAAAUAGCUCAGCACGUGAGCCAAGGCUCAACUCACUUCUCGCAAUAUGAGUUGAUUUUUGAAAACAGAAUUUGCAAAAGGCUCAACUCACCUCUCGCAAUAUGAGUUGAUUUUUUUGAAAAAUAGAAAAAGGCUCAACUUACCUCUCGCAAUAUGAGUUGGUUUUUGAAAAAUAGAAAUUAAAAGGCUCAACUCACCUCUCGCAAUAUGAGUUGAUUUUUGAAAAACAGAAAUUGAAAAGUAGAAAUUGAAAAUACCUCAGCGUGCCCUGAGGCUCAACUCACCUCUUGCAAUAUGAGUUGAUUUUUUUUUUGAAACACAGAAAUUAAAAAAAAAUAGAAAUUAAAAACAGAAUUUGAAAAGACCUCAGCGUGUGGCCUGAGACUCAACUCACCUCUUGCAAUAUGAGUUGAUUUGAAAAGUAGAAUUAGUAAGCAGAAAUUGAAAAUACCUCAGCGUGCCUUGAGGCUCAACUCACCUCUCGCAAUAUAAGUUGAUUUUUGAAAAGUAUAGAUUGAAAAAAACAUAAAUUGAAAAUACCUCAGCAUGUGAGCCGAGGCUCAACUCACCUCUUGCAAUAUGAGUUGAUUUUUGAAAAACAAAAAUUAAAAGGCUUAACUCACCUCUCGCAAUAUGAGUCAAUUUAAAACAUAAACUAAAAAUACAUCGGCGUGCCCCGAGGCUCAACUCAUUUCUUGCAAUAUGAGUUGAUUUUUUUUUUAAAUUUAAAAAUACCUCAACGUGUCUUGAGGCUCAACUCAUUUCUCGCAAUAUGAGUUGAUUUUGAAAAACAAAAAUUAAAAGGCUUAACUCACCUCUCGCAAUAUUAGUCAAUUUAAAACAUAAACUAAAAGUACCUCGGCGUGCCCCGAGGCUCAACUCACUUCUCGCAAUAUAAGUUGAUUUUUUAAAAAAUUUAAAAAUACCGCAACGUGUCUUGAGGCUCAACUCAUUUCUCGCAAUAUGAGUUGAUUUUGAAAAACAAAAAUUAAAAGGCUUAACUCACCUCUCGCAAUAUGAGUCAAUUUAAAACAUAAACUAAAAAUACCUCGGCGUGCCCCGAGGCUCAACUCACUUCUCGCAAUAUGAGUUGAUUUUUUUAAAAAAUUUAAAAAUACCUCAACGUGUCUUGAGGCUCAACUCAUUUCUCGCAAUAUGAGUUGAUUUUGAAAAACAAAAAUUAAAAGGCUUAACUCACCUCUCGCAAUAUGAGUCAAUUUAAAACAUAAACUAAAAAUACCUCGGCGUGCCCCGAGGCUCAACUCACUUCUCGCAAUAUGAGUUGAUUUUUUUAAAAAAUUUAAAAAUACCUCAACGUGUCUUGAGGCUCAACUCAUUUCUCGCAAUAUGAGUUGAUUUUGAAAAACAAAAAUUAAAAGGCUUAACUCACCUCUCGCAAUAUGAGUCAAUUUAAAACAUAAACUAAAAAUACCUCAGCGUGCCCCGAGGCUCAACUCACUUCUCGCAAUAUGAGUUGAUUUUUUUAAAAAAUUUAAAAAUACCUCAACGUGUCUUGAGGCUCAACUCAUUUCUCGCAAUAUGAGUUGAUUUUCCUUGGAAAGCAUGAAUAUUAAACAUCAAAAUACCAAAACCAGUCCUUUGGUAGAACUCGGGUAUCUUUUCCUUUGAUUCAGUGCGACUCUCAUUCAAGAUUUCUUGCUUUACUGGAUUACCUGUAUAUGCCAUGCAUGAUGUCAUCAUGAUAUGCACAUGUUUGUCUUAAAUGCCUUUAUGCCUACAUGAUUAUGCAGUGCUCCUUAAGCAUAUUGGUCGUAUGUCAUUUUCGCCAUGAUUGUUGAGGAUCUGCGUUCAUUGCUUUGAUUCUCGACCUUCUCUUCAGGCCUCAUACCUGUCUUCGAGCUUUACGAGUAAUCGACGUUUCUCAGAUAUCACCCUUUUUGCCCUUGGUUAAACUUUGUUCUUGCUUUGAAGAUCUUGCACUUAUCAAAUUCUUAUCCGGGUAAUGCUUGACAUUUCUUUUGUUUAGAGUAUGUCAUUUCACUAUUUAUCAUUAAAUAAACACAUAAUGAGAUGCAUGAAAAUGGUCAGGUAGGGACACAAAGGAUAUCUCAUAUUCCUUUAUUUCAAGUGUGGCAAACAAAGAAAGUUAACCAAUGAGAGUAAAAAUGUCAAAAAGAAAGAAAAUGUCGUAUUCAACGGAUACAAAUGCUCUAGAUAUUCAACACAUGAACUCUUCCACGUUCCUCAAUCAAUAAUCUUUUCGAGCAUGGCUUCUUGCGUAGAAAAUUUCGAGCUUUCAGAAGUGCUUCAAAUACUGUAGUCUCACUACUUGACCUAUCAUUCGACCGCCAGGUUUGUUUCAUUAGGACGCCCUCUCGGGUUUUCAUCCUAAUCUUUUUGUACUAAUCAAUACGCCCUUUUCGGGUUUUCGCCCUUUUUUUUUAGAUGCCCUUUUCGGGUUUUCAUCUUAAGCAUAAUAUUUCUUCACCGCAUCCGAAUUCACCGGAUUCGGUAACUCCUUCCCAUCCAUCUCGGUAAGGAUUAAAGCUCCUCCUGAGAAUGCCUUUUUUACAACGUAUGGUCCUUCCUAAUUUGGUGCCCAUUUUCCUCGCAGGUCUUUUUGUAUUGGGAGAAUCUUUCUCAGAACGACUUCUCCUUCAUGGAACUCUCUUGGUCGUACCUUCUUGUCAUGGGCUGUGAUCAUUCUCUUUUGGUACAUUUGCCCAUGACAAAUUGCCCUUAGACGUUUUUCUUCAAUGAGGUUCAACUGAUCAUAUCGAGCUCGAACCCAUUCUGCUUCUUCUAACUUUGAUUCCAUCAAUACUCGCAGAGAGGGGAUCUCAACCUCGAUAGGUAGCACAGCUUCCAUUCCAUAGACUAGAGCGAAAGGAGUUGCUCCCGUAGAUGUUCGCACAGAUGUGCGAUAUGCAAACAAAGCAAAUGGAAGUUUCUCGUGCCAAUCUUUAUAUGUCUCAGUCAUUUUCCCAAUGAUCCUCUUAAUGUUCUUGUUAGCUGCUUCAACAACCCCAUUCAUCUUUGGGCGAUAGGGCGAGGAAUUAUGAUGCUUUAUUUAGAACUGCUCGCACACUUCUUUCAUCAUCUUAUUGUUCAGAUUCGUGGCAUUAUCUGAGAUGAUUCUUUCAGGCAAACCAUAUCGGCAAAUGAUUUCCUUUUUCAAAAACUUGCACACUGCAGUCUUCGUCACAUUGGCAAACGAAGCGGCUUCAAUCCAUUUUGUGAAGUAAUCGAUAACCACAAAAAUGAAUCGAUGUCCAUUUGAAGCUUUUGGAGAAAUUGGCCCUAUGACAUCCAUGCCCCACAUAGAAAAAGGCCACGGAGAAGUCAUGACAUGAAGGGGUGAAGGGGCUACAUGAAUUUUAUCGCCGUAGAUUUGACAUUUGUGGCAUUUUCUGGCAAAAUUGAUGCAGUCACUUUCCAUUGUCAGCCAAUAAUAACCGAGUCUCAUGAUCUUUCUGGCCAUAUUGAAACCAUUGGCAUGCGUUCCGCAAAUUCCCUCAUGGACCUCUUCAAGUAUUUUUCUGGUUUCAACAUCAUCCACACAUCUCAAAAGCAUCUGAUCCUUUCCUCUUUUAUACAGGAUAUCCCCAUCAAGAACAAAUCCCACUGCCAUUCUUCUAAUUGUUCUUUUAUCGUUCUCAUUCACUUGUUCGGGAUACCUUUGAUUCUUGAUAUAUUCUAAGAUAUCAUGGAACCAAGGCCGUCUGUCUACUUUUUUCUCAAUGCUACAACAGUGUGCAGGGACCUCGUAUAUGCUCAUUUUGAGGGGCAUUAUUUCUGCUUCUCUACUUGCUUUGAACAUUGAAGCCAAAGUGGCUAGGGCAUCAGCCAGUUGGUUCUCUUCUCGUGGGAAGUAAUGAAAAGUUAUUUCUUUGAAUUCCUUGAUCAAUCCAGCCACUAAAUCGCUGUACUUAAUCAAUUUUGAGUCCCUCACUUCCCAUUCUCCACGGAUUUGGUAAAUCACUAGGGCUGAGUCCCCGUACACCUCCAAGAUCUUGAUGUUUCGUUCGAUAGCUGCACGAAGCCCCAUGAUACAGGCCUCAUAUUCUGCGAUAUUAUUGGUACAGAAGAAGUUCAGUCUUGCAGUGAACGGAUAAUGAUUCCCGUCUGGUGAUACCAGGAUUGCUCCAAUUCCAUGCCCUAAAGCAUUUGACGCACCAUCAAAGCACAUCUUCCAUGACUUCUCUUUUGAUGACUCGGAUUCUAUUUCUGUGAUGCACAUUAAGUCUUCGUCUGGGAAAUCGAAUCUUAAAGGCUCAUAUUCCUCUGUCGUUCGAGUUGCUAAGAAGUCAUCUAUUGCGCUCCCUUUUAUUGACUUCUGACUUACAUAGGCAAUGUCAUAUUCCGAAAGGAGGAGCUGCCAUCGUGCCAUUCUUCCUGAUAGUGCCGGCGAUUCCAUCAUGUAUUUUAUUGGGUCCAGCUUUGAAAUUAGCCAUGUCGUGUGAUACAACAUAUAUUGUCUGAGUCUCCGAACUACCCAAACCAGAGCGCAACAAUAUUUCUCAACGGACGAAUAUUUUGCCUCAUAUUCAGUGAACUUUUUGCUGAGGUAGUAGAUCGCCUUUUCUUUCUUUCCUGACUCGUCAUGUUGUCCCAGUACGCAACCCAUUCAACUUUCGAACACUGUCAGAUACAAAAUUAAUGGUCUUCCUGGAGUUGGCGGUACUAGCACUGGAGGACUGGACAAAUAUUGUUUUAUCUUAUCAAAGGUCACUUGGCAUUCCUCGUUCCAUUCUCCCGGGUUAUGUUUUCGAAGAAGCCGAAAGAUUGGGUCGCAUUGGUUGGUAAGUUGAGCGAUAAAUCGGGCGAUGUAAUUUAAUCUCCCUAAAAAUCCUCUAACUUCCUUUUGCGUGCGCGGAGGUGGUAAUUCUUGGAUGGCUUUUAUUUUAUCUGGAUCAACUUCGAUACCUCUUUCACUGACAAUGAAGCCUAGUAACUUUCCCGAGGUAGCCCCGAAUGUACAUUUGGCUGGAUUAAGCUUUAGCUGAAACUUUCUCAGCCUUUCGAACAACUUCUUGAGGUUCAUUACAUGCUCUUCUUCUCCUCGAGAUUUAGCAAUCAUAUCAUCGAUGUAGACCUCUAUUUCUUUAUGCAUCAUGUCAUGGAAUAACGUCACCAUAGCCCUCUGAUAUGUUGCCCCAGCAUUCUUUAACCCGAAUGGCAUCACCUUGUAGCAGAACGUUCCCCAUAUUGUUAUGAAGGUAGUUUUCUCCAUAUCCUCAGAAGCCAUCUUGAUCUGAUUAUACCCCGAGAAUCCAUCCAUGAAAGAAAACAAUGAAUGUUUUGCUGUGUUGUCCACCAACGUGUCAAUAUGUGGCAAGGGAAAAUUAUCUUUUGGGCUUGCUCGAUUCAGGUCACGAUAAUCCACGCACAUUCGUACUUUUCCAUCUUUCUUUGGUACCGGGACUAUGUUAGCCACCCAUUCUGGAUAUUUGGAGGCUUGUAGGAAGCCAGCGUCAAAUUGCUUCUUGACUUCCUCUUUUAUUUUCAACAGCAUUUCGGGCCUCAUCCGUCUUAAUUUUUGCUGGAUGGGCUUGCAUUCUGGCUUUAAUGGGAGCUUAUGGACCACUAAAUCUUCUUCUAGCCCUGGCAUGUCCUGGUAUGACCACGCGAAAACAUCUUUGUAUUCGCGGAGUAAAGUGAUCAAACUACGCCUGGUACUUUCUGAAAUAGAAGUCCCAAUCUUCACUUCUUGUUUCCUCUCUUCAGUGCUCAAAUUUAUUGUUUCUACAGAUUCUUCAUGAGGCAGAACCUGUUUAUCCUCUUGUUCCACCAUUCUUAACAAUUCAGGAGACGAGACAUAAUCUUCAGCAUUUUCUUCGGCUUCAAAUUCUCCUAAGCAAACAGCCUUCUCAACAUCAAUUUCAAGAUUCGUAACGGGCUUAUUCAUGUCGUCAAUAUCUGAGCAGCUAAAAGUUGAAUGGAAAAGGAAGCUAUCGGAGGACAUCCAAGUAUUGGAAACAACAAACAAAAUGUUAUGUCAUGGCAAUGAGGCAAAUGUAAGGAUAGGCUAUGAAAUGAGAAAAUGAUUAUGAAAUUAGUGAUAAUGCAAAAAAUCAUGACAAAAUACAUCUUCAUUGAAAUUCAUUUAAAUGAUAAAGAGCGAAUGCAAACUCUUACAAAAGAACUCUAUUAUAUCUAAGGACACAAUAGAAGGUUGAUGUUUGGCAUUACUCUGAAGGCUUAUAAACUACAAGAAGCUCCUCAGCAAUCCAAUUGUUCAACAUGAAACCAGGAGGGCAAGGGCGUAUCCUCGAGACAUCUUUACUUGCACCAGCUUCUUUGUCAAUGACAUUUAUACUAGCAUUCUGAAAAUCCUUUUCAAUUAAUCCCAGCAUGUUUCGUGGAUCCUCUUGUCCAGGGUACAUCAUUCCCGCAGAUGUAAAUGUUUUUGACAAAGGAGGGUACUCUAUUGGUUCCCAUUCUGGUUCUCGGCCCAAAGUUCUUGCAAUUCUUCUCUCUUGAUCCUUCUUCCACUGUCUUCUUCUUUGGCGCAUGUCAGGCUGGAACCCCAAACUGUAUCGGGCCUUGUGGUGCACUGGCUUUAAAGCCCUCACUAUUCCUUGCAGAUGUCUCCCUAAACCUCUUCUCGCACGAGCUCCCCUUCCUACAGUCAACUUGACACCCAUUCUGGUAUUUCUCGACAGUUUUGGCAUCGAAAUUCUAUUUCCUUCAACGACGAAAAUGGCAUUGAUGAAUUCAAGGGAUCGAAAGGAACAUUCCAUUGCAUCCUUGCUUACUUCCAGGUAUGGCGCAUCAGCAGAGAUAGAUGCGAUGAUGUCUUCUUCGCCCUCGACUGUGACCAAACAGCCAUCCAUGAUGAAUUUCACUUUUUGAUGGAGGGAUGAUGGGACUGCUCCAGCAGAAUGAAUCCAAGGUCUUCCCAAAAGGCAGUUAUAAGAGGGUGUAAUGUCCAUGACUUGGAAUUCGACCUCAUAGAUGUAGGGGCCCACUUCUAAAGGGAUUUCGAUCUUUUCCAUGACUUCACGCCUCGUCCCGUCGAAUACACUUACCGUGGAAUGACAGGGCUUUAAGUAGGACAAAUCUAUCGGUAUUCUGGAAAGUGUAGCCAAUGGCAUAACAUUUAAUGCUGACCCAUUAUCAAUGAGUACGUUCGGUAUUAUGUAGCCCUUGCAGUGGGUCGUGAUAUGCAGCGCUUUCACCGAACCUCUACCAUUUAGCGGUAUCUCAUCAUCACUAAAAGAGAUGAAGUUGUCCGCAUUCAGAUUGUUUACCCACCUAUCAAGCUUUUCGACAGAUAUGUUGUUGGCCACGUAAGCUUGAUUUAACACCUUCAAUAAAGCGUUCCGGUGUGGCUCUGAAUUUAACAGUAGAGAUAGAAUUGAGAUUCGUGCUGGCUGCUUGCUCAGUUGUUCCACCACACUAUAUUCGCUGUGCUUAAUAAAUUUCAAGAAUUCUUGAGCUUCUUCCUCAUUCACAGGCUUUUUAGUUUCUUGCACGGGUGGAAUUUCUUGCUCGACUUCGACCUCGUGCAUCACUGCUUUCCCUUUUUGCUUCGAGUCGCUACUUUUCUUUACCGGUUCAACUUUUUAGAAUAGCAUCGUCCACUUCGAGUAAAAUGACCUACCUCCCCAACAUCUUCAAUUAUGGCUUUGGACUUUUCAACUUCCGGUGUAACGAUAUUAACAUCAUAUCUCCACGGUACUGUUUUGUUGUCCUUAUACGGGAAAGGAGAUGGUACUUCAAUUACCAUCUGUGGUUUCAAUGGCUCUCUCAUCGCGUCGUAAUAAAUUACCAACGGUCGAUCAGCACUAUAAGGGGGCCCUGAUGAUUGGCUAUCAGAGACGCAUACUUCUCUUUCGUUGGCAUCUUCAUUCUUGUUAAGGACCUUGAUCUCCUUAUUAUUCAUCUGGUCUUGAAGUAACCUUUUAAAGUCCUCGCACGACUGAAUGUCGUGCCCAAAAAUCCUAUGAAAAUUGCAAAAACUUUGACCUUCUUCUCCAAAAACUCUAUCAGAGUGACAGAGCAAUCCUUUCUUAACUAAUACCUCCCAGAUUUUCUGCAGAGGCGUCCUUAUUUCUGCCACACAUCUUCUGACCUUCCAUUCAUCCACUUUCCCCACUAUGCUCACAUCCCUUUCGAUAUGGUUAGGGAAUGGGUUCCCAGUUGCAUUACUGGCACUAUCGAAUCAUAGGAUACCUGCAUCAAUGAGUCCUUGAACUCUUCUCUUAAAGGCUAGGCAGUUUUUAGUGGAAUGCCCCUGGUUUCCCGUAUGGUAUGCACAACUAGCGAAUUGUAUGUUUUAACCUCAGCGAACGAGUAUGGAAUAUGCAAUGAAUGAAUGAAUGCAUGAAUGUCAAAUGACUGUUAGUCAUGAAAGAAAUGCAAGAAAUUGGUGUUAAUUUCAAGAUAGCCCCUAUUUAGGCAUUUCCUUAAUCAAAAGAGUCUAUUACACAACGUUUCGGUCACUCGUGUAAUUGACUCCUCUAUCAAAAACCCCUUUUUGGCAACCAAUCUCUAAUCAACCCUUUCCUAACAAGAUGUAUAUGAUGCAUGAUGAAAAAUAGAAAUACAGACAAACAACAUUGGUUAGCAAAACACAUAUGAUCAGAGAAAAAUUGUGGAAAAUCUAACAAAUUAAGCUACUUGGUCCAAUGGACUCGAUUCCCUUGCAUAGAAAGCGAAAGUGCAAAAGGUAAGAGGCGUUCCUCCCGUGCACUUAUUUUGGUGACUACUAAACGGACUGAGGUUCAGCAUGGCUCUAGUUAGGUGGCUCGUAUGGUUCAUUAUAUGCGGUUUUGGUUCUAGAUAGGUACUCGAAUUGCCCGUACUAUCAUCUACUAAGAUUAACACGGAGCCUCGGUCAUAGCCUAUCACAGGCUCACGAGUUCAAUUCGAGGGGUUACAUUUACUUAUGCCUAUGCGGAGGGACAAGUUAACUCACGAAAGCAUAAAUCAUAUGUAACCCGAAAGUAUUCACUAGCCUGUGCGGAGGGACGAGUUAACUCACAAAGGCGUAGCGUUUACUUUCACUUAAACGGACGGAGCCCGGGUAGAGAGCUCAUGUUAUGCGAAAAUGCAAGUGCACGGUGUGUGGGGAACAACUCAUAAACCUUUACGUUUCACUUAAAGAAACUAAACCAAAAUUAAAACCAUAAAAAUUAAAAACUGAAAAACAACCAAAUAAGCAAGUUAGAAGAAAUAUUUACAGCACGAUACAAAUGCAUGAAUUUUGAAAACGAGAUUUUCGGAUCACGACCAAAUAUUUACUUUGAACAAGGAAAUUUAAAAAUUUUGACAAAACGUGUUUAAUUCCAGACACGACUCUCAAAAAGGCUUUCCCCAGUGGAGUCGCCAGCUAUAGCGACCUAAAAAUUUGGAGUACGGGCGCUAAUUGAAGUGAUUAUUAAAAAUUUGAAAAUUGAAUCUCGACUUUAUUUGAAAAGGAGUCACCACCGAUCUUUUUUCCAGGUGUGAUCGGACACCUACAAAAUUCUCUUUUCAGAAGAAAAAUUUAUUUUUAAACUUUUCUAAAAAAGAGGCAAUUUUAGGUCCACGUAAAAAUCCAGAGAAAAUUAGGGUUCGGGAGUCGGUUACGCGCGAGGAAGGUAUUAGCACCCUCGCGACGCCCAAAAUUGGUAUCUCGUAAAACGCGCGUUGUCUUAAUUUUCCAAAAUACAAGUUCAAUUUAAUAUUUAAUUGUGAUCCGAUUGAAACUUGAGAAAACCCUUUUUUGUUUUUAAACACGAGAACUUUGAAACAAAAUAAUAAUUUUUGAAAACACGAAGAUUUUUGAAACACGAAAAUUUUUUGAAAACACGAAAACACAAAAUAUUUUUAACACGGGAAUUUUUGAAAACACGACAGUUUUUUUUUAAACACGAAAUUUUUUUGAAAACACAGAAAUUUUUUGAAAACAAGGAAAUUUUAGAUACAUGAGAAUUCUUUGACACGAAAAAUUUUGAAAACAUGAGAAUUCCGAAAACAUGAAUUUUUUAAAACAUGAAAAUUUUUAAAAAACACGAGAAUUUUUUGAAAACACGAAAACAUGAAAAUUUUGAAAACACAGGCAAUUUUUGAAAACACGAAAAUUUCUGAAAGACGGGAGUUUUUUUUGUUUUUUGUUUUAUUUUAAAACACGAAAAUUUUUCAUUUGAAAACACGAAAAUUUUUUCAUUUUAAAACGCGAAUUUUUUUUAAAACACGAAAACUUUUGAAAACACGAAAAGUCGAAAAUUCCUAAAAUACGAGUAAUUUUUAAAGACACGAAAAUUUGAAACACGAAAUUUUUUUUUAAAACGUACCGUAUUUAACACGAAUCGAUGAUGUUCACCCCAACAUGGCGAUGAAAUCGACGAAUUAGUGUCAAACCAAUUCAACUUAAUAUUUAAUCGGAAUUCCAUUAAAACACGAGGAUUUUUUUUUAAAUACGAGGAUUUUUGAACUUUUUUUUAAAAGGACGUCUCGAAUUUAACACGAGCUAUCGAUAUCCACCCAUCAUAGCGAUGAAAUCAAUAGCUUGAUGCUAAAUCGGUUCAUUGCCUUAUGCAUUAAAAUAAUUUUUAUUUUAAACAUGCAAAUAAAAUGACAUAAUAAUAUUUAUAAAACUAUUCUAAAAAUGUAAAUUUAAAUUAAAUGAAACACCAUUUAAAUAUAUGAGUUAAAUUAAAAUGGCUUUAAAAAAAAUUACCAAAAGCCCAAAAUUGUGGGCUUGAAGAAUAGGCCCUCUUCUCUUUGCUUCUUUUUUUUUUUGUUGGGCUGCUACUUGCGGGCUGCAAGGAAAUGGGCUGAAUCUGUUGGACUAUUGCGCUGGGCCUGCUGAUGAACUGGAGCUGCACGGGUGGGCCACUGCUGGUGGGCUGCUGCUAGUCCACCAAAACUAGCCUACUGUUUUUUAUUUUUUAUUUUUUUUAUUUUUUCUCUCUUUUUCUUCCUCUUUUUUCUUUUUUCUUAUUCUCUUCUUCUUGUCUCAAAGCCUUGGCCCUUCUUUUUCACCGCCGUCGGUGUCUCCUGGGUGCGGUGGUUGGACGGUCGCCGGCGUUCUCCUUUCCCUCCUCUCUUCUUCUUCUUUCUUCACUUCUUUCUACUUUACUUUUUUUUUUUGCUUGCUUGCUGCUAUUUUCCUUUCUUUUGUUUAUGCUUGCACAUUUCUUAGCUUGACUUCGGCGAGGAGCAACGAUGAUCGUUGCACGGCGAUCGUGUUGCCGUGUGUACGGCGGCGGUGAGCGUGGGAUCGGCCCAUGGGAGUAUUUUUUUUGCUGCUGGAAUUUUCUGCUAUUUUUUUUGCUUUUGGUUGCCGAAAAAUCCCCCCCUUCUCUUCAAUUUUUCUUUUUUAAAAGCUCCAAAAUUUGUCCUCUUUCUCUUUGUUUUCAGGUGGCAGCGGAGAGGGGAGGCCUGAAAAUCUGGGAAGUGGGUGCCCCAAAUAACGUAACCUGUCUGAAGGACCAAAUCACAAAUGCAGCAAAACUUCUGGGGCUAAAUGUAAUUUUUAGAAAAUUUAGGAUUAAAAUGAAAUUUAAUGAAAGUUUAGGGGUCUAAGUGAAAUUUAAAGAAAGUUUAAGGGUCAAAAUGAAAUUUAGGAAAAGUUUGGGGGUCAAAAUGAAAUUUUUAUUUUUAAAAUUUUUUUUUUGAAAUUUUGAAAAUUAAACACAAAUUCUAGUCGGACAAAAAUUUAGUGCUUACAUUAAUAAUUUUUAAAUACCUAAUUUUCCUUAAUAUAGGUAAACCUCGCAAUUUUGAUUUCUAACUCAAAAUUUAACUUGAUAAAUUUAAAAUAAAAUUUAUUUUAUUUUUAUUUAAUCAUAAAAAUUUAAAAUUUUAAACUUAAAUUGAUUCAAAUUCAAAAUAUAGGGGCUGGCUCUGCACCCUAAAAUGAUAAGUUUAUGUUUUAGUGUUUUAAAUUUUAUAAAUUAUAAAAAUUAGUACAUGGUAAAAAUCUCACUUUGGCUUUCAAUAAUAAUAAAAUUUUGAUUUAAUCCUUAAUUAAUUAUAAAGAUGUAAACUAUUAAAAUGGUGAAAUUACAUUUUAUCUCUCGUAAAAACUUUACAACUUAAAUAAGAGUAAAUAGAUCCAAAAACCUCAAGCAACCAAAAAUUAUUUGAAUCCAAAGCUCCUUUAAAUAUAAAAACUAUGUAAACAAAUUUGUUUUAUGUUUAUAUAUAUUUUUUAACAAUUUUAUUAUAGAUUCUGAUUGUAUAUGCUCUUUUUGACAUAAUGCUUAAAAUUACUCAUAACCCCUCCCCAACCCAUAAAUAGAAGGAUAAUGCGCUUAAGAGCACUCGAAACUAAAUCCUCUUACAUUGACAAUAAUACGUAUACCAAUCAAGAUUACAUUUUUUAUUAAGCUAAAAAUGAUUAAUUAAUUGUAUAUUUUUUUUUAAUGUGAUCCAACACCAUAUGAAUGAAACAAAUGAAUGCAUCAGCUCAAAAUGACUGAUGAAAGACGUAAGAACUAUUAAAAUCUAUAUAAUAGAACAAUUAAAAAAAAAGAUUGCAGAUAGCUUGCACAUCAAGCCUACUAUGUUUGAUUUUUAAUUUAAAUUUCUUAUCAUUCAUUUUCGACAUUUGAUUAUGAUAUUUAAUUUCGUUGUCUUGUAGUGUUUUUUUCCCAAGGAAUAUUCAAUUAAUGUUUGCCAAUUUAUAUCUCAAGAUAACGACUAUGAUUUGAAAUAAAAUUAUAUAGAUGCAUGCAAAUCUCCCCUUGUUUUCUAUUAAUCAUUUAGUUUUGGCAUAAUAAUUUUUUGGCCCUCCAACUUCACAAAACAAGUCAAUUUAGCCCUCCAUUAAAAUUUUCGCUUCUUUUAACAUUUGAAUUUGUAUUUUUUGUCAAGCCACUCCAAAGUAGAUGGAGAAAUUAAUAUUUAUUAACUUUCCUGACGUGUUAUACAUGUGGAUUGCUGAUUAGAUGACAUGUUAGCAUUUAAUUCAUCUCUAAACUAUUAAAAAUAUAUUUUUUUUAUUUUUUAAUAAUUUUGAAUAUUUUAAUAAUUUUUCAUUUUUAAAAAUAAUUUUAUAAUAUUUUAAAUUUUUUAAAUUUUAAAAAAUUAAUUAAAUGUUGGCAUGUCAUCCCCAUAACAGUCCACAUUUAUACAACAUCAACAAAGUUAAAAUGUUGAACUUUUCCAUUCAUUUUGAGGUGAUUUGACAAAAAUGUAAAUUUAAGGACUUAAAAGAUAAAAAAAUUAAAUGAAAACUAAAAUGACUUUUUUUAUAAAAUUAAAAGGAUAAAAAAAAUUAAUGCCUUUUAACUUUUUUUUAAUUUAUAAUUACUAGAAUGAGCAAAUGAGCACCCCCUUUCACUUUCACUGGGGCUGCUAUAAAUUUUAUUAUAAUUUAGUCAAUUGAUAGUGAAAAACAAUUUUAAGAUGAAAUAAUUAUUUUUGUUAAAAAUUUUAUUUUUAAAAUUUAAUAAUAUGACUGUAGCGACCUAAAAAUUUGGAGUACGGGCGCUAAUUGAAGUGAUUAUUAAAAAUUUGAAAAUUGAAUCUCGACUUUAUUUGAAAAGGAGUCGCCACCGAUCUUUUUUCCAGGUGUGAUCGGACACCUACAAAAUUCUCUUUUCAGAAGAAAAAUUUAUUUUUAAACUUUUCUAAAAAAGAGGCAAUUUUAGGUCCACGUAAAAAUCCAGAGAAAAUUAGGGUUCGGGAGUCGGUUACGCGCGAGGAAGGUAUUAGCACCCUCGCGACGCCCAAAAUUGGUAUCUCGUAAAACGCGCGUUGUCUUAAUUUUCAAAAAUACAAGUUCAAUUUAAUAUUUAAUUGUGAUCCGAUUGAAACUUGAGAAAACCCUUUUUUUGUUUUUAAACACGAGAACUUUGAAACAAAAUAAUAAUUUUUGAAAACACGAAGAUUUUUGAAACACGAAAUUUUUUUUGAAAACACGAAAACACAAAAUUUUUUUAACACGGGAAUUUUUGAAAACACGACAGUUUUUGAAACAUGAGAAUUUUUUUAAAACACAAAAUUUUAUUUUGAAAACACAAAAAUUUUGAUAAAUUAUGAAACACGAGGAUUUUUUUUUGAAACGCGGAAGUUUAUGAAACAAUGUCAAUUUUUUGAAAACACGAAAAUUUUUGAAAGACGAGAAUUUUUUUGAAAACACGGAGAUUUAUAAAACACGAAAGUUUUUUUUUGAAAACAAGAAAAUUUUCAAAAUACGAGAAUUUUUGAAAACAGGGGAAAUUUUUGAAAACAUGAAAAAUUUUAAAACACUAGAAUUUUGAAAACACGAAGAUUUUUUAAACAUGAGAAUUUUUGAAAACACGAGGAUUUUUUGAAAUACAAACAUUUUAGAAACAUGAAAAUUUUUAAAACAUGACAAUUUUUUGAAACACGAGAAAUUUAUUUUUUAAAACAUAAAAAAUUUUAAAACACGAGAAUUUGUGAAACUCGAGAAUUGUUGAAAAAAAAUAAAAAAUUUUGAAAAUACGAAAUUUUUUUAAACACGAAAAUUUUAGAAAUAUGGACAUUUUUAGAAAACACGAAAAAUUUUGAAAAAUAAAAUUUUUUGAAAACACGAGAAUUUUUGAAAACACGAAAAAUUUUCUGAUUUUUCAUUAAGCACGUAUCGCAUUUAACACUAAUCGGUGAUAUUCACUCAAUAUAGCAAUGAAAUCAACGAAUUAGUGUCAAAUCGAUUCGUUACCUUAUUUUUGAAAGCACGAGAAAUUUUUUUUGAAGACACUAAAAUUUCGAAACGCGAGGAUCUUUUUUCUGAAAAUACGAAUUUUUUUUGAAUAUUUUCGAUUUUUAAAAGGGCGUAUCGAUUUUAACGCGAACCGGUGAUAUUCACCCAACAUAGCGAUGAAAUCAACGAGUUCAUGUUAAAUCGAUUCGUUGCCUUAUUUAUUAAAAGUAUUUAAAAUAAAAUAAAAAUAAAAAUUAAAUUAAAUUAAAUUAAAUUAAAUUAAAUUAAAUUAAAAAUAUAAAUGCCAAAAUAUAAAAAAUGCAUAAAAUACUAAUAAUAUUAAAACGAAAAAAAAUACGAGCAUUAAAUUAAAAUUAAAAAACGAAAUUACCGAAAAAUCUCGGGACACGAGCUUCGCCGAACGGGUAACACAAAAUUGAACCCCUUUUUUCUUGUUUUUUCUUUUUUCUUUUUUUCUCCUUUUUCUUCCUUUUUUUUUUUCUGCUGGGCUGUCUUGUUGGGCUGGCCUGCGCGGGCCUGCUGGCUGGUGGCCUGUUGGCUGCUUGUUGGGCUGCUGGAAUUGGGCCUAUUGUUGGCCUGCCCUCUUUUUUUUUUUUGCUGCUUCUUUCCCCUUUUUUUGCUUUGUUUUUUCUUUUUUUUUGUUGGGCUACUUUGGGCUUGGCUAAUGGGCUUGCUGGGUCAGGUUGGGUUGCCAGAUCGGGUCGGGUUAUACCCGGUUCGGGUCGAUUUGACCCGACUGUUAAAAUUUUUUUCUUUUUUUCUUCUUUCUUCUUCUCUCUUUCUUUCUUCUUCUUCUUCUUCCUUCUUCUUCUUCUUCAAAACCGAGCCACCCACACCGUCGCUUCUUUCACGCCGCCGUUCGAGCUGCCACCGUCGACUCCACCGGACCUUUCUCUUUCCUUUCUUUUCUCUCCCCUUUUUUCUUAUUUUUGAAGCUUUUUUUCUCUUUGAAACUUUUUUUUUUUGGAGAUUCAUGGGGUGGGGGUCCUUCUUUUUUUUUGGGUUAAAAGCCCCUUUUAUAGAUGAUUUUUGCUUCAUUUUGCAGGUAGUGGGUGAAGAAGGAGCAGCCACCCAUGUUUGUGGCCUGAAAAUCUGGGAAGUGGGUGCCCCAAAUCACGUAACCUGUCUGAAGGACCAAAUCACAAAUGCAGCAAAACUUCUAGGGCUAAAUGUAAUUUUUAGAAAAUUUAGGAUUAAAAUGAAAUUUAAUGAAAGUUUAGGGGUCUAAAUGAAAUUUAAAGAAAGUUUAAGGGUCAAAAUGAAAUUUAGGAAAAGUUUAGGGGUCAAAAUGCAAUUUUUAUUUUUUAAUUUUUUUUUUGAAAAUUUGAAAAUUAAACACAAAUUCUAGUCGGACAAAAAUUUAGUGCUUACAACUGCCCCUCUUUGCUCAUCAUUGUGAAACAAGGAUAGUGCAAAGACUUAAAAGCACUAAAUUUUGUUCAAUUGUCCAAUCUUUAUUCUUUACUCGGCAUGUGAUCCUGAGCUCAACUCAUUUCUCGCAAUAUGAAUUGACUCUUUAAAACUAGACAUUAAAAAUAGAAAUUGAAAAUAGCUCAGCACGUGAGCCAAGGCUCAACUCACUUCUCGCAAUAUGAGUUGAUUUUUGAAAACAGAAUUUGCAAAAAGGCUCAACUCACCUCUCGCAAUAUGAGUUGAUUUUUUGAAAAAUAGAAAAAGGCUCAACUCACCUCUCGCAAUAUGAGUUGGUUUUUGAAAAAUAGAAAUUAAAAGGCUCAACUCACCUCUCGCAAUAUGAGUUGAUUUUUGAAAAAUAGAAAUUGAAAAGUAGAAAUUGAAAAUACCUCAGUGUGCCCUGAGGCUCAACUCACCUCUUGCAAUAUGAGUUGAUUGAUUUUUGAUUUUUUUUUGAAACACAGAAAUUAAAAAAAACAGAAAUUAAAAACAGAAUUUGAAAAGACCUCAGCUUGUGGCCUGAGACUCAACUCACCUCUUGCAAUAUGAGUUGAUUUGAAAAGUAGAAUUAGUAAAGCAGAAAUUGAAAAUACCUCAGCGUGCCUUGAGGCUCAACUCACCUCUCGCAAUAUAAGUUGAUUUUUGAGAAGCAUAGAUUGAAAAAAACAUAAAUUGAAAAUACCUCAGCAUGUGAGCCGAGGCUCAACUCACCUCUUGCAAUAUGAGUUGAUUUUUGAAAAACAAAAAUUAAAAGGCUUAACUCACCUCUCGCAAUAUGAGUCAAUUUAAAACAUAAACUAAAAAUACCUCGGCAUGCCCCGAGGCUCAACUUGGUGCCCAUUUUCCUUGCAGGCCUUUUUGUAUUGGGAGAAUCUUUCUCAGAACGAGUUCUCCUUCAUGGAACUCUCUUGGUUGUACCUUCUUGUCAUGGGCUGCGAUCAUUCUCUUUUGGUACAUUUGCCCAUGACAAAUUGCCCUUAGACGUUUUUCUUCAAUGAGGUUCAACUGAUCAUAUCGAGCUCGAACCCAUUCUGGUUCUUCUAACUUUGAUUCCAUCAAUACUCGCAGAGAGGGGAUCUCAACCUCGAUAGGUAGCACAGCUUCCAUUCCAUAGACUAGAGAGAAAGGAGUUGCUCCCGUAGAUGUUCGCACAGAUGUGCGAUAUGCAAACAAAGCAAAUGGAAGUUUCUCGUGCCAAUCUUUAUAUGUCUCAGUCAUUUUCCCAAUGAUCCUCUUAAUGUUCUUGUUAGCUGCUUCAACAGCCCCGUUCAUCUUUGGGCGAUAGGGCGAGGAAUUAUGAUGCUUUAUUUGGAACUGCUCGCACACUUCUUUCAUCAUCUUAUUGUUCAGAUUCGUGGCAUUAUCUGAGAUGAUUCUUUCAGGCAAACCAUAUCGGCAAAUGAUUUCCUUUUUCAAAAACUUGCACACUGCAGUCUUCGUCACAUUGGCAAACGAAGCGGCUUCAAUCCAUUUUGUAAAGUAAUCGAUAACCACAAAAAUGAAUCGAUGUCCAUUUGAAGCUUUUGGAGAAAUUGGCCCUAUGACAUCCAUGCCCCACAUAGAAAAAGGCCACGGAGAAGUCAUGACAGGAAGGGGUGAAGGGGCUACAUGAAUUUUAUCGCCGUAGAUUUGACAUUUGUGGCAUUUUCUGGCAAAAUUGAUGCAGUCACUUUCCAUUGUCAGCCAAUAAUAACCGAGUCUCAUGAUCUUUCUGGCCAUAUUGAAACCAUUGGCAUGCGUUCCGCAAAUUCCCUCAUGGACCUCUUCAAGUAUUUUUCUGGUUUCAACAUCAUCCACACAUCUCAAAAGCAUCUGAUCCUUUCCUCUUUUAUACAGGAUAUCCCCAUCAAGAACAAAUCCCGCUGCCAUUCUUCUAAUUGUUCUUUUAUCGUUCUCAUUCGCUUGUUCGGGAUACCUUUGAUUCUUGAUAUAUUCUAAGAUAUCAUGGAACCAAGGCCGUCCGUCUACUUCUUUCUCAAUGCUACAACAGUGUGCAGGGACCUCGUAUAUGCUCAUUUUGAGGGGCAUUAUUUCUGCUUCUCUACUUGCUUUGAACAUUGAAGCCAAAGUGGCUAGGGCAUCAGCCAGUUGGUUCUCUUCUCGUGGGAAGUAAUGAAAAGUUAUUUCUUUGAAUUCCUUGAUCAAUCCAGCCACUAAAUCGCUGUACUUAAUCAAUUUUGAGUCUCUCACUUCCCACUCUCCACGGAUUUGGUAAAUCACUAGGGCUGAGUCCCCGUACACCUCCAAGAUCUUGAUGUUUCGUUCGAUAGCUGCACGAAGCCCCAUGAUACAGGCCUCAUAUUCUACGAUAUUAUUGUUACAGAAGAAGUUCAGUCUUGCAGUGAACGGAUAAUGAUUCCCGUCUGGUGAUACCAGGAUUGCUCCAAUUCCAUGCCCUAAAGCAUUUGACGCACCAUCAAAGCACAUCUUCCGUGACUUCUCUUUUGAUGACUCGGGUUCUAUUUCUGUGAUGCACAUUAAGUCUUCGUCUGGGAAAUCGAAUCUUAAAGGCUCAUAUUCCUCUAUCGUUCGAGUUGCUAAGAAGUCAGCUAUUGCGCUCCCUUUUAUCGACUUCUGACUUACAUAGGCAAUAUCAUAUUCCGAAAGGAGGAUCUGCCAUCGUGCCAUUCUUCCUGAUAGUGCUGACGAUUCCAUCAUGUAUUUUAUUGGGUCCAGCUUUGAAAUUAGCCAUGUCGUGUGAUACAACAUAUAUUGUCUGAGUCUACGAGCUACCAAAACCAGAGCGCAAUAAUAUUUCUCAAUAGAUGAAUAUUUUGCCUCAUAUUCAGAGAACUUUUUGCUGAGGUAGUAGAUCACUUUUUCUUUCUUUCCUGACUCGUCGUGUUGCCCCAGUACGUAACCCAUUGAACUUUCGAACACAGUCAAAUACAAUAUCAAUGGUCUUCCAGGAAUUGGCGGUACUAGCACUGGAGGACUGGACAAAUAUUGUUUUAUCUUAUCAAAGGCCAUCUCGCAUUCCUCGUUCCAUUCUCCCGGGUUAUGUUUUCGAAGAAGCCGAAAGAUUGGGUCGCAUUGGUUGGUAAGUUGAGUGAUAAAUCGAGCGAUGUAGUUUAAUCUCCCUAAAAAUCCUCUAACUUCCUUUUGCGUGCGCGGAGGUGGUAAUUCUUGGAUGGCUUUUAUUUUAUCUGGAUCAACUUCGAUACCUCUUUCACUGACAAUGAAGCCUAGCAACUUUCCCGAGGUAGCCCCAAAUGUACAUUUGGCUGGAUUAAGCUUUAGCUAAAACUUUCUCAGCCUUUUGAACAACUUCUUGAGGUUCACUACAUGCUUUUCUUCCCCUCGGGAUUUAGCAAUCAUAUCGUCGACAUAGACCUCUAUUUCUUUAUGCAUCAUAUCAUGGAAUAACGUCACCAUAGCCCUCUGAUAUGUUGCCCCUGCAUUAUUUAACCCAAAAGGCAUCACCUUGUAGCAGAAUGUUCCCCACAUUGUUAUGAAGGUAGUUUUCUCCAUAUCCUCAGAAGCCAUCUUGAUCUGAUUAUACCCCGAGAAUCCAUCCAUGAAAGAAAACAAUGAAUGUUUUGCUGUGUUGUCCACCAACGUGUCAAUAUGUGGCAAGGGAAAAUUAUCUUUUGGGCUUGCUCGAUUCAGGUCAUGAUAAUCCACGCACAUUCGUACUUUUCCAUCUUUCUUUGGUACCGGGACUAUGUUAGCCACCCAUUCUGGAUAUUUGGAGGCUUGUAGGAAGCUAGUGUCAAAUUGCUUCUUGACUUCCUCUUUUAUUUUCAACAGCAUAUCGGGCCUCAUCCGUCUUAAUUUUUGCUGGAUGGGCUUGCAUUCUGGCUUUAAGGGGAGCUUAUAGACCACUAAAUCUUCAUCUAACCCUGGCAUGUCCUGGUAUAACCACGCGAAAACAUCUUUGUAUUCGCGGAGUAAAGUGAUUAAACUACGCCUGGUACUUUCUGAAAUAGAAGUCCCAAUCUUCACUUCUUGUUUCCUCUCUUCAGUGCUCAAAUUUAUUAUUUCUACAGAUUCUUCAUGAGGCAGAACCUGUUUAUCCUCUUGUUCCACCAUUCUUAACAAUUCAGGAGACGAGACAUAAUCUUCAGCAUUUUCUUCGGCUUCAAAUUCUCCUAAGCAAACAGCCUUCUCAACAUCAAUUUCAAGAUUCGUAACGGGCUUAUUCAUGUUGUCAAUAUCUGAGCACCUGAAAGUUGAAUGGAAAAGGAAGCUAUCGGGGGACAUCCAAGUAUUGGAAACAACAAACAAAAUGUUAUGUCAUGGCAAUGAGGCAAAUGUAAGGAUAGGCUAUGAAAUGAGAAAAUGAUUAUGAAAUUAGUGAUAAUGCGAAAAAUCAUGACAAAAUACAUCUUCAUUGAAAUUCAUUUAAAUGAUAAAGAGCGAAUGCAAACUCUUACAAAAGAACUCUAUUAUAUCUAAGGACACAAUAGAAGGUUGAUGUUUAGCAUUACUCUGAAGGCUUAUAAACUACAAGAAGCUCUUCAGCAAUCCAAUUGUUCAACAUGAAACCAGGAGGGCAAGGGCGUAUCCUUGAGACAUCUUUACUUGCACCAACUUCUUUGUCAAUGACAUUUAUACUGACAUUCUGAAAAUCCCUUUCAAUUAAUCCCAGCAUGUUUCGUGGAUCAUCUUGUCCAGGGUACAUCAUUCCCGCAGAUGUAAAUGUUUUUGACAAAGGAGGGUACUCUAUUGGUUCCCAUUCUGGUUCUCGGCCCAAAGUUCUUGCAAUUCUUCUCUCUUGAUCCUUCUUCCACUGUCUUCUUCUUUGGCGCAUGUCAGGCUGGAACCCCAAACUGUAUCGGGCCUUGUGAUGCACUGGUUUUAGAGCCCUGACUAUUCCUUGCAGAUAUCUCCCUAAACCUCUUCUCACUCGAGCUCCCCUUCCUACAGUCAACUUGACACCCAUUCUAGUAUUUCUCGACAAUUUAGGCACGGGAAUUUUGUUUCCCUUAGUGAAGAAUGUGGCAUUGACGAAUUCAAGGGAUCGGAAGGAGCAUUCCACUAUGUCCUUGCUCACUUCAAGGUAUGGCGCAUCAGCAAAGAUAGAUGCGACAAUGUCUUCUUCUCCCUCGACAGUGACCAAACAACCAUCCAUGAUAAAUUUCACCUUUUGAUGGAGGGAUGAUAGGACCACUCCAGUAGAAUGGAUCCAGGGUCUUCCCAAAAGGCAGUUAUAUGAGGAUGUAAUGUCCAUGACUUGGAACUCGACAUCAUAUAUGUAGGGACCCACUUCCAGAGGGAUCUCAAUUUUUUCCAUGACUUCACGCCUUGUCCUGUCGAAUGCCCUUACCGCAGAAUGACAGGGCCUUAAAUGGGACAGAUCCAUCGAAAUUUUGGAAAGCGUGGCCAAAGGCAUAACGUUGAGUGCCGAACCAUUAUCGAUGAGCACGUUCGGUAUUAUGUAGCCCUUGCAACGGGUUGUGAUAUGCAAUGCUUUCACUGAGCCUCUACCAUUGGGCGGUAUUUCAUCAUCACUAAAAGAAAUGAAAUUAUCCGCAUUCAAGUUGUUCAUCCACCUAUCCAUUUUUUCAAUGGAUACAUUGUUUGCCACAUAAGCUUGAUUUAACACUUUCAGCAGAGCGUUUCGGUGUGGUUCUGAAUUCAACAGCAGAGAUAAUACCGAGAUUCGCGCUGGCUGCUUACUCAAUUGUUCUACCACGUUGUACUCACUGUGCUUGAUAAAUUUUAAGAAUUCCUGUGCUUCCUCCUCGUCCACAGGAUUUUUAGCUUCUUGUUCAGGCGCAGUUUCAUGCUCAUCAUCGGUCACAUGCAUCGGUGCUUUUCCUUUCUGUUUCAAGUCACUAUUCUUCUUUAUCUCUUUCGAAUAACAUCUUCCACUACGAGUGAAAUGACCUAAUUCCCCGACGCUUCCAGUCAUGGCUUUGGGUUUUUCAUCUUCAGGUGUGACGAUAUUAACGUCAUAUUUCCAUGGUACUGCUUUAUUGUCCUUGUAAGGGAAAGAAGAUGGUACUUCGAUUAUCAUCUGUGGUUUCAAUGGCUCUCUCAUCGCGUCGUAAUAAAUUACCAACGGUCGAUCAGCACUAUAAGGGGGCCCUGAUGAUUGGCUAUCAGAGACGCAUACUUCUCUUUCGUUGGCAUCUUCACUCUUGUUAAGGACCUUGAUCUCCUUAUUAUUCAUCCGGUCUUGAAGUAACCUUUUAAAGUCCUCGCACGACUGAAUGUCGUGCCCAACAAUCCCAUGAAAAUUGCAAAAACUUUGACCUUCUUCUCCAAAAACUCUAUCAGAGUGACAGAGCAAUCCUUUCUUAACUAAUACCUCCCAGAUUUUCUGCAGAGGCGUCCUUAUUUCUGCCACACAUCUUCUGACCUUCCAUUCAUCCUCUUUCCCCACUGUGCUCACAUUCCCUUCAGUAUGGUUAGGGAACGGGUUCCCCGUGGCGUUACUAGCACUAUCGAAUCGUAGGAUACCCGCGUCAAUGAGUCCUUGAACUCUCCUUUUGAAAGCGAGACAGUUCUCAGUAGAGUGCCCUUGGUUCCCUGCGUGGUAUGCACAACUAGCGUUUGGAUCGUACCACUUUGGGUAUGGAGGUUUAAGGGGUGCUAUGUAAUGGGGAGAAAUUAGCUGUUUUUCUAAAAGUUUUGGGUACAAUUCCCCAUACGACACAGGGAUGGGGGUAAAUUGCUGUCUCUCGGGAUUAUGCCUUGAUGGUCUUGGUUCGUUUCUGGGUUGGCUUUGGGCGGGUACCGUGUUUUGUGGGAAAGUGGUGACGGGUCUUUGGUUGUUCGUGGCGUAUAUGGGGUAGGACGGAUGUGGUGCUUGGUAGUAAGGGUUUUGAGGGGGAUAAUGGAAAUUCGAAGGUGGAUAAUCUCGAGGUCAGGGUUGAUUAGGAUACGAAUUGGGAAUGUAACGACUCCCAGUUCCCACCAUGAGGGCUUCUGGCUCUUUCUUCCUUAAGGGUGCUGCUUUUCUUGAGCUUUCUGAUCCUUCCAUUCUACCGAUCUUGACGGUAUUCUCUAUGAGUUCACCGGAUAUUACAAUAUCCGCGAAAUCUUUCGUGGCACUUCCCACUAAUUUGUCAUAAAACGGUGCCUUUAAAGUAUUGAUAAAGAGAACGGUUAUCUCCGUUUUUGUUAGUAGGGGUUCCACUUGAGUUGAGACGUCUCUCCAUCUCUGCGCAUACUGUCUAAAGGUCUCUGAUGGCUUUUUCUCCAUCAUUUGCAAGGUCAUACGGUCUGGCACCAUAUCCGAUACAUGCUUGUACUGCUCACAAAAUGCUGACGCCAAGUCUUUCUAGGAUCGAAUCUUUUCUCUACUAAGUUGAUUGUACCACCGAAGAGCUGACCCUAUUAGACUAUCUUGAAAGCAAUGUAUGAGUAGUUUAUCCUCGUUCACAUAACCGGUCAUCUUUCGACAGAACAUAAUGAGAUGUGCUUUUGGGCACCUUGUCCCAUCAUACUUCUCAAAGUCAGGCACUUUGAACUUCGGAGGCAAAAUUAGAUCAGGUACCAAACUGAGUUCCUUGGCACCUAGUACGGAGAAGACUUCAGUGCCUUCUAUUGCUUUGAGUCUUUCCUCUAGACUCCUAUAUUUUGCGUCAUGGUUAUCCAAUUUUAACUUGGCUACCUCUGCUGGGUCAUCCAGAUCUGGAACUAGUGGAUUAGCAGGACUAGCCCCUGGGUUCGACGCUAACAUUCCUUGCCCCAAAUUAGUGGGUGAAGCAGGUGGCAUAGGUCGAUGUUCCAAGCCAGUGGGUUCCUCUUGAGUAUACCCUCUUUGUAUUGUAUAUGCGGGCGGUGGAGUGAAUCCCGGGGGAUAGAAUGGAUCCUGAUCAUGGUGAAUUCUUGACCGAGGUUCCAUAACAUCGGAGUUCUGCAUGGGUCCCUUUCCUUUGACCAAAGUUGUCAUCAUCUCUAUCAUUUUAGCCAUCUGAUCUCUUUGCUCGAGCGAUUCCUCUCGAGAUCUCACCAUUAGGUCUCUCGUCUCUUGUUGCGAUUUGGCCAGUUGCUCUUGUAAUUCCUUUUGAGCCAUUUCCAUCCUUUCAAUUCUCUCAUUGAAUUCAUUCUCCAUUACUCUAGCUUGUCGGCGCGUUUUAUACGGAUGACGUGGUUCCAGUCUUGAAGUCUUGCAACUGCGAAUUGUACGUUUUAACCUCAGCGAACGAGUAUGGGAUAUGGAAUGAAUGUAUUGAUGCACGAAUGAAUGCAUGAAUGUCAAAUGAAUGUCAGUUAUGAAUGAAAUGCAAGAAAUUGGUGUUGAUUUCAAGAUAGCCCCAUAUUUAGGCAUUUCAUUUAUCAACAUAGUCUAUUACACAAAGUUCUCAUUUUUCCAACAGUUACACAAAUUUCCUAGCCACAUUGCCUUGUUUCUUCACUUGCUCUAAAAACUCUGAUAUGCUCGAUCUUUGGCUCGGAGGGAAUUGGCAACUGAGAACUUUGGCUUCAUCUGAUAAUUGAACAACUUGCAUAGCCGCUUUACGAAUUUCAUUGAUCAAGAAGUCAAGUUGCAUUUCUUUUUCUUUGAGAGUUCCUUCACACGCGUGAAUGUCCCUAUCGUACUGCUCACUCUUUUCUUCUAGAGCCUUCAAGAGGUUAUCUAAUUGUUGUUGACGAGAUUGCAGCAUAUUUUCUAGAUCUCGUGUUUUCCUUUUUAAUUCUUGAUGUUCAGACUGACUAUUCGCCAAUUUUGCAGUCACUAUUUCAUACUCGGCGUUCUUCCUUCUUAACUCUAUCACAGCGCGCGCAGCCUUUUCCUACUCUUUUUUUUCUUUUCCCUUCCAAAACUCCAUUCCUCCCUUGAUAUUGCUAAUUUCUUCCUUCCAUUCUACUGUCGACUUGCCCAACCCACUAUUCUUUAUAGUGUUUCUUAAUUUCUUGUUUUCCAAAUGAAGGUCCCUUAAUUCGUUUCUCACAAUCUCGGCUUCUCUUUGCACUUUUUCAGUCCUGGACCUUUCAACCUGAACUUCAAUCUUCAGUUGAUAGUUUUCUUCUUGAAGGGCACUAAGGUCCCAAGACAUCUUGGUCUUUUCUCGUUCGAAUUCUUGUCUUGCCAUUUCUAGCUCAGACGGCGUUUCCUCCGAGAAAGGAUUCUGGAUGGUGUAGUUUGUUGAUGAGAUUUGCUGACUAUUUACCCAUUGCUUCCUCCAUAUGUCGUAAUCUUGGGUAAGGGUAUCAACAUACAAAGCUAAUUCCAUGAAAUGAAUUUCCUUCCAAUACUUUGCAGUGUCUCGGACUCUCUUCAUAUAUCCUUCACCCGCGAAAGCGAACUCAAAUUGUGCUAAUCCUCCAGUUGCGGGGAGGAAUUGUCGCGAAGAAAAUUGCCUUUGGACUAAUAGCGGAGCAUAUCCAACUCCUCCCCAUAACCCGAGUAAAGGUACCCAAUCUUGGCUUCCACAUUUGUAUAGCAUAACUGAAGGACGGAUCCAGGAUGCUCUCCAUGUUAUAUUCUCGGCGCAAAGAUUCUGAAAAACUAAUACCCAAUGUUGCUCGGUGACUUCCUUCGGCCAUUCUUUAUUGAGGUAAGCUUCUAGCGGGGAGAAUGUUUUAGAAAACAUAUGGAACGGAGUGUGUUCUACCUUCCAGAAGUGACUCAAAAUCCAAACAUUGAGCAACUGCGCGCAUCCGAUAAAUCGUCCCUCCCCUUUUCUUCGACAACUACUCAGGGACCUGAAGGUCUCGGCUAGGAUAGUCGGGACAGGGUUGAUUCCUUGUUUUAACGUUUCGAAGAAAUCAACUAAUGCAACUUCGAGAUGUCCGAGAACUUUUGGGAAAAUGACCAAACCGUAAAUGGCCAAAGCGAAUAGAUUUACCCUUUUCAGCAUGUUGGGAUGGUUCAGAGCCAAAUCUCGUAGGGAGGACCAUGGAAUACAAAUGGUUUCAUUCUUCUUCUUUAUCUGUUUUUCGGCCCAUGCAUCAGUCAUGUCUGUCAGUCUCACUAACUUUUUCUUGAAGGUCAUCGGCUUAGGCUCCUUCACAUAUAUUUUGCCGAAUCGUACAUUGUCGAUGCGGAGUAAAGCAGCAUACUCUUCUAUGGUUGGAGUCAUGUCUUCUUGAUUGAAGGUGAAACACUGAUAAGUUGGGUCCCAGAACCGAACCAUGGCUUGAAUCAACUGUUCGUCUACACGGAUGGUGAUCAGGUGAGCUAUAUCUCCAUACCUCUCAGUGAAAGUGUCUCUAGUGUCUGAAUCCCACUGAUUCCAAAUUCGAACCAAAUCCUCAAAGUUAUUUUGGCAAACAUUUACAGUUAUAUGUUCAGGCAAAUUAGCGACACACCCUUCCACUAGACUAUCCCCCUUUUCUCUCUGAAUUUUUAGAGACCAGUCCCGAACCACGGCAUUCUUCUCGGUCAUUUGUGUAAUUGACUCCUCCAUCAGAAACCUAUUUUUUUGGCAACCAACUUUUAAUCAACACCUUCCUAAUAUGAUGCCUAUGAUGCAUGAUGAAAAUAAAAGUAAAAACAAACAAACUUGGUUAGUAAACACAACAAAUAUAAUUUGAAAAAACAAAUUAAACUACCCAAUCCAAUUAUUUUGCAUAAACAGUGUAAAUGAAAGGCAAAAGGCAUUUUCCCCGUGUACUUAUUUUGAUGACUAUAAGCGGACAGAGGUUCGGCGUGGCUCUAAUUGGAUAGCUCGUAUGGUUCACUAUAUGCGGUUUUGGUUCUAGGUGGGUACUCGAAUCGUCUGCACUGUCAUCUACUAAGAUUAGUACAGAGCCUCGGUCAUGGCCCAUCAUAGGCUUACGAGAUCAAUUCGAGGGAUUACAUUUACUUAUGCCUAUGUGGAGGGACAAGUUAACUCACGAAAGCAUAAGUCAUAUGUAACCCGAAAGUAUUCACUAGCCUGUGCGGAGGAACGAGUUAACUCACGAAGGCAUAGCGUUUACUUUCUCUUAACAGGGACGGAGCCCGGUUAUAGAGCUCAUGUUAUGCAAAAAAUGCAAGUGCACGGUGUGUGGGGAGAAACUUGUAAACCUUUACGUUUUAUUUAGAAAAACUAAACCAAAAAUAAAACCGCAAAAAUUUAAAGCUGAAAAACAACCUGAUAAAACAAGUUAGAAUAUAUACAACACGAUGCAAAUGCAUGAUUUUUUUUUUGAAAACAAAAAAUUUAAGGAUCACGACUAAAUGUUAAUUUGAACAAGAAACUUUGAAAAUUUUGACAACGCGUGUUUAAUUCCAGACACGGCUCUCAAAAAAAAGGCUGUCCCCAGCGGAGUUGCCAGCUGUAGCGACCUAACAAUUUGGAGUACGGGCGCUAAUUGAAGUGAUUAUUAAAAAUUUGAAAAUUGAAUCUCGACUUUAUUUGAAAAGGAGUCGCCACCGAUCUUUUUUCCAGGUGUGAUCGGACACCUACAAAAUUCUCUUUUCAGAAGAAAAAUUUAUUUUUAAACUUUUCUAAAAAAGAGGCAAUUUUAGGUCCACGUAAAAAUCCAGAGAAAAUUAGGGUUCGGGAGUCGGUUAUGCGCGAGGAAGGUAUUAGCACCCUCGCGACGCCCAAAAUUGGUAUCUCGUAAAACGCGCGUUGUCUUAAUUUUCAAAAAUACAAGUUCAAUUUAAUAUUUAAUUGUGAUCCGAUUGAAACUUGAGAAAACCCUUUUUUUGUUUUUAAACACGAGAACUUUGAAACAAAAUAAUAAUUUUUGAAAACACGAAGAUUUUUGAAACACGAAAUAUUUUUUGAAAACACGAAAACACAAAAUUUUUUUAACACGGGAAUUUUUGAAAACACGACAGUUUUUGAAACAUGAGAAUUUUUUUAAAACACAAAAUUUUAUUUUGAAAACACAAAAAUUUUGAUAAAUUAUGAAACACGAGGAUUUUUUUUGAAACGCGGAAAUUUAUGAAACAAGGUCAAUUUUUUGAAAACACGAAAAUUUUUGAAAGACGAGAAUUUUUUUGAAAACACGGAGAUUUAUAAAACACGAAAGUUUUUUUUUUGAAACAAGAAAAUUUUCAAAAUACGAGAAUUUUUGAAAACAGGGGAAAUUUUUGAAAACAUGAAAACUUUUAAAACACUAGAAUUUUGAAAACACGAAGAUUUUUUAAACAUGAGAAUUUUUGAAAACACGAGGAUUUUUUGAAAUACAAACAUUUUAGAAACAUGAAAAUUUUUAAAACAUGACAAUUUUUUGAAACACGAGUAAUUUAUUUUUUAAAACAUAAAAAAUUUUAAAACACGAGAAUUUGUGAAACUCGAGAAUUGUUGAAAAAACAUAAAAAAUUUUGAAAAUACGAAAUUUUUUUAAACACGAAAAUUUUAGAAAUAUGGACAUUUUUAGAAAACACGAAAAAUUUUGAAAAAUAAAAUUUUUUGAAAACACGAGAAUUUUUGAAAACACGAAAAAUUUUCUGAUUUUUCAUUAAGCACGUAUCGCAUUUAACACUAAUCGGUGAUAUUCACUCAAUAUAGCAAUGAAAUCAACGAAUUAGUGUCAAAUCGAUUCGUUACCUUAUUUUUGAAAACACGAGAAAUUUUUUUUGAAGACACGAAAAUUUCGAAACGCGAGGAUCUUUUUUCUGAAAAUACGAAUUUUUUUGAAUAUUUUCGAUUUUUAAAAGGGCGUAUCGAUUUUAACGCGAACCGGUGAUAUUCACCCAACAUAGCGAUGAAAUCAACGAGUUCAUGUUAAAUCGAUUCGUUGCCUUAUUUAUUAAAAGUAUUUAAAAUAAAAUAAAAUAAAAUAAAAUAAAAUAAAAAUUAAAUUAAAUUAAAUUAAAUUAAAUUAAAUUAAAUUAAAUUAAAAAUAUAAAUGCCAAAAAAUAAAAAAUGCAUAAAAUACUAAUAAUAUUAAAAUGAAAAAAAAAUACGAGCAUUAAAUUAAAAUUAAAAAACGAAAUUACCGAAAAAUCUCGGGACACGAGCUUCGCCGAACGGGUAACACAAAAUUGAACCCCGUUUUUCUUGUUUUUUCUUUUUUCUUUUUUUCUCCUUUUUCUUCCUUUUUUUUUCUGCUGGGCUGCCUUGUUGGGCUGGCCUGGGCGGGCCUGCUGGCUGGUGGCCUGUUGGCUGCUUGUUGGGCUGCUAGAAUUGGGCCUAUUGUUGGCCUGCCCUCUUUUUUUUUUUUGCUGCUUCUUUCCCCUUUUUUUUGCUUUGUUUUUUCUUUUUUUUGUUAGGCUACUUUGGGCUUGGCUAAUGGGCUUGCUGGGUCGGGUUGGGUUGCCGGAUCGGGUCGGGUUAUACCUGGUUCGGGUCGGUUUGACCCGACUGUUAAAAUUUUUUUCUUUUUUUUUCUUCUUUCUUCUUCUCUCUUUCUUUCUUCUUCUUCUUCUUCCUUCUUCUUCUUCUUCAAAAUCGAGCCCCCCACACCGUCGCUUCUUUCAUGCCGCCGUUCGAGUUGCCACCGUCGACUCCACCGGACCUUUCUCUUUCCUUUCUUUUCUCUCCCCUUUUUUCUUAUUUUUGAAGCUUUUUUUCUCUUUGAAACUUUUUUUUUUGGAGAUUCAUGGGGUGGGGGUCCUUUUUUUUUUUGGGUUAAAAGCCCCUUUUAUAGAUGAUUUUUGCUUCAUUUUGCAGGUAGUGGGUGAAGAAGGAGCAGCCACCCAUGUUUGUGGCCUGAAAAUCUGGGAAGUGGGUGCCCCAAAUCACGUAACCUGUCUGAAGGACCAAAUCACAAAUGCAGCAAAACUUCUAGGGCUAAAUGUAAUUUUUAGAAAAUUUAGGAUUAAAAUGAAAUUUAAUGAAAGUUUAGGGGUCUAAAUGAAAUUUAAAGAAAGUUUAAGGGUCAAAAUGAAAUUUAGGAAAAGUUUAGGGGUCAAAAUGCAAUUUUUAUUUUUUAAUUUUUUUUUUGAAAUUUUGAAAAUUAAACACAAAUUCUAGUCGGACAAAAAUUUAGUGCUUACAAUGACUAUUGAUAUUUAUAUUUUUAAUCAUAAAAAUUAAAUUUAACAUAAUUGUUUAAGAUUUAAUGCUGAUUUUAGACUGUCAUAUAAGUUAAUCUAUGGAUAAAUUAUUUUGGAUACAUCAUUUAAUUCUAAAAAAAAAACUGAAUUAUAAGAGGAGGGCAAAGUCUUAAUAGCAAUGUGACUUCAACCCAGGUCACACUUUGGGCGAUAAAUACCCUAACCAUCAUAUUGCGAUCUCUUCUCAACAAUUCAAUCAAAGAUGAAAUAACUUAUAGUUUCCAAAUUAAGAAUACAGUGUUCGUAUACAAUAUUCCUACAUCUAUGCAUUGGAAAGGCUUGUGGGAAUUAUUUGGAUACUAUGGAAAUGUUGUUGAUGCAUUCAUCCCAACAAAAAGGAGUAGAAAUGGUAAAAGGUUUGGGUUUUGAGAUUCACUAAUGAAAAGGAUGCGCAAAGGGUGAUAAUGAGGUUAAAUGGAUUUUUUUUAAUGGGAAAGAGAAUCGGGGUGAAAAUGGCUAGAUAUAAUGGAAAAAGAAAGUUUUGGAGGAAAGCUUCGGUUCAAAAGGGACAAGAACAGAGUGAAAAAAUAGCUCAAGAAGAAAAAAGUAAAGAAAGGCUCGAAAUGAUGCAAGAAGAGAAGUGAAAACAGAGAAAAGAAUAGUGCAAGGUUAUGUUGAAGAUGAACUAUUAUGGAACCUACAGAAAUGCCUGGUGUGCGAAUCGAUUUCGAUUUUUUAUUCAAAAAGUCUUAAUGAUCGAAUAGCAAAAAUUGGUCUUGGAGAAAUAAUAGUAAAAAGGAUUCAAGAAAGACAUUUUUUGGUCGAAAUACCAGAUUAAAAACUGAUGGAUCUGUUAAGGCAAACUGAAUGGUCCUACUUGAAAGAUUUCUUGUAACGCCCCAAUUUUCGGGAAUUCUGUGAAUGUUGGCAAAAUUUCAUGCUUUAAUUUUGUCAUUUGGGAGGAGUGAAAUUAUGAAAUAGGACCUAUGUGAAAAUGUUUGAAAAUGCUAUAGGCUAAAUUGAAGUGAGCAAAUAAAUAGGAGUGUAAAAUAGGAGGAUUUGCAUGACAAACCUCUCAUUUUACAUGAAGUGGCCAGCCAUCAUGUUGUUGUAGACAAAAUGUACACUUGAUAUCCAUAAUUUAUGGUACAAAUUGAUACAAAUUGAUAAUAGGUUAGGUAAAUGUUCCAUGAUAAUAGGUUAGGUAAAUGUUCCAUGAUAAUGGGUUAGGUAAAUGUUUCAUGAUAAUGGGUUAGGUAAAUGUUUCAUGAUAAGAAUUUCAUGUCUUUUGUAUUAAAGAAUUAAAUGUAUGAAAUAUGAAGUUUUAUUAAAAGAAAAAGGGGUGAAAAGAACAAAGUUUUGUCCAUCUUUGUUCAUCAUAGCUGAAAGUUAGAGAAGAGAAAUGAGAGGAGAAAGCUCUUGAGUAUUCGGUCAUUAGGAGGAGGAAAAUUGAAGGUAAGUUCUUGGUACCUUGCUUCUAUUUUGAGGUUCAUGAGUUCUUCUUGAUUCUACCUUAACUCUUGAAGUAUAUUUUGAUUUUUAGUUGUGUUGUGAGCAUUUGGUCAUGAAUUAAAAUGAAGGAAAUGGUUGUUGUUUCAUGUUCUUUUGAUGAAAAAUGGAAGAUAUGUGAAGUUGAGCCAAACAAAUGAGCAUGCAUGUGCCUUAGAUGCUAAAGGGAAAAAUCAGCUAACAUGUUGUGCUUUAAAAUGAUGAAAUGGAGAUUAUGCUUAAGUAAAAAUCAUAGAUAUGUGAUGAUUGAUUGGUGAUAUACAUGUUUAAAUAACAUGCAUGCAAGAUAGGUGUAUGAAAGAGUGAUUUGGUAAUAAAUCUGAUUGGGACAGCAGCAGUAACGUGACUUUGGAAAAUCACCAUAAAUUGUGGGAGAUGAAUUAGAAGCUGAAUAAAUUAUGUAAUUAAAGCUUAAUGAGUCUAGUUUCAAAUGGAAUAAACUAGAACAUAUUUUGAAUUCUGUAGAAUGAGAAAUUUUAUUCAUAAUGAAGAGUGGUCAGAUUAGUCAAACAGUGAAACAUGGGAAACUUUUAGAAAAAUCUGGUAUUGAUUGGCUAAACCAAAAAUUCUUAAAAUUUUAUGGAUAUAAGAUAUAUGAGUCUAUUUUCAGGUAAAAUUAACGGCACUUGAUUUGGAGUUUCGUAGCUCCAGUUAUAAAUGAUUUAGUGACUGUUGCUCAGGAAGACAGCUUGCAGUGAAAUUAUGAUUAUGUGGUAAACAUUGACAAAAAUUUGUUAAUGAGUUGCUUAUUGAUUUCUUAUAAGCUUACUAUGAUCUGUAGGUGUGGUUGGCCGAAUAUUGUAAGGGGUUAAUACGUAGUUUGUAUUUGAAUAGUUAGAUUAACGUGUUAGUAAUCCAAUUGUAGGCGGUUCGUGUGUGGAUCUCGUCAGCAUAUCGUCGCAAACAGGUGUGUAACUAACACCCUCUUUCUUAGUCUGGAUCGGCAAAAGUCGAAAAGCCGAAAUGCCGAAAACCGGUAUUUUGUAGAUUUGCGAGUGUGCGAAUGCUCGUGAGGUAAAUCGAUUAAUGUUUUUGGUAAACUGCAAAAUUUGGACUGCAAAGUGCAUGAUUUCUGUGCCCUUGAUAUUUUUGGGCUUAAUGGGCCAAAAUUGGAAUGAUGGGCCAACGGGCCCAAUUCGGUAAGAACCCUCGGUACGUGAUUCUGUUAGUACAUGAAAAGUAGGACUAUGCAUGAAAAACCCUAAAAUAGAUAAAUUACUGAAAUACCUUUAAAAGUAGAAAAUUUACAGUUUUACCCCUAGUAGAUAAAUUACCGAAAUACCCUAGGGUUAAAUUGACCUAAAUGCAUGUUUGAUUGUUGUUAUUUACUGCAUGCCAUGUUGUUAUUAUCCGAUGCAUGGGACUGGGAUAUUGACGGAGGAAGUACUGAAAGUGGCUUGUCCACGUACUGGAGGCUUUGCCUCAAUUUACUGUUAAUUGAGCAGCAAGGCUGCAACUGUGGAGUGUUGGGCUGGGUGGGUUGAGCUAUUCCCCACAUGGAGUGUAUGGCUGGUACGGGUGGAGUGUAGUGGUUGGUGGGUUGAGUAGUCUCCCCAAAUGGGCUUGCAUAUGUUUACUGAUGUUGCAUGUAUUUUGAAAUGGGCCUAUGGGCCAUACUGUUAUCUGAAUAAGAGGCUAAGGCCCAGUUUAUUGUAAUCUGAAAAGGGCUCUGGCCCAGUACCACUGUUACCCAAAUGGGCUUGCAUAUGUUUACUGAUGUUGCAUGUAUUUUGAAAUGGGCCUAUGGGCCAUACUGUUAUCUGAAUAAGGGGCUAAGGCCCAGUUUAUUGUAAUCUGAAAAGGGCUCUGGCCCAAUACCACUGUUACCUGAAUGGGCUUAGGCCCAAUGGGCUUGAGCUGACUUGGGCUUUGAAUGGGUUUUCCUUACACACUGAGUUUCCCCAAACUCACCCCUUUUAUUUUCAUCCACGCAGGAAAUCCCCAACCAUAGUGGGCUUGGAGCUGUGAGAGAAUUCGGAGUGGCCACCCGUUCUGAAAGUUUAAUUUUCUUCUAGUGAACUGGACAUCCUUUUAAUUACGUUUGAGGUUUUGGGCUUUUAAAUGUAAUAAGGCCGCUUAUUUAUUUUUGAUGGUUUUUAUAUGUUUUAUUAAGAUAUGUAAUAUUUAUAUUUAACUGUUGAAAUUGGAUAGCUUUAACGCGCGUUUUCAAAAACAGUAAUUGUUUUCAAAAUAACACGAAAAUAAGCAAAGCUUCCGCAAUGAAGAUAUUUUCCAAAAUUAAUCACUUUUCCUAAAAAGGACUUAAUCAAAUCGGUUUCCUAGAAAUAUACAUGACGUUAAGGUAUGACAAUGGUGGUUUGCAUGUCUAGGAUUGGAUCCGAAGGGAGUUUGGUACUUAAGCAGUCUGAUGGACUCACCUCCUCUUUUCCGGUUUCCUACCUGGUGCACAGCUUCCAUUCACUUUAACCUAUAAUGAAAUUAUCUUUUAAAACACUAAGUAAGUUUUUCUGGAUCAACAAUAUAAAAUGUUUUGAACGCUUCGAUGUGGCAUGUCGGAUUCGGUCAUAACGUCUGGGCCGGGUUUGGGGUGCUACAUUUCUUCAUUAAAAUAGAGCCAUGGUCAGAGAAAUUGAAGAUAAAUAAAAGGGUGGCAUGGAUCGAAGUAUCAGGAGUUCCAUUGCAUUGUUGGAACUAUGAAACAUUUAAAUAAGUUGCUGGGUUAUGGGGGAAUUUGGUGUUAGUAGGUGAAAAUCUAACAAAAGUUCACAAUUUUGAAAAAAUAGAGCUUCUGGUCUCUAUAACUCAAUCGAAAAUGGUUGAUGAAUUAGUUAGCAUGGAAGUUGGAUAAGACUUCUUCCCAAUCAGAGUAAGGGAAUGGGGCCUGACAGAGAUGAAAGAAUACAAUAGUUUAAACAUUAAGGCUAGGUGGAAGAAAAAUGAAGAAGACAGCAUUUCGGAAUCUGGAUAGGUGGCGAGUGUCGUAACCAUUUUUUUUGAAAAAAACGGGGAUUGACUUUAAAACGAAAAUGGAGUCGCCACCAAUCUUUUUUUGUUUAGGUGUGAUCGGGUCACCUUAUGAUCGAUCAUUUUAAUAAAACAUUUUGAUUUAUUAAAACGAUUAUUUUUGGUCUACGAAAAUCGAAAAAUGAGUUCGGGAGUCGGUUACGCACGAGGAAGGAUUAGCUCCCUCGAUACACCCAAAAUUGGUACCUAGUUGAUUAAUUAGUGUCCUAGUGUCGAAAAUUGAAAACUUGAAAGACUUUUAAAAUAUGACCCCUCUUUGUAUUAAUGCUGAUUUAAAAAUGAUCGAAUAAAUUAAAACGGAUGUUGAAGACUCUCUCAUCUUGAAGUAAUAAAAUGUCACGCCCAGUAAGUUAGGACACGUCAUCUUGAACUUUGAGAAUGAGCUUGCCUUUAUUUAAAAUUCAUGUACUUUAACUCUUUUUUUUUAAAAGGAUGUUCGGUUAUUUAGGGUAAACGAGAAAAGUCGAAACCCAGUAAGUUAGGGUACGAUCUUUUGAAAUCUUUAAAUAUCGAACAUUGCUUUGUUUAAAAUUUCAAAUGAAAUGUAAUAAAUAAAUGAAAUGUAUUUUUAUAAAUAACUCAAUAACAUAAGGAAUUAAACAUGUGGCAAUAACAUCUCAGGAAUAAUCUAAAAUAAUAUGGAAAUCCAAAGGAACAACUUAGAAUACAUGCAAUAACAACACAUCAUAUAUUAUGAAAAUACCACCAUUUAUGUCCAAGGGUCAAUGCGUAAGAAACCAAUUUUAAAAGAAGUUUCAAGUAAAUCACCUAAAUAAAAUAUAACAAGUUUUUUUAAAAUAAAAUAAAAUAAAUAAUAGGAAAAAUAAAAUUUGAAAAUAUAACUAUAUGAACUAUAAGAAAAUUUUAAAUAGUAAUGUACAAAUGCAAUUAAAAAAUAUUCUAAAGUAAAUAAUUUGAACGAAGCUUGAAUUGUAUCAAAAUAAAAAAUAAGAAAAAAAAAUAUAUGUAGCGUAAUUGAAAUUCCAAAAUAAAUAAUAGGCAUAAAAGAUUAAAAGUAAAUAAUACACAAAGUAAUAUAUACACAGGAAAAGCUUAAUAUAAAUAAUACAUAUAGUAGUAAUAAUAAUAUAAAGGUAUUUCAUAUAAAUAGGUAUGCAUGUGGAAAAAAAUAAUCACAAAAGUAUGAAAUCAAAAUAAUAUGUUGAAACAUGUUUAUUCUAAGAAGAAUAACUGAAACUUAGUUGAGAGAAAAAAACAAAAUCCAAGGGAUAACUUACAAAUAAAACAAAUUAUUAAAACGUAAUUUUGGGCUAAAAUUAAUUGCGUAUAAAUGUUUGAGGUCUAAAAUUAAAAAUGUCCCAAAUCUUAAAAUAUUGUGCUAAGGGGGCAAAUUGAAAUAGCGCACAGAUUGCAGGGCCAAUUUAAAAUAAUUUAAAAAAACUUAAAUAUAGCCUGAUUGAAGGCUAGCGCAAAGGAGGAGACCAAUUGCGCAAAUUACCCAAUUAAAGGUAAAAUGCACAUGGUCCCAAGCAAAAAAGCGUGCUGAUCCUACUCCCCCAUGCUACUUUGUUUUAUUAUUAAUUAAAACCAUACUUUAUCUCCUUCUUUUUCAUUAAAAAACCUUUUUUAAAAAAACAAAAAAAAAGUUAAAACACCACCCUGCAUUCAUUUUUCAAAACAGAGAGAAGGCUCUCAACCCCCCUCUCAUAUUGCGAUUCACUCCCAAAUUCGGUAGAUCACCACCGCCGGCUUCGCCAUCAGCGACCCUCAUGCAUGGCGGCCGGAGCCCCUUUUCCAGGCGAAGAAAGGUACCUCCUUCCUUUUUUAUUUCACGAAAUAUGUGUAGAUAUAUAUAUAUAUAUAUAUAAGAUUCAAAAGUAAAAUAAAUAGAGCAAAUAAAAGAAAGUAAAACCAUAGAAUAACUCCCUUGAUCUGUUUUUAUUUCCUGAAGUGCUCUCCAUUGUAUGUAGUACAACUGUUCGUUUUUUUUAAGGAAAAAACCCUCCUUCUAGUACCAUCUGUCCUCCUCUUUUACAAUGAAAAAUUGAAGGCUUUAUAGCCAAAAACCAUACAUUUUCCACCUAUCUCUUUGCUCCAAUUACAGGUGUUGCAGUUGUGGAGAACGAAGGGCGUGAAACAUGGGUGAAAACAUGGAGCGGGACAUACGGGAAUCAUGAAUGGAGUAAGUGGAGGUAUGGGCAAUGGGACAGGGCAAGUUGGCCGACAGUCAAGCAUAGGGAUGAUGGCUAGGUUUUUUUUAGUCUUCUUCUUUCCUUUUUUUUUAAUUGCUAUGGGCUAGCGUUAAAGGGUUUUGGGCUGUUGGGUUUUUAGAUGUUGGGCUUUUUAGCCCGGGCAAAAUUUGGGUUGUACAGCUGCCCCUCUUUGCUUGUUGUCGUGUAACAAGAACAGAGCAAAGACUAUAAAAGGACCAAUUUUGCCCGACCUCGCCGAGUCUUGAGUUCUUGAUCCUUGAUCUUCUUUAAAUGGCCUCUUGACGGCUUCAAUCUGCUUCACUGCAACUCAGGAAGGCGAUUUCUACUAUCUUUGAUCUGCUCCCCGUCUAAUACAAAGACGUAAAAUCUAUUAUCUUCGAUCUGCUCCCCGUCUAAUACAGAAACGCCAAAUUUGCUUCUUCAAUCUACUCAUUGCAAACUCAUGACUGUCAUGUUGAUAUCUUCGAUCUGCUCUCCAUCGAACACAGAGACGCCAAAUCUGCUUCUUCGAUUUGUUCCCUGACAAUACAGAGAUGCCAAAUCAUCUUAGAUUUGCUUUACCGUAAGCACGUGAAAGCCAAAUCAGCUAUGUCUUCGAUUUGCUCCUUGUAAGCACAAGGAUGCCAAAUCAUCUUGGAUCUUGCUUCAGUAUAAACAUCUGAAGGCCAGAUCUGCUAUGUAUCUACUCUCCGUCAAAAUGGAGAUGCCAGACUUCGAUUUGUUCUCUGACAAUACAGAGAUGCCAAAUCAUCUUAGACUUGCUUUAGCGUAAGCACGCGAAAACCAAAUCAGCUAUGUCUUCGAUUUGCUCCUUGUAAGCACAAUGAUGUCAAACCAUCUUGGAUCUACUUCAGUGCAAACAUCUGAAGUUUGGAUCUGCUAUGUGUCUGCCCUCCGUCAAAAUGGAGAUUCCAGGCUUCGACUUGUUCUCUGACAAUACAGAGAUGCCAAAUCAUCUUAGACUUGCUUUAGCGUAAGCACGCGAAAACCAAAUCAGCUAUGUCUUCGAUUUGCUCUUUGUAAGCACAAGAAUGCCAAAUCAUUUUAGAUCUACUUCAGUGAAAUCAUCUGAAGGCUAGAUCUGCUAUGUAUCUACUCUCCAUUGAAAUGGAGAUGCCAGACUUCGAUUUGUUCUCUGACAAUACAAAGAUGCCAAAUCAUCUUAGACUUGCUUUAGCGUAAGCACGCGAAAACCAAAUCAGCUAUGUCUUCGAUUUGCUCCUUGUAAGCACAAGGAUGCCAAAUCAUCUUAGAUCUACUUCAGUGAAAUCAUCUGAAGGCUAGAUCUUCUAUGUAUCUGCUCUCCAUCGAAAUGGAGAUGCCAGACUUCGACUUGUUAUCUGACAAUACAGAGUUGCCAAAUCAUCUUAGACUUGCUUUAGCGUAAGCACACGAAAACCAAAUCAGCUAUGUCUUCGAUUUGCUCCUUGUAAGCACAAGGAUGCCAAACCAUCUUGGAUCUGCUUUAGCCAGAUCUGCUAUGCUGCGGCCUAUUACCCUACUGCUUAGGGGAUUAAGACGCGUCAUCUCUAAUAACCUGUAGAAUAAUUAUGCCUGAUAAUUAGGAUGCCAUGAUCGAAAUGAGUCGGAUGUUCCUAAUUAAACAUGUUACGAUGCAAAAUUUUGUGAAUAUGACCACUAUCCUAGACAUCACCACUCAUUCCUUCAUUUUUCUUUUCAAAGCAUUAUUCUUGCUCAACCUGUAGGCCUAUACCCUUCCUCCAAUGCUACGACCCACUGAGGAUGUCUGUAAAACAAUCUUUUCUUAAAAUUGAAUCGUUGAUUUUGUCCAUUUUCCCUUUAGACUGGAAGAAAGAAAUUCCUCGAGUUCCUUCAUCCUUUACUUGCAUGAAUUUCUCGAACAAUCGUCCUGUUUUAGUUUCUUGUAUUAUCUAGAAAUUCCAGAGUAAUGCGCGAAACUUCGUUUGUAAACAUAUUUAGUUCAUCUAUCAUUAUUUCAAUGCAACAUGGAAGAUGAAUAAAUCUUUAAGAAUAAUUGGAUUAAAAGGAAAGGAUACAAAGGAAAUUAAUCUGAAAGCCUAUCUUUAGGAAGAAAUAGAAUCUAAAGAUAGAAAAACAGGAUAAAAGUUAGAUGCUCAAGAUAUUGUUGCUUGAGUGUUUAUACACCAGCUCCAUGAAGUCUUUCUUGAGUUCAAAAUGUGUUUAAAAGAUCCCAAGUACUCCGUUGAUGUCCCAGUUUGCAGCAUUCUUCGCUCUUUGUAACAAGAUCACUGUGUACUCUUCAAAAUUUGAGCUGCCCUUUCGGGUUUCCGACUCAAAACCCCUUUGGUCACAAGGUGCCCUUUGCGGGUUUUCACCUUGGCCUCUCCGUUUUUGAUUUUUUUUUUAAAUCUCAAGGUGCCCUUUGUGGGUUUUCACCUUAGAUUCUCUUCUUCUUUAGACAAAGUAUUUUUUAACUGAGUCCGAGUUCACUGGAUUGGGUAAACUUUUCCCAUCCAUUUCCGCUAAGAUCAAUGCACUACCGGAGAAAGCUUUCUUCACGACAUACAGCCCUUCCUAAUUCGACAUCUAUUUUCCUCUAAAAUCCUUUUGAAUAGGAAGGAUAUUUUUCAGUACAAGGUCUCCCUCAUGGAAUUCUCUUGGUCGAACUUUCUUGUCAUAAGCUCGCAUCAUUCACUUCUGAUACAUCUGACCAUGUCGAAUGGAUUUUAGCCUCUUUUCCUCAAUCAAGUUCAACUGGUCAUACCGGGAUUGAACCCACUCAGCUUCAUCUAACUUUACUUCCGUCAAAAUUUGAAGAGAAGGUAUUUCUACUUCAAUAGGUAAUACUGCUUCCAUCCCAUAAACUAACGAGAAUAGAGUUGCCCCAGUAGAGGUUCUAACAGAUGUUCGGUAGGCUAAGAGUGCAAAUGGCAACUUCUCAUGCCAAUCCCUAUAGGUCUCAGUCAUCUUCCUCACUAUUUUCUUAAUAUUCUUGUUGGCGGCCUCCACUGCCCCAUUCAUUUUUGGACGAUAAGGGGAAGAAUUGUGAUGCUUGAUCUUGAACUGGUUGCAAACCUCCGCUAUCGUUUUGUUGUUUAGGUUUAAUGCAUUGUCGGAUAUGAUCUUCUCAGGCAUUCCAUACCGACAAAUGAUCUCCUUCUUCAUGAAUCGACUCACAGCUGACUUAGUAACAUACGCAUAAGAAGUCGCCUCUACCCAUUUUGUGAAGUAGUCAAUGACCAUGAAGAUAAACCGAUGUCCAUUUGAAGCCUUCGGUGAUAUUGGUCCAAUGACAUCCAUGCCCCACAUGGAAAAGGGCCAUGGAGAAGUCAUGACAUGUAGAGGUGAAUGUGGUACAUGUAUCUUGUCUCCAUAAAUCUGACACUUAUGACAUUUCUUGGCGUAGUUGAUACAAUCCCCUUCCAUGGUAGACCAAUAAUAUCCAAAUCUCAUGAUUUGUCUAGCCAUAGUGAACCCAUUUGCAUGUGUCCCGCAUACGCCUUCAUGAACUUCUUCUAAAAUUAGCUUAGCUUCCACGGCAUCAACACAUCUUAAAAGUACUUGGUCUUUCCUUCUCUUAUACAAGAUGUCCCCGUCCAAGACAUAGUCGCAAGCUAGCCUUCUCAACGUUCGUUUGUCAUUUUCAUUGGCUUGUUCAGGGUAUUUACGAUCCCUCACAUAUCGUAAUAUAUCCUAAUACCAAGGGUUAUCAUCCUCUUCUUCCUUCUCAAUGUUGCAACAAUGUGCUGGAGCCUCGUAGGCACUCAUUUGAAUUGGUCUUAUCUCUUCUUCUUUAUUUGCCUUAAUCAUUGAGGCCAAGGUUGCUAAAGCAUUUUCCAUCUGAUUUUCGUCUCGUGGGAAAUAAUUGAAGGUGACGUCAUCAAACUCCUCAAGCAGCCCCAAAACUACCUUUCGAUAAUUGAUCAAUUUAGGGUCCUUUGUUUCCCAUUCACCUCUGAGUUGAUAAAUUACCAACGUAGAAUCUCCAUAUACUUUUAGGGUUUUUAUACCUCGCUCUAUAGCUACUUGUAGUCCCAUGAUGCAUGCUUCAUACUCAUCCAUUUUAUUCGUGCAAUCAAAGCCCAACUUGCAUGUGAAAGGGUAGUGAUUGCCAUUUGGGGAUACCAAGACUGCCCCAAUUCUAUUUCCGACUGCAUUAGAAGCCUCAUCAAAAUUGAGCUUCCAAGAAGAAUCUUCUGUCGUUGCUAUACACAUCAACUCCUCAUUUGGAAAAUCAAAGUUCAAUGGCUCAUAAUCCUCUAGAGCUCUACUAGCCAAGAAAUUUGAUAUCGCACUUCCUUUUAUAGCCUUCUGACUUAUGUAGACUAUAUCAAAUUCUAAAAGUAGAAUUUUCCAUCUCGCCAUUCUUCCAUUCAGAGCCAUUGACUCCAUCAUGUAUUUCAAUGGAUCAAGCUUUGAGAUGAACCAAGUGGUAUGGUAUAGCACGUACUGUCUUAAUCUCCGAGUUGUCCAAAUAAACAACACAACUUUUCAAUCGGUGGAUAUUUCAUCUCACAGUCAGUGAAUUUCAAACUGAGAUAAUAAAUUGCCUUCUUCUUUUUCCCUGACUCGUCAUGCUGGCCAAGCACACAUCCCAUGGAAUUGCUGAAUACUGAUAAGUACAGUAUUAUUGGUCUAUCUGGACUGGGCGGAGAUAACGCCUGAGCAUUCAACAAGUACUGUUUGACCUUUUCAAAAGCAUUUUGGCAUUCCUCAUCCCAAGUACCUUGAUUGUGCUUUUUAAGGAGACGAAAGAUGGGAUCACACUUCUCAGUUAGUUGUGAAAUAAACCGAGCAAUGUAAUUCAGUCUUCUUAGAAAUCCUUGAACUUCCUUUUGAUUUUGUGGGGGAGGUAAUUCUCGUAUAGAUCUGACCUUGUCUGAGUCAACUUCAAUUCCCUUUUCACUGACUACAAAGCCUAAUAACUUUCCCGAUCUAGCUCCAAAGGUACACUUUGCUGGAUUGAGCCUCAACUGAAACUUUCUCAAUCUCAAGAACAUUCUUCUCAGGACCUCAAUGUGCUCUUUUUCGGUACACGACUUGGCCAUCAUAUCAUCAACAUACACCUCAAUAUCCUUAUGCACCAUAUCGUGGAACAAGUUCACCAUGGUUCGCUGGUAUGUUGCCCCCGCAUUCUUUAACCCAAACGGCAUUACUUUGUAGCAAAAGGUACCCCACAAGGCUAUGAAGGUAGUUUUAUCCAUAUCCUCUAAAUGCAUCUUUAUCUGAUUGUACCCCGAGAAACCAUCUAUGAAAGAGAACAACGAAUAUCCUGCCGUGUUGUCUACUAAAGUGUCGAUGUGUGGCAAAGGAAAUUAUCUUUGGGGCUAGCUUUAUUUAAAUCUCUGUAAUCAACACACAUUCGUACCUUCCCAUCUUUCUUUGGAACUGGUACAAUGUUGGCUACCCAUUCGGAGUAUUUCACUUCUUGUAAGAAUUCUACAUCGAACUGCUUCUUAACCUUAUCUUUUAUUUUUAGAACAAUGUCUGGCCGCAUUCUCCGCAACUUCUGUUGGACUGGCUUACAAUCCUGCCUUAUCGGAAGACGAUGUACUAUAAUGUCAGUACUUAAUCCGAGCAUGUCCUGGUAUCCUUGAACUCUCGAAGCAACUCAACCAAACUAUGCCUUUUGUCCUUGGUAAUCAGUAUUCCAAUUUUCAACUCAGCACCCUUCCUCUAGGGCUAUAUUCUCUAUUGCCUCUUUCUCAUGUGGCAUGAUUUGUUUCUCCUCCUGCUUUACCAUUCUUAACAGAUCGAGGGAUACGUCACAAUCUUGAACAUCUUCAAAAUCCUGAGAUUCCUCUAAACACAUGUCUUGCUCGUAAGAGAAAUUAGGAGCGGCAGUAUUAGUGCUCAUAUCAUUGAUAUCUAGAGACCUGUGGGGGUAUGAAAGAAUAUACAAAGAAUGAAUGAAUCUAAGAAUGGUUGUUUAUGUGCUAUGAAUAAAAGGAUAAGGAUUGCCAAAAUUUAAAGGAAUAUUGGUUGAUAAAGAUGAAAUAAUACUCGUUUAAAAUUGAUAAAAGUUAUGUUUUAUUUAAAUAAUAAUAGAUGAACAUAGGUCUAUUUUCACAAAUGUAAUCUUACUACUCCUAGGCCCUAGACAUGUUUCGGGAAUUACUCUAAAAAAUUCCUAAAGAUUACAGGAAGUUCUUCUGCAGUCCAAUUGUUUAAAGAACUUCCCGGUUCGUAAGGGCGAAUGCCCUCAAGGUUUUUUUGUUCAGUCCCUUUCUCAUGUAUGACAUUGAUGGGAUGAUUUUCCUUUCCAAACACCCCCUUCUCGGGGUAAGCUAUCUCUCCUGACACAAAAGUCAGGGAUAUGUAAGGGAACGUCAUUAAUUCCUAUUCAACUUCUUUUUCACUUAGCCGUGACCCUAUUCUCUCUCUCUUUUUUUCUUUCUCUUUUUAAUAACUUUAACUAAUUAGGGUCUUUUUAUGGAUUUAAAUGCAUGUGAUGUGAUGCAAUGCAAAUGCAUGAAUGCAAAAGAAAAGGAGAUAUUGAUCUUGAAUUCAAUUCCAUUAGAAUAACUUUUCUAGAAAACAGAUUUCUUUACAUGAAAAUAGAUUGCAUAUGUAGUCUUGCCCUUCAUAGUCCAAGUAAACGUUGAUCUUUUCUUCAUGGUCGAAUCCUGUAAAUUCUCUAAAAGAUGCCUUUGCUAGCUCCUUGCUAUUUAAUCUGAGCUCGAUCUCUUGCUCGCUUAUCUCUAUGAUACUCAUCAAAAAGUGUCGGCUCUUGGAUAAUCUUCGUCGAUAAUUAAAUUAAGUCAUGUAUUCCCUCGUGGACUUCUGGCUUUCUCUCGUCAUGCUCUUGGAUAACUUUUGUUGGCUUGAAUCUCCGGCAAUUACAUCAUGUAUUCCUCCGUGGACUAUCAGCUUUCUCUCGUCGUGUUUAUUUGGACUAUAUUCAGACGACCGCACUAUAAUCCACUUUAUCAAGAAAUUCGUUUCCUUAUGACAAACUAUUCUAUUUAGGAAUCAAAUUUCAAAUCAACACCAACUUUUCUUUGAUGUAAUGUAAUGCAAAUGCAUGAAUGCAAAAAGAUAUCGAUCUCGAUUUAGUUUCAUUUUAGAAAAUGUUAUUUAAGGAACAAAAGUCUUUUCAUAAAACGGAUUACAAAUACACUUUCGCUCGUAGGCCCAGAGUCUUAACCCUAUCUAAUAACAAAGCUAACUCUCGACCUCUAUCUGAACUGCCCCGUUUUAUAUUGCUUUAGGACGAGUAAUGGUGCAUAGCCAACGACUUCCCAAAUCCUAAGAAGAGGUACCCAAUCAAAACUACCGCAAUGAUAAAGGACUUCAUUAGGAGUCAUCCAAGGUGCUUUCCACAAAACCUCCUCCUCUCGAAGGUUCUAAAGAAUAUCUAUCCACCUUUCUUCUGUAAUAUCGUCUCUCAUUAGUGUAGUUUUUGCUUCCUUUAAGGGGGAAUAACCCACAAAGAACACUGGGCAAGGAACCUUCUCAAGCUUCCAAAAGUGACUAUGGAACCAUACUAACAACAACUGUGUGCAUCCAAUAAAUCUACUUUACCGGCUCUCCGACAUGUACUUCAAGAAUCUAAACAUCUCAGCUAGGAUUGCUAGCACCGGUGUGUUCUGUUUACCAAUACAAUCAAACAAAUCUGCGACUGCCUCAUCUAUGUGCCCUAUCGCUUUCGGGAAAAUCACCAAGCCGUAAAUACUUAAGGCCAAAACGUUGAUCUUCUUCUUCACAUCUAGGUGUGUCAAUAUUAGAUCCCUCGAAAUGGCCCACGGAAUGCACUUAUUAUUGCCCUUUUGUUGGACUCGAGCUGCGGCCUACUGUUCACUCAUCCCUGUUAUCAUCAUAAUUUCUUCACAAAAGUAGGGAGAUUAGUAGCCCUAACAUACACCUUGUUAUCUUGAAUUUUUGGACAGCGAAGCAAGGUCAUAUACUCCUCCAAAGUAGGUACCAAGUCUACCUUUCCCAAUGUAAAACAACUAUAAACAGGGUUCUAAAACUGUACCAUAGAUUGAAACAGAUACCUGUCCACCUUGAUGUCUAGCAAAUAAGGAAGAUCUCCAUAAUUCUGGUAGAACAGCUGCUUAGCCUCGUCAUCCCAUUGGUCCCAAAUGUCCUUCAACUCCCGAAACUCAUUCUGUGUUGAACUGAUACGAGUAAAGUCCCAUGACUCUGACGUAUACCUCUCAGUGACACUAUCUCCCUUUUCUAAUUAGGUUUUCUCUGACCAUGCAUAGACAGAAGCGUUGUCCUCCACUUUAUCAAGAUAUUCGUUCCUCAUUACAAAACUUUCUAAUCUAGAAAUCGAACCGUGAAUUGACACCUUUUAAUGAUGAAUGAUAUGUGGUGAUGACAAAAUAAAAAAAAAACAAGUUAGUAUCAUAUAAAAAGAUGUAAUAAACAAGAACUUAUAAAGGUAGGUACUAAAGAUCAUCACCAUCCUACCUAGAGCAAGCACUUAAAGUUCACUAUAUGUAGUUUAGUUCUAGAGCAAGGGUACCUGAACUAUCAGAUUCCUCGGUCCUCACCCAUUAUAGGCUCAUAUGGACCAAGUUCAAUUCAGGGGAAUACAUUUCCUUAUGCCCAUGCGGAGGUGAAAACCUCACGAAGACAUAAGUACGGAUGUAUUCCGGAAGUGAUCCCCUAGCCCAUGCGGAGGUGAAAACCUCACGAAAGCAUAGUUUCUCACUCCCACUUAAAAGGUGUGACCACAACGGUCAUGCAAUGCGAUGCAAAACUAUUUAAGGACUCAAACCAAUGCAAUAGGUAUUAUAUCAUAAACCACAAAAAGCUGAUGAAAUGCAAUGAAAGAAUCGUAUUUCAAAACCUAAUUUUCAAUUUUCGAUAUAAAGACAAAAGUUAAUCAACUUGUGGCUUGACUCUCUUAUUUGGUCCCCAAUGGAGUCGCCAAGCUGUUGUAACCAUUUUUUUUUGAAAAAAACGGGGAUUGAAUUUAAAACGAAAAUGGAGUCGCCACCAAUCUUUUUUUGUUUAGGUGUGAUCGGGUCACCUUAUGAUCGAUCAUUUUAUAAAAUAUUUUGAUUUAUUAAAAUGAUUAUUUUUGGUCUACGAAAAUCAAAAAAUGAGUUCGGGAGUCGGUUACGCACGAGGAAGGAUUAGCACCCUCGAUACGCCCAAAAUUGGUACCUAGUUGAUUAAUUAGUGUCUUAGUGUCGAAAAUUGAAAACUUGAAAGACUUUUAAAAUAUGAUCCCUCUUUGUAUUAAUGAUGAUUUAAAAAAGAUCGAAUAAAUUAAAACGGAUGUUGAAGACUCUCUCAUCUUGAAGUAAUAAAAUGUCACGCCCAGUAAGUUAGGACACGUCAUCUUGAACUUUGAGAAUGAGCUUGCCUUUAUUUAAAAUUCAUGUACUUUAACCCUUUUUUUUAAAAGGAUGUUCGGUUAUUUAGGGUAAACGAGAAAAGUCGAAACCAGUAAGUUAGGGUACGAUCUUUUGAAUUCUUUAAAUACCAAACAUUGCCUUGUUUAAAUUUUCAAAUAAAUGUAUUUUUAUAAAAAAAAAUAACUCGAUAACAUAAGGAAUUAAACAUGUGGCAAUAACAUCUCAGGAAUAAUCUAAAAUAAUAUGGAAAUGCAAAGGAACAACUUAGAAUACAUGCAAUCACAACACAUCAUAUAUUAUGAAAAUACCACCAUUUAUGUCUAAGGGUCAAUGCAUAAGAAACCAAUUUUAAAAGAAGUUUCAAGUAAAUCCUAAAUAAAAUAUACCAAGUUUUUUUAAAAUAAAAUAAAAUAAAUAAUAGGAAAAAGAAAAUUUGAAAUAUAACUAUAAGAACUAUAAGAAAAUUUUAAAUAGUAAUGUACAAAUGAAAUUAAAAAAUAUUCUAAAGUAAAUAAUUUGAACGAAGCUUGAAUUGUAUCAAAAUAAAAAAUAAGAAAAAAAUAUAUAUAUGUAGCAUAACUAAAAUUCCAAAAUAAAUAAUAGGCAUAAAAGAUUAAAAGUAAAUAAUACACAAAGUAAUAUAUACACAGGAAAAGCUUAAUAUAAAUAAUACAUAUAGUAGUAAUAAUAAUAUAAAGGUAUUUCAUAUAAACAGGUAUGCACGUGGAAAAAAAAUAAUCACAAAAGUAUGAAAUCAAAAUAAUAUGUUGAAACAUGUUUAUUCUAAGAAGAAUAACUGAAACUUAGUUGAGAGAAAAAAACAAAAUCCAAGGGAUAACUUACAAAUAAAAAAAAUUAUUAAAACGUAAUUUUGGGCUAAAAUUAAUUGCGUAUAAAUGUUCGAGGUCUAAAAUUAAAAAUGUCCCAAAUCUUAAAAUACUGUGCUAAGGGGGCAAAUUGAAAUAGCGCACAGAUUGCAGGGCCAAUUUAAAAUAAUUUAAAAAAACUUAAAUAUAGCCUGAUUGAAGGCUAGCGCAAAGGAGGGGACCAAUUGCGCAAAUUACCAAAUUAAAGGUAAAAUGCACAUGGUCCCAAGAAAAAAAGCGUGCUGAUCCCACUCCCCCAUGCUACUUUGUUUUAUUAUUAAUUAAAACCAUACUUUAUCUCCUUCUAUUUCAUUAAAAAACCCUUUUCUAAAAAACAAAAAAAAAGUUAAAACACCACCCUGCAUUCAUUUUUCAAAACAGAGAGAAGGCUCUCAACCCCCCUCUCAUCUUGCGAUUCACUCCCAAAUUCCGGCAGAUCACCACCGCCGGCUUCGCCAUCAGCGACCCUCAUGCAUGGCGGCCGGAGCCCCUUUUCUAGGCGAAGAAAGGUACCUCAUUCCUUUUUUAUUUCACAAAAUAUAUGUAGAUAUAUAUAUAUAAGAGCAAAUAAAAGAAAGUAAAACCUUAGAAUAACUCCCUUGAUCUAUUUUUAUUUCCUGAAGUGCUCUCUAUUGUAUGUAGUACAACUGUUCAUUUUUUUUAAAAAAAAACCCUCCUUCUAGAACCAUCUGUCCUCCUCUUUUACAAUAAAAAAUUGAAGGCUUUAUAGCCAAAAACCAUACAUUUUCCACCUAUCUCUUUGCUCCAAUUGCAGGUGUUGCAGUUGUGGAGAACGAGGGGCGUGAAACAUGGGUGAAAACAUCGAGCGGGACAUACGGGAAUCGUGAAUGGAGUAAGUGGAGGUAUGGGCAAUAGGACAGGGCAAGUUGGCCGACAGUCAAGCAUAGGGAUGAUGGCUAGGUUUUUUUUAGUCUUCUUCUUUCCUUUUUUUUUAAUUGCUAUGGGCUAGUGUUAAAGGGUUUUGGGCUGUUGGGUUUUUAGAUGUUGGGCUUUUUAGCCCGGGCAAAAUUUGGGCUGUACAGCGAGAACAAGGCCGGAAAUCCCAUCGGAGGGAAAAGAUUGUCAAGUUAGGAGUAUUAAUGGACAUCAAUCUUAAAAAUGGGAAUAAUAUUAAUUAUUGUUAGAGAAUGCUAGAGAUGGUAAAUAAAGAGGCAGUGUCAGAGUCUGUUUCCAAAGAUAUUAAAAUAGGAGAAGCAGAUGAAGUGGAUAAAUGUAAGGGAUGGGCUUUGAAGAAAGUAAGGGAUAUGGGCUUGGCUGUUGUAGAGGAUCCAAUAGAAGAUCCAAAAGAAGGGGGAAAUGAUAAUGGAUCGAGCAUGAAUGUGGGCUGUAAGAAUGUAGGAAAAACUAACUCAGAAGGAAAAACAAGUCCAGUGGAAGGCAACAAAAGUAUUUAAGAAAAUGAAACAGGAAGAGGGGAAUUUUGGGAAUCCAAUAUAGAAUUAGAAGAAGAAUUAAAUCAGGUGCUUCUUCGCAGGAAAAAAAAAAGAAAGGUUUGAACAAGAAGAUACAGUCGAUGUAUGAAAUUCAAGGCAAUAUUGUUACAAGCCCAAUUUGCCCGGCCCAAAACCCAACUACCCUAAAAACUAAUCAGCCCAAUUACAAACCCUAGCCCACUAUCCUAAACUUUUCCAAGAAAAUCUAGCCCCCUAGGUGUGCCGCCCCUACUACCUACCACCAGCACACCUGCCCACCUGCUCCACCGCCCGUGUCAGCAUCGCCCAUCCACCUACAAGAAGAACAGAGCAAUCAAGUAGAAAAACAAGUUGUAAAAUUGGCUAUUUAAAAGCCUAAAGAUCAAAUGUAAUAAGGAGAGGUUUUUUUAGACAUUGAAUACAAUCACAAAAAAAAAAAGCAAAUUCAAAUACAUAAAUAACAAAUAGUAGAUCGAAAGAGAAAUCAAAAAAAGUUCAUAAUCGAGCAAAGGUUACCAUAUUUUAUUUCAUUUUAUUUUAUUUUUUUCAUUUACAAAUCUGUUAAUACAUAUAUGUAUAUAUAAAGUGUAUAAAAAAUGGGACUUACCUUCAAUCUCGCUAAAAAAGGCCGACUUUUGGCCUUCCUGCCACCGUAUAUGGCGGCGCCGGCGAACGGUGGCCGAUGACCGAAGACCAAGGUUGGGAGGGCCUGCUGUAGAGAAAAAGGGAGCCCUCCUUUUUGUUUUUUUGAAGAGAAUGAGGGAAGAAUGAAAUUUUUUUAAAAAAAUUUACCUUUUAUACCCAUAUAAAACGGCGUCGUUUUGGCCCCUAGGAUCAGCGUGUUGACCCGCCCGCUAGCAGGAUCCGCGUGUUUUUGGAAAAGGGGGAAUUUGCGCGAGUGGUCCUUCCUCCUUUUUAUUACUUUGUAAUCAAGUCUUUUGAUUCUUCAAUUUUGGCCCCGAAUUUUGCCUGGAUUCUAGUUCAGUCCCUACCGGAACUGUGCGUUUAGAGGGAGGGGAUAUUUUCCUUUUUCGUCCCUUUACGUUGCGCACGUGUUGCAAUCUGGUCCUUCCCCCUUUCUUUUCAUUUUUAAUUUGCCCCAAAAUUUCGUUUUAAGUUCGGUUUAAUUCUUUUUCGUUAUUUUGCUAUUUUAUCUUCAAAAUAAUUAUUUUUUUAUUAUUUUUUCUUAUUAUAUUUAUCAUCAUUAUUGUUUCUUUGCCAUUACUGUUAACACAAUAUAUUUAUUCCUAUUAUUUUAUAUUAUUGUCGUUAUUAAUAUAUACUAUUAUUAUCAUUAAUAUUAUUAUUAUUAUUAUUACUAAUAUCACUAUCAUCGUUUUUUAUUACUAUUAUUAUCAUCAUUUUUUUAUCUAAUAUAUUAUUAACCUUUUAUUAUUAUUACUAUUAUUAUUAUAUUUUCUUUUUAUUUUUUUCACUCAUACGUUAUUAUUUUUAUAUUAAUUAAUUUAAUAUAUAUAUUUUUAAGCAUACUUAUUUUAUUUAUAUAUAAUUACUCUUAUUAUUAUCAUUUCAUCAUUUAUUUUAUUUAUAUCUUUCUAAACAAUUUCAAACUUUAGAUUAUUUAUUAUUUGUGUUAUUGUUAUUAUUACUUUUUAUUAUUACCAUUAUUAUUACUAUUAUUUUUACUUUUAUUACUAUUACUAUAUUAUUAUUAUUAUUUUCUAUUACUAUUAUCGUUAUUAUUAAUACUAAUAUUAAUAUUCUUAUUAUUACUAUUAUUAUUAUCAUUAGUAUUAUUAUUUUUUACCACUAUUAUUAUUAUCAAUAUUAUUAUUAUCGUUUUCAUUAUCAUUGUCGUUUUUAUUUUUCCAUGUUUUAUAUUUUUUAUUUACUUAUGUGUUUGAUUAUUUCAUUUGCCUUAUGCAUUUGUUUUAUAUUUUUAUAUUACUAGCAUUGCUUUUAUUUCACCUUUUUAUAAUUGCUCAUAUUAUUGUUAUUGACACUGUCGCGCCUAUUAUUAUGUUAUUAAACGUAUUAGCACCAUAAUUUACUUUUAUAUUUCACUAUAAAUCACGUCACAUUUCACUCGAUACAUUAAAAUAAUUCUUUCAUAAAAGCAAUAUUCCAUAAUUAGAAAUUCGAGAAAAUCGUGCCCUAACAUACUGGGUUUCGAUUUUUCUCAUUUAACCUAAAUUACGUAAUAUUCUUUUAAAUUGUAAUAAGGGCUUUUGAAUAAAAGUGCUUAUUCUCGAAGAUACGAGGUGUUGUACCCUAAAUCACUGGAUAUUGCAUCUUGUUACCUCGAAAUAAGAUUUUUUGUAAAUAAAGGCAACGUUCGGUAUUUGGAAGUUCGAGAAAACGUGCCCUAACUUACUGGGUUUUAAUUUUUCUCGUUUACCCUAAAUAAUCGAAUACCCUUAAAAAAAGUUAAAAUACACGAAUUUUAAGUAAAAGGCUGACUCAUUUUCAAAAGUUCGAGAUGUUGUGUCCUAACUUACUGGAUGUGACAUUUCAUCACUUUGAGACGAGAAGGUCUUUAACAUUUGAGUGUUUUUUACAAAAGAGGGAUUGUAUUUCAAAGUCUUUCAAGUUUUAAAUUUUCGACACUAAGACACUAAUUAAUCAACUAGGUACCAAUUUUUGGGCGUAUCGAGGGUGCUAAUCCUUCCUCGUGCGUCAUCAACUCCCGAACUUAUUUUUUGAUUUUCGUAGACCAAAAAUUAUCAUUUUAGUAAAUCUUAACUUUUAUUAAAAUGAUUAAUUUGAGAUGACCCGAUCACACCUCAUCAAAAAGGAUUGGUGGCGACUCCCGUUUCUUUCAUUUUAGUUUCCAAAACCAAAGUCGACUCCAUUUUUCAAAAAAUAGUUUCGACAAACAUUUUAACGACAAAUGAGAGGAAAAGAGAGACAGACCCUUGCAUAAGGAAAAAGGAAGGGAAGUUCGUAAGGAAGAUGAGAGGAUUGUAAAUUUAUCCCUAUCAGAUUCGAAUAUUAACAACAGAAUGAGGGUGAUUCUAAGGGAAGCAAAUAAUACUUGGGCAAUCGGAAAGAAAUUGGGAGUUAAGGAACGACAUGACAACACUAUUUUAGGAAGAUUCAUGGUGUGGCAGUCGUCAUUUAGAAGAAGGAUUUCUAAGGCUUUAUCGAUUGGCAAAACUCAAAAAAAGAAGUGUGAGAAUGUAUACUAGAAAAGAGGGUUUUAGAAAAGUAAAGUGGGGGGCAUUUGUUAUAAGAAAACUGAUUGAUAUGAUAAAGUAAUGUUUGCUGGAGUAUUUUUGGUGGAUAUGUCUGAAUAGGUGUAGGAUUGAUUCAAUUAAUCCAAGCCAGAUGCAUUAUUUUGGUGGCCUCCUCCUCAUGGAUGUUUAAAGUUCAAUGUGUGUGGGAUUGCAAACGAGGAUUGAGUAGGAUGUGGAGGAGUCUUGAGUGAUAAGGAGCGUGUCGUAAGAGAAUUAUUUUUUGGUUUUGCAGCAGGAAAUGAUUCCAUUGUGUGGUACAGAUUGGCACGGUGAAGGUAUAAAUUGGGAGAAAAUGUUUAAUUAUAAAUUGGAAGAAAAUGUUUAAAGCUUGGUGGUGAGUUUUGCUUUGCUGUAAUCAUAGGUCUGUUAAGUGAUCGAAUGUGUUUUUUUUUAGAAUGUUGUAUUGUUAAACUUUUGUUGCUAUUCUAUUCGUAUUUUAUAACAGAACAGAUCGAAUGAAGCAAAAAAAAAAGAGGAAAAAAACCUAACCAUCAGGCCAAUACACAGGUUCAUAUAUUAACAAUUUUUGAGUAGCUAAUUUUUCUUAAUAUAGGUAAACCUUGCAAUCUUGAUUUCUAACUCAAAAUUUAACUUGAUGAAUUUAAAAUAAAGGUUAUUUUAUUUUUAUUUAAUCAUAUAAAAAUUCAAACUUAAAUUGAUUCAAAUUCGAAAUAUAGGGGUUGGCUUUGCACCCUAAAAUGGUAAGUUUAUGUUUUAGCGUUUUAAAUUUUAUAAAUUUUAUAAAUUAGUAUAUGGUAAAAAUUAUACUUUGGCUUGCAAAAAUAAUAAAAUUUUAAUUUAAUCCUUAAUUAAUUAUAAAGACGUAAGCUAUUAAAAUGGUGAAAUGACAUUUUACCUCUCAUAAAAACUUUACAACUUAAAUGAGAGUAAAUAGAUCCGAAAACCUCAAGCAACACAAAAUUAUUUUAAUCUAAAGCUCAUUUAAAUCUGAAAAUGAUGAAGACAAAUUUGUUUAUGUUUAUAAAUUUUUUUAAUAAUCUGAUUAUAAGUUUUGAUGAUAUCUACUCUUUUUAACACAAUGCCUAGAAUUAUCUAUAACCCCUCCCCAACCCAUAAAUAGGAGGAUAAUGCGUUUAAGCAUACUCGAAACUAGAUCUUCUUACAUUGACAAUAAUACCUAUACUAAUCAAGCUAAGAUUCAAAGCUAAAAUUCAAUUCAUUAAUUGUAUAUAUAUUUUAAUGUGAUCCAGCACCAUAUGAAUGAAACAAAUGAAUGCAUCAGUUCAAAUUGCCCAAUGAAAGACCUAAGAAAUAUUAAAAUCUAUAUAAUAAAAAAAGUUUGCAGAUAGCUUGCACACCAAGCCUAAUAUGUUUUAUUUUUAAUUUAAAUUUAUUAUCACGUUUUCAAUAUUUGAUUAUGAUAUUUAAAUUUAUAUCUCAAGAUAACGACUAUGAUUUGAAAUAAAAUUAUAUAGAUGCAUGCAAAUUUCCCUUUGUCUACUAUUAAUCAUUUAGUUUUGGCAUAAUGAUUUUUUUAGUCCUCUAAUUUUAAAAAUUAAAUUAUUUUAGUCCUUCAUUUAAAUUUUCGCUUCUUCUAAUCCUUAAAUUUACAUUUUUUGUCAAACUGCUCCAAAUUUGAUGGAAAAGUUAAUAUUUAAUAACUUUCCUGACGUGUUAUACAUGUGGAUUGUUGAGUAGAAAACAGGUGAGCAUUUAAUUCAUUUCUAAACUAUUAAAAAUAAUUUUUAUAAUUUCUAAUUUUUAAAAAUAAUUUUAUAAUAUUUUAAAAUUUUUUAAAUUUUAAAAAAUUAAUUAAAUGUUGACAUGUCAUCUUCAUAGCAGUCCACAUAUAUGCAACGUUAACAAAAUUAAAAAAGUUAACUUUUCCAUUCAUCUUGGGAUGAUUUGACAAAAGUACAAGUUUAAGGACUUAAAAGAUAAAUGUAGCGACGUAAAAAUUUUGGUUUGGGGUCGCUAAUUGUGACAAUCUAGUGAAAAAGUUCGAAAACUGAAGUUUGAUUUUAAAAAAAAGAGGGAGUCGCCACCGAUCCUUUUCCUAGGUGUGAUCGGACACCUAUUAGAUUCAUUUUUUUUUAAAACAAAAGGAAUGCUGAAUUUAGGUCUACGUUAAAAGCCAGAGGAAAAUUAGGGUUCGGGAGUCGGUUACGCGCGAGGAAGGUAUUAGCACCCUCGCGACGCCCAAAAAUUGGUAUCUCAUAAACACAUGUUGUCUUAAUUUUCAAAAAUGCGAAUUCAAUGUAAAGUUUAGUUGUGAUCUGAAAAAAACGAGAAAUUUUAGUUUAUUCCGAUUUUUGAGAAGGGUAUAUCGCUUUAACACGAGUCAAUUGAUGUUCACCCAACGUAGCGAUGAACUCGAUGACUUAAUGUUAAAUCGAUAUGUUGCCUUGAUUAUUGAAAUUAAUUAGCAAAACAAGAAUACGAUUUUCGAAAUAAUGCAAAGUAAAAUAAUAUGAAAUAAAAAUCAAUAAAUGAAAGAGCUAGGGAUAUAUUAAAACAAAUAAUCGAGGUGACAAUAAUAUUAGAAAAGAUGAAGGUAUAAUGUAAUAAUAGAAUCGGACACGAAAUUAAAAUAAUGAAUGUAUACACAUAAUAAUAAUAUUAAGAAUGCGUGUGUAAAAUGACAUAUAUAUUUAGCGAUAUUAAAAAUCCAUACAACAUACAUAGAACAUAUAUAGUAUAUGCAUACCUUAGAAAUGAUAAGAAUAAUGAUAAAACUAUUUUGUACACUACAUAAAUACAUACACACACAUAUAUAUAUAGAUAUAUAAACAAUAGUAUUAGAAACGUAUAAUAUUAGAGAUACACAUAAUAGUAAAAAAAUAGAUACCUAAAUAAUAUUAAAAUAUACAUAAUAAUAUACAUAAAAUAUAAUAUUAAAAACUUAUGUACGUAACACGUAUAAAAGAAAUAUAAUAUUAAAUCAUUUACAUAAUAUACACAUAUGAUUUUCAGGUUAAAUACAUAUUUGAGUACUAACAUUACAUAAAAAUAUACUUAUAUAUAUAAUAUAUUAAAUAAAGUGGGAUAAAAAAUAUUGAAUAUUAAGCAAUACAUAUACACAUACACAUAUGAAGCAAAAAAAAAAUUAACACGUAAUAAUAAUAAUAAUGAUAAUAAUAACAAUAUUAAUGAUAUUAAUAAUUCAAAAAUAAUGAUGAUAUUUAAUAAAAAUAACAAAAGAGACGAAGAAGGACUAAAAUUAAAACAAUAACGAAGUUAUGGGGUCAAUUUAAAAAGGAAAUAAAGAGGAGGGACUUAAUUACAACACGCGCGUAACUAGAAGGGUCAAAAGCACAAUAAAUCCAGAUGUUAAAACGCUGCGCAGCGUGGGGGACCAGAACGAAAUCAGGGCAAAACAGCGGGGCCGAAUUUAAAAUAUAAAAAAAACUUGAUUAUAAAAUGUUGAAAAAGCGGAGGGGCCAACUGCGCAAAUAGCCCCUCCCUUAAAAACACGCGGAUCCCCUGGUCGGACGGGUCGGGUCGACCCGACCCGCAUCAAAACGGCGUCGUUUUCUGCUUUAAGGGGGGGUCCAAAACGGUGCGUUUUGGACCCUUAUAUAAGCCAAAUUUUUUUGUUUUUUUUUUCAUUUGAAACAGCUGAGAGAAAAAAAAAGAAAAGGGGGAGGGGAGAGGGAAGCCCGGAGCGAUUUCCGGCCAAGGGGGAGGGCUCCGGUCCGAUCGCCGGACCGUUGCCGGCGCCGGCGCCGGCCACCGUACGCGGUGACCGAAAAAGGUAAUUUUCUAUUUUUUCUCUCUUUUUUUUGCUUUUUAUUUCUUUAUGUUUAUUUGUAAAUUUUUAUGUAUUUGUAGUGAAAAAUGGACUUAAAACAGUUAUUGAAAUGAAGAAUUACCUUCGGUUUUACUCACUUUUGAAUCUUCGAUCUUUUGUAUUUUGCCUGCUUGGAUGUUAUUUUGCGUUCAAACUCUAAUUAGGCUGCUAUUUUUUGCUCUAUAAUCGAACCUUCCUGUCGUUUUUAUUUUUUAAGAAACAAAGAACCAUCCCCCCUUUACAGAAAUCCAAAUCGGCUUUUUAUAGCCUUUACAAUAUUUUAUUUAAUAUUUGUUGUCUUGUCUCUUUUCUGGUCUUGCAGGGUAUGGAGGUGCCAGGCAUGCGGGGAUGGUGUUGGCAGAAGCAUGGGGCGUGGUAGCUGACAUGGUGGUGUUCGGCGCAAGUGGGCAAGUGGGGGGUAGGUGGCUAGGGUUAGUGGGAUUAGGGUUUCUGAAUGCUGAGUUUAGGUUAAUGGGCUGGGGUAGUUGGGCUUCGGGUUUAGUUGUUUAGGCUUGGUUUAGGAUGAGAUGGGUAUGGGGUUUAAGUAAGUUUAGUUAUUGGGUUUUGGGGGUGGCCCAAAAUUGGCCUGUACAGCUGCCCCUCUUUGCUCAUUGUCGUGUAACGGGAAUGGAGCAAAGACAUAAUGAAAGGCCAAUUUUGCCUGGUCUUGCUGGGUCUUGACUUCAUUGGUGCUCUUCUAGUUCAGAUAAUCUUCUUCCAGUCCACUGCAUCUUGUAGCUUUAGAUUCAAUCCACUACAUCUUCUGACAUAUGCCUUGUAGCUUCGAUCUACUCCAAUGUAACUUCAAGGAUAUGAGAUUUGUGGCUUUGAUCUGCUUUCAUGUAGCUUCAUAAAGAUAAGAUCUACAGCUUCAAUCUGCUCUUUUAUCACUUCAGUGAGAUGAGAUUCGUGAUCUUCUCUUUUGUAACUCUAGCGAGACAAGAUUUGAUAUCCUCGAUCAGUUCCACUGCGACCUCAGGGAGACAAGACUUGCAAAUUUUGACCGGUUCCACUAUAGCUUCAGGGAGACCAAGUCUGGUGUCUUUCAUCAACUUCAAUCUUUAUUCUUACUCAGCAUGUGAUCUUGAGCCCAACUCAUUUCUCGCAAUAUGAAUUGACUCUUUAAAAACAGACAUUAAAAACAAAAACUAAAGAUAUCUCAACAUGUGAACUGAGGCUCAACUCACUUUUCGCAAUAUGAGUUGAUUUUUUUGACAACAGAAAUUGAAAUUACCUCAGCGUGUCCUGAGGCUCAACUCAUUUCUCGCAAUAUGAGUUGAAUUUUGAAAAGCAAAAAUUGAAAAUACCUCAACGUGUCUUGAGGCUCAACUCAUUUCUCGCAAUAUGAGUUGAAUUUUGAAAAGAGAAAUUGAAAUUACCUCAAUGUGUCUUGAGGCUCAACUCAUUUCUCACAAUAUGAGUUGAUUCUUUCUAAAACAUAAUAAUGAAAACAGAAAUGGAAAAUACCUCGGUGUGACCUGAGGCUCAACUCACCUCUCGUAAUAUGAGUUGAUUUUUUUUGAAAAACAGAAAUCAAAAGGCUUAAUUGAAAUACCUCGGCGUGGGUCCUGAGGCUCAACUCACCUCUCGCAAUAUGAGUUGAAAUUAAAACACAAAAAUUGAAAAUACCUCAGCGUGCCCUGAGGCUCAACUCACCUCUUGCAAUAUUAGCUGAUUUUGAAAAAGUAGAAAUUAAAAGGUUCAACCCACCUCUCGCAAUAUGAGUUGAUUCUUGACAAACAGAAAUUGAAAUUACCUCAUCGUGUCCUGAGGCUCAAGUCACCUCUCGCAAUAUGAAUUGAAAAAAAUAACACAGUGUGUAAUCUGAAGCUCAACUCACCUCUCGCAAUAUGAGUUGAUUUUUUUUUAAAAACAGAAAUUGAAAAUACCUCAGCAUGUGAACCGAGGCUCAACUCACCUCUCGCAAUAUAAGUUGAUUUUUUUUUUGAAAACAGAAAUUGAAAAUACCUCAACGUGUCUUGAGGCUCAACUUAUUUCUCGCAAUGUAAGUUGAAUUUUGAAAACAGAAAUUGAAAUUACCUCAGCGUGUCAUGAGGCUCAACUCAUUUCUCGCAAUAUGAGUUGAUUUUUUUUUAACAACAGAAAUUGAAAUUACCUCAGCGUGUCCUGAGGCUCAACUCACCUCUAGCAAUAUGAGUUGAUUUUGAAAAACAAAAAUUAAAAGGCUUAACUCACCUCUCGCAAUAUGAGUCAAUUUAAAACAUAAACUAAAAAUACCUCGGCGUGCCCCGAGGCUCAACUCACUUCUCGCAAUAUGAGUUGAUUUUGAAAAAAAAAAUAAAAAUACCUCAACGUGUCUUGAGGCUCAACUCAUCUCUCGCAACAUGAGUUGAUUUUCCUUGGAAAGCAUGAAUAUUAAACAUCAAAAUACCAAAACCAGUCCUUUGGUAGAACUCGGGUAUCUUUUCCUUUGAUUCAGUGCGACUCUCAUUCAAGAUUUCUUGCUUUACUGGAUUACCUGUAUAUGCCAUGCAUGAUGUCAUCAUGAUAUGCACAUGUUUGUCUUAAAUGCCUUUAUGCCUACAUGAUUAUGCAGUGCUCCUUAAGCAUAUUGGUCGUAUGUCAUUUUCGCCAUGAUUGUUGAGGAUCUGCGUUCAUCACUUUGAUUCUCGACCUUCUUUUCAGGCCUCAUACCUGUCUUCGAGCUUUACGAGUAAUCGACGUUUCUCAGAUAUAACCCUUUUGCCCUUGGUUAAACUUUGUUCUUGCUUUGAAGAUCUUGCACUUAUCAAAUUCUUAUCCGGGUAAUGCUUGACAUUUCUUUUGUUUAAAGUAUGUCAUUUCACUAUUUAUCAUUAAAUAAACACAUAAUGAGAUGCAUGAAAAUGGUCAGGUAGGGACAAAAAGGAUAUCUCAUAUUCCUUUAUUUCAAAUGUGGCAAACAAAGAAAGUUAACCAAUGAGAGUAAAAAUGUCAAAAAGAAAGAAAAGGUCGUAUUCAACGGAUACAAAUGCUCUAGAUAUUCAACACAUGAACUCUUCCACGUUCCUCAAUCAAUAAUCUUUUCGAGCAUGGCUUCUUGCGUAGAAAAUUUCGAGCUUUCAGAAGUGCUUCAAAUACUGUAGUCUCACUACUUGACCUAUCGUUCGACCGCCAGGUUUGUUUCAUUAGGACGCCCUCUCGGGUUUUCAUCCUAAUCUUUUUGUACUAAUCAAGACGCCCUUUUCGGGUUUUCGCCCUGAUCCUUUUUUUUUAAGAUGCCCUUUUCGGGUUUUCAUCUUAAGCAUAAUAUUUCUUCACCGCAUCUGAAUUCACCGGAUUUGGUAACUCCUUCCCAUCCAUCUCGGUAAGGAUUAAAGCUCCUCCUGAGAAUGCCUUUUUUACAACGUAUGGUCCUUCCCAAUUUGGUGCCCAUUUUCCUCGCAGGUCUUUUUGUAUUGGGAGAAUCUUUCUCAGAACGAGUUCUCCUUCAUGGAACUCUCUUGGUCGUACCUUCUUGUCAUGGGCUGCGAUCAUUCUCUUUUGGUACAUUUGCCCAUGACAAAUUGCCCUUAGACGUUUUUCUUCAAUGAGGUUCAACUGAUCAUAUCGAGCUCGAACCCAUUUUGCUUCUUCUAACUUUGAUUCUAUCAAUACUCGCAGAGAGGGGAUCUCAACCUCGAUAGGUAGCACAGCUUCCAUUCCAUAGACUAGAGAGAAAGGAGUUGCUCCCGUAGAUGUUCGCACAGAUGUGCGAUAUGCAAACAAAGCAAAUGGAAGUUUCUCGUGCCAAUCUUUAUAUGUCUCAGUCAUUUUCCCAAUGAUCCUCUUAAUGUUCUUGUUAGCUGCUUCAACAGCCCCGUUCAUCUUUGGGCGAUAGGGCGAGGAAUUAUGAUGCUUUAUUUGGAACUGCUCGCACACUUCUUUCAUCAUCUUAUUGUUCAGAUUCGUGGCAUUAUCUGAGAUGAUUCUUUCAGGCAAACCAUAUCGGCAAAUGAUUUCUUUUUUCAAAAACUUGCACACUGCAGUCUUUAUCACGUUGGCAAACAAAGCGGCUUCAAUCCAUUUUGUGAAGUAAUCGAUAACCACAAAAAUGAAUCGAUGUCCAUUUGAAGCUUUUGGAGAAAUUGGCCCUAUGACAUCCAUGCCCCACAUAGAAAAAAGCCACGGAGAAGUCAUGACAUGAAGGGGUGAAGGGGCUACAUGAAUUUUAUCACCGUAGAUUUGACAUUUGUGGCAUUUUCUGGCAAAAUUGAUGCAGUCACUUUCCAUUGUCAGCCAAUAAUAACCGAGUCUCAUGAUCUUUCUGGCCAUAUUGAAACCAUUGGCAUGCGUUCCGCAAAUUCCCUCAUGGACCUCUUCAAGUAUUUUUCUGGCUUCAACAUCAUCCACACAUCUCAAAAGCAUUUGAUCCUUUCCUCUUUUAUAGAGGAUAUCCCCAUCAAGAACAAAUCCCGCUGCCAUUCUUCUAAUUGUUCUUUUAUCGUUCUCAUUCGCUUGUUCGGGAUACCUUUGAUUCUUGAUAUAUUCUAAGAUAUCAUGGAACCAAGGCCGUCCGUCUACUUCUUUCUCAAUGCUACAACAGUGUGCAGGGACCUCGUAUAUGCUCAUUUUGAGGGGCAUUAUUUAUGCUUCUCUACUUGCUUUGAACAUUGAAGCCAAAGUGGCUAGGGCAUCAGCCAGUUGGUUCUCUUCUCGUGGGAAGUAAUAAAAAGUUAUUUCUUUGAAUUCCUUGAUCAAUCCAGCCACUAAAUCGCUGUACUUAAUCAAUUUUGAGUCCCUCACUUCCCAUUCUCCACGGAUUUGGUAAAUCACUAGGGCUGAGUCCCCGUACACCUCCAAGAUCUCGAUGUUUCGUUCGAUAGCUGCACGAAGCCCCAUGAUACAGGCCUCAUAUUCUGCAAUAUUAUUGGUACAGAAAAAGUUUUGUCUUGCAGUGAACGGAUAAUGAUUCCCGUCUGGUGAUACCAGGAUUGCUCCAAUUCUAUGCCCUAAAGCAUUUGACGCACCAUCAAAGCACAUCUUCCAUGACUUCUCUUUUGAUGACUCGGAUUCUAUUUUUGUGAUACACAUUAAGUCUUCGUCUGGGAAAUCGAAUCUUAAAGGCUCAUAUUCCUCUGUCGUUCGAGUUGCUAAGAAGCCAGCUAUUGCGCUCCCUUUUAUCAACUUCUGACUUACAUAGGCAAUGUCAUAUUCCGAAAGGAGGAUCUGCCAUCGUGCCAUUCUUCUUGAUAGUGCCGGCGAUUCCAUCAUGUAUUUUAUUGGGUCCAGCUUUGAAAUUAGCCAUGUCGUGUGAUACAACAUAUAUUGUCUGAGUCUCCGAGCUACCCAAACCAGAGCGCAACAAUAUUUCUCAAUGGACGAAUAUUUUGCCUCAUAUUCAGUGAACUUUUUGCUGAGGUAGUAGAUCGCCUUUUCUUUCUUUCCUGACUCGUCAUGUUGUCCCAGUACGCAACCCAUUGAACUUUCGAACACUGUCAGAUACAAAAUUAAUGGUCUUUCUGGAGUUGGCGAUACUAGCACUGGAGGACUGGACAAAUAUUGUUUUAUCUUAUGAAAGGUCACUUGGCAUUCCUCGUUCCAUUCUCCCGGGUUAUGUUUUCGAAGAAGCCGAAAGAUUGGGUCGCAUUGGUUGGUAAGUUGAGCGAUAAAUCGGGCGAUGUAAUUUAAUCUCCCUAAAAAUCCUCUAACUUCCUUUUACGUGCGCGGAGGUGGUAAUUCUUGGAUGGCUUUUAUUUUAUCUAGAUCAACUUCGAUACCUCUUUCACUGACAAUGAAGCCUAGCAACUUUCCCGAGGUAGCCCCGAAUGUACAUUUGGCUGGAUUUUAGCUGAAACUUUCUCAGCCUUUCGAACAACUUCUUGAGGUUCAUUACAUGCUCUUCUUCUCCUCGAGAUUUAGCAAUCAUAUCAUCGACGUAGACCUCUAUUUCCUUAUGCAUCAUGUCAUGGAAUAAUGUCACCAUAGCCCUCUGAUAUAUUGCCCCAGCAUUCUUUAACCCGAAUGGCAUCACCUUGUAGCAGAACGUUCCCCACAUUGUUAUGAAGGUAGUUUUCUCCAUAUCCUCAGGGGCCAUCUUGAUCUGAUUAUACCCCGAGAAUCCAUCCAUGAAAGAAAACAAUGAAUGUUUUACUGUGUUGUCCACCAACGUGUCAAUAUGUGGCAAGGGAAAAUUAUCUUUUGGGCUUGCUCGAUUCAGGUUACGGUAAUCCAUGCACAUUCGUACUUUUCCAUCUUUCUUUGGUACCGGGACUAUGUUAGCCACCCAUUCUGGAUAUUUAGAGGCUUGUAGGAAGCCAGCGUCAAAUUGCUUCUUGACUUCCUCUUUUAUUUUCAACAGCAUUUCGGGCCUCAUCCGUCUUAAUUUUUGCUGGAUGGGCUUGCAUUCUGGCUUUAAUGGGAGCUUAUGGACCACUAAAUCUUCAUCUAGCCCUGGCAUGUCCUGGUAUGACCACGCGAAAACAUCUUUGUAUUCGCGGAGUAAAGUGAUCAAACUAUGCCUGGUACUUUCUGAAAUAGAAGUCCCAAUCUUCACUUCUUGUUUCCUCUCUUCAGUGCCCAAAUUUAUUGUUUCCACAGAUUCUUCAUGAGGCAGAACCUGUUUAUCCUCUUGUUCCACCAUUCUUAACAAUUCAGGAGACGAGACAUAAUCUUCAGCAUUUUCUUCAGCUUCAAAUUCUCCUAAGCAAACAGCCUUCUCAAAAUCAAUUUCAAGAUUCGUAACGGGCUUAUUCAUGUCGUCAAUAUCUGAGCACAUGAAAGUUGAAUGGAAAAGGAAGCUAUCGGGGGACAUCCAAGUAUUGGAAACAACAAACAAAAUGUUAUGUCAUGGCAAUGAGGCAAAUGUAAGGAUAGGCUAUGAAAUGAGAAAAUGAUUAUGAAAUUAGUGAUAAUGCGAAAAAUCGUGACAAAAUGCAUCUUCAUUGAUAUUCACUUAAAUGAUAAAGAGCGAAUGCAAGCUCCUACAAAAGAAUUCCAUUAUAUCUAAGGACACAAUAGAAGGUUGAUUUUUAGGAUUACUCUGAAGGCUUAUAAACUACAAGAAGCUCCUCAGCAAUCCAAUUGUUCAACAUGAAACCAGGAGGGCAAGGGCGUAUCCUCGAGACAUCUUUACUUGCACCAGCUUCUUUGUCAAUGACAUUGAUACUGACAUUCUGAAAAUCCCUUUCAAUUAAUCCCAGCAUGUUUCGUGGAUCAUCUUGUCCAGGGUACAUCAUUCCCGCAGAUGUAAAUGUUUUUAACAAAGGAGGGUACUCUAUUGGUUCCCAUUCUGGUUCUCGGUCCAAAGUUCUUGCAAUUCUUCUCUCUUGAUCCUUCUUCCACUGUCUUCUUCUUUGGCGCAUGUCAGGCUGGAACCCCAAACCGUAUCGGGCCUUGUGGUGCACUGGCUUUAAAGCCCUUACUAUUCCUUGCAGAUGUCUCCCUAAACAUCUUCUCAUACGAGCUCCCCUUCCUACGGUCAACUUGACACCCAUUUUGGUAUUUCUCGACAGUUUUGGCAUCGGAAUUCUAUUUCCCUCAGCGACGAAAGUGGUAUUGAUGAAUUCAAGGGAUCGAAAGGAACGUUCCACUGCGUCCUUGCUUACUUCCAGGUAUGGCGCAUCAGCAGAGAUAGAUGCGACGAUGUCUUCUUCACCCUCGACUGUGACCAAACAGCCAUCCAUGAUGAAUUUCACCUUUUGAUGGAGGGAUGAUGGGACUGCUCCAGUAGAAUGAAUCCAAGGUCUUCCCAAAAGCCAGUUAUAAGAGGGUGUAAUGUCCAUGACAUGGAAUUCGACCUCAUAGAUGUAAGGGCCCACUUCUAAAGGGAUUUCGAUCUUUCCCAUGACUUCGCGCCUCGUCCCGUCGAAUGCCCUUACCAUGGAAUGACAGGGCUUUAAGUAGGACAAAUCCAUCGGUAUUCUGGAAAGCGUAGCCAAUGGCAUAACAUUUAACGCUGACCCAUUAUCGAUGAGUACGUUCGGUAUUAUGUAGCCCUUGCAGCGGGUCGUGAUAUGCAGCGCUUUCACCGAGCCUCUACCAUUUGGCGGUAUCUCAUCAUCACUAAAAGAGAUGAAGUUGUCCGCAUUCAGAUUGUUUACCCACCUAUCAAGCUUUUCGACAGAUAUGUUGUUGGCCACGUAAGCUUGAUUUAACACCUUCAAUAAAGCGUUCCGGUGUGGCUCUGAAUUUAACAGUAGAGAUAGAACCGAGAUUCGUGCUGGCUGCUUGCUCAAUUGUUCCACCACACUAUAGUCGCUGUGCUUAAUAAAUUUCAAGAAUUCUUGAGCUUCUUCCUCAUUCACAGGCUUUUUAGUUUCUUGCACGGGUGGAAUUUCUUGCUCAACUUCGACCUCGUGCAUCACUGCUUUCCCUUUUUGCUUCGAGUCACUACUUUUCUUUACCGGUUCAACUUCUUUAGAAUAGCAUCGUCCACUUCGAGUAAAAUGACCUACCUCCCCAACAUCUUCAGUUAUGGCUUUGGACUUUUCAACUUCCGGUGUAACGAUAUUAACAUCGUAUCUCCACGGUACUGUUUUGUUGUCCUUAUACGGGAAAGGAUAUGGUACUUCAAUUACCAUCUGUGGUUUCAAUGGCUCUCUCAUCGCGUCGUAAUAAAUUACCAACGGUCGAUCAGCACUAUAAGGGGGCCUUGAUGAUUGGCUAUCAGAGACGCAUACUUCUCUUUCGUUGGCAUCUUCCCUCUUGUUAAGGACCUUGAUCUCCUUAUUAUUCAUCCGGUCUUGAAGUAACCUUUUAAAGUCCUCGCACGACUGAAUGUCGUGCCCAACAAUCCCAUGAAAAUUGCAAAAACUUUGACCUUCUUCUCCAAAAACUCUAUCAGAGUGACAAAGCAAUCCUUUCUUAACCAAUACCUCCUAGAUUUUCUGCAAAGGCGUCCUUAUUUCUGCAACACAUCUUCUGACCUUCCAUUCAUCCUCUUUCCCCACUAUGCUCACAUUCCCUUCGGUAUGGUUAGGGAACGGGUUCCCCGUGGCGUUACUAGCACUAUCGAAUCGUAGGAUACCCGCGUCAAUGAGUCCUUGAACUCUCCUUUUGAAAGCGAGACAGUUCUCAGUAGAGUGCCCUUGGUUCCCUGCGUGGUAUGCACAACUAGCGUUUGGAUCGUACCACUUUGGGUAUGGAGGUUUAAGGGGUGCCAUGUAAUGGGGAGAAAUUAGCUGUUUUUCUAAAAUUUUUGGGUACAAUUCCCCAUACGACAUAGGGAUGGGGGUAAAAUUGCGGUCUCUCGGGAUUAUGCCUUGAUGGUCUUGGUUCGUUUCUGGGAUGGCUUUGAGCGGGUACCGUAUUUUAUGGGAAAGUGGUGACGGGUCUUUGGUUGUUCGUGGCGUAUACGGGGUAGGACGGAUGUGGUGCUUGGUAGUAAGGGGUUUGAGGGGGAUAAUAGAAAUUCGAGGGUGGAUAAUUUCGAGGUCGGGGUUGGUUAGGAUACGAAUUGAGAAUGUAACGACUCCCAGUUCCCACCAUGUGGGCUUCUGGCUCUUUCUUCCUUAAGGGUGCUGCUUUUCUUGAGCCUUCUGAUCCUUCCAUUCUACCACUUUUGACGGCAUUCUCUAUGAGUUCACCAGAUAUUACAAUAUCCGCAAACUCUUUCGUGGCACUUUCCACUAAUUUUUCAUAAAACGACGCCUUUAAAGUAUUGAUAAAGAGAACGGUUAUCUCCAUUUUUGUUAAUGGGGGUUCCACUUGAGCUGAGACGUCUCUCCAUCUCUGCGCAUACUGUCUAAAAGUCUCUGAUGGCUUUUUCUCCAUCAUUUGCAAGGUCAUACGGUCUGGCACCAUAUCCGAUACAUGCUUGUACUGCUCGCAAAAUGCUGACGCCAAGUCCUUCCAGGAUCGAAUCUUUUCUCUACUAAGUUGAUUGUACCACCGAAGAGCUGACCCUGUUAGACUAUCUUGAAAGCAAUGUAUGAGUAGUUUAUCCUCGUUCACAUAACCGGUCAUUUUUUGACAGAACAUAAUGAGAUGUGCUUUUGGGCACCUUGUCCCAUCAUACUUCUCAAAAUCAGGCACUUUGAACUUCGGAGGCAAAAUUAGAUCAGGUACCAAACUGAGUUCCUUGGCACCUAGUGCGGAGAAGACUUCAGUGCCUUCUAUUGCUUUGAGUCUUUCCUCUAGACUCCUAUAUUUUGUGUCAUGGUUAUCCAAUUUUAACUUGGCUACCUCUGCUGGGUCAUCCAGAUCUGGAACUAGUGGAUUAGCAGGACUAGCCCCUGGGUUCGACGCUAACAUUCCUUGCCCCAAAUUAGUGGGUGGAGCAGGUGGCAUAGGUCGAUGUUCCAAGCCAGUGGGUUCCUCUUGAGUAUACCCUCUUUGUAUUGUAUAUGCGGGCGGUGGAGUGAAUCCCGAGGGAUAGAGUGGAUCCUGAUCAUGGUGAAUUCUUGAUUGAGGUUCCAUAACAUCGGGGUUCUGCAUUUUUCCUUUGACCAAAGUUGUCAUCAUCUCCAUCAUUUUAGCCAUCUAAUCUCUUUGCUCAAGAGAUUCCUCUCGAGAUCUCACCAGUCUUGAAGUCUUGCAACUGCGAAUUGUACGUUUUAACCUCAGCGAACGAGUAUGGGAUAUGCAAUGAAUGAAUUGAUGCAUGAAUGAAUGCAUGAAUGUCAAAUGAAUGUCAGUUAUGAAUGAAAUGCAAGAAAUUGGUGUUGAUUUCAAGAUAGCCCCAUAUUUAGGCAUUUCAUUUAUCAACAUAGUCUAUUACACAAAGUUCUGAUUUUUCCAACAGUUACACAAAUUUCCUAGCCACAUUGCCUUGUUUCUUCACUUGCUCUAAAAACUCUGAUAUGCUCGAUCUUUGGCUCGGAGGGAAUUGGCAACUGAGAACUUCGGCUUCAUCUGAUAAUUGAGCAACUUGCAUAGCCACUUUACGAAUUUCAUUGAUCAAGAAGUCAAGUUGCAUUUCUUUUUCUUUGAGAGUUCCUUCAUACGCGUGAAUGUCCCUAUCGUACUGCUCACUCUUUUCUUCUAGAGCCUUCAAGAGGUUAUCUAAUUGUUGUUGACGAGAUUACAGCAUAUUUUCUAGAUCUCGUGUUUUCCUUUUUAAUUCUUGAUGUUCAGACUGACUAUUUGCCAAUUUUGCAGUCACUAUUUCAUACUCGGCGUUCUUCCUUCUUAACUCUAUCAUAGCGCGCGCAGCCUUUUCCUCCUCUUUCUUUGCUUUUCCCUUCCAAAACUCCAUUCCUCCCUUGAUAUUGCUAAUUUCUUCCUUCCAUUCUGCUGUCGACUUGCCCAACCCGCUAUUCUUUAUAGUGUUUCUUAAUUUCUUAUUUUCCAAAUGAAGGUCCCUUAAGUCGUUUCUCACAAUCUCGGCUUCUCUUGUACUUUUUCAGUCCUGGACCUUUCAACCUGAACUUCAAUCUUCAGUUGAUAGUUUUCUUCUUUAAUGGCACUAAGGUCCCGAGACAUCUUGGCCUUUUCUCGUUCGAAUUCUUGUCUUGCCAUUUCUAGCUCAGACAGCGUUUCCUCCAAGAAAGGAUUCUGGAUGGUGUAGUUUGUUGAUGAGAUUUGCUGACUAUUUACCCGUUGCUUCCUCCAUAUGUCAUAAUCUUGGGUAAGGGUAUCAACAUACAAAGCUAAUUCCAUGAAAUGAAUUUCCUUCCAAUACUUUGCAGUGUCUCGGACUCUCUUCAUAUAUCCUUUACCCGCGAAAGCGAACUCGAACUGUGCUAAUCCUCCAGUUGCGGGGAGGAAUUGUCGCGAAGAAAAUUGCCUUUGGACUAAUAGCGGAGCAUAUCCAACUCCUCCCCAUAACCCGAGUAAAGGUACCCAAUCUUGGCUUUCACAUUUGUAUAGCAGAACUGAAGGACGGAUCCAGGGUGCUCUCCAUGUUAUAUUCUCGGCGCGAAGAUUCUGAAAAACUUAUACCCAAUGUUGCUCGGUGACUUCCUUCGGCCAUUCUUUAUUGAGGUAAGCUUCUAGCGGGGAGAAUGUUUUAGAAAACAUAUGGAACGGAGUGCGCUCUACCUUCAAAAAGUGACUCAAAAUCCAAACAUUGAGCAACUGCGCGCAUCUGAUAAAUCGUCCCUCCCCUUUUCUUCGACAACUACUCAGGGACCUGAAGGUCUCGGCUAGGAUGGUCGGGACAGGGUUGAUUCCUUGUUUUAACCUUUCGAAGAAAUCAACUACUGCAACUUCGAGAUGUCCGAGAACUUUUGGGAAAAUGACCAAACCGUAAAUGGCCAAAGUGAAUAGAUUUACCCUUUUCAGCAUGUUGGGAUGGUUCAGAGCCAAAUCUCGUAGGGAGGACCAUGAAUGCAAAUGGUUUCAUUCUUCUUCUUUAUCUAUUUUUCGGCCCAUGCAUCAGUCAUGUCUGUCAGUCUCACUAACUUUUUCUUGAAGGUCAUCGGCUUAGGCUCCUUCACAUAUAUUUUGCCGAAUUGUACAUUGUCGAUGCGGAGUAAAGCAUCAUACUCUUCUAUGGUUGGAGUCAUGUCUUCUUGAUUGAAGGUGAAACACUGAUAAGCUGGGUCCCAGAACCGAAUCAUGGCUUGAAUCAACUGUUCGUCUACACGGAUGGUGAUCAGGUAAGCUAUAUCUCCAUACCUCUCAGUGAAAAUGUCUCUAGUGUCUGAAUCCCACUGAUUCCAAAUUCAAACCAAAUCCUCAAAUUUAUUUUGGCGAACAUUUACAGUUAUAUGGUCGGGCAAAUUGGUGACACACCCUUCCACUAGACUAUCCCCCUUUUCUCUCUAAAUUUUUAGAGACCAGUCCCGAAUCACGACAUUCUUCUCGGUUAUUUGUGUAAUUGACUCCUCCAUCAGAAACCCAUUUUUUGGCAACCAACUUUUAAUCAACACCUUCCUAAUAUGAUGCCUAUGAUGCAUGAUGAAAAUAAAAGUAAAAACAAACAAACUUGGUUAGUAAACACAACAAAUAUAAUUUGAAAAACAAAUUAAACUACCCAAUCCAAUUAUUUUGCAUAAACAGUGUAAAUGAAAGGCAAAAGGCAUUUUCCCCGUGUACUUAUUUUGAUGACUAUAAGCGGACAGAGGGUUCGGCAUGGCUCUAAUUGGAUAGCUCGUAUGGUUCGUUAUAUGCAGUCUCGGUUCUAGACAGGUACUCGAAUUGCUCGUACUAUCAUCUGCUAAGAUCAGCACGAAGCCUCGGUCAUAACCUAUCACAGGCUCACGAGUUAAAUUCGAGGGAUUACAUUUACUUAUGCCUAUGCGGAGGGACAAGUUAACUCACGAAAGCAUAAGUCAUAUGUAACCCGAAAGUAUUCACUAGCCUGUGCGGAGGGACGAGUUAACUCACGAAGGCGUAGCAUUUUACUUUCACUUAAACGGACAGAGCCCGGGCAGAGAGCUCAUGUUAUGCGAAAAUGCAAGUACACGGUGUGUGGGGAACAACUCAUAAACCUUUACGUUUCACUUAAAGAAACUAAACCAAAAUUAAAACCAUAAAAAUUGAAACACUGAAAAACAACCAAAUAAGCAAGUUAGAAGAAAUAUUUACAGCACGAUACAAAUGCAUGAAUUUUGAAAACGAGAUUUUCGGAUCAUGACCAAAUAUUUACUUUGAACAAGGAAAUUUGAAAAUUUUGACAAAAUGUGUUUAAUUCCAAACACGACUCUCAACAAGGCUAUCCCCAGUGGAGUCGCCAGCUGUAGCGACGUAAAAAUUUUGGUUUGGGGUCGCUAAUUGUGACAAUCUAGUGAAAAAGUUUGAAAACUGAAGUUUAAUUUUAAAAAAAAGAGGGAGUCGCCACCGAUCCUUUUCCUAGGUGUGAUCGGACACCUAUUAGAUUCAUUUUUUUUAAAACAAAAGGAAGGCUGAAUUUAGGUCUACGUUAAAAGCCAGAGGAAAAUUAGGGUUUCGGGAGUCGGUUACGCGCGAGGAAGGUAUUAGCACCCUCGCGACGCCUAAAAAAUUGGUAUCUCAUAAACACAUGUUGUCUUAAUUUUCAAAAAUGCGAAUUCAAUGUAAAGUUUAGUUGUGAUCUGAAAAAAUGAGAAAUUUUAGUUUAUUCCAGUUUUUGAGAAGGGUAUAUCGCUUUAACACGAGUCAAUUGAUGUUCACCCAACGUAGCGAUGAACUCGAUGACUUAAUGUUAAAUCGAUAUGUUGCCUUGAUUAUUGAAAUUAAUUAGCAAAACAAGAAUACGAUUUUCGAAAUAAUGCAAAGUAAAAUAAUAUGAAAUAAAAAUCAAUAAAUGAAAGAGCUAGGGAUAUAUUAAAACAAAUAAUCGAGGUGACAAUAAUAUUAGAAAAGAUGAAGGUAUAAUGUAAUAAUAGAAUCGGACACGAAAUUAAAAUAAUGAUGUAUACACAUAAUAAUAAUAUUAAGAAUGCGUGUGUAAGAUGACAUAUAUAUUUAGCGAUAUUAAAAAUCCAUACAACAUACAUAGAACAUAUAUAGUAUAUGCAUACCUUAGAAAUGAUAAGAAUAAUGAUAAAACUAUUUUGUACACUACAUAAAUACAUACACACACACAUAUAUAUAGAUAUAUAAACAAUAGUAUUAGAAACGUAUAAUAUUAGAGAUACACAUAAUAGUAAAAAAAUAGAUACCUAAAUAAUAUUAAAAUAUACAUAAUAAUAUAUAUAAAAUAUAAUAUUAAAAACUUAUGUACGUAACACGUAUAAAAGAAAUAUAAUAUUAAAUCAUUACAUAAUAUACACAUAUGAUUUUCAGGUUAAUACAUAUUUGAGUACUAACAUUACAUAAAAAUAUACUUAUAUAUAUAAUAUAUUAAAGUUAUGUACAUAUAUAAUAAAAUACAUGAACAAUACCACAUUCAACAUGUAUAUAAUAUAUAAUUAAAAUGAUAAUACAUACAACAUAUAAAUUACAUAACAAAACAUGCACUAUGAUUAUAAUAAUAAUAAUAAAGAUAAUAUUGAACUAAGAAGAAACAAACACAACAUUCAUGAAAUAUUAAAUAAAGUGGGAUAAAAAAUAUUGAAUAUUAAGCAAUACAUAUAUACAUACACAUAUGAAGCAAAAAAAAUUAACACAUAAUAAUAAUGAUAAUAAUAACAAUAUUAAUGAUAUUAAUAUUCAAAAAUAAUGAUGAUAUUUAAUAAAAAUAACAAAAGAGACGAAGAAGGACUAAAAUUAAAACAAUAACGAAGUUAUGGGGUCAAUUUAAAAAGGAAAUAAAGAGGAGGGACUUAAUUACAACACGCGCGUAACUAGGAGGGUCAAAAGCACAAUAAAUCCAGAUGUUAAAACGCUGCGCAGCGUGGGGGACCAGAACGAAAUCAGGGCAAAACAGCGGGGCCGAAUUUAAAAUAUAAAAAAACUUGAUUAUAAAAUGUUGAAAAAGCGGAGGGGCCAAACUGCGCAAAUAGCCCCUCCCUUAAAAACACGCGGAUCCCCUGGUCGGACGGGUCGGGUCGACCCGACCCGCAUCAAAACGGCGUCGUUUUCUGCUUUAAGGGGGGUCCAAAACGGUGCGUUUUGGACCCUUAUAUAAGCCAAAUUUUUUUUGUUUUUUUUUCAUUUGAAACAGCUGAGAGAAAAAAAAGAAAAGGGGGAGGGGAGAGGAAAGCCCGGAGCGAUUUCUGGCCAAGGGGGAGGGCUCCGGUCCGAUCGCCGGAUUGCUGGCGCUGGUGCUGACCACCGUUCGCAGUGGCCGGAAAAGGUAAUUUCUAUUUUUCUCUCUUUUUUUUUGCUUUUUAUUUCUUUAUGUUUAUUUGUAAAUUUUUAUGUAUUUGUGGUGAAAAAUGGACUUAAACAGUUAUUGAAAUGAAGAAUUACCUUCGGUUUUACUCACUUUUGAAUCUUCGAUCUUUGUAUUCUGCCUGCUUGGAUGUUAUUUUGCGUUCAAACUCUAAUUAGGCUGCUAUUUUUUGCUCUAUAAUCGAACCUUCCUGUCGUUUUUAUUUUUUAAGAAACAAAGAACCAUCCCCCCCCUUUACAGAAAUCCAAAUCGGCUUUUAUAGCCUUUACAAUAUUUUAUUUAAUAUUUGUUGUCUUGUCUCUUUUCUGGUCUUGCAGGGUAUGGAGGUGCCAGGCAUGCGGGGAUGGUGUUGGCAGAAGCAUGGGGCGUGGUAGCCGACAUGGUGGUGUUCGGCGCAAGUGGGCAAGUGGGGGGUAGGUGGCUAGGGUUAGUGGGAUUAGGGUUUCUGAUGCUGAUUUAGGUUAAUGGGCUGGGGUAGUUGGGCUUCGGGUUUAGUUGGUUAGGCUUGGUUUAGGAUGAGAUGGGUAUGGGGUUUAAGUAGGUUUAGUUAUUGGGUUUGGGGUGGCCCAAAUUGGCAUGUACAAUAAAAAAUUAAACAAAAGUUAAAAUAACUUUUUUUUAUAAAAUUAAAGGGUAAAAAAUCUUAUACCUUUAACUUUUUCAGUUUUAUAAUUACUAGAAUGAGAGCCCGCUUUCACUGGCUGCUAUAAAUUUUAUUAUAAUUGAUAAUAAGUUAAUCUAUGGAUCAAUUAUUUUGGAUACAUCAUUUAAUGCUACAAUAAAAAUAAGAAAACUGAAUUGACUUGAGAGUGAUUUUAUGAAUUUACUCGUAUAAAAUAAGACAAUUAGGCUCGGAUUUUAAAAAGUUGUCAUGUGCACCUUUUUUGUUAGAAUUAUGUGACCCAAAUUCUAAGAGAUUGCUUGCAAGUCAAGUAAACAAAAAUAUAUUUUCUUUCUAGAAGAUUUAGUAUUAUUAGUUAUAUAUAUUUAGCAUUUAUUAGUAUAGUUUAUUUGACUUUACUAAUUUCCUAUAAAUAGGCUCCUUUACAAUCUUAGAAUAAAAGAGACACCCAUUAGAUUAGAACUCAUAACACAUUCAGAGAAUUUUGUGUUUACGUUUGAGGGUUCUUUGUUUUUCGGGUUUUUGGGGUUUAGUUUUUAUCUCCAUCUUUUGUACUCUUCAUUCUUUUGCCAUUAUAGUAAAAAUCUUUGCCCGUGGUUUUUUAUCCUCUUUUGAGGGGUUUUUCCACGUUAAUUUGUGUGUUCAUCUUCUCAAUUUCUUCUACUAUUUUUACUUGUUCGUUGCUUAUUCGGGACGAUCCUAACAAGUGGUAUCAGAGCUAAUUUAACUUUCAUAGAUCAGCCCGGUCAGAGAUGGCAGCAACAAGGUUUGAAAUUGAGAAGUUCGAUGGUAAGACAAAUUUCAAUCUGUGGCAAGUUCGGAUGAUGGCAAUUCUAGUUCAAAAUGGCUUGAAAAAGGUUGUUACAGGAAAAAAGCCUGAGAAUCUAAAUCAAACAGAAUGGGAAGAGCUUGAUGAAAAGGCCCCUGUCUGCAAUCCAGUUGUGCCCACGAAUACAGUAUUGCAGGAGGUAUUUGAUGGAGAAGACCUCAUUCGCCUUGUGGAAAAGGUUAGAAACUCUUUAUGCGACUAUGUCUCUGGCUAACCGUUUAGUGUUGAAACAACGUCUAUUUACGUUUCGCAUGAACGACGGUGAGCUUCUUAAAGAUCACAUCAGUCAAUUCAUUACUCUUUUAAAUGAUUUAAAGAACGUUGAGGUUCAUAUUGACGAUGAAGAUCAAGCUAUGCUAUUAUUGUGCUCUUUACCCUCUUCAUACAAGUCUUUCAGGGAGACCCUGAUUUUAUGGCAGAGACAAACUCUCGUUCAAAGAUGUGAAGGGUCAUUUGUUGAGUAGAGACAAACUCGACAAUGAGUUUGAUUUGAAUAGCAAAGCAGAUAGACAAGCUUCCGUUUUGGUAGCAUCAAAGAAACGACAAAAGGUGUCGCUAUUGCAAAAGUUAGGUCACGUCAAAGCAGAUUGUUAUAAACUGCGAAAUAAAGAGCUGCUGAGAGUAGAGAAGAGAAGAUGUAGCUGGUGCUAAUUUGGUCGAUGAAGGCGGUGAUGAUUUCUUGUUAGUGUCAACGAGCGAUAACUCCAAGCUUACGUCUGAGUGGAUCCUAGAUUCAGGAUGUUCUUUCCACAUGUGUCCCAAUAGAGAAUGGUUCUCCACAUACAGUUCAGUUGAAGGUGGAGUUGUGCACAUGGGAAACGAUUCAUCUAGUAAAAUAAUCGGUAUUGGUACUGUUAAAAUUGGAUACACGAUGGGACGAUUAGGACACUCUCAGAUGUCAGGUAUGUACCUGAUUUACGAAAGAAUCUCAUCUCCUUGAGUAUUUUAGACUUGAAAGGAUGCAGAAUCAACAUCGAGUCGAGCAACAUUAAAGUAUCUCGUGGAGCUCUCGUUUUGUUAAAAGGUAAAAUAACCGGCAAGUCUUAUAUUCUGGAAGGUUCUACAGUGACCGGUGAAAUCGGACGUCCCUCGUCCGUUACGGAGUCAAAGUCAACUCAUUUGAAGCGGAGGCAACUUGGUCAUAGGAGGGAAAAAGGUAUGACCGUUUCGUUGAAGAGAGGGUUCCUCUUUUGGAUGCAGGUUUUGAAAAGUUAGGGCACUGUAUUCGUGAAAAUCAACCCGGGUUAGUUUUGAUUUGGCAGUGCACAAGUCGAAGGCUAGAAGUCUUCCAGCUUCUAAGCAUAGAUUCGACUCAGUUAAUUCCCUGCAUAGUUCAAGAUAGGCCCGUGGCGGGUUUUGGCAAAGAUGGCAUUGAAAGAAUUCGUGUCAAGGUGGAGAUUGUUAGAAUUAUGUGACCCAAAUUCUAAGAGAUUGCUUGCAAGUCAAGUUAAACAAAAUAUAUUUUCUUUCUAGAAGAUUUAGUAUUUAUUAGUAUAAUAUAUUUAGCAUUUAUUAGUAUAGUUUAUUUGACUUACUAAUUUAGCCUAUAAAUAGGCUCCUUUACAAUCUUAGAAUAAAAGAGACACCCAUUAGAUUAGAACUCAUAACACAUUCAGAGAAUUUUGUGUUUACGUUUGAGGGUUCUUUGUUUUUCGGGUUUUUUGGGUUUAGUUUUUAUCUCCAUCUUUUGUACUCUCAUUCUUUUGCCAUUAUAGUAAAAUUAUCUUUGCCCGUGGUUUUUUAUCCUCUUUGAGGGGUUUUUCCACGUUAAAUUUGUGUUCAUCUUCUCAAUUUCUUCUACUACUUUUACUUGUUCGUUGCUUAUUCGGGACGAUCCUAACAUUUUUAAAAAAUUAUUUAAAUUUAAUUUAAAAAAAUUAUUCCAAUGCUUUUGUUACUCAUAAAUAAUAUGUAAAAUUAUAUAUAAAUUAAACUAUUAAUUCAUAAAAAAGUAAAAUUUAAAUAAAUCGACACGAAAAUUCCAAACUUAACCCGAAAUUUUUAAAAUUCAGGAAAUAAUUGAUUAAUUAUUAUUUAAUGCUUAUUGUGUAUCUCUAGUCGUUUUUCAUUAUUAAUUUUUAAAACAAAUAUAUUGAUAAUUUGAAAUAAUUAAUCAUUACAAGCAAGAGUGAAGGUUACCUUAGAAGCAAUUUUUUCAUUUACAUAUACUAGGAAAACUUUGAAUUAAAUUAAAUAACUAUAUCAACUAUGAUUUGAAAAACUUUAAAAGAGAAUUUACACAUUUACAUGAGACGAUAUUCGAAUUAGAAAUCUCAAAAUUUUAAGAAUUCAAUCAAGACUAUUGAUUAUUACUAAAUUAUAGUACAUCCACCUUGGGGAUGAAAAAAAAAAUUAUUAAAAAUAUAUUUACUAAAUAAAACUUUGAUUAAAAAAAAUCAUAACAUUUUAGAUUCAAUUCUUCGUCACAUGAAAUUUAUUGAUUCUGUAGUGCUAGAUGAAUUUUGAACAACAAAUGGAGUGCUAUCAAUUUUGCAAAUUAGAAAUCAAUUAAAAUUCAUUAAAAUAAUUUUUGGUUUGGGAAAUUAAAAGUUUAUUAGAAAGUAGUAUUAUGCAUGAAAAAGAUAUUACCUUUAUUCAUGUUAUUUAAAUGAGAUUUCACCGUAUGCAAACAAGAGAGUUACAAUACAAGGUAUUACUAUACCAGCAGAUCCUCUCUCUAUUCUCUUCUUCUCUUCUUCUUCUUCCUCCUCCUCUCUUGUAAUCUUCUUUUCUUAUUCAUUGAAAUGCUUCACUGUUCUCUUCACCGCUCUCUUUUUUCUUCUCUUCCUUUGCAAAAUGAGGCCACCCUUAAAUGUUUAAUAACAUUGGCAAAUAACGUAAAAGCCAACAUUAAAAAUUUAUAGUCAAAACCCAAGUUAAGGUCAAAAAUUAAAUCCAGCUAUGAAAGUGUAGCAAGAUUCAACUUGGAUUUUUCAAAAUUAAACUUAACACUAGAAAUCUGAUUACCUGCGUUAGUGAGUUUAAAAUCGAGCUUAGCCCAAAUAAAAAUAAGUUACAAUAGUAUAAAUAAUAAUUUUUUUAAUUACUAUUCAAUUGAAUUGAUGUUUGAUUAAUUAUAUUAAUAUAUCUUAUUUGAUGAUUCAUGAAUCUCUUAAAUGCAUAUUUAAUUUAAAUAUUCUAAGUUAAUCGUGUCUCGCAUUUGAUAAUUUUAGUAAUUAAAAUUAGGGAUAAAUCUCAAAAUUAUAUAUGAACAUUAAUUUGGAAUCAUACACAUGAAACUCUAAAUGUGGUUCAAAUAUAUACUUGAAACUUUAAUUUUCAUUUAAUCAUACACAUUUAAGGAAAUAAAUACAUCAAUUUUUUUUAUGGAUAAAUAUAAUUAUUUAUGCAUGCAUAUAAACAUAAAUGAUGUGUUGUAAUAUCAAUUGUGUUAAUAAUUUACAAGAAUUGGAUCAAAUCAAAAUUUCAUGUAUAAAAUUACACAAAUCAAAGUUCAUGUAUACAAUUGCAUAUUAAACCUAGUUCAUGUAUAGUUUUGGGAUUUAUCCCUUAAAAUUAAAUUUUCGAUAAUUUCAAACAUAAAAAAUUUAAGGUAAAUUAUAAGUUAUUCGUUCACUUUUUAAAUUUUUAUUUUGGGCAUCAAAAAUAAAAAAUUUUGCAACAUCAGCAUACUUUUAUCAUUUUAGUCACUGGCAGCAGUGACAAAAAUGAUAAAAGUAUGUAACAACAAUGCCCAUAUUGCAAUCUUUUUAUUUUGGGCACUGUAAAUAAAAAGAUUGCAAUAUAGGCACUAUUUUCAAUUCCCAAAAUAAAAAAUUUAUGAAAGUUGGAUGACUAAAUGUGUAGUUUAGUAAAAAAUUUAAAAUAUAUAUUUGAAAAUAAUUAUUGAUAAUUGAUUGGUGCCAAAUCUACCAGAAAUAAUAUUCCUAUGCCUAAACAAUAUAUAACAUCAGUAUAAGGAGUAAGGUUGAUCCCGCAGAGACUGAAUAUCUAAAAUUAUCUUCCAAUUUAACUAAGUUGAGUGUUAAGCACGACAUGUGAUGAUCUAUGCGAAAUAAAAAGGGAAUUAAGUCGAUUAAAAUAAAAUUAAUAGAAAUACUUAAAAUCAAAAUAAAGAAAAACAGAUAAAACAAAAAUAGAUUUAAUACCAAUGUGAAAAUAUUCUAGCUUCAGGCUCAAUUUCGGCUUUAGUUUCAAAUUGAUCUUUGAUAAUACAUCUUCUCCUUCAAUCGAUAAAUCUUUUAUAGUAAUCGAGGACUCCUCAGACCACCAAUCUUUCCGUAUGUAAAUUAAUUGUGGGAACACCAACAACAACUAACCCUUAUUGAUGAACACCACAAAAUACGCGUCCACGAUUUAGCUCUCGAUAGCCUUGUGAACUAGAAGAGCCCAACAGGAACCAACGACUUUAACUGUGUGGGUCAUUUAAAUCCGAUUGUUAUUUUCUUGACAAAUCCAACCAACCACUUAAUUGGACACGUCAAUGUAUUCUUCAGUAGACCGAAUACGAUAACAGAUUUAUCGAUUCAUCCAUUUGUACAUCUAUCAACACCAAAUCAACGAACUCUUUUUACUUGGUGUUACUAUAACUUUAUGAGACAAUGUCUAUCCCUAAACCAGAGAAAUAUAAAUGCCAAAAUAAAUGUUUUUAGGUACGAUUUGAAUCUCAUGGUUUUCUCCCUAAUUGACUAUAACCCUAAAGCUAAAUGGGAAAUUUAGUUCCUAAGAAUUGUAACAGCCCAAAANNNNNNNNNNNNNNNNNNNNNNNNNNNNNNNNNNNNNNNNNNNNNNNNNNNNNNNNNNNNNNNNNNNNNNNNNNNNNNNNNNNNNNNNNNNNNNNNNNNNNNNNNNNNNNNNNNNNNNNNNNNNNNNNNNNNNNNNNNNNNNNNNNNNNNNNNNNNNNNNNNNNNNNNNNNNNNNNNNNNNNNNNNNNNNNNNNNNNNNNNNNNNNNNNNNNNNNNNNNNNNNNNNNNNNNNNNNNNNNNNNNNNNNNNNNNNNNNNNNNNNNNNNNNNNNNNNNNNNNNNNNNNNNNNNNNNNNNNNNNNNNNNNNNNNNNNNNNNNNNNNNNNNNNNNNNNNNNNNNNNNNNNNNNNNNNNNNNNNNNNNNNNNNNNNNNNNNNNNNNNNNNNNNNNNNNNNNNNNNNNNNNNNNNNNNNNNNNNNNNNNNNNNNNNNNNNNNNNNNNNNNNNNNNNNNNNNNNNNNNNNNNNNNNNNNNNNNNNNNNNNNNNNNNNNNNNNNNNNNNGUAUGAGUAUUUUAUCCUCGUUCACAUAACCGGUCAUCUUUCGACAGAAUAUAAAAGAUGUGCUUUUGGGCACCUUGUCCCAUCAUACUUCUCAAAGUCAGGCACUUUGAACUUCGGAGGGCAAAAUUAGAUCAGGUACCAAACUGAGUUCCUUGGCACCUAGUGCGGAGAAGACUUCAGUGCCUUCUAUUGCUUUGAGUCUUUCCUCUAGACUCCUAUAUUUGCGUCAUGGUUAUCCAAUUUCAACUUGGCUACCUCUGCUGGGUCAUCCAGAUCUGGAACUAGUGGAUUAGCAGGACUAGCCCCUGGGUUCGACGCUAACAUUCCUUGCCCCAAAUUAGUGGGUGGAGCAGGUGGCAUAGGUCUAUGUUCCAAGCCAGUGGGUUCCUCUUGAGUAUACCCUCUUUGUAUUGUAUAUGCGGGCGGUGGAGUGAAUCCCGGGGUAUAGAAUAGAUCCUGAUCAUGGUGAAUUCUUGACCGAGGUUCCAUAACAUCGGAGUUCUGCAUGGGUCCCUUUCCUUUGACCAAAGUUGUCAUCAUCUCCAUCAUUUUAGCCAUCUGAUCUCUUUGCUCGAGCGAUUCCUCUCGAGAUCUCACCAUUAGGUCUAUCGUCUCUUGUUGCGAUUUGGCCAGUUGCUCUUGUAAUUCCUUUUGAGCCCUUUCCAUCCUUUCAAUUCUCUCAUUGAAUUCAUUCUCCAUUACUCUAGCUUGUCGGCGCGUUUUAUACGGAUGACGUGGUUCCAGUCUUGAAGUCUGGCAACUGCGAAUUGUGCGUUUUAAUCUCAGCGAACGAGUAUGGGAUAUGCAAUGAAUGAAUUGAUGCAUGAAUGAAUGCAUGAAUGUCAAAUGAAUGUAAGUUAUGAAUGAAAUGCAAGAAUUGGUGUUGAUUUCAAGAUAGCCCCAUAUUUAGGCAUUUCAUUUAUCAACAUAGUCUAUUACACAAAGUUCUCAUUUUUCCAACAGUUACACAAAUUUCCUAGCCACAUUGCCUUGUUUCUUCACUUGCUCUAAAAACUCUGAUAUGCUCGAUCUUUGGCUCGGAGGGAAUUGGCAACUGAGAACUUCGGCUUCAUCUGAUAAUUGAACAACUUGCAUAGCCGCUUUACGAAUUUCAUUGAUCAAGAAGUCAAGUUGCAUUUCUUUUUCUUUGAGAGUUCCUUCAUACGCGUGAAUGUCCCUAUCGUACUGCUCACUCUUUUCUUCUAGAGCCUUCAAGAGGUUAUCUAAUUGUUGUUGACGAGAUUGCAGCAUAUUUCUAGAUCUCGUGUUUUCCUUUUUAAUUCUGAUGUUCAGACUGACUAUUCGCCAAUUUUGCAGUCACUAUUUCAUACUUGGCGUUCUUCCUUCUUAACUCUAUCACAGCGCGCGCAGCCUUUUCCUCCUCUUUCUUUGCUUUUCCCUUCCAAAACUCCAUUCCUCCCUUGAUAUUGCUAAUUUCUUCCUUCCAUUCUGCUGUCGACUUGCCCAACCCGUUAUUCUUUAUAGUGUUUCUUAAUUUAUUGUUUUCCAAAUGAAGGUCCCUUAAGUCGUUUCUCACAAUCUCGGCUUCUCUUUGUACUUUUUCAGUCCUGGACCUUUCAACCUGAACUUCAAUCUUCAGUUGAUAGUUUUCUUCUUGAAGGGCACUAAGGUCCCGAGACAUCUUGGCCUUUUCUCGUUCGAAUUCUUGUCUUGCCAUUUCUAGCUCAGACGGUGUUUCCUCCGAGAAAGGAUUCUGGAUGGUGUAGUUUGUUGAUGAGAUUUGCUGACUAUUUACCCGUUGUUUCCUCCAUAUGUCGUAAUCUUGGGUAAGGGUAUCAACAUACAAGGCUAAUUCUAUGAAAUGAAUUUCCUUCCAAUACUUUGCAGUGUCUCGGACUCUCUUCAUAUAUCCUUCACCCGUGAAAGCGAACUCGAACUGUGCUAAUCCUCCAGUUGCGGGGAGGAAUUGUCGCGAAGAAAAAUUGCCUUUGGACUAAUAGCGGAGCAUAUCCAACUCCUCCCCAUAACCCGAGUAAAGGUACCCAAUCUUGGCUUCCACAUUUGUAUAGCAGAACUGAAGGACGGAUCCAGGGUGCUCUCCAUGUUAUAUUCUCUGCGCGAAGAUUAUGAAAAACUGAUACCCAAUGUUGCUCGGUGACUUCCUUCGGCCAUUCUUUAUUGAGGUAAGCUUCUAGCGGGGAGAAUGUUUUAGAAAACAUAUGGAACAGAGUGCACUCUACCUUCCAUAAGUGACUCAAAAUCCAAACAUUGAGCAACUGCGCGCAUCCGAUAAAUCGUCCCUCCCCUUUUCUUCGACAACUACUCAGGGACCUGAAGGUCUCGGCUAGGAUGGUCGGGACAGGGUUGAUUCCUUGUUUUAACCUUUCGAAGAAAUCAAUUACGUCAACUUCGAGAUGUCCGAGAACUUUUAGGAAAAUGACCAAACCGUAAAUGGCCAAAGCGAAUAGAUUUACUCUUUUCAGCAUGUUGGGAUGGUUUAGAGCCAAAUCUCGCAGGGAGGACCAUGGAAUGCAAAUGAUUUCAUUCUUCUUCUUUAUCUGUUUUUCGGCCCAUGCAUCAGUCAUGUCUGUCAGUCUCACUAACUUUUUCUCGAAGGUCAUCGGCUUAGGCUCCUUCACAUAUAUUUUGCCGAAUUGUACAUUGUCGAUGCGGAGUAGUAAAGCAACAUACUCUUCUAUGGUUGGAGUCAUGUCUUCUUGAUUGAAGGUGAAACACUGAUAAGCUGGGUCCCAGAACCGAACCAUGGCUUGAAUCAACUGUUCGUCUACACGGAUGGUGAUCAGGUGAGCUAUAUCUCCAUACCUCUCAGUGAAAGUGUCUCUAGUUUCUGAAUCCCACUGAUUCCAAAUUCGAACCAAAUCCUCAAAGUUAUUUUGGCGAACAUUUACAGUUAUAUGUUCAGGCAAAUUAGCGACACACCCUUCCACUAGACUAUCCCCCUUUUCUCUCUAAAUUUUUAGAGACCAGUCCCGAACCACGGCAUUCUUCUCGGUUAUUUGUGUAAUUGACUCCUCCAUCAGAAACCCGUUUUUUUGGCAACCAACUUUUAAUCAACACCUUCCUAAUAUGAUGCCUAUGAUGCAUGAUGAAAAUAAAAGUAAAAACAAACAAACUUGGUUAGUAAACACAACAAAUAUAAUUUGAAAAACAAAUUAAACUACCCAAUCCAAUUAUUUUGCAUAAACAGUGUAAAUGAAAGGAAAAAGGCAUUUUCCCCGUGUACUUAUUUUGAUGACUAUAAGCGGACAGAGGUUCGGCAUGGCUCUAAUUGGAUAGCUCGUAUGGUUCACUAUAUGCGGUUUUGGUUCUAGAUAGGUACUCGAAUUGCCCGUACUAUCAUCUACUAAGAUUAACACGGAGCCUCGGUCAUAGCCUAUCACAGGCUCACGAGUUCAAUUCGAGGGGUUACAUUUACUUAUGCCUAUGCGGAGGGACAAGUUAACUCACGAAAGCAUAAAUCAUAUGUAACCCGAAAGUAUUCACUAGCCUGUGCGGAGGGACGAGUUAACUCACGAAGGCGUAGCGUUUACUUUCACUUAAACGGACGGAGCCCGGGUAGAGAGCUCAUGUUAUGCGAAAAUGCAAGUGCACGGUGUGUGGGGAACAACUCAUAAACCUUUACGUUUCACUUAAAGAAACUAAACCAAAAUUAAAACCAUAAAAAUUAAAAACUAAAAAACAACCAAAUAAGCAAGUUAGAAGAAAUAUUUACAGCACGAUACAAAUGCAUGAGUUUUGAAAACGAGAUUUUCGGAUCACGACCAAAUAUUUACUUUGAACAAGGAAAUUUGAAAAUUUUGACAAAACGUGUUUAAUUCUAGACACGACUCUCAAAAAGGCUUUCCCCAGCGGAGUCGCUAGCUGUAGCGACCUAAAAAUUUUGGCGAUAGGCGCUAAUCGAAUUGAUUGUUGAAAAUUUGAAAACUGAAUCUCGAUUUUAUUUGAAAAAGGAGUCGCCACCGAUCUUUUUUUUCUAGGUGUGAUCGGACACCUAAUAAAUUCUCUUUUUAGAAGAAAAAUUUAUUUUUAAAUUUUCUAAAAAAGAGGGUAAUUUUAGGUCUACGUAAGAAUCCAGAGAAAAUUCGAGUUCGGGAGUCGGUUACGCGCGAGGAAGGUAUUAGCACCCUCGCGACGCCCAAAAUUGAUAUCUUGUUAAACAUGUGUUGUCUUAAUUUUCAAAAAUACAAGUUCAAUUUAAUAUUUAGUCGUGAUCCAAUUGAAACACGAGAAUUUUGAAACACAACUUUUUUUCGAAACACGAAAUAUUUUAAAAUACAAGAAUUUUAGAAACACGAAUUUUUUAAAAAAAACACGAAAAUUUUGAAACACGAGAAUUUUUUUUGAAAACACGAAUUUUAUUUUUAAAACACAAUUUUAUUUUGAAAACACAAAAAUUUUGAUAAAUUAUGAAACACGAGGAUUUUUUUUUGAAACACGGAAAUUUAUGAAACAAUGUCAAUUUUUUGAAAACACGAAAUUUUUUGAAAGUCGAGAAUUUUUUGAAAACACGGAGAUUUAUAAAAACACGGAAGUUUUUUUUUUUGAAAAAAAGAAAAUUUUUGAAAUACGAGAUUUUUUGAAAAGAGGGGAAAUUUUUGAAAACAUGAAAAUUUUUGAAACACUAGAAUUUUGAAAACACGAAGAUUUUUGAAACAUGAGAAUUUUUGAAAACACGAGGAUUUUUUGAAAUACGAACAUUUUAGAAACAUGAAAAUUUUUAAAACAUGACAAUUUUUGAAACACGAGAAAUUUAUUUUUUAAAACAUAAAAAAUUUUAAAAUACGAGAAUUUGUGAAACACGAGAAUUGUUGAAAAAAAUAAAAAAUUUUGAAAAUACGAAAUUUUUUUAAACACGAAAAUUUUAGAAAUAUGGAAAUUUUUUAAAAAAACACGAAAAAUUUUGAAAAAUGGAAUUUUUUGAAAACACGAAAAUUUUUGAAAACACGAAAAUUUUUCUGAUUUUUCAUUAAGCACGUAUCGCAUUUAACACUAAUCGGUGAUAUUCACUCAAUAUAGCAAUGAAAUCAACGAAUUAGUGUCAAAUCGAUUCGUUACCUUAUUUUUGAAAACACGAGAAAUUUUUUUGAAGACACGAAAAUUUCGAAACGCGAGGAUUUUUUUUGAAAAUACGAAUUUUUUUAAUAUUUUUCGAUUUUAAAAGGGCGUAUCGAUUUUAACUCGAACCGGUGAUAUUCACCCAACAUAGCGAUGAAAUCAACGAGUUCAUGUUAAAUCGAUUCGUUGCCUUAUUUAUUCAAAGUAUUUAAAAUAAAAUAAAAUAAAAAUUGAAUUAAAUUAAAUUAAAUUAAAAAUAUAAAUGCCAAAAUAUAAAAAUGCAUAAAAUACUAAUAAUAUUAAAACGGAAGAAAAUACGAGCAUUAAAUUAAAAUUAAAAAACGAAAUUACCGAAAAAUCUCGAGACACAAGCUUCGCCGAACGGGUAACACAAAAUUGAACCCCUUUUUUCUUGUUUUUUUCUUUUUUUCUUUUUCUCUCUUUUUCUUUUUUUUUCUCUUUUUUUUUCUGCUGGGCUGGCCAGUUGGGCUGCUGGCUUGGGCCUGGCCUGCUGGUGUGGGUGGUCUGCUACUGCGCUGGGCCUGGGGGCCUGCUGUUGCGCUGGGCCUGCAUUUGGGCUGCUUCUUUCUUCUUCUUUUUUCUGCUUCUUUCUUCUUCUUUUUUGCUGCUUUUUUUUUGCUUUGGUUUUUUUUUGGGCUGGCCUGCUACUGCUGGGCCUGUUGGGUCGGUUCGCGGGUUGAAUCCGGGUCGGGCGACCCGAUAUAUUAUUUUUUAUUUUUUUCUUUCCCCUUUUUUCUUUUUUUUCUUUCUUCUCUUCUUCUUCCUUCCCUCUUUCGGCUCUAGCCUCUUUCACCACCGCUGCCACUUGCGUCGAUCUCCUCCGCCCUCGGUGGCUGUGGUCGGGCUCUCCUCUUCUCUUUUUCUUCUUUCUUUUUGCUGCUGAAAAUUUUUUUGAAACUUUCUUUUUCUCUUUUUUUUUGAUUCGUGGGGGGUCCUCUGAUUUUUGGAGUUUAAACUCCUUUUUAUAGUUGGUUUUGCUUCUUUUUUGCAGGUAGCAAGUGGGGAAGGAGCAGCCACCCAUGUUUGUGGCCUGAAAAUCUGGGAAGUGGGUGCCCCAAAUCACGUAACCUGUCUGAAGGACCAAAUCACAAAUGCAGCAAAACUUCUGGGGCUAAAUGUAAUUUUUAGAAAAUUUAGGAUUAAAAUGAAAUUUAAUGAAAGUUUAGGGGUCUAAGUGAAAUUUAAAGAAAGUUUAAGGGUCAAAAUGAAAUUUAGGAAAAGUUUAGGGGUCAAAAUGCAACUUUUAUUUUUUUAAUUUUUUUUUUGAAAUUUUGAAAAUUAAACACAAAUUCUAGUUGGACAAAAAUUUAGUGCUUACACUUAUUAAGCCACUCCAGUGGAUAAUAUAAUCUUUCAAAUUCGGAUCUAACAUCUAGGCCGGUUAAAGAGGUUACAUAAACAUAUUCAUAUAAAGGUUUUCAACAAAGAUAAAAAGAAUAAUAAAAGAAAGCAAUAAAUAUUAAAACCCACUCAACCAACCGGAACACCACUCUAAUCACCCUGCACACCACAAUUCGGUUAUGGUAGGCUCAUCCACCCUACACACCACAAAAGGCCACUGUCGGCCCAUCCACCAUACACACCACGAUAGUGGGUUUAAGCCACUCAAAAGGAAAUAUGCAGCUGAGCUGACAUAUAUAUAAUAAUGCGGUAAAACUGCUGUACAGAAUAUUGCAAAUAAACUGCUCAAAUUAGACUUCCUUAUCUUCACAACGGAAACCCCAAAUGUUUAUGAAAAUGCAAAAAUGCACACAUGCAGACGACCAUACAAAACAAGUGUACACAUAUACAGUUAAACAAAUUCAGAUUCAGUUAAACUUGAUUUCAAUUACUGAGCAAUGAUAACAACAUCGUACUCAAACCUAUUCAUCACAUCACAUUAUCACCUAACGAACAAUUAAACAAAAGCAUCUAAGUGCACAAACAUACACGAAUCCAAGCUGAACUGGGUCCCAAUCACAUUUACAAAGGCUUAAACAAGUGUUGGAUUACACAGGAACUAAAACGAGUCAAUUACAAAAAAAAAUUAAAAUAUGCAAAAACAGAACCACAUGGCCGUGUGCCCAGGCCAUUUGGAAAGGUCUAGACCGUAUGAGGGGUCUACACUGACGUGUGUAAGAGCGACACACCCGUGUGACAAAGGCACACGAUCAUGUGGCCGAGACACACACCCAUGAGACAGAGUUACAUGGCCAUGUGGCCGAACCGUGUAACUCCUGGUGCCAUGUGACAAAAAUCAACAUAUUUAAGAAGCAAAGUAGACACGUCCGUGUGGUUGAGAAACAUGGCAGUGUGACUGAGGCACACGCCCAUGUGAAAAAUAAUAAAUUUCUCUACAGAGGUCACAUAACCGUGUGGCCAGCCUGACCUACUUCAGGUAUAAAUUUAAUUCUUGUCUCUCACACACAAAAGUAAGCAUAAAUGCUUGACUAAGACCGCUGGACUCACCUAACAGACUAAAACUUCUAACCCCAAAUUUCAAAAUGUUACAUUAUUAAUAAUUUAAAUAAACAAUUGAUAAUUUUGGUUGGUGUCCCAAAAUUUCAAUAUAUAUAUAUGCUAAUGUGGCCACUAGAUAGACUAUUUUGGACAUUAAAUGACGUACCAAAAGAAGAAAUGUAAAAAAAAAACAAUUCAAAAAAGGAAAUCCCGUCCAUUGAUAUUUUUAUUCUAAGGUUGUAUUCUUUUGACUUAAAAGAUGAUUGUGAUUUUAUCGUGUUAUUGACAAAUAUAAUAUUUUAGGAAACUAUUCAAUAUUUUACUUUUGAAUUUAAAAUGACUAAAUAAAUGUGCAUAUAUACAUCAACUCUUCAAGGAUAAUUUAAUUAUUAUUUAAUAGAAUAUGUCAUAUUCACUAAUGAAAAGUAUAAAUAAUAUAAAUAUGUAGUUAAUAAUUUUUUUAAAUAAUAAUUACUGAUAUGGUAAUAAAAUUGCAUAUAAUUUUUUUUAAUAAAAAAAAAGUACAUGAGAAAAGAAUAGGAAAAUUGUAAUAUUUUUAAGGAUUAGUAUAUGAUGCAUAGAUUAUAGGUUUCAUGGGUCGUCAAGUGAGGAAAGAUGACACAUCAUCACUUAUAUAAAAUAAAAAAUAUUAAAAGAUUUAAAAUUAAAUAAUAUUUAUUUUAGUUAAACAUAAUUAAAUAUGAAUUGUAAUAUUUUGUUUCUCUUGUUUUGAACUUCUGGUCUUAAGUUUUUGGUUUCAGGUUUUAAAUUUUGGUUUUUAGAUUUCAGAUUUAAUGUUUUUGGAUUUAUUUAUGUUGAAUAAUUUUAAUUAAUAUUUAUUUUUAAAUAAAAAUAUUUAUAUUUAUUUUUAAAUCCUUCAAUAGUUUACACCAAUGAUGAUAUAUCAUCUUAUUAUUAAUUAAUGGCGCAUGAGAUCUAUGCACCGCAACAAUGGAUCAAGUAAUCUCCUUAUAUAUAGAUAAUUAAGUUGAUAUUAUGAGUCAACUCAAUACCAAUUUAGUACGAAAAAUUACAUAAAAACUAUUUUUAAUAAAGUAACAAAUAUUAAUAUAAUAUUUUUUUGUCUUUUACUAUAUAUUUUUAUAUGAAAUGUUUAAAUAAAACAACUAAAAUUAAAAUAUCUAAGAAUUGAAGUCAAGACUAGCAUGAGAAAAAAAAAGGAAAACAAUAACACUUUUGAGGAUUAAUAUAUGAUGCAUAGUGUAUAAGUCUCAUGCAGCAUCAACUAAUAAUAAGAUGAUAUAUCAUCAUUAGUGUAAAAUAAAAAAAUAUUAAAGGAUUUAAAAGUAAAUACAUAUGAAUUUUAAAAUAUAAUUAAAUAUAAAUUACAAAUCUUUUGUUUCUCUUUCAGGUUUUGAACUUUGGGUUUCGGGUUUUAGAUUUUAUGUUUUGGAUUUUGGGUUUGUGUUCUUAUUUAUUUAUGUUUAUAAUUAAUAUUUAUUUUUUAAAUAAUUUUAUUUUAAAUCUUUUAAUAUGUUUUUUUACACCAAUGAUGAUGUGUUAUCAAAUAUAUGCGUGUGAUAUAAUUAAUUGAGCUGAUAUCAUGAAUUAACUCAACACCAAUUUAAUAAGAAAAAUUACAUGAAAAUUAUUUUAAUAAAUUCACAAAUAUCAAUAUAAUAUUUUUUAUCUUUAACUAUUUUAUAUGAAAUGUUUAAAUAAAAAACUAAAAAUAAAAUAUCCAACACUGAUUAUAUCUACUCUUUUUGACAUAAAACUUAAAACUACUCAUAACCCUUCUCCAACACAUAAAUAAGAACAUAAUGCACUUUAACGCACUCAAACUCACGUCCUCUUGUAUUAGCAACAAUGCACAUAUCAAUCGAGUUAAGACGAAUCAACUGAGAAUUUUAGUAAUUAAAAUUAACUUUUUCCAUAAGUUUAAAAAUUUUAAAAAAUUAUUGAUAAUUAAAUAAAAGAGCAACCAUAUCUUAUAGAGGUUAAAAAUUAUUGAAAUGCAAGCUCAUUUAAUGCUGAAAUGCAGUUCUCAAACUUGAAAAAAAAAAUUGUUCUUAUAAAAAACAAACAAUAAAAUUCUGUGUUUAGAAAUAUUUCUAGUUUUAAAUUCGUCUUCACUCAAUUAAUAAUUGUGCUUAUUAUUUUCAUGAGUAGAUGAUGAUUGAAUACUGAAUUUGAACUUUUAAUUUUCGAAUUUAAAAUCAAUACAUAACUAAUAAGAUAUUAAUUUUUGGGUAUUGUAAAGGUGCUAAUACUUUCUUCACACGUAAUUGAUUCUCGAAUUUAAAUUUUCUUUAAUUUUCAAAUAAUAAACCAACUAAUUAUCUUUUUAAAAGGCGGUUUUAUAAGUACCUGAUCACACCUAGUUAAAAGAUUUGUGACGAAUCUUACGUUCUAAAUAAAAAUUUAAUGUUUUAAAAUUUUAAAAUUUUCAUAUUUUUCUCAAAAUUCGUAAACCUAACUUUGCUCAAAAGAAUGGUAUCGACAGUAGUCAUCCAACUUUUAGUAUUUUUUUGUCACCCAAUUAUGAAAAUUUAUAAAAAAGAAUGGCCAUCCAACUAUUCAGCCUUUUCUUUUUUGUCACACAACUAUAUGAAUUUUUCUUUUUUGGUCCCAGCGAUUAAUUUACUAACGGAAAGAUAACUUGAUAAGUUGUAAAAUUAGCAUAAUAACAACUUUAACCCUCAACAUUUAUGCAUUGUGUUAAUUUAGUCUUGAUUUUAAAAAAAUAACUCUCGACAUUUACACAUUAUAUAAUUUGGUCUUUGUAACUCUCUCUUUUGCAGUUUUACUUUUAUUUGUGACAUUAAGGGUUAAUUUUAAAAGAAUGAGAUAAGAUGAAUAUUAUUAUCUUGGAUUUUUUGGUGUUUCUAUUUUGUGUAUAUAUUUUUUUUAUCAAAUUUAGUUGAUAGAUUAUUUUUUUUAGCUUUUUAGGUGAAAGACUCACAAAGAAAAGAAAAAUUGAAAAAAAAUAUUACACACUGUGCAAAUGUUGAAGGGUUAAAUUUGUUAGAAUCAAAACUAAAUUGACCCAGUAUAUAAAUGUUGAGGGUUAAAAGUUGUUGUUUAACCAAUUUUAAAAGUUGCCACAUCAUCUUCCCAUCAACCCUUUAACAAUCGGUGACUAAAAAAAAAUCAAAUAGUUAAGUAACUGUAGCGACAUAAAAAUUGGUUCUGGGGUCGCUAAUUGUGGCGAUCUAGUGAAAAAGUUUGGAAACUGAAGUUCGAUUUUAAAAUAAAGAGGGAGUCGCCACGAUCCUUUUUCCUAGGUGUGAUCGGACACCUAUUAGAUUCAUUUUUUAAAACAAAAGGAAGGCUGAAUUUAGGUCUACGUUAAAAGCCAGAGAAAAAUUAGGGUUCGGGAGUCGAUUACGCGCGAGGAAGGUAUUAGCACCCUCGCGACGCCCAAAAUUGGUAUCUCAUAAACAUGUGUUGUCUUGAUUUUCACAAAAUACGAGUUCAAUGUAAAAUUUAAUCAUAAUCCGAUUAAAAGAACGAGAAAUUUUGGUUUAUUUCGUUUUUUUAGAAGGGUAUAUCGCUUUAACAUGAGUCAAUUGACGUUCACCCAACAUAGCGAUGAACUCGAUGACUUAAUGUUAAAUCGGUAUAUUGCCUUGAUUAUUGAAAUUGAUUUAAAUCAUGAAUAAGAAUAUUUUCGAAAUAAUGCAAAGUAAAAUAAUAUGAAAUAAAAAUCAAUAAAUGAAAGAGCUAGGAAUAUAUUGAAACAGAUAAUCGAGGUGGCAAUAAUAUUAGAAAAGAUGAAGGUAUAAUGUAAAAAAUUUUUACACGCGGUGGCCGGAAAAGGUAAAAAAUUUUUAUUUUUUUUUAUAUUUUUUAAUAUUGUAUAUAUAUAUUUGAGUGUAUCAGAGUAUAAAAAAAAGAAAAGCCAAUGAAAAGAAAAAAAAACGAUUCGGUAAUAGGAAAGAAAAUAGGUUUUUCACCUUUCUCCUUGAUCUGGGUUUUGAUAAUAUUCAAUACUGAUCUAUUGUUGCUCCUAAAAACUAAUCUGUAUUCUCUGCUUCUUUGUUUUUAAACUACCGAAAAUAAGAAAAAGAAAAAAACAGAAAAAGACCCCCUUUUUCAUUUGAUUUCAUGGCUCUUAUAGCCUUACAAUUUUAUUUUCUAUUGCUUUCUGUCCUUUCUCCUUACUGUGUGCAGGGAUGGUGGCCGACAUGGUGGCAUGGAGGGCUGGGGCGCUGGUCAGAUGGCAGGGGGUUGGUGCGCAAGUGGGGUUCGGCGCAAGUGGGCAAGUGGGGGGUAGGUGGCUAGGGUUAGUGGGAUUAGGGUUUCUGAAUGCUGAGUUUAGGUUAAUGGGCUGGGGUAGUUGGGCUUCGGGUUUAGUUGUUUAGGCUUGGUUUAGGAUGAGAUGGGUAUGGGGUUUAAGUAGGUUUAGUUAUUGGGUUUUGGGGGUGGCCCAAAAUUGGCCUGUACAGUAACCAUUUUGUAACUUUUUAUAGUUAGGUGACUAUAAGUGUAAUUUACCCUUAAAUAAACAAAAUUUUCAUUCAUGUCCCAAAUUUUCUAAAAAAAGAAACUAUAUAUGAUAUCGUAAAGGCUAUAUGCACUAGAUAGACUAUCGAGGGCAUUAAAUGACGUACAAUAAAAAAUAAAAGGGUAAAUUCAUCAUUAAUCCCUAAAUUAUAAGCAAGUUUUCAUUUUAGUCACUUAACUAAAAAAGUUACAAUUUGAUCACUAAACUAUUCAAAAGUUUUCAUUUAAGUCACUGAGCUAUUAAAAUCAAUGUUAUAUGGCUUUCUCUGUUCGCACUACCUGCACCAAUUGAAAGCUCUCUUUCUAUUUCUUUUCUACCGUUCAUAUUUUUUUAUGAAAUAGCUUUGAAUGCCAUAAAUAUACAAAUCAAAGUUCAAAAAGCUUUUUCUCUGAUCUCCAACAUUGGCCAUCAAAUCAACUUAGAUCUAAAGUAUGUUCUUCUACUCGUCGAUGGUUACUGAUCCAGCGUACUGAUCGUCGAAUCAUUGCUUUGAGUUUUCUUGUGAAACUUCUAAAAAUAUAACAGUCUAGUGACUAAAAUAAAAACUUUUGAAUAAUUCGUUGACUUAAAUAAAAUUUUUUGAAUAAUUAUGAAUUUGAACAGUUGAUUGGCUAAAAUAUUGCAAUGAUUUUAAGCUCUCUUUUUAAGUAAUCGAUUAUGACUUUUAUAAUUAAAUAUCCUUAGCAGUCUUUUUAAGCUGUUAGUAUUAUAUAAUUAUUUUACACAUGCAUUGAAACUAAAUAAAAUACGAAUAUUAUACAUAAAUUUUUUGACUGAUCCAAGAUGAAAUUUUAUAAAAUCUAUUUGUUGGGUAUAUUUAUUAUCGAUAAACAUUGGUCUUAGUACGUCUCCUUUAGAAUAUUUACAUUUAAUUCGCAAUAAAUAUUAAAUAUAAAAUAUGAAUAUAAUUAUUUAAAUUCUUUUUGCUUGGAAAGGAAUAAAUAUAUAAUUUCUGAAGCUUGGCGGCAAUAUCUAAUACGAAAUCCUUGAAAAGAAUCGUGUUUGAUUGCUAGGUUUGUCUUAACUUUGAAUAUGGAAAUUAAGUAAUUUUGAAAAAAUGUUCUUCCUUAAAAGUAAUUUUGAAAGGGUAUAAUGAUUUUACGUGGGGCUAGUGAAUCAAAUGAUGAAAUAUUAUUAAAAAUUUUAAUAUUAUAUUAUUAUUUUAUUUACUGAUAAUGUAUAUAAUUAUACAUUGUCAAUGCAUCAUAUAUAAAUCCAUUCUAAAUUGGAAUCCAUAUUGGUACAAUAAACUUUCAAAUUAUUUUUAAAAGAUCGAUUAAGUUCCUUUGAACCUUUUACAUCCAUUUAAGUCUUUGAACUGACAAUUUUGACUAACGAAAUUUUUUUAUUAACAUUGACCAUUAGAAACCAACAUUAAUAUUGACUUGGUCAUUAAUGGAUAUCACAUCAACCAACAAAUGUUGAUGGGGUGAUCCACGUUAAUAAAAAAUAAAAAUAUUUUAAAAUUAUUGUAAAAAAAUGUACACAAUAAACUUAAACAAAUUGUUUCCCAAGAUCAUUUGUACAAAAAAAUUUAUAAAGAAUAAUUAAAAUUAUAAAUUAUUAUAAAUUAAUUAAAAAUCAUAAAAUUUUAUAAAAUAAAUUAAAACAAAGCUUUUCAUUAUAAAUUUUUAUAAAAUCCAUUAAUUGAAUAAAAGCUUUUAAUUAAAAUCCAUUUGGAUCUUUUUUAAAAGUUUCCAAAGAUUUUAUUUAAAAACAUUAAAAUUAUUAUAUUUUAUAAAAAUAUUUUUAUUUAAAUUCCAUUUGGUUUUAAUAAUACAUAAACAAUUACAAAAAAUAUAUAUAAAUAUAAAUUGGUUUUUAAUUUUAUACGUUUUAAUAAUUUCUAAAAUUUUAAUAAUUUAUAAAAAAAACUUUAGAAAAAAUCAUUUUAAUUAUUUUAUAAUAUUUUUUAUAAAAUUUAAUUAUUUGAAUUAUAUUUUAUAAUUUUUUAUUUUUUUAUAAUUUCGAAAUGAACCUUGAGAAAUGUGUUUUCAUAUUCAAAGGAACCUGGAUAAAAAGGUGUCCAUAUUUAAAUGAAUUUGGAUAACCAUUUAUCCAGCAUCAUUGUACAUUUUUUUAAAUAAUUUCAAAAUAUUUUUUUAUUUUUUAUUUUUAUUGAUGUGGAACUGUCAAGUUAACAUUUGUUAGCUAAUGUGGCAUCUGUUAACAAUCAUAUUAGCGUUGUUGUUAGUUUCUAACGAUCAAUAUUAGUCAAAUGACCUUGUUAGUUAAAAAUAUCAAUUCAAUGAUUCAAUUGAGUGGAAAAGAUUUGGAGGGAUUUAAUUGAUUUUUUUUAAAAAAAAGUUUGAAUGCUUAAUAAGCCUAUAUUAUCUUGAAUCAAUUCUAUCAAUCAUCUCUAAACUCUAAACUAUUGCCAAUAGUCUUAAGUAAAAUUAACCGCAACAUUUAUAUCUUUCGUCAAUUUGGCUUCUUUUUUUUUCAUUAAAUUUGGCCCUUAAUCUUUUAAAAAAGAGUCAAAUCAUUUUUUAUAGAAAAUCCUGACGAAUAUGGCAUGGCAGCCUGUGUAACAAUCCACGUGCACUUUAUUUUGACAUAAUACUAUUUAUUAUAUGCCACACCAAAAAAAAUUUAAAAUUAUAAAAAAUUCAAAAAAUAAAAAGUUUAUAAAAAUUCAAAAAUAAAAGAGUAUGAAAUACUUGUGGAUUGGUAUGUGAGCUACCAUGUUUAAAAUUUUAAUGAUUAAUUUUCAAUAAAAAAUAGCAAGUCAACUAUUUUUUAAAAAUUUAAUGGUUAAUUUUCAAUAAAAAAUAGCAAGUCAACUAUUUUUGAAAGGUUUAAGUUAAAUAUGAUAUAUUUUUUUAAAGGUUGAGGACUAAAUUUAGCUUUAAAAAAAAAGACUAAAUUAUUAAUAAAAAAAAUGUAAAUGUUAAUGACUAAAUUUUUGUUAUACCCAUUCUUAAUUAGUUUAAAACUUCAAAAUAUGUUAAAUAAAUCUGUAAAAUAUCAACAUUGUAUCAAAUAAUUUUCUAUUAAUAUAGUAAGUAGUUAAUUUAAUUGUUAAAUGUCAAUCAAGAUAUGAUAUGCCGCAUACUUAAAAACAAACGGAUUAAAUUGUAAGCUCAUGUGUAUCUAACACAUGAAAAAUUUAGUUUUGACGUAUUAAAAAAUCGAUUUCAAUAAAAUGUUAUCUAUGUUGUAAGUAUAUACGUUUGAUCGACGUAUUUCAAAUACACUUUAACUCAAAUUUGAAUUUGCAUUUAGUACCUCAACUAAUUGUUAACAUAAUAGAAAGGCUUAAUUGAUAUGAUACUAAUACUUUGAAGACUGAAUUAAAACAUUUUUAAAAUUUAAAAUUGAAUUUAAAAUAUGCAUAAUUUGAGAACAUUACGUCAUAGUUUAAUGUGUUUAUGGUAAAUUAGUCAAUUGUAUAAUAGUAAACAAGUUACGUUGCCUAGUCCUUGAUCAAACCUGACAUGCUUUAUUAUAAUAGUAAACAUUAACUUCUCUUUACUCAGUUUAAUUGUGGGAUUGUAAUUAUCAUUUAUUUCGGUCUUUAUAUCGUAAGAUUACAACUGUUUAAUUUUCUUUUUGUAUCUAAAGCAUGACCUGAUUAAUUUUCAUAAUUACAUGCUAUUUUGAUUUAGAAAAUUAUUAUAAAUAUUUUUAGCUGUUUUUUUAAUGGUUUCAUAGAUGAUCGAACGUAAUGUUUUCAACUUAGUUGAAACUCUUAGGCCACAUUAAGGGUGUUACAAAUUUUUUUAAAAAUAACUUUAAAAAAAUCAUUUAUAAAAAACUUUAUAAUUGUAAUUAUUUUAUAAUUUGAAUGAUUUUUUAUAAUUUAUUAUGUUUUUUUAAUUUCGAAAUGAAUAUUGAGAAAUGUGUCUCUAGAUUCAAAGGAACCUAGCUAAAUUGGUAUUUUUAUAAAAUUUAUUUUGGGUAUUUUUUCCAUUUGUCCAACAUCAUUGUAUACUUUGUAACACCCCACACACAAUUUAGAUGUUAUGGCUGAUUCUUGAGGAAUUACAUAACCUCGUUUUAAACCUAAAUUUUGAAUUUGAGAAACAUGUAUCCCGUCAUUAUUAAUUUUUGUAAUAAAAAUCAUGUGCUUUUGUAAUUUAAUGAUAAAAAUGCCCAAAAUCCGUAAAAAAUAAACCAAAAAGUAAAACAAAAUUAAAAAAACAAGUUCAUAGUCCCAAAGUUGAGAAAUGAAUAAAUCAUAAACCACAUAAUAAUAUUAACCGGAAAAUCAAUUGGAGCACCCGCGUGUCGUUCGAUCCUUACUUUGCUAAUUACCUAAGAAGUUAGAAAAUUUGGGUGAGCUUACAAAGCUCAGUGUGUAACUUAGCCCAUACAAACAGAACAAAUAGCAUAAUCACACAGAAGUUAGCUGUAACGCCCUGAUUUUUGGGCCUAGAAGUAUUGGGCCUUGAGUCUGGGUUCGGGUGGAAAAUGGCCCGAAUAAUUUGGAUGUUAUUAUUAUUAUUUCAUAUGUUUAGUUUAGUAAUUAAAUAAAUUACAAAAGGUUUAUGGUGUGGGAAAAAAGGCCCAAAAGUAAAUUUAAUUCGAGGCAAUUCCUGAAUUCUAAUUUUUAGAGAGAGGGUUCUGGCGAUAUGGGCUUUAAAAGUUGAGGUGGUAAAAUAGGACACAAAAAUAUUUGUGGUAAAGUGGCAUGUGACGCCACCUAGGUUGGGGAGUGACGUGUGGAUGUUUAGGGGAAGCCAGAGUUCAAGUCAUAAGGUAAGCGUAUUGUUACUUUUAUUUUUUAUGUGCAUUGCCGGGCAUGUGAUAGAGCUUAAGUGGAAAUUCGGUUAGGGCUUUAGGAAGGUUGGGCCGUGGGUCUGAAUGGCCCUUAGGGCAAGCUUUAUUUUCUUUUUGUUUUUCCGAAUUAGGGUUAGCCACCUAGAGCCUUCCCUUUUAUUCUAUUCUCUUCUCAGUAUCUCAAAAAGCCGAAAAAUGCAAAGUUAGAUCUCCUGAGUGCCGAAUUCUUCCUUCUUUUCUCCUCUCUUCUUCUAUUUUCUUUUUCUCAUUCUUUUCUUCUCUAGCCAAAGCAUUCCUACCAUUCUACUCAUCUCCUCUUUCAUUCCCAUUCUUUUCUAAACCUCUAUAGCUGAUUGCCAUAAAAGCUGAAAUCCCGAAAGUCGUUUCUUGUGUCGAUUUCUCCUAGCCAAAAUCCUCCUAUUUUCUUCACCUCUUUUGGUCGAUUUUCACAUCCUCUAAACCUCAACCCCUGUCAAAAAUACCACACCAAAUCAUCUUCCUCUUCACAGUUCCAAAAGCCAAAAACAACAUAGUUUUUAGGGACGUAUAGCAGAAUCUUUAGAUCUCUAAGAUUUGAUUUCUGCUAGUGUUUAAGGGCUGGAUCUGCAUCAAAUCUGAGUAGAAACUAAAGUGGAAUCAUUUUGGUUGAAAAAACCUGAGGUAGGUACUCAAAUCUAUUCUUUAUUUCGGGUUUUAGAAAAGCCAAAAUCCCUAAAGGCAUAGGGAGGCUGUCGAUUGGAGCUUAAGGCUCUAAGGGUUGUAACAAUUGAUUUGUUUUGGUGUUAGUAUGAUCCAGAGGCUGCUGAUUGAAGGCUUGGACAAGUGGAACGACUAGAUCGAGAUCUAGUCACUAGUUUUGGCAAAGGGAGGAUAGGCAAAGGGAGGAUCUCAAGGGCCAUAUGUAUUGAUGGCCGAUUUUGGUAAGUAAGUUUAUGAUGGUUGCCAUUGUAUUUUGGAUCUGAUAUGUCUAGUGACUGAUUGUAGGAUAUCGUGGGAGAUUUUGGUAGCAGUUGUCGCAAAUCAGGUGUGUAAACGACACCCACUAGUAGACUAGAUCGGCAAAAGUCAAAAAGCUGAAAUGCCGAAAAGCUGGCAUCUCGAGAACUUGCGAGCGUGCGAACGCUCGUGGGAUUGUUUGUAUUGAUAAUUUUGAUAACUUCAAUGGUAAGAUUGUAAAGUGCACAAUUUCGUGCACCUCGGUGAAUUUGGGCUUCGAUGGGCCGAAAUUGGGUAAUGGGCAACGGGCCCAUUUCGGUAAAAAUGUUCGGUAAGUAUUCUGAAGACACGUUAAUAACUAUAAUGAGCAUGAAACCCUAAAAAGACUGAAAAAAUUACUGAAAUACCUCUGUAAGGUAGAAUUACUGUAAUACCUCUAAAGGGGUAAGUUUACGAUUACGCCUCUCGAGGGUAAAUAACUGUUCUUACACUAUAAUCUGACUGUCUUUCUGAAGCAUGCCUUGUUAAUUAUAUAUAUUCUGCAUACAUGUCAUACUGCAUGGGGUUGGGUUUUGUUAUGGAGGAAGAACCCGUUCUGGUGGCUGUGCCACAUAUUCUGAUAUAAGCAGCUUUGCUGCGAAUUAUAGUUAGUGCCGCAACCGGUGCUAACACUGUAAGUGUAGGGAUGGCGUAGGUGAUUUAUUCCUCACAGGAAGUGUAGGGAUGGACGGAGGCAAGUGCAGGGUUGGAUGGGGUUAUCAUGCAUUAAUCAUAUGAGACUAUUUUGUUAUGGGCCAACUGUAUUGAAAUGGGCCCAACUGUGUUAAUAUGGGCAAGGCCCAAUAUAUCUCGACAUGUAAUAGGGUUACGGCCCAAAUUGAUACUAACAUGGGCUAGGCCCAGUAUACUCUGAUACUAUAAGGGGCUAUGGCCCAGAUUAAUAUUGAUAUGGGCUAAGGCCCAGUUAACUCUAAUUUCUAAAUAGGGCUUAGGCCCAGUAAAGCUUGAACUGAUUUGGGCUCUGGUUGGGAUACUUUACACACUGAGUUUUCCAAACUCACCAGCCUUAGAUCGGUGGACUUGGAGUUGGAGGGAUUCAGAGUGGCCCUGUGGACUAUUUAAAAUAAGUGUUUAUACCUUCACUUUUAUUUUAGAUUAUUUCCUUUAUAUUUUUGGGUUUUUAAUUUGUAAUAAGGCCGCUUUGAUUAUUUUUAAUUAUUUUUAGUAUGUUUUGUUAGCUUAGAUAUGAUGUUAUUUUAAUUGUUUGAAAUUGAAUAGCUCUAGGGCACGUUUUAAAAAGGUUACUUGAUUUCAAAAUAUCGCGAUAACAAAGCAAGGCUUCCGCAACGAAAACGUUUUUAAAAUUAAUAACCUUUUCAAAUGGUUUUAAAUGAAUUGGUUUUCCCUAAACAAUCACUCAGUUAAAGUGUGGCAACGGUUGUGUGCAUGUCUAGGCUUGGAUCCGUGAAGAGCUGGGUACUUAAGCAGUCUAAUUGACUCACCUCCUCUUUUCUGGCAUCCUAUCUGGUACACAGCUUCCAUUCACUUUAAUCUUUAACGAAUAUAUUCUUUAAACACUAAGAAAGACUUUAGAUAAAACAUGACUUUUCUAGUAAUGUUUCAAUGUGACACGCCGGAUUCGGUCGUAAUGUCUGGGCUGGGUUUGGGGUGUUACAUUAGCAAUCGAACAGAAUACACAGCAUGGCAUACUAUGGAAUGUAACAUAAUGAUCAGAUCAAAAAUGGAUGACAUGACAUAUCAUGUGAUGCAACACUUAAUACAAAACAAAUACAGAUCCUACCCCUAUCCAUUACACACCAUCUUAAUCCAUCCUUAUACACGAAAUAGGGUAAUAAAUACCCAUCUAAUCCCACACACCAAUAAGUGACCAUAUGUCACUAUAUAGAAAAGUGCAAUAAAAGCUGUCAUAAAUAAUGCGGUAAUUCACCAAAAUCAGACAAGUAUGGUCAAGUCAUCAGAAUUGUAGUCAAGCUGCCAAAACAGAUAUGUGGUUAAAUCACAAGAUAAAGUAGAUCAUUAAACUUCCAACACUUUCUCUGUCACUGAAUUAUCCCACCCCAAUACACAUGCAAUAAAAGCAUAACCAGAUAUUCAAAUGCACAAAGAUCAGAUAUGCUUACAUAACAGAAUCAUACUAAUGAUAUACUCAAAAUUUUCAGAUUAGAUACAGAAUUACCUCAAUUAUCAUGCUUGUAGAAAGUACUCAUACAAAGACAAAACCAUAAAAUCUUAUACUAGAAACAAUAAUAUCACUUAGCAAACCCUAUAGUAUUACUGACCUCGAAACAUACUUCGAAUAACGUUCUUAAUUAAAUUUUACAGAAAAUGGGCCCAAACACCCAUGCAGCCCACACUGCCCAUUUAACCCAUCCCAUGUGGCUCAAACGAUCUGGCACACGACGGUGUGGAUUGACAGUGGGUUUUUUUGGUUUCGUACCAUUUGUUGUUUUUCGGGACAGAAGGUACAAACCUGAUCAUUUUUUGAUGCCAACACAAUAGCAACAAUACUAGCACCUAAAAAUGACGUUCAGAAUGAACUAUUUAGCAAAUGUCAUACUAAAUUCGACCACUAAAUCGGCCGUAAUGCUAAAAAUCCAGAUUGAUCGUUUUUCGUAACAUUAAGAUUCAGCCUUAACAAGGCACUGAUCACUUACCCUAAUGUAAGAGGGCUUUCCAAAUGCUUCCAUUUUUUCGAAAGAUUAGACGUUUCCAAUUCUUUACCUAAAUCACAGAUUUCCAACCAUUCAAACUAUUAUCACCCAAAAUAAGAAUUCAUAUCCAAGCAUGUGAAAAAUAACUUAUUUACAAAAUACGAGUCUUAAAUCAACAUCUUUACCACCCAUGACCAACAAUCAAGACUGAAAAGGAUGUUGGUGCAAAGUAACUCAACAUUGAAGAGAUAAAAAGUAAAGAAAUGGAAAGAGGCCAGAACAAUAUACAACAGCAACAUAGUGGGAAAAGGUGUCUUCAAAGAGAAUGAAAAGAGAUUGAUCAUGAAAAAGAUGUGGAAUAGGAAAAAAACCAACAGAUGAAAGAGUGAUAGAAACUUGUUGAAAACUCUAAAUAAGCAAAAUAUAAGAUGGAGAAAUAGACAGAGAGGGACGAUAGAAAAUAGAGAGAUUUUUGGAACACUUUUGGGAAAUUUAAAAAAAAAAAGAAUUUUGAAAAACUAUCCAUAUCCCCACUAACUCCCAAUAAAUCUAAUUAGUUAUUUUUAUAAGAUUUUCACUUUGCACACACAAGGAUUUAAACAUAAAUCCCCUAGGUAAGUUGAAGCCUUACCACUAAACUGGUAUGCUCAUUCUCGUCAACAAUUGAACAAAAAAAUUAUAUAAGCUAGAUGUUCAAGGAUAGGGGUUGGAACAAAAAUAAUAAAAAAAUUCAGGGGAAGAGAUUUGAACAUAAGACCUCAGACACACAUAAUUAACACUUAGCCACUACAACAGACUAAUCACUUGACAUGAUUCCUACAAAAAUUAUUCUAAAAUAGGGCAUGACCCCUCUUGGUUCACCAACCCAAUUUAUACUAACCUAGUGUUUGAGAUGUGACAACUCUCCCCUCCUUAAAAGGAAUUUCGUCCUCGAAAUUCAUGUUGUCACACCAUUCACUCAACCACAAGGUUCGUAACUCUCAAUUAAAGCUGACCACCACACUUUUUUUGCGCGCAACUCUGAUUCCAAUGCCAUUAAGAAAAUACUUCUCCUCAAACCUUCUGUAGACCUCCUAUUCACAGACACAAAUUAUCUCAAAGGACUAACUACAAAAUCAUCUCUAAUGAUUUCCUCUACCUCAGAUUCUCAGAUACACUAUUGACAGUAGACACUUGAAUAAAACCAAUUCUCAAUCAUUGCAAUGAACAAUUGGAAUGGAUCGCGAAAGUAGCUACAUUAAUGCCAGAUGCGUCUUAAUCCUCAUGACCCAUAGCUGUAUAAUCCAAUCUUUGAUUCUAUUUUUGAGUCAAAGCCUACAUUUGACUAAGAAAAUGACACGAGCAAUCUCUAGAAUGGUGCUCAACAGACCCACAUCUAAAACGCGCCACCAUUUUCCUCCAACGCUCGUUCGGGUGGCACCCACCACAAAAUGCACAUGUUGGAACUUGAUCACUACCCACAACUACCUCAAACUGCUAAGGUUUGCCCAGUCUAGCCUACUUCUAAGGUCGCGGAUUCAAGCUAGUAAGACCAUAACUCCUCUUCUUUUAUACUUUAUUCCUUUGCAAAUCUCUAAGCAUAUAUUGGGACACAACAUAGUCCAUAGCUUCUUGAUUAUCGGCCUAAAUGGUAGGUUUUUAAGCAAUCUCACUUGUUUCCAAAUUGGGCAUGUUCCCUAGAGGAGAGGACUCUACUUGAGUCACUUGACGACAACAAACAUACCCUCGCAUACCACGUCUAGGUGAACUGCAUGUACUCAUUUUACUUAUCUACAGUUCAGAAGUCUAAAGUUUAGUUUAGGUUAUUUUUAGAUCCUAAACCUAAAUUUUAGCAUAAAUAACUCGUUCAAUUUUCUAAAGUAAAAAAGUUCUAUUCUACAGUCUCUACAGUUUACUAGUUGACUAAAGUAACUAAAGUAUAGUUUAACUAAAGUACAAAUACUUGGAUUCACAUUUUCAAAAUCUUAAUAAAUUUUGUGUAAAUUUACCCACAUCAGAUUUCCUAAAAAUUUUCUUUAAAAUAAGAAAUUAAAAAAAAAUAUGUAAUCCAGUUUUAAACUAAAAACCACAGCCUGAGUUUUAAAUAUAGGCUUUGAUACCACCAAAUGUAACACUCGACACCCGACCUAAACGUUAUGGCUGAAUCAUGAGAAAUUACAUAAAUUCAUUUUAAACCCAAGUUUUGAAUUUGAAAAACAUGUGUCUUCUCAUUAUUAAUUUUUGACAAAUCUCUUACAAGUUUUAAGGGAAACGCUCAUUAAAAUUUAUUUAUUUUAAAAAAAUCGCAUAAUUAAUUACUUAAACUUUGCAGCGGAAAUUUUGAAGUUUUGAUUUUGAAAUCAAAAUUGUACUUUGGAAUAAAAAUUAUGUGUUUUUGUAAUUUAAAGAUAAAAAUGCCCAAAAUCUGUAAAAAAAAAAACAAAACCGUAAAGCAAAAUCCAAAAACAAGUUCACAGUCCAAAAGUCUAAAAAAGAAUAAAUCAUAAACCACAUAAUAAUAUUAACUGAAAAAUCAAUCUGAGCACUCGCGCACUAUCCGAUCCUAAGUUUGUUGAUUACCUAAGAAGUUAGAAAAUUUGGGUGAGCUUACAAAGCUCAGUGUGUAACUCAACCCAUACAAAUAGAACAGAUAGCAUAAUCAUAAAAAAGUCAAAAAUCGAACAAAAUACACAAAAUGGCAUACUAUGCAAUGUAACAUAAUGAUCAAAUUAGAUACGAAUGACAUGACAUAUCAUGUGAUGCAACACUUAAUACAAAAUACAUACAAAUCCUACCCCAUCUGCUACACACCACCUUUAUCCAUUCGUACACACAAAAUAAGGUAAUAAAUACCCAUCGAACCCCACACACCAAUAAGUGAGUGUAUGUCACUAUAUAGAAAAGUGCAGUCAAAGCUGUUAGAAAUAAUGCGGUAAUCCGUCAAAAUCAGAUAAGUGUGAUCAAGUUAUCAGAAUUAUAGUCAAGUUGCCAAAACAGAUAUGUGGUUAAACCACGAGAUAGGAUAGAUCAUUAAACUGCCAACACUUCAUUCAUCACAUGAUUAUCCCACCCCAAAGCACAUGCAACAAAAACAUAACCAGAUAUUCAGAUGCACAAAGAUCAGACAUGUUUACAUAACGGAAUCAUGCUAAUGACAUGUUCAAAACUUUUAGAUCAAAUACAAAAUUACCUCAAUUAGCAUGCUUGUAGAAAGUACUCAUACAAAGGCAAAACCAUAGAAUCUUAUGCCAGAAACAUGAAUAUAACUUAGCAAACCCUAUAAUAUUGCUUACCUCAAAACGUACUUUAAAUAUGACCUUCACUAAAUUUUACAAAAAAUGGGCCCAAACAUCCGUGUGGCCCACAUGACCCACAUAAUCCAGUCUACAUGGCCCACAUGGCCUAACACAUGGUCGUAUGGCUCACACAGUUUGGCAUAUGACCAUGUGGCAUCGAUAAUUGGUUUUUCAGUUUCGCACCAUUUUUUAUUUUUUGGGACAGAAGCUACACACCUAGUCAUUUUUUGAUGCCAACGCAACAACAACAAUACUAGCACCUAACAAUGGCAUUCAAAAUGAACUAUUUAGCAAUUUUCAUACUAAAUCUGACCACAAAAUCGAUUGUAACACUAAACGUUUGGAUUGAUUAUUUUUUUAACACUAAGAUUCAACCUGAACAAGGCACUAAUCAUUCACCCCAACAGAAGAAGGAUUUUCUAAUACUUCUGUUUUUUCAGAAGAUUAGUCGCUUCCAAUUUUUUAUCUAAAUCACAGACUUCCAACCGUUCAAACUAUUAUCACCCAAAAUAAGAAUUCAUAUCCAAGCAUGUGAAAAAUAACUCCUUUACAAAAUAUGAGUCUUAAAUCAACAUCCUUACCACCCAUGGCCAACAAUCAAGACUGAAAAGGACGUUGGUGAAAAGUAACUCAACAACAUAAGAGACGAAAAGUAAAAAAACAAAAUGAGGACAAAACAAUAUACGACAACAACACAGUGGGAAAAGGCAUCUUCAAAGAAAAUGAAAAAGAGAUUAGUCAUGGAAAUGAUGUGGAACAAAAGAAAAAAAGAAAGAAAGAAAAGAAAACCAACAGAGGAAAGAGUGACGAAAACUUACUGAAACCCCUAAAGAAGCAAAAUAGGAUAUGGAAUAAUGGAUAGAGAGGGACUGUAGAAAGUAGAGAAAUUUUAGGAAUAUAUUUGGGAAAUUUUCAUAAAAAUAAGAAUUUAGAAAACUACCCAUAUUUCUACUAACUCCCACUAAAUUUGAAAGGAAAUUGCAAAAAAAAAAAUUUGUUUUACACACAUGGGGAUUUGAACAUAGGACUUUUGGGUAAAUUAAAGCCUUACUACUAAACUAGCAUGCUCAUUCUUGUCAACAAUUGAGCAAAAAUAUUAUAUAAGCUAGAUGUUCAAUGAUAGGGGUUGGAAAAAAUAUUAAAAAAAUUCAAGGGAAAUGAUUUGAACACAAGACCUCAGACACACAUAAUUAACACUUAGGCACUACAAAAAAUUAAUCCCUUAACAUGGUUCCUAUAAAAAUUAUUCUAAAACAAGGCGUGACCCCUCUUGGUUCACCAACCCUAUUUAUACUAACCUGGUUUUUUUUGGAUGUGACAACAUUUUUUAAAAUAACUUUAAUUUUUUUACUUUUUUAUUUUUAUUAAUCUAGCACUGCCAAGUUAGCAUUUGUUGUCUGAUGUGGCAUCUGUUGACAAUCAUGUUAGCAUUGUUAGUUUCUAAUUAUGAACGUUGAUCAAAGGAUCUUGUUGGUCAAAAUUGUUAAUUCAUAGAUUCAAUUGAGUGGAGUAGGUUAGGAGGGAUUUAAUUAAUUUAAAAAAAAGUUAAAAUGCUUAAUAAGCAUAUAGAAUUUUGGGUUAAUUCUAUCAAUCAUCUUUAAAUUAUUUCCAGUAGGCUUAAAGUAUAAUGUAAAAUGUAACUACAAUAUUUAUAUCUUUUGUCAAUUUGGCUAUUUUUCUUUUUAGCUAAAUUGGCCCUUAGUCUUUUAAAAAAUGAGCUGAUCCAAGGAAGAUUUCUACUUGGAAUGGAAUCAUGGAAAAAGUUGAGAAGAAACUAUCAGGUUGGAAGUGUCUCUCUCUCUUGGGCAGGGAGAAUUAUGCUUAUUAAUACAGUCUUAUCCUCUUUACCUAUCUACUUCAUGUUAAUUUUUCAAGUGUUUGUAGCUGUGAUUAACAAAAUUGACAAAAUUAGAAGGAAUUUUUUGUGGGGAAGUGUUGGUGGACGAAGGAAAAUGGCGAAGGUAAAGUGGAAACAAAUUUGUUUGCCAAAGGAUAAGGGAGUGCGGGAGUGGUGAAUAUUAGGGUAAAAAAUAAGACACUCAUGGUCAAAUAGAGUUGGAGAUUCGUGGCGGAAAGAGAAGUGUUGUGGAGAAAAAAAUUAUAUUUGCGAAGUUAGGAUUCCUUGCACAAUAAUGGUGAAUUAGAAUGAUCAACACCAAAGAUAUGUCGAUGGUUUGGAUGGUUAUCGUGGAGAAUGCUAAAGACUCAAAAGUGGCUAAAUGGAUGGGUAAAGAACCUUUUCGUUGGCUGAUUGGGAAUGGUAAUAUGACAAUGUUCUGGUAGGAUAUUUGGUGUAGAGAACGUCCACUGAGAGUGGAAUUUUCAUGGCUAUUUCAUUUAGUCAAUAACAAGAAAGGGUUGGUGAAAGGCUUCUCAAAGUCAAAUGGGUUUAACGAGGUUAAUUGGGUAGAUUUCUUUAUACGGCCACUAUUGGAAAGGGAAUUGGAUAUGCUCAAUUGUUUAAGGAAAGUAGUUAGUAGUAAGGUGCUGGUGCUAGAAGAGGAGAAUCGUCUAAUAUGGAUACAUGAUAAUAAGGGGCUGUUCUCAGUGACGAAAUUAUAAGAAUUUUUGAUCAAAGGAGUGGAAGACAUUAGUUUCACUUUUGAUAAGAUUUGGAAGUUAAAGGUACCUCCUAGAGUGGGAACCUUCCUUUGGAUGCUUUAAAUAGAUAGGCUAUCUACUAAGGAGUUCUUGACUAGAAGAGGUGUGUAGCUUUGUCAAUUAGAGAGGGGUUGCUCUUGGUGCGAUAGAGAACCGGAGAGUGCGUAGCAUCUUUUCUUUAAAUACAAAUUCAUUGAAGGUUUUGGUGAAAGAUUUUCGAGUGGUGAGAUGUUGAAUGGAAUCCAGUUGAUGGUUUAUUAGAUUUUUACUUUUUAUGUAAUAAUAUGAAGUUUACAGGUGUGUGCAAAAGUCUAUGGUUGAUUUCGGUGACAGCGGCAUGCUGGUCCGUGUGGCUGGUAAGGAACAAGUUGGUAUUUGAAAGGAAGUGGUCUACAACAAACAAUUUGUUAUUUCACUCCAAGAUGUAGGCAUUGAUGUAGGUUAGGGACGUCCAAGAUGAAUUAAGAGUGCAAGAGAGAUCAUUAUGGAUGUGUCCGUAUAGAAGCUGGUGUCAUUUAAAAAAAUCAGGGAUGGGUGGCUUGUUCUGAUGUCCUCUGAGGUAUGGUUGGGUAAAAUUUAAUGUAAGUGGAGUGGCAAAAGAGGACGAAGUCGGGUGUGGAAAGGUGUUAAGAGACGCGGAUGGGGUGGCAAGGGCAUUAUUUUCUAGUCCAGUUGGUGCAAAGGACUCCAUUGCUCCGAGAUUGGAGCCAUCAUCAUUGCUUUGGAUGUGUAUUUAGCAAUGGGUUAGAAAGGUAAAGGCUCUCUAAUUAUUGAGAUUGGAUCAAAUGAGGUGUUUAGUUCGAUUGAGAGCAAAAGGCUGAGACCAUGGAUGCUACAAUCUAUCUUGAAAGAUAUCGAAAAUAGAAUGCAUAAAGUAGGUAAUGUUUCCUUCUCAAAGGCUGGAAAGCACGGAAAUGAGAUGGCCUCUUCUCUGGCAUUAGUUGGAAUAAAAAGGCAUGGAAUGUUUAAGGUAUGGUGGUGAAUAUAUCAUGGGUAAUGUGUUGUUGAGUUUCUUCUAAAGAAUUGGUUAGUUGUUAGUAACUAAAGGAUCUUUGGUUAUAUGGGGCUUAUGUUUCGGUUGCUUGCACAAUUGCCUUUUAGAGGGUAGAAUAAUAAAGGGGGGUUUUGGGGUUCUGGUGGUAUAAAAUCAUGAUGUUAUCGAUAUGAGAUUUUGGUGAUUUGUACUUGGUAGAGGGACACUUUUCCUGGGGGAUUGUUGCAUUUUGCAGAUUAUUACAUUGUUUGCAAAUGCUUAAAAUGUGUAAUAAUUUAAUUGAGCAAAAAAAAAGUUUUUUUAACGAACAUCCUAAGUAAAACAUUAAUUUUUUAACAAAGUUUGCAUGGUAACUCGUGUUGCAGUCCAGUGUACUUCAUGUAGACAUAACAUUAUUUAUUAUAUGGGACACCAACAAGUAAUUUAAAAAUUAUAAAAAAAAUUAAAAAUUAAGAAUUAAAAUAAAAAAUAAAAAAAGUAUGAAGUACAUGAGUUGCCAUGUUUAAAAAUUUAACGGUUUAUUUUCAUUAAAAAUAGCAAUUCAACUAUUUUUGAAAGGUUUAAGGUUAAAUAUGAUUUUUUUUCCAAAGGUUGAAGACCAAUUUUAGCUAAAAAAAAAUAGGAAUCAAAUUGACAAAAAGAAUGUAAAUGUUGAAGACUAAAUUUGACGUUAUUCCUAUUCUUAAUUAGUUCUAAAUGUAACACCCCAAACCCGGCCCAAACGUUACGGCCAAAUCUAGCAAUGUCACAUGAGAGUGUUUUUGGAAAACCGUUUCAAUACAUAAAAAUCAUUCCAAUUAUUAUCUUUUACUUAGUUUGGAAAAACCGUUAAUUUAUUAAUUGGCUCGAAGAUAGUUCUUAAUACGCGGAAGCUUUAAAAUCCAAACAACUCUUGGUACCAUCUUACUUACGAAAACCUCAGUUAAUUUUAGAAAAACUCACUUAGAUGUUGUAGUUUAUAUUCCAAAAUCACAGUUCAAAAACCUAAAUUAAAACCAAAAGUCCAAGUCCAAAAUUACAUAAAAAAUUUCCCCAAAAAUAAUGAAAAUAAUAGAUAAAACAAAAGCAGUAAGUUCAUAAACCAAAAUGUAUAUGGUCGUGGUCAUCGUCGAGUCCUCCACUGCAUCGAUCCGCCUACUACUGGGGAUUACCUGAACAAAUAAAACAAAUAAAGGGUGAGAUUUCGCAACUCAGUGUGUACAUCCCCAUAGUUCAGUAUGCAUACAGUCAGAUAACAGAAUACAGUCAUAAUUCGGGCCUGAACCCUUUUACAGAAUCGGUGUGGGCCUUGGCCCACUCAGAAACAGAGUCAUAUACAACUUAAGGCCUUAGCCCAUCUCAAAUAUAGCAUGCAUAACAGAUUAGAAUAAUAGAAACAGGCCCACCAACCUUGCACACCAAUUCCUUCCAACCCAACACAUCAUGUAGGGAUAAAAUCAACCCACCCAUCCCUGCACGCCAAAUAUGGGGAUAAAAUCAACCCAUCCAACCCUACACACCAUAGAGUUCCGUAAAGCAGCACAUGUCAUGAAUAUGCAGCUUAGUUGCUAGAUAACAAGCUUUAAAGGCCUUUCAGAUACUUUCUUCAUCUUCAUCAAACCCACCCCAAUGAAUUGCAUCAUACAAGAAUGACAUGCUAUAAUGCAGAUUAAUAGACAUAUUUUCAUAUUCAGAACAGACAAAUAUACAUACUAAGUGUAACAUGGCAGUACAUACAUCGUAAUAUCAGAUCACAAAAUCAAGGGUCUAAGUAAGGCUUACCGACCCUACAAUAGGUCACAGUCGACUUGGGCGGCCCGUGUAACCUUACAGAACAUUUCAGAAAAAUGGGCUCACACGCCAAUAUGGCCUGCCCGUGCCCAUGUGGCCCACACAGCCCAAAUUAGCCUUGGCUGUGUGGACCACAUGGCCUGACCCAAAAUUCCAUAUGCCCGUGUGGGCCCACCUAGGUAGCAAGCACACUGCGUAUCCGUCAAGCCUGUUUCGCGCGCGCAGGACCUGGUUUGUCGACUACACACCCGUGUACUGCCACAUGACCUACCACACGGGCGACCACACGCUCGUCUGGCGUCGACAGAAUACUUUUCGACUUUUGCCAAAUAUCUUUUUCUGUGUAAUCGGAGUACACACCUGGUCCAAUUUUGACAAGUAAUCACUCCCGAGCACUCCAGAACCUAUAUUGUCAGAAACCCCAAUUUCAGUCACUUAAUCUGAAACUUCAACUAAGUUAUAAUGGAGCGCUCAUCACUCAAACAACGAAACCCUUACCUUUGAUCGAAACGUGAAGUUCAAGCUCUCAACCCAUCAAUGGGAAUGAUUUGCAGACUCUAGAUCGAUUCCUAAACCAAAAAGAACUCCUCUUAGUGAAAAUAUUUUCAGAAACACAUAGAUAGACAAAAGUCGAAACUUACCAACUAAUGCCGAAAGGAAAGCAGAGAUGAAGAAGUCUAAUGAGCGAUGGCAAAUAGAGAAAGAAAUAUGGGACUGUAGCAAAACAGAGGUCGGCGUAGGGAAGAGGAGAUAAACGAUUGAAAUUUUUGGGAAGAAAAUGAAUUUUCGGUUAUGGGGGAAAAAUAAUAAAAACUAUCCUGAUAGCCACUCCCUAAAAUCUCCUCAAAUCUCUCUGUACAAUCUCCCCACUAACUCCACUUAGAAUCCCAUCCUACUCCAAACUCUCAUACAGCUCAAGUAGCAAAAUAAAUCCCUCGUUCACACAAGGAUUCGAACUCUAAACCUCUAGCGACUUCAUACCCUACUUAACCACCAAACCAACAAGCCCAUGCUUAUAAGUUUUUACAAAUAAACACAUAUAAGCCUAAUAACCAAAGACAAGGUUUUAUUCAAAUAAAAACCAAAAUUCUUCCCAAGCUAAGACUCAAACUUAAGACCUCUCGCACACACCUAGAACACUUAACCACUAAAACAGAUACAAGUUUAUAACUAUUAAUUAUUGAAACAUAUUUAUAAAAUUUGGGGCGUUACAUCUAAACUAAAAAAAUAGAUUAAGUGAAUCUUUAAAAUAUCAUCGUUGUAUCUAUGCAAUAAAUUUUAACGUAUUAAAAAGUAAAUAUCAAUAAAAUGUUAUCUAUGUUGCAGAUAUAUAUUUCUUUACAAUUUAAUCUAAGUAUUUUAAAUACACUUCAACUCAAACUUGAGUUGGCAUUUAAUGCCUCAGCUAAUUGUUAACCUAAUAAAAAUACUUGAUUGAUAUGAUACUAAUAUUCUGAGGACUAAAUUAAAACAUUUUUAAAAUUUAAAAUAUGCAUAAUUUGAGAACAUUAAGUCACAGUUUAAUGUGUUUAUGGUAAAUUAGUGAAUAGUAAACCUGACAUGCUUUAUUAUAAUAGUAAACAUUAACUUCUCUGUACUCAGUUUAAUUGUGGGAUUGUAAUUAUCAUUUAUCUCGGUCUUUAUAUUGUAAGAUUACAACUGUUUAAUUUUCUUUCCGUAUCUAAAGCAUGACCUGAUUAAUUUUCAUAAUUACAUGCUAUUUUGUUUUAGAAAAUUAUUUUAAAUAUUUUUCGCUGUUUUUUUUCAAUGGUUUUAUAAUUUUUUUUUCCAAAAACAUCAGCGGCUUUCAAAACAUCAGGAGAAUAAUAACGAAAUUGAAUCUUUAAAUAAAACGACUUAAAAAUAAUAAAUGAAAAGGAACAAUUUCCCUAUAAAAUACACUAGUGGUUUCAUGGGUUACUUCAAUAAUCGAAUAUAAGGUCUUCCACUUAGCCGAAAUUCUUUGGUUUAGUUGAUGGUGUUAUAAUAUUUUUUAAUAAUUUUAUAAAUAUUAAUCAUUUAUAAAAAUAAAUUUUAAUUAGUUUAUAAUAAUUUUUUAUAAAAUUUAAUAAAUUUUUUUAUAAUUUGAAUGAUUUUUUUAUUAUAAUUUUUUAUUUUUUUAAUUUCGAAAUGAAUCUUGAGAAAUGUAUCUCUAGAUUCAAAGGAACCUAAAUAAAUGGGUGUUCAAAUUGAAAUGAACUUGGCCAACCAUUUAUCCAGCAUCGUUGUAUACUUUUCUAAAAAUAAAUUAAAAAUUUUUUUUUACUUUUUUAUUGUUUUUACUAAUGUGGCACUACCAAGUUAGCAUUUGUUGUCUGAUGUGGCAUAUGUUGACAAUCAUGUUAAUGUUGCUGUUAGUUUCUAAUGAUCAAUGUUGGUUAACUGGCCUUGCUGGUUAAAAUUGUCAAUUCAAGGAUUCAAUUGAAUAGAAAAGGUUUGGAGGGAUUUAAUUAAUUUUUUUAAAAAAGUUAAAAUGCUUAAUAAGCCCAUAUUAUUUUGAGUUAAUUCUAUCAAUCAUCUCUAAAUUAUUGCCAAUAGUCUUAUAGCAUAAUGUCAAAUUUAACCACAAUAUUUAUAUUUUGUCAAUUUGGCUCUUUUUAUUUUUCUUUUUAGAUUAAUUGGCGCUUAGUCUUUUAAAAAAGAGUCAAAAAGGUUUAUUUAAUAAAAAUCCUGACUAAAACAUAUAUUUUUUAACAAAGUUGGCAUGGCAACUCAUGUUGUAGUCCACAUGUACUUCAUGUAGAGAUAACACUAUAUAUUAUAUGCCACACCAAAAAGUAAUUUAAAAAUUAUAAGAAAUUAAAAAAAUAAAUAAUAAUAAAAGAAUGUAGUACAUGUGAAUUGGUACGUGAGAUGCCUUGCUUAAAAAUUUAAUGAUUUAUUUUCAUUAAAAAAUAGCAUUUCAACUAUUUUUGAAAGAUUUAAGGGUAAAUAUGAUUUUUUUUAAAAGGUUGAGGACCAAUUUUAGCUAAAAAAAAAUAAGAGUCAAAUUAACAAAAAAAAAUAUAAAUGUUGAGGACUAAAUUUAACGUUAUGCCUAUUCUUAAUUAGUUCUGAACUUCAAAAUAGGUUAAUUGAAUCUUUAAAAUAUCAGCAUUGUAUCUAUGCGGUAAAUUUUAACAUGUUAAAAAAUCAAUGUCAAUAAAAUAUUUAUCUAUGUUGUAGAUAUAUACGUCUUUACAAUUUGAUCUGCAUAUUUCAUAUACACUUUAACUUAAACUUGAGUUGGCAUUUAAUGCCCAAAUUAAUUGUUAAGCUAAUGGAAAGAUUUGAUUGAUAUGAUACUAAUAUUUUGAGGACUGAAUUAAAAUAUUUUAAAAUUUAAAAUUGAAUUUAAAAUCUGCAUAAUUUGAGAAUAUUACGUCAUAGUUUAAUGUGUUUAUGGUAAAUUAGUCAAUAGUAUAAUAGUAAACAAGUAACAUUAGUCCUUGAUCAAAUCUGACAUGCUCUAUUAUAAUAGUAAACAUUAACUUCUCUUUACUCAGUUUAAUUGUGGGAUCGUAAUUAUCAUUUAUGUCGGCCUUAAAUCGUAGGAUUAGAACUAUUUAAUUUUCUUUCUGUAUCUAAAGCAUGACUUGAUUAAUUUUCAUAAUUAAAUACUAUUUCGGUUUAAAAAAUUAUUAUAAAUAAUUUUUUCUGUUUUUUUAAAUAGUUUCAUAAUUUUUUUCCGAAAACCUUAGCCACUUUUAAAACCUCACAAUAAUAAGAAUGAAAUUAAAUAUUUAAAUAAAGGCGGCUUAAAAAUAAUAAAUGAUUUCCUAAGAUCAAAAGGAAGUUCCCUCCGAAAUAGACUAAUGAUUUUAAGAAUCAUUUCGAUAAUCGAAAACAUAACGUGUUCGACGUAACCGAAAUUUGCAGAGAACAUUACGUCAUAGUUUAAUGUGUUUAUGGUCAAAUAGUCAAUAGGAUAAUAGUAAACAAGUGACGUUGCUUAGUCCUUGAUCAAACUUGACAUGCUCUAUUAUAAAAAUCAAUGAAAAAGAUCAAUGGGAAGAACUGAGAAACGAAAGUCCUUGGGUCUGAAAGAAAUGCAUGCACCGAUUUAACUUUCAGAUGCCUUAAAGAUUAACAUUGGUUAAGACUUAAAAUCGUUAAAGAUUAUUUAUUAUUUGAAAAUAGGUUUCUUUCAUUUAAUAUAAUAUUAAUAAAAUUUUAUCAAUUUUAAAUAUAUAUAAUUUUUAUUUAAUUUUAAAAAAUAGUUAAUUGAUUAAAUUAAAAAUUGGUGAUCUGUCUAAUUUUGUACAUACCCAAGAUAGGACACAUCUUUAUUAGCUAAUUACUACUUUUUUAAGGAACUAGUUACUACUUUUUAGAUUUAUUUAACAUGAAAAUCAAAUUUAACAUUUAAUUAUGUUAGUCCAACUGAUUUAAUUUAUAUUUUAGUUGAGGCUGCCCGGCGGCGGGAAGGACUGAAAUGAUAUAUUCCUUUCAGUCUAAAGUUCAACAGAGGAUAAAUAUUUACUUUGUAACACAUUUCUACACAUUUCAUCUACUAAUAUUUUACAGGCAUCAACUUUGAAUAAGAGAAUCAAACAAAAAGACAAAUCAAAAUUUCUUUUAAUCUAUUCGCAAUUCUAAUGCAAUGGGCCCUACACGAAUCUUAUUGUAUAAUUGUUUUCUUGCAUUUAGCUUGUCUUUUUUUUACUUAAACUCACCAGUAUAUUUUACCUAUAAAUGCAUGCAACAAUUGCACUCUUAUCCUCACAGAUUCUGUGCCAAAUUUCAAGAGCAAACAAAAAAAGGCAGCAAAUUAAGCUUUUCAAUAUUUGCUUUUGAUCAAUCGAAAUGGCUUCACAAGUUUCUCAAAUGCCUUCUUCAUCACCCCUUUCUUCCAAUAAGGAUGAAAUGCGUCCCAAAGCCGAUUUUCAGCCUAGCAUUUGGGGAGAUCUCUUCCUCAACUGUCCCGACAAGGUAUACAUACAUAUGACCAUAUUGGUAUAUAAUCUUAACAGGUUAUUUGUUUUAUUUAGUGAUACAAUGUGAAAAAAAUUUUCAUUAUUUUGAGCAGAAUAUUGAUGCUGAAACUGAAAAGCGCCACCAACAAUUGAAAGAAGAAGUGAGGAAGAUGAUUGUGGCACCAAUGGCUAAUUCAACCCAAAAGUUAGCCUUCAUUGAUUCAGUCCAAAGACUGGGUGUGAGUUACCAUUUCACUAAGGAGAUCGAAGAUGAACUAGAGAAUAUCUACCAUAACAACAAUGAUGCUGAGAACGACCUCUACACCACAUCCCUUCGAUUUCGAUUACUCCGAGAGCAUGGAUUCAAUGUUUCAUGCG
This 184189-nucleotide long non-coding RNA is filed under the name Gossypium barbadense (sea-island cotton). RNAcentral's name for it is "long non-coding RNA (GBAR_LNC002860)". The record is from RNAcentral. Lineage: Eukaryota; Viridiplantae; Streptophyta; Magnoliopsida; Malvales; Malvaceae.